This 267165-nucleotide long non-coding RNA is filed under the name Triticum aestivum (bread wheat). RNAcentral describes it as "long non-coding RNA (TAES_LNC009704)". The record is from RNAcentral. Lineage: Eukaryota; Viridiplantae; Streptophyta; Magnoliopsida; Poales; Poaceae.
CAUUAGGCCAGGGCUCCUUCCGGCCAUCUCAGCAAAACCCACAGGCCCGGGGCUCUGUCCAGCCUCAACAACUGCCCCAGUUCGAGGAAAUAAGGAACCUAGCGCUACAGACGCUACCCGCAAUGUGCAAUGUCUACAUCCCUCCAUAUUGCACCAUCGCGCCAUUUGGCAUCUUCGGUACUAACUGAGAAGAAAAUAACUCUAGUACUAGAUAUAUGAAACACCGUUUUCUCAGUCCAUGGUUUGGUCGUUGUAGCGGUGAAAAAAUAAUGUGACAUGCACUAUCAGGUAAGAACCCGAACUAUACUAGUUCAAACUUGGGAAUAAAAGACAAACACAGGUCUUGUCUACAUAUUUAUGUUGCAUCUAUUUAUAUAUUAAAAGUAAUAUAAGGUGAACCAGGAGCAAGGUAAAUAUGCUAGAAAAUUGCACGUUAAUUAGAAAUUACUAGCCCUCGAUCUGAUAAAUCUUAACGAACAUAUAUAAUGCUCUGGGCCUCCAACGACUGUACGUGACACAUCUGAACGAACAUAUGUUAAAGAAAAUAUAUUUGGUAAAUGGUGGGCUUCUUUAAAAAGAGAACUCACGUACAUGCACCAACUAAGAAAAACACAUACAUGUAAACGGGAAAAGGAUGAGAUUUUCUCACGUACGUGCUCCCUGGCUCCACCCCGUUGAAAAAAUAUACAUCUGGAGGCCACUUUGUUUCCUCAUCAAAAAAACUUACGUUAAAAAGAUUGCAUGCAUCCCAGGGAAAAUAGUCAAGAAGAAGUCGGACUUUUCCUUACAAAAACAAGGAACGUGUUAAGUUGACUUCAAAGAAAAAAGGAACAUGUUAAGUUAAAAAAAAACAAGAAACCUGUUAAGUUAGAAAAAAAACAAGGAACGUGUUGUCCAAGGAAAGAGGAAGAAGAAAGUUGGUUUCAGUGAGUCAUGUGAAUUGUAGAAGAAAUAGGUAAACAAGGCUAGCUCCCCUGGGGGUUGUCAUAUUACAAUCAUUUGUAUUACUUUCCUACCAAUCCUGAACUAGCUAUGACCCUUAUAGCGAGCCUCACUUUACCGUUUCAGAUAGAAACAUAUGGCAGUACUGUACGUACUCGAGAGAAGUUGCUCCCUUCCAUGACAAGGACUAGUUAAGUUUCACUAUCUCCUUUCUCAACUCACUAUAUCCCAGCGGCGGAUUAAUAUAUAUACGUUGAAAAGCAAGGGGAUAAAUUGAACGAAAUGAAGAGCAAUCCAGAAUCCUAUUUUGUAUAUGUGUCAAAUCUUACAAAAAAAAAAGAAUACACACACGUACGUUCAUGCACUUGGAAAAUAGAAAAAAAAGGAACAUCACGUAUGUAUACACUUCGGAAACUCAUUACAUGACCAUGUCUGAUAUACUCCUCUAAUGCUUCAUAUUAGUGCCUAAUAAUUUAUAUUUAAAAUUCAAUUUACUGAUCAAAUAUCCCCACUGUUUAAAUUUUAAUUUGGCACAUUGUUUGGCUAUAGUAUGAACCUAAAUUUCCUCUUAUUAUUAUAUAUCAUGGUAAUAAUCCAAAGGCGACUAAUCUGCGCCGGCGCACCGGCGCAAUCAAUUCCGCUGGACACAGCGCGGCCGUUUGAUUAGAUUGCAUUUAACCGUCAGAUCUGGAAUCGUUUUCUUUCCAAUUAAACAGAUUCAACCAAACAGCAGAGGGGAAAACAAAGCAGCGCCGCCGCCAACACUAGCCAUGGACGACCGAUGUAGCAAAACCUUGAAGAACCGCCGCCGGUCGCCACCCUCGCUGCUGGUCGCCGCCCUCGCCGUCGGUCACCGCCGGUCGCCGCCCUCGCCGCACUCGUGGUUGCAGGCUUGCAUCUCCGCCUCCGGGGGACAUGGCCGCAUGUCCGGUAGCGCCGGCCGCCGGCCGGUGCACCUGUCGUUGUGGUCGCGCUGUACCUCGCCGUGUGCCCUCCCGUGGCUCUUGCUGGUUCCAACAAAAAACGAUACCGGUUGUAGCAAAAAAAUAUCGCUUCCAGCAAAAAAGCUUACCGCUACAGCCCGCCAUCGUCAUUGUAGCAAAAAUGUUAACCCGAUGUAGCUUCUGUGGUUGCCGACUGCAGCAAAAAAUGACAUGGUUGUAGCAAAACACAAAAGAAAAACGCCGGCCGGCCUCUGUGUAUGGUGGUAACAAACCCCAUAGCCGGUGGUAGCGAAAAACUUCAUAGUGCGCAGCAAAAAAAUGUUGUCACCCGUCGUCGAGGUUGCAUCAUCUUCAUGAAUUAUGUCGCAAAAAAACGUUGUCGCCGGUAGUAGCAAAUGAAGCCGCCGGUAGUAGCAAAACAAGACACUGGUUCCAGCCAAAAAAAAUCAGCGACAGAACCUUUGGUUGGUUCCAACAAAAAAACUUGUCGGUCGUAACAUCCCUCGCCGCCGGAUGUAGCAUCUCCCGGGGCUGGUUGCAACACUCCAUAAAAAAAAGUUGUCUAUGAGCGCAUCCAUGGUGACUGCUGCACCGUCAGCAACGAGGGGAAGAGGAGGCAAUGAAAAUCGUUCGAGUCAUAGCUCCACAGGACGCGGCUGCAGCAUGGGGAGUCCAAAAAUCUGUCACAAGCAACAUGCGCCUCGCCAUCCUCCUGCGCAGGAGAGAGAAGAAAAAGGAAUAAGAGGAAGAAGAAAGAAAACGGGAGAAAGAAAAAAGAAACGAUUGGUGGUUGGCUCAGGCAAUUAGUCAAGCGAGGGGCACGCGGGGCGCAGGAUACAGCGCAAUCGAACGAAGCGCGCGCGUCCGGCGAAGACUCGGCCGGACUGCCGGCUGGAAACGUUUCCCUAAUCCAAAGGCUUUAUCUGAAUGACAACUCGUCUGGGUUACCGGCUAACUAGAAAAAAGAUAAAUAUGCUAGAGAAUUUCAUAAUAAUUAGAAAUAUCUAGCCUUUAAUUAUGUAAAUCAGAAAAUCACAACCGUUGGAUUUACUUUAAAGGUAAAUUUCUCUAAAUUCCCACCAUUGCCAGUAUGUAGAAACAUGUGCUGCUUCAAUUCUCCCAUAAUCACCAAUCAAUCAACAACACAAAACAUACCUCAGUUAAAAAAACUGAACAAAAAAAAAGAAAAAAGAAGAAAGGACAAGAUACACGCAUGUACACGACAGCCUUGGCUUGAAACACAUCAGUAGAUCAAGUGUCCGCCUCCCUUACACAGAAUAAACUCAUAGGGAAGAAAAUAAUUGUGCAACCUAACCUUAUACGUACUAUUCUAUCCUCACGUCCCAUGAGGUUUACUAGCCUACCGCCGCCGCAUCAUGCCAUCCCCUCCUUUCAGCUCCCAUGCUUUCCAGCACCCUCAUUGCCGCGCCACUACUUGCCUAGGGAUAUUGCUGCUCAGACCGUGGAGCUUAACCUGCUUCUUCUUCAGCAAAUAUGGUACUGCUUUAGGAUCCUUCUCACAUCAGCACGUAUGGGCCUCAUUAUACUGCAGCUCCUGGACCUCCUACAAUUGGUUGGCUAUGGCCAGUUGAUCGAUGUGCCGAAGUCCAGGUCUGUUUGCUGGCACAUAUGCUUUGGAAAUAGGCCACUAUGUUUGUACUUCAAAAUUGUUUCUGUAUUCUUGAGUGGUACAUCCUUUUAAGCGCCAGUUUUUUAUGUCAAUUCAUGCUGACAACACUUAACCUAGCCUUUCAUCUUCACGUACUAAAUACAGGAGCAAGUAAAAACAACAGACCACCUAAUUGCUCUGCAUGUACUACAUAGGAAAAUUUGUCAUGUUCUACGAUCGCACCAUCCCACACUUCUCUCUUGGUAUGGGCGCCAAUUGAGGGAUUGAUAAAACUGAAACGAAGACGUCACGGGGCUGGAAGUACCGCUAGCCUGGUUUGCACUGCAACCUACUCAACGCCAUCAGAAACUAGCAACUGAGGCAGUUGUUGAUCGAUUCUCUCAAAUUGCUCUCAUGUAAGUACUACCCCUUGCAUGUGCGUACAUACCUUUGUUCCAUUCUCAAACAGAUAGAACAUUUAUGAUCGGUGCAUGGCUAUUUUUCAUCACAUGACAUCCAGAUAACAAGCAUGAAAGGACUACAUUGGAGAUCAAAAAAUAUUGGUUCCUGGCUAGAGGACCACUACCUAUGGACUUGUCUCCAUAGAAUUUGUUCCCAAGAUGUUAUUUUAAUUAACCUCUUUAGCUUUCUUCCAUUGCAAACGGUGAUGUGCAUCUUGGUAUAUACGUGACCAUCUUGCACAUGUAUACACAAGAGGCUCAGACGGAGGUGCUGGAUUCUGGACGAGGGAAUAUGAAGCAGCAGUGAGCGAAGAGUAAAUAAUGGUGGGAGUACCGAUUGGUGUUAUGAAGAAAAAUGCCAUCCAAAGAUUGAUUAGUGUCAUGGAAGAUUAAUUUCUGAAUGCGAAUAUAUAUGUUACAUUGGUUUGGAUCUUUUUGAGAUAAUUGCACAUAAAUUAGGUUCUUUCUUAUUUCAUAUGUAUACCUUAUUUCAGUAAAAGUUCACAACGAACUUAGUAGGACAAAUAUAAUUUUGUUUGUUCUUUCUGUUGUCCGCCACCAAAGCUCAAUUUGAACUCUCUAGAAAUGGACAAUGAUUUAUGCAUUCUAUAUCUUCUUGAUUCAUUAGCCAUGACAAGGAAAUAAAAGGAUUGACUGAUAUAGCAUAACUUUGGAACGAUCUGUUCGUAGAGGUUACUACAAAUUAGAGUAGUGUCUGCUGGAAUUUUGCCAGUAGGUCUUUGGCCCAAAGCCCAACUAAAAUUCUGAAAUUCUCUUGGCUCAUUUAUGCACACAUGUGAGUUGAGUGAGUGAGACUAAAGUUUAGUCCCACCCCGGAGUUGAGAGAGAGUUGCACCUCUUUAUAAGGUGAGCUCUUCUACCACUUGUAUGAGCAUGAGAAGAGGAGACCUACACGCGCGCUCCUCCUCCUCGCUCGCCACGCCUCGCCGCGCCGCGCCGCGGGUUGCGGGAUUGAGCCGAGCCGAGGACGUUGUCUAUAUUUUUGCUGCUCGGGAAAAAUUAAUGAGUCAUUAAUUAAUAAUUAAUGGACGCAUUAAUUACUGAACCGUUUCCGAUUUUUUUGGAUCGUGACGAAUCGGACGCGGGGUUUACUCCCAGGACCUACCCGGCCCGCACUAUAUAGUCAGGCAGACGUCUACCCUAGCCGCCGCCGCUUCAUAUGGUUUCUCACCAUCGUUACAGAUCAUUGCGCCACCAAGCAAGUUUUCUCCAUCCCUCCUUUCGGCGUGCACCGGGAGAAGGGAUAGCAGACCUCCGGAACCCCGCCUCUCGUGAUCCUGUACGGGAGAGGGGCGAUCAGGCUUUUGGGGAGCACACUCGCACUACUGUUGGCAGCGACGACUUCGCAAACGAGGACUUCUUCCCCGACCUCGGCAACCUCAUCCUCGACGACAUGGGCGACAACGUCAACGCCGGCGGUGCUACACCCACUGCACCGUAUGUUAUUCUCUCCUUCUUGUUCGAGGUCGUGGUAGAAUUCAAAGUAUAUGUGCCCUAGAUGUGAUCUGUUCAUCUACUAUGGUAGUUCGCAUGAUUAGUUUAAUCUCUGCUAUUGCUGUCAUGAUCUAUUUCCUAUUUAUUCGGAUUAAAUCUCGUAGUAAUUUGCUCAUUUUUCCAACAAUCCAAAAACCUGAUUAAUGGAAAUUUACUCCGAGUGGUUUUGCUGCGCAUCUGAAAGCCGCUUGCCUUUAAGGGGGCGCAAUAUAAGAGGUGGCUCACAAGAGUAGUCUACUGGUUUCAGAUCAUGGGCUGCUAUGACGCCACCAAGGGCAAGCCUGAGGGCGAUCUUAAUCCAGCACAGCUGGAUGCUAUGACAACGGCAAGAACACGUGGGCUACGCUCGAGGCCAAGUUUGGUGCCUCGGACGCCGGCAGCGAGUUGUACGUCAUGGAGCAAUUCUAUGACUCCAAGAUGACUGAUGAGCGCCCUGUUGUACAGCAGGCUCAUGAGAUACAGUUGCUCGCAAAAGAACUUGAGUACUUCAUGUUGGGGAACGUAGUAAUUUCAAAAAAAUUCCUACGCACACGCAAGAUCAUGGUGAUGCAUAGCAACGAGGGGGAGAGUCUGAUCUACGUACCCUUGUAGAUCGCAACGGAAGUGUUGACACAGCGUAGAGGAAGUAGUCGUACGUCUUCUUCCCGAUCCGACCGAUCCAAGCACCGUUACUCCGGCACCUCCGAGUUCUUAGCACACGUUCAGCUCGAUGACGAUCCCCGGGCUCCGAUCCAGCAAAGCUUCGGGGAGGAGUUCCGUCAGCACGACGGCGUGGUGACGAUCUUGAUGUUCUACCGACGCAGGGCUUCACCUAAGCACUACAACGGUAUGAUCGAGGUGGAAUAUGGUGGCAGGGGGCACCGCACACGGCUAAGGAACGAUCUCAAUGAUCAACUUGUGUGUCUAGAGGUGCCCCCUGCCCCCGUAUAUAAAGGUUGCCAGGGGGAGGGCUGGCCGGCCAAGCUAUGGAGGCGCAGGAGGAGUCCUACUCCUACCGGGAGUAGGACUCCCCCCAAUCCUAUUCCUAAUAGGACUCCCAAGUGGAAAGAGAGGGAGAGAGGUGGCCGGCCACCUCUCCUAGUCCUAAUAGGACUAGGGGAGGGGGGAGGCGUGCAGCCCACCUUGGGCUGCCCCUUUCACCUUGCCACUAAGGCCCAAUAAGGCCCAUUUGGUUCCCGGGGGGUUCCGGUAACCUCCCGGUACUCCGGUAAAAUCCCGAUUUCUCCCGAAACACUUCCGAUGUCCAAACAUAGGCUUCCAAUAUAUCAAUCUUGAUGUCUCGACCAUUUCGAGACUCCUCAUGAUGUCCGCGAUCACAUCCGGGACUCCGAACAACCUUCGGUACAUCAAAAUGCAUAAACUCAUAAUAACUGUCAUCGUAACGUUAAGCGUGCGGACCCUACGGUUCGAGAACAAUGUAGACAUGACCGAGACACGUCUCCGGUCAAUAACCAAUAGCGGGACCUGGAUGCCCAUAUUGGCUCCUACAUAUUCUACGAAGAUCUUUAUCGGUCAGACCGCAUAACAACAUACGUUGUUCCCUUUGUCAUCGGUAUGUUACUUGCCCGAGAUUCGAUCAUCGGUAUCCAAUACCUAGUUCAAUCUCGUUACCGGCAAGUCUCUUUACUCGUUCUGUAAUACAUCAUCCCGCAACUAACUCAUUAGUUGCAAUGCUUGCAAGGGUUGUAUAAUGUGCAUUACCGAGAGGGCCCAGAGGUACCUCUCCGACAAUCGGAGUGACAAAUCCUAUUCUCGAAAUACGCCAACCCAACAUCUACCAUUGGAAACACCUGUAGUACUCCUUUAUAAUCACCCAGUUACGUUGUGACGUUUGGUAGCACCCAAAGUGUUCCUCCGGCAAACGGGAGUUGCAUAAUCUCAUAGUCAUAGGAACAUGUAUAAGUCAUGAAGAAAGCAAUAGCAACAUACUAAACGAUCGGGUGCUAAGCUAAAGGAAUGGGUCAUGUCAAUCAGAUCAUUCAUCUAAUGAUGUGAUCCCAUUAAUCAAAUAACAACUCUUUGUCCAUGGUUCGGAAACAUAACCAUCUUUGAUUAACGAGCUAGUCAAGUAGAGGCAUACUAGUGACACUCUGUUUGUCUAUGUAUUCACACAUGUAUUAUGUUUCCGGUUAAUACAAUUCUAGCAUGAAUAAUAAAUAUUUAUCAUGAUAUAAGGAAAUAAAUAAUAACUUUAUUAUUGCCUCUAGGGCAUAUUUCCUUCAGUCUCCCACUUGCACUAGAGUCAAUAAUCUAGAUCACAUCACCAUGUGAUUAACAUCGAUAGUUCACAUCAUCAUGUGAUUAACACCCAUAGUUCACAUCGCCAUGUGACCAACACCCAAAGGGUUUACUAGAUUCAGUAAUCUAGUUCACAUUGCUAUGUGAUUAACACCCAAAGAGUACUAAGGUGUGAUCAUGUUUUGCUUGUGAGAGAAUCUUAGUCAACGGGUCUGCCACAUUCAGAUCCACAUGUAUUUUGCAAAUUUCUAUGUCAACAAUGCUCUGCAUGGAGCUACUUUAGCUAAUUGCUCCCACUUUCAAUAUGUAUCUAGACCGAGACUUAGAGUCAUCUAGAUUAGUGUCAAAACUUGCAUCGGCGUAACCCUUUACGACGAAUCUUUUUAUCACGUCCAUAAUCGAGAAACAUAUCCUUAUUUCACUAAGGAUAAUUCUGACCGAUGUCCAGUGAUCUACUCCUAGAUCACUAUUGUACUCCCUUGCCAAAUCAGUGCCGGGUAUACAAUAGAUUUGGUAUACAGCAUGUCAUACUUUAUAGAACCUAUGGCCAAGGCAUAGGGAAUGACUUUCAUUCUCUUUCUAUCUUCUGCCGUGGUUGGGCUUUGAGUCUUACUCAACUUCACACCUUAUAAUACAGGCAAGAACUCUUUCUUUGACUGCUCCAUUUUGAACUACUUCAAAAUCUUGUCAAGGUAUGUACUCAUUGAAAAAACUUAUCAAGCGUCUUGAUCUAUCUCUAUAGAUCUUGAAGCUCAAUAUGUAAGCAGCUUCACCGAAGUCUUUCUUUGAAAAACUCCUUUCAAACACUCCUUUAUGCUUUAUAGAAUAAUUCUACAUUAUUUCCGAUUAACAAUAUGUCAUUCACAUAUACUUAUCAGAAAUGUUGUAGUGCUACCACUCACUUUCUUGUAAAUACAGGCUUCACCGCAAGUCUGUAUAAAACUAUAUGCUUUGAUCAACUCAUCAAAGCAUAUAUUCCAACUCCGAGAUGCUUGCACCAGUCCACAGAUGGAUCGCUGGAGCUUGCACAUUUUGUUAGCACCUUUCGGAUUGACAAAACCUUCUGUUGCAUCAUGUACAACUCUUCUUUAAUAAAUCCAUUAAGGAAUGCAGUUUUGUUUAUCCCUUUGCCAGAUUUCAUAAAAUGCGGCAAUUACUAACAUGAUUCGGACAGACUCAAGCAUAGAUACGAGUGAGAAGCUCUCAUCGUAGUCAUCACCUUGAACUUGUCGAAAAACUUUUGCGACAAUUCUAGCUUUGUAGAUAGUAACACUACUAUCAGCGUCCGUCUUCCUCUUGAAGAUCCAUUUAUUCUCAAUUGCUUGCCGAUCAUCGGGCAAGUCAACCAAAGUCCAAACUUUGUUCUCAUACAUGGAUCAUAUCUCAGAUUUCAUGGCCUCAAACCAUUUCGCGGAAUCUGGGCUCAUCAUCGCUUCCUCAUAGUUCGUAGGUUCGUCAUGGUCAAGUAACAUGACCUCCAGAACAGAAUUACCGUACCACUCUGGUGCGGAUCUCACUCUAGUUUACCUACGAGAUUCCGUAGUAACUUGAUCUGAAGUUACAUGAUCAUCAUCAUUAGCUUCCUCACUAAUUUGUGUAGUAGUCACAAGAACAGAUUUUUGUGAUGAACUACUUUCCAAUAAGGUAGAAGGUACAAUUACCUUAUCAAGUUUUCUACUUUCCUCCCACUUACUUCUUUCAAGAGAAACUCCUUCUCUAGAAAGGAUCCAUUAUAAGCAACGAAUGUCUUGCCUUAGGAUCUGUGAUAGAAGGUGUACCCAACAGUCUCCUUUGGGUAUCCUAUGAAGACAUAUUUCUCCGAUUUGGGUUUGAGCUUAUCAGGAUGAAACUUUUUCUCAUAAGCAUCGCAACCCCAAACUUCAAGAAACGACAACUUUGGUUUCGUGCCAAACCAUAGUUCAUAAGGCGUCGUCUCGACGGAUAUAGAUGGUGCCCCUUUUUUUAACGUGAAUGCAGCUGUCUCUAAUGCAUGACCCCAAAAACGAUAGUGGUAAAUCGGUAAGAAACAUCAUAGAUUGCACUAUAUCCAAUAAAGUACGGUUAUGGCGUUCGGACACACCAUUAUGCUGUGGUGUUCCAGGUGGCGUGAGUAGUGAAACUAUUUCACAUUGUUUUAACUGAAGACCAAACUUGUAACUGAAAUACUCUUUUCCACGAUCAGAUCGUAGAAACUUUAUUUUCUUGUUACGAUGAUUUUCCACUUCACUCUGAAAUUCUUUGAACUUUUCAAAUGUUUCCGACUUAUGUUUUAUCAAAUAGAUAUACUCAUAUCUGCUCAAAUCAUCUGUGAAGAUCAGAAAAUAAUGAUACCUAUCGCGAGCCUCAAUAUUCAUCGGACCACAUACAUCAGUAUGUAUGAUUUCCAACAAAUCUGUUGCUCGCUCCAUUGUUCAGAAGAACAAAGUCUUAGUCAUCUUGCCCAAAAGGCAUGGUUCGCAAGCAUCAAGUGAUUCCGAAAGCCCAUCAGCAUGGAGCGCUUUAUACCAAUAUGACCUAAACGGCAGUGCCACAAAUAAGUUGCACUAUCAUUAUUAACUCUGCAUCCUUUGGUUUCAAUAUUAUGAAUAUGUGUAUCACUACGAUCGAGAUCCAACGAACUUGUUUCAUUGGGUGUAUGACCAUCGAAGGUUUUAUUCAUGUAAACAGAACAACAAUUAUUCUCUGACUUUAAUGAAUAACCGUAUUGCAAUAAAUAUGAUCAAAUCAUAUUCAUGCUCAACGCAAAAACCAAAUAACACUUAUUUAAGUUCAACACUAAUCCCGAAAGUAUAGGGGAGUGUGCGAUGAUGAUCAUAUCAAUCUUGGAACUACUUCCAACACACAUCGUCACUUCACCCUUAACUAGUCUCUAUUUAUUCUGCAACUCCUGUUUUGAGUUACUACUCUUAGCAACUGAACCAAUAUCAAAUACUAAGGGGUUGCUAUAAACACUAGUAAAGCACACAUCAAUAACAUGUAUAUCAAAUAUACUUUUGUUCACUUUGCCAUCCUUCUUAUCCGCCAAUCACUUGGGGUAGUUCCGCUUCUAGUGACCAGUCCCUUUGCAGUAGAAGCACUUAGUCUCAGGCUUAGGAUCAGACUUGGGCCUCUUCACUUGAGCAGCAACUUGCUUGCCGUUCUUCUUGAAGUUCCCCUUCUUCCCUUUGCCCUUUUCUUGAAACUAGUGGUCUUGUCAACCAUCAACACUUGAUGUUUUUCUUGAUUUCUACCUUCGUUUAUUUCAGCAUCACGAAGAGCUUGGGAGUUGUUUCUGUUAUCCCUUGCAUAUUAUAGUUCAUCACGAAGUUCUACUAACUUGGUGAUGGUGACUAGAGAAUUCUGUCAAUCACUAUCUUAUCUGGAAGAUUAACUCCCACUUGAUUCAAGCGAUUUUAGUACCCAGACAAUCUGAGCACAUGCUCACUAGUUGAGCGAUUCUCCUCCAUCUUUUAGCCAUAGAACUUGCUGGAAACUUCAUAUCUCUCAACUCGGGUAUUUGCUUGAAAUAUUAACUUCAACUCUUGGAACAUCUCAUAUGGUCUAUGACGUUCAAAACGUCUUUGAAGUCCCGAUUCUAAGCCAUUAAGCAUGGUGCACUAAACUAUCAAGUAGUCAUCAUAUUGAGCUAGCCAAACGUUCAUAACGUCUGCAUCUGCUCCUGCAAUAGGUUUGUCACCUAGCGGUGCAUCAAGGACAUAAUUCUUCUGUGCAGCAAUGAGGAUAAAACUCAGAUCACGGAUCCAAUCCGCAUCAUUGCUACUAACAUCUUUCAACACAAUUUUCUCUAGGAACAUAUCAAAAUAAACACAGGGAAGCAACAACGCGAGCUAUUGAUCUAUAACAUGAUUUACAAAAUACUACCAGGACUAAGUUCAUGAUAAAUUUAAGCUCAAUUAAUCAUGUUACUUAAGAACUCCCACUUAGAUAGACAUCCCUCUAAUCCUCUAAGUGAUCACGUGAUCCAAAUCAACUAAACCAUAACCGAUCAUCACGUGAAAUGGAUUAGUUUUCAAUGGUGAACAUCAUUAUGUUGAUGAUAUCUACUAUAUGAUUCACGCUCGACCUUUCGGUCUCCGUGUUCCGAGGCCAUAUCUUUAUAUGCUAGGCUCGUCAAGUUUAACCUGAGUAUUCUGCGUGUGCAAAACUGGCUUGCACCAGUUGUAGAUGGACGUAGAGCUUAUCACACCCGAUCAUCACGUGGUGUCUGGGCACGACGAACUUUGGCAACGGUGCAUACUCAGGGAGAACACUUCUUGAUAAUUUAGUGAGAGAUCAUCUUAUAAUGCUACCGUCAAUCAAAGCAAGAUAAGAUGCAUAAAAAGAUAAACAUCACAUGCAAUCAAUAUAAGUGAUAUGAUAUGGCCAUCAUCAUCUUGUGCUUGUGAUCUCCAUCUCCGAAGCACCGUCAUGAUCACCAUCGUCACCGGCGCGACACCUUGAUCUCCAUCGUAGCAUCGUUGUCGUCUCGCCAAUCUUAUGCUUCCACGACUAUCGCUACCGCUUAGUGAUAAAGUAAAGCAUUACAUCGCGAUUGCAUUGCAUACAAUAAAGCGACAACCAUAUGGCUCCUGCCAGUUGCCGAUAACUCGGUUACAAAACAUGAUCAUCUCAUACAAUAAAAUUUAGCAUCAUGCCUUGACCAUAUCACAUCACAACAUGCCCUGCAAAAACAAGUUAGACGUCCUCUACUUUGUUGUUGCAAGUUUUACGUGGCUGCUACGGGCUUAAGCAAGAACUCAUCUCACCUACGCAUCAAAACCACAACGAUAGUUUGUCAAAUAGAUUCCGUUUUAACCUUCUCAAGGACCGGGCGUAGCCACACUUGGUUCAACUAAAGUUGGAGAGACAGUCGCCCGCAAGCCAUCUAUGUGCAAAGCACGUCGAGGGAACCGGUCUCGCGUAAGCGUACGCGUAAGGUUGGUCCGGGUCGUCUCGUCCAACAAUACCGCCGAACCAAAGUAUGACAUGCUGGUAGGCAGUAUGACUUGUAUCGCCCACAACUCACUUGUGUUCUACUCGUGCAAAUAAUAUCAAACCAUAAAACCUAGGCUCGGAUGCCACUGUUGGGGAACGUAGUAAUUUCAAAAAAUUUCCUACGCACACGCAAGAUCAUGGUGAUGCAUAGCAACGAGGGGGAGAGUCUGAUCUACGUACCCUUGUAGAUCGCAACGGAAGCGUUGACACAACGUAGAGGAAGUAGUCGUACGUCUUCUUCCCGAUCCGACCGAUCCAUGCACCGUUACUCCGGCACCUCUGAGUUCUUAGCACACGUUCAGCUCGAUGACGAUCCCCGGGCUCCGAUCCAGCAAAGCUUCGGGGAGGAGUUCCGUCAGCAUGACAGCGUGGUGACGAUCUUGAUGUUCUACCGACGCAGGGCUUCGGCUAAGCACUACAACGGUAUGGUCGAGGUGGAAUAUGGUGGCAGGGGGCACUGGACACGGCUAAGGAACGAUCUCAAUGAUCAACUUGUGUGUCUAGAGGUGCCCCUACCCUCGUAUAUAAAGGUUGCCAGGGGAGGGCUGGCCGGCCAAGCUAUGGAGGCGCAGGAGGAGUCAAACUCCUACCGGGAGUAGGACUCCCCCCCCCCAAUCUUAUUCCUAAUAGGACUCCCAAGGGGAAAGAGAGGGAGAGAGGUGGCCGGCCACCUCUCCUAGUCCUAAUAGGACUAGGGGAGGGGGGAGGCGCGCAGGCCACCUUGGGCUGCCCCUUUCACCUUUCCACUAAGGCCCAAUAAGGCCCAUUUGGUUCCCGGGGGUUCCGGUAACCUCCCGGUACUCCGGUAAAAUCCCGAUUUCUCCCGGAACACUUCCGAUGUCCAAACAUAGGCUUCCAAUAUAUCAAUCUUUAUGUAUCGACCAUUUCGAGACUCCCCGUCAUGUCCAGGAUCACAUCCGGGACUCCGAACAACCUUCGGUACAUCAAAAUGCAUAAACUCAUAAUAACUGUCAUCGUAACGUUAAGCGUGCGGACCCUACGGUUCGAGAACAAUGUAGACAUGACCGAGACACGUCUCCGGUCAAUAACCAAUAGCGGGACCUAGAUGCCCAUAUUGGCUCCUACAUAUUCUACGAAGAUCUUUAUCGGUCAGACCGCAUAACAACAUACGUUGUUCCCUUUGUCAUCGGUAUGUUACUUGCCUGAGAUUCGAUCGUCGGUAUCCAAUACCUAGUUCAAUCUCGUUACCGGCAAGUCUCUUUACUCAUUCUGUAAUACAUCAUCUCGCAACUAACUCAUUAGUUGCAAUGCUUGCAAGGCUUGUAUAAUGUGCAUUACCGAGAGGGCCCAGAGGUACCUCUCCGACAAUCGGAGUGACAAAUCCUAUUCUCGAAAUACGCCAACCCAACAUCUACCAUUGGAAACACCUGUAGUACUCCUUUAUAAUCACCCAGUUACAUUGUGAUGUUUGGUAGCACCCAAAGUGUUCCUCCGGCAAACGGGAGUUGCAUAAUCUCAUAGUCAUAGGAACAUGUAUAAGUCAUGAAGAAAGCAAUAGCAACAUACUAAACGAUCGGGUGCUAAGCUAAUGGAAUGGGUCAUGUCAAUCAGAUCAUUCAUCUAAUGAUGUGAUCCCAUUAAUCAAAUAACAACACUUUGUCCAUGGUUAGGAAACAUAACCAUCUUUGAUUAACGAGCUAGUCAAGUAGAGGCAUACUAGUGACACUCUGUUUGUCUAUGUAUUCACACAUGUAUUAUGUUUCUGGUUAAUACAAUUCUAGCAUGAAUAAUAAAUAUUUAUCAUGAUAUAAGGAAAUAAAUAAUAACUUUAUUAUUGCCUGUAGGGCAUAUUUCCUUCACUUCAAGUGUGUGUUGCCGAACAAAUUUGUUGCCGGAGGCAUCAUUGCCAAGCUUCCACCUUCGUGGAACAAUUUUGCUACUUCCCUGAAACACAAGAGACAGGAGUUUUUCGUUGCGGAUCUCAUUGGUACUCUUGAUGUUGAAGAGAAGGCGAGAGCAAAGGAUACACGUGCUCGAGUUGCUGAGGGAGGUUCUAGUGCCCACAUGGUACAGAAGAAGAUCUUCCAGCCCAACAAGUUCAAAAACAACAAGAACAAAACUUAGGGCAAAGGCAAGUUUGAUACAAAGAACAAGCCAUCACAUUCUACCAACUUCAAGAAGAACUCUCAUAAGAAGGGGAAGGGACUUUGCCAUGUCUGCGGUGAUCCUAAUCACUGGGCUCCGAAGUGUCCUAACCGCUUUGAGGAGCGCGAACAUGAGAAGAGCGGCAAGUCUGCUAAUGUUGUCAUCGGUGAUACUGAUAUGAAGGAAUCAGGGUACGGUAUUUUUCCUACCAUCCUUUCAGUAUUCCAAAUCCCUGAUUGGUUAAUUGACAUCGGUGCCAAUGUACAUGUUUGUGCUGAUGCCUCCAUGUUUUCUUCUUACCAGGCCACUUGGACUUCUCCUGUGCUGAUGGGGAACGGGUCACAUGCCAUCGUUCGAGGUGUUGGUGCGGUCAAUCUGAAGUUUACUUCGGGGAAGACCGUGCGUCUGAAGAACGUUCAUCAUGAGCCGUCCAUCAAUAAAAAUCUCGUUAGCGGUUCCCGUUUAUGUCGAGAUGGUUUUAAGUUGGUUUUCGAAUCCAAUAAAGUUAUAAUUUCUAAGUAUGGACAAUUUGUUGGAAAAGGCUAUGAGAGCGGAGGCUUGUUUCGCCUGUCUUUGUCAGAUAUUUGCACUAAAGUUAUUAAUAAUGUUUGCCACAACAAUGAGUCUGAUAUUUGGCAUUCACGACUUUGUCACAUUAACUUUGGUUGCAUGACCCGGCUAGCCAAUAUGAAUUUAAUUCCGAAAUCUCUACUGUCAAAGGCUCUAAGUGCCAAGUAUGUGUGAAAGCUAAGCAACCUCGCAAAUCCCAUAAGACUGCAGAGGCGACAGACUUGGCGCCACUAGAGCUUAUACAUUCUGAUAUUUGUGAGAUGAAUGGCGUGUGGACAAAAGGUGGAAAGAGAUACUUCAUGACGUUGAUUGAUGACUCCACUAGAUAUUGUUAUGUGUAUCUUAUGAAAUCAAAAGAUGAGGCUUUGGCUUUCUUCAAAAACUAUAAAGCUGAGGCAGAGAACCAACUUGAUCGAAAAAUUAAACGGCUUAGGUCCGAUCAUGGUGGAGAGUAUUUUUCCAAUGAAUUUGAUCUAUUUUGUGCGGAACAUGGUAUAAUCCAUGAGAGGAUGCCUCCCUACUCACCCCAGUCAGAUGCGGUAGCCGAAAGAAAGAACCAAACUCUAACUGAUAUGGUUAACACCAUGUUAGACACUUCGGGUCUAUCCAAGGAAUGGUGGGGGGAGGCGCUAAUGACUGCGUGUCAUGUCCUAAACCGAGUUCCCACAAAGCAUAAGACCAUGACUCCAUUUGAGGAAUGUUAAAGGAAAAGGUUGAAACUCUCUUACCUACGUACUUGGGGUUGUUUGGCGAAAGUCAAUAUACCAAUUCCCAAGAAGCGCAAGCUUGGACCAAAAACCGUGGGUUGUGUUCUUCUUGGGUAUGCUUUUCAUAGCAUCGGCUAUAGAUUUUUGAUAAUAAAAUCUGAGGUAUCCGACAUGCAUGUUGGUACGAUUAUGGAGUCGAAUGAUGCAACUUUCUUUGAGGACAUAUUUCCUAUGAAGGAUAUGUUGAGUUCAUCAAAUCAGGAGACACCUACUCCACCUAGUGAGGAAUUCACUGUAAUUCCUGAACCCACCAUUGCGAUGGAACACAUAGAGAAUCCUGUUGAGGGUGACAAUGGAACUCCUGUGAGGAGUAAGAGACAUAGGACUACAAAGUCCUUUGGUGAUGAUUUCAUUGUGUACCUCGUGGAUGACACACCCAGGACUAUUUCAGAAGCCUGUGCAUCUCUUGAUGCUGACUACUGGAAGGAAGCUGUACAUAGCGAGAUGGAUUCCAUCUUAGGUAACAGAACCUGGGAGAUCACUGACCGUCCUUAUGGGUGAAAACCUGUAGGAUGUAAGUGGGUGUUCAAGAAGAAGCUUAGACCUGAUGGUACGAUUGAAAAGUACAAGGCACGGCUUGUGGCCAAGGGUUAUACCCAGAAAGAAGGUGAAGACUUCUUUGAUACUUACUCACCCGUGGCUAGAAUGACCACAAUUUGGGUGCUACUAUCACUUGUUGCCUCACAUGGUCUUCUCGUUCAUCAAAUGGACGUUAAGACAGCUUUCCUCAAUGGAGAGUUGAAGGAGGAAAUUUACAUGGAUCAGCCAGAUGGUUUUGUAGUACCUGGUUAGUAAGGAAAGUUGUGCAAGUUAUUAAAGUCUUUAUAUGGCCUUAAACAAGCUCCUAAAGAGUGGCAUGAGUAGUUUGAAAGAACAUUAACUGCUGCCGGCUUUGUAGUAAACGAUGGUGACAAGUGCGUGUACUAUCGCUAUGGUGGUGGCGAAGGAGUUAUUCUUUGUCUGUAUGUCGACGACAUAUUGAUCUUUGGAACGAAACUUGAUUUAAUCAAGGAGGUUAAGGAUUUCUUAUCUCGCUAUUUUGAGAUGAAGGAUCUAGGAGUAGUUGAUGUUAUCUUAAACAUCAAGCUGUUGAGAGAUGAGAAUGAUGGGAUCACACUGCUUCAGUCUCACUAUGUGGAAAAGGUCUUGAGUCGUUUUGGGUAUAGCGACUGCACACCUUCUCCAACUACAUAUGAUGCUAGCAUGUUGCAUCGAAAGAAUCGACGGAUUGCUAGAGAUCAACUGAGGUAUUCUCAUAUUAUUGGCUCGCUUAUGAUUUGGCGAGUGCCACGAGGCCAAACAUCUCGUUUGCUGUUAGCAAGCUGAGUCGAUUUGUGUCAAAACUAGGAGAUGAUUAUUGGCAUGCGCUUGAGAGAGUUAUGCGCUAUUUGAAAGGCACCGCGAGCUAUGGGAUUCACUACACCGGGUAUCCAAGGGUACUGGAGGGUUAUAGUGACUCAAACUGGAUAUCUGAUGCUAAUGAGAUUAAGGCCACAAGUGGUUAUGUUUUUACACUUGGUGGUGGCGCUGUUUCUUGGAAGUCCUGCAAGCAGACCAUCUUAAUGAGGUCAACUAUGGAAGCAGAACUCACAACAUUAGAAACUGCUACUGUUGAAGCAGUGUGGCUUCGUGAGCUCUUGAUGGACUUUCCUAUGGUUGAAAAACCAAUACCCCCUAUCCCAAUGAACUGUGAUAAUCAAACUGUGAUCGUCAAGAUAAACAGUUCUAAGGACAAUAUGAAGUCCUCAAGGCAUGUGAAGAGGAGACUGAAAUCUGUUAGAAAAUUGAGGAACUCCGGAGUUAUUACGUUGGAUUAUAUCCAAACGUCAAAAAAAUUGGCAGAUCCCUUCACAAAGGGUCUAUCACGUAAUGUGAUAGAUAAUGCAUCGAUGGAGAUGGGUUUGAGACCCACCGCAUGAGUUGUCCAUAGUGGUAACCCACUCUUUGUGAUCGGAGAUCCCGUGAAGUAGAAGUGGGAGACAAGCUGUUGGUCAGCUGGGAGGAGAGUAUCCCUAUAUUACCUGUCCCACUCCAUGAAGAUGCAACACUCUCCUAAUCUGCAUGGCAGGUUGAUACUUAUCUUAAUGUGUUCCAAGUGGCUUAUUCGGGUAAGCAGAGAUGUUGUCCUGCGGAACAUCUUCUGAGGAACACACCUAUAUGAAUUUGAUUGUUAACGUCGCAGUCUGUGAGAAUUGGGUGUUCUCUAAUAAAUUCAUGAAAAGGCCCUGGAGUAUGACGUAUAAGCUCCACCCGCAGGGAAGCCUUGCGGCAGCCCAGUAUCGGUCAAGAAUUUGUGUGAAACUAGUCUCGCAGAAAAUUUGUAGUUCAAGGCAUAGUCCACUAUUCAAGUUGUGAUCUAGUGUAGCAUAAAUCUCUAAGUGGAAGUUCAACUUCAAAGUCUCCACUAAGCCCCGGUAUAUAAACAAUGUUUUGGAACUAAAUGAUGAGAUGUGCCAAUGAGACUUUGUGGGGGAUUGUUGGAAUUUUGCUAGUAUGCCUUUGGCCCAAAGCCCAACUAAAAUUCUGAAAUUCUCUUCGCCCAUUCAUGCACACAUGUGAGUGGAGUGAGUGAGACUAAAGUUUAGUCCCACCCCGGAAGUUGAGAGAGAGCACCUCUUUAUAAGGUGAGCUCUUCUACCACUUGUAUGAGCAUGAGAGUAGGAGACCUACACACGCGCUGCUCCUCCUCGCUCACCACGCCACGCCUGGUCACGACGCGCCGCGGGUUGCGGGAUUGAGCCGAGCCGAGGUCAGAGCUAUGCACGUUGUCUAUUUUUUGCUACCCCGGAAAAUUAAUGAGUCAUUAAUUAAUAAUUAAUGGACGUGUUAAUUACUAAACCGUUUCCGAUUCUUUUGGAUCAUGACGACUCGGACGUGGGGUUUACUCCCACGACCUACCAGGCCCGCACUAUAUAGUCCGGCAGACGUGUACCCUAGCUGUCGCCGCUUCGUAUGGUUUCUCACCACCGUUCCAGAUCAUUGCGUCGCCAAGCAAGUCUUCUCCAUCCCUCCUUUCGGCGUGCACCGGGAGAAGGGACAGCAGGCCUCCGGAACCCCGCCUCUCGUGAUCCUGUAUGGGAGAGGGGCGAUCAGGUUUUUGGGGAGCGCACUCGCGCGACUUCUGGCAGCGACGACUUCGCGAAUGACGACUUCUUCCCUGACCUCGGCAACCUCAUCCUCGACGACAUGGGCGACAACGUCAACGCCGGCGGUCCUGCACCCGCUGCACCGUAUGUUAUUCUAUCCUUCUUGUUCGAGAUCGUGGUAGAAUUCAGGUUUCUAGUAUAUGCCCUAGAUGUGAUCUGUUCAUCUACUAUGCUAGUUCGCAUGAUUAGUUUAAUCUCUGCUAUUGCUGUCAUGAUCUAUUUCCUAUUUAUUCGGAUUAAAUCUCGUAGUAAUUUGCUCAUUUUUCCAAUAGUACCAUCUAAUAGAUGAUGUAAAUCUCCUCUAGUUUGACGUUGUUGAGCUAAUUUACAAAAAAAAAACCUCAUCAUUAUUGGACGUCCUUAACAGCUCAAGAACAAGUUGGGGUCGAACUAAUGGAUUUUACACUUUUACAUUAAAGGUUUAGCUAAAGCUAGCAGGUGUUUUUAAACCUGAAUUUUUUUUUCCUCCUGAAUUUCUUUGUAUUUUCUUAUUGACACUAUUUAUACAAUCAUCUGACAAAGAUUAGCUAAAGAUGUUUGUAGAUACGUUGAAACCUGAAAAGCUUCUUUGGUUAUCCUUUUAAUAGUUCUACGUUUAAUUUCUCAUAGGUCAUAAUUCUUAUGUAAUACCAAGAUGCAUUGUGGUAGUGUACAUGUGUUCAAUUCAGGUUGUUAUUCACAAUUUGCGACAAAAUUUAGCUCACGCUACAUUUAAAUAUGUUGAAAUGUGAAUGCUCUUUUUCUUCUCCUUUCUACACCUUGCAUCGGAUUGCAUCCCUUUAGUUAUCCAACAUUUUGUACAACAUGUAGAGAUUAGGAAGUUCAUCAUAGUUUGUCUAUUUCCGUGCUAAUAAAUGUAUGAAAUCUGCAUUUCCAAGCUACUAGGACAAGUAAAAAAUAAUAAUUUUACUAUAGGAUUCAAAAACAGCAGUUCUGAAGUGCACUUUAUUUAUUUUUGAAAGUGAUCACAUUUUGUUUCAUUUUUCUAUAGACAAAUCUACUAAUACAUACUCACGAUAAAACUAUAAAAAUUCUAGUCCGCACAUUGGGCGGGCCACCCGGCUAGUUAGUCUAAAGAUAACAAAAUGAGUCUGGAAUUUGAAUUAAAUUGAAGUAUUUUCUUGGACUUUCAAAUUAAGUUUUAUUAAAGUAGUAAGGACUAUCCACAUCCUUGGCUUGCCCCUGAUCAAUUAUUUCCAGAGAAGCAUUCGAUUCAUCAAUCAAUUACAUUGAUUUUAGUGGCUGGUACUUCUCCUCAACAUCAGUAUAUUCACCGUGGCCACUCCAAAUCGGCAAGAAUGAGGUACCAGUGCUCUGCAGCAGUGCAAGCUAAUUGCUUCUCAUGUGAAGGGGUGCGGGCGCAGGAGAGGUAUUUCUGGUGGGCCAAGGGACUAAGAAGCGACUGUGGCAGCGGUAUAGAUGCCCGCAAAGCCCCAUAGUUUGUUUUUCGUUUACAGGAAAAAUGCACAUCCAUACCAACCUUGGGAAUAUAGGACCGUAUUGGAUGGAAAACCAUGUCCGGAUGGUUGCGAGCGGUUUGAGGGUUAGCUUUUGUAACGCCCGGUUAGUUAUGCUAUAGCAAUUCCCUGCUAAUGAUGUCACGUCACCACGAUUACUAUUGUUAACCUCACAAUGAUUCAAUCCCCUUCAAAUUCAAAUUUAAAAUAAAGGUAAACAUCAAAAGUUUUCAAACAUUAAAACUAAAAUCUUUGAGAGGUGACAAAUAAUGCAUAAGUAAUUAUGGUGGAGAAACCACACUUUAAUCAAAUGUUUAAAUACUCUAAAAUGAAAAAAACAGUUGCUUAAACUAUUAUUUAAAUGCUUUUAAAAUAGUAAAAAUCUUCUAACUAAAUUAUUUGGGUACCAAACUUUUGGUGGCAGUGGUAUAUUUAGUAGAAUUAAUUUAGAUGCUAAUUAUAUAAUUUACAAAAUUAGAGUAAAUUGAAAAAUAGGAUAAAACGGAAAAGGAAAGACAAAACAAAUAAAAGCAAAAGGGGCCAACCCCUCGCUGGGCCUCGACCUAGCUGCCACUAGGCUAGCUAGGCUGGCCCCGGCGCCUCCCUUAACCCCCCCCCCCACUCCCCAUCGAACCCAAGCCCGAUCGCCCCACUUCCCCCACACCCCCUCGCCAGCCUCCCCACCUCUUGAUCCCAUCUGGAUCGGGGAGGGUAUUGCCCCCAUCGACCCCGUUGCCGUCGCCGGAUUGCCCGCCGAUGUCGCCAGGCCUCCUCCCCGCCGCCCGUCUCCGGCUCGCCUCCCCUCUCGCUCCUCUUCCCCGACCCGAUCUAGAUCGUGAACGAGCAAUGAGCUCGAAGCCCCCUUCACCGGCGCCAUCACCGUGCGCCACCACCACCGCCUGAGGACCUCACCGUCGCCGAAUCUAGCGUCGCCUCCUCGUAUCCCUCCCCUACUCGCGUCCUCAAGCCAGGACGAGCCCCUUCUCGGCAACGCUGUGAGACGCCCCCGUUUCCCUCCUCUUUCCACCGCGUUCAUCGCGCCGCCCGCCGUGCCCCUCGCCGUGCGCACGCCCACCACCGCACCAGCCCCCGCUCCGCGCACGACCCUACCCGCGCCCGCGCCAUGAUCCCCUUUUCCGCCCUACCUUCCUGCGCUCGCCGCGGUCCCGAUGCUCCCCCGCGCCCUCUUUCGGGGGCGCCGACCUCCCCUGUCCCGCUGCUCGGCGCCGUGCCUCGCAAUCGCUCUACUGCUAAGUUACUACUGCGCUGCGGCCGUCGCCUCUUCCUUCUGCUCCGCUAGCGCCGAAGCUCCCGAUUGGCUCCACCACUUCUCACGUUAAACCGCCGGCCUAAAUGGCCUAACCCCGGGCUAAUGAACCCCCACUAACCCACUGACACCGGGACCCACAUUCCCUAAUUAACCAUUUAAUAAAUUAAAACUCUUAAAUUAACAUUAGUGUAUGACAUGUGCGUCCCCUAUUAAUUAAUAAUUUUACUGCUAGUUUUCUUAGUUUCUGUUUUUCUGCAUAUUUCUUUUGUAUUUGAACAGGCUUUAUACAAUAAUAUUUAGCGUCUCAUACACAUACAAAUGUAAUUAUAGCAUAUACAUACAAAUAGUCUCAUCAAAUCAUGUGAUCAUCAUAAUCAUCAUCCAUCACAAAGUGAUCUCUCGUCAUCAUCUCGAAAAUAGCGAUACUAGUCUCGAUUACUUGCAACUACAUCGUCAUCCAUCUAAACAAUGAUAUACGCGAGAAGAGCUAUCACUAUGAGUGAGAGCGGAACUAUGCAGUACAUGAGUUUGUAUCCCUCUCUCACAUUAGCGUGAACCUAAACUAACUACUGGCUGUUGCUCGGAAACCGGAAAACGGUACACCUGGGCCUGACACUCCGGCCACUCGUCGUAUACUCCUGGCGUAGCACUUCUUCGCCAUCGAUGAUCUAUGCACCUGCAUCGUCACAUGAGUCGAUGAUAUGCAACAUAUAUAGUUGAGCAACAGAAAGAGACAGACGUGGCAAAAGUAGAAGCAACAUAUCAUAAGCAUAAAUAACAAAGCUCAUCGUACGCAAAAUGCCCUAACUAGAGUGAUCUGCGCUAGUCAAGGAGGACGGUUUAAUUACAUCACAAAUAAUGUUUCGUCGUGCAUUACUCAAAGUUCCGUCAUACAGAAAGUAUGAACUAAAUGGACACAUUGUCAUAUUUCGAAAAUCACUCCCACAUGUCGUGCCAUCCAUCCAAGUCAAGGAGAUAGUGCCCGAGCUUAGUGAAAGGCUUUAGGUCAAGAUGCUGAGUGGCUACGCGUGUUCGGACGUCUUCCCACGACAUUUGUCCUUCUUCAUAGAACAUCCCUGUUUUUUCGACGACCUCCUUCAUCACUAGAAGAAAAAGGGCCUGUUGUCCCGGUUCUGGAACCGGGACUAAAGGGUCGGUACUAAUGCCCUGUCCCUUUAGUCCCGGUUCAAUCCAGAACCGGGACAGAUGGGCCUCCACGUGGCCUGUGCGCGGAGCCCAGGCAGGAGACCCUUUGGUCCCGGUUGGUGGCACCAACCGGGAACAAUAGGCAUCCACGCGUCAGCAUUUCUGUGGUUGGGGUUUUUGUUNNNNNNNNNNNNNNNNNNNNNNNNNNNNNNNNNNNNNNNNNNNNNNNNNNNNNNNNNNNNNNNNNNNNNNNNNNNNNNNNNNNNNNNNNNNNNNNNNNNNNNNNNNNNNNNNNNNNNNNNNNNNNNNNNNNNNNNNNNNNNNNNNNNNNNNNNNNNNNNNNNNNNNNNNNNNNNNNNNNNNNNNNNNNNNNNNNNNNUGGUGUUUCAUAUAUUGUGUUAGCUAGCUAUAAUUAAUAGAGAAAAGUGUCCUCUCUUAUGUCCGUGCUUGGUCGACGCUACGUACUAUACAUACGUAUAGAGAGGACUAGACACGCUAGCUAGCUAGUAAGCAAACGAAGGAAACAGAAGAUCGUCAUGAACAUAUAUGCAUACAGGACUAGACACGCUAGCUAGCUAGUAACCAAACGAAGUUCAACUAGUAAUGGCGCACCACUCCCACGGUGCGCCAUUAGUAGUUUUGAAAAAAAUUAAUUUUUUUUUUUACUAAUGGCGCACUGUGGAUGUGGUGCGCCAUUAGUAUUUGGACACUAAUGGCGUACCAACACAUGGUGCGCCAUUAGUAUAUAGUAAUGGCGCACCACAGGUCUGGUGCGCCAUUAGUGUCAAUUCCAUCUAUAGCCCUUUUCCUAGUAGUGUUAGGGACGGUCUCAAUGAAACAACCCACCAUGUACUCCUGCAUGGCCUCUCAUCGAUACCUUUACCGAAACAUGUGCAACACAUUCCUCAUAUUACCGACAUAAUCAUAUCACCCUAGCCCAUCACCCAGAUGAACCAGACCUGACACAACUAUAAGCAUAGCAGGCAUAGCAAGGUAGGAAUCACAUACAUGGCUCAAUCAACUCCUACACAUGCUAGUGGGUUUCAUCUAGUUACUGUGGCAAUGACAGGUCAUGGAGAGGAUAAGGGUUCAACUACCGUAGCACACAGCAGUUUGAAUGGCGUUGUCUUAAUGCAGUAAACAAGAGCAGAGGCGAGAACAUGGGUUGUAUCGGAAUGAUCAAUGGGUUGCUUGACUGAUGGAGUGGUAGUGGGAUACUACCCUUCAGUUGGAUACUCGUGAAUAUCCUCGGAGGCAGAACCUACCACGAAGAACACAUCGGAACACAAUCAACACAUGACGAUAUGCAACACUAUGAUGCAUGCUAUGACAUGGCAUUAUGAAUGUGUCUUGGCCUAAUGCAAGCUAAAAUAGAAAGGGAUGAACUCAUUUGAAUCAAAGAUUCAAAUAUUAGCUCAUUAAACAUGGCCUUAGUAGUGCAUUUCCUUAUUCUGCUUAAACAGCAAGGUAAACUUGUUUUGUCAUACAUGAAACCAUUACAGAUGGAUGUAUUGAAUUUUUCUGAUAAUUUUUCAUAUAUAAAUUAUUUCAUUUGGAGUUACGGUUGAAUUUCUAUGAUUUUUAGAAGUUUUAAACAUUUUCUGGAAUUUCCUGAAUAAAAAUAAAUCCAGAAAAUGCAUUACUGCGUCAGUAUUGCAUCAUGCUGACCUCAGCAGGUCAAAGGCGCCAGCCCAGGUCAAAACUGACUGGUGGGCCCCUUCUGUCAGUCUCUCAGUUAAAUAAUAGGAUUAGAUUAACACUAAUUAGCUGUCAGUGGGGCCUGGGCCCACAUGUCACUGACUGAUUAAAAUAAAAUUAGUUAAAACUAAUCCUUGAUUAGUUAGCAGACCGGCCCCUCCUGUCAUAGACUCAGGGGGGUCUACCUGGGCCCACCCAGGGUCAAACUGGGUCAAACUCGCCGGCGUUGAGCCGCCGGCGAGACCCGAGACGGUGGCGCAGCUCGGAAAACGCCUACAGGGCACGAGCGAGGCCGUUCUUGGGCUCGUUGGAGAGCUCUUGCAGCCGCGCAUCUAGUGGUGGUGGGGGCCGGAGACGACGACGGCGAGCUCCAAGGCGGCGGCUGGAGUUCGGCCAUGUGCGGGGUGUGGGCUGUGGCGUGCAAACGUGGAAACUGAAGCGCUAGCGAGGCACUACGCGAUGCGGCAAGCACGUUGCAUAGCACGGGAUGAUCCAAUGGUCGCCGGAGCGGCGCCGGCGACAAGCUCGAGCCGAGACGAGCUUCGGCCAUGGUGGAACUAUGGCCUAGAGGGUGCAAACGCGUGGAAAAGAAGAGGGGAAAGGUGGCGGAGCUCACAGGGAGGUCGAUGAGCAGCUCAAUGGGCUCGGGGGUCACCGGAGUGAGGCGAAUCGAUGAGCGGCGUCCGGCGGGUACCGAGGUUGAAGACGAUCCGAUGGCGGCGAUGCAGGGACUCCGGCGAUGCGUGGCUCAGUGGGGAGGGCGAGGGCGUCACAGCGGAGCUUCUGGACAGGUCAGAGAGGCGAGGGGGUGACGGAGGGCGCGACUACGGCGGUGAGACGGCGACGGGUGCGUCGGCCAUUGCGGGAGAGGGAGAGGGAGACAAGUGGGAGAGUGAGAGAGGAUGAGAGGGGGACGUGGGGGUCGCGUGGCAUUCCCUGGACGUCUCCCAGCAUCGGCGGAAGCAGGAGGUGGCCGGCGUGUGGCCGCGGGCGCCGGCCACGCGCUCCACGUCCUUCUGGCGUGAGGAGGACGACGACUGGCAGCGCCAGUAGGCUGGGCCGAGCCAGGGGGCUGGCCAGCACAGGUAAGGCCCAGGUGGGCAUCUCCCUCUUUUUUUUAAUUUGUUUCUGUUUUCUAUUUAACUGUAACUGUUGGGCUUUAUUUAAAAUACUAAAACAUUUCCAAAAAUCCUGAAAAUAAUUGUGGGCUCUGUUUGGAUUAUUUCCAACAGCAGACAUUUAUUUCCAGAAUUAUUUGAGCAUUUAAAUGCCCAAAUUCAAAUACUUAUGAUUUAAAUCAAUGACCUUCUAUUGACCUCGAAAAGUUGUGCACCAAUUUUGCCAGAGGUUCUAACCCAAGACAAAGAGGGUGAACUUUUUAGAAGGGCAUUUCAGGUUCAUUGAAAAUAAUUUUAGUAAUCCCUAGUUGUUUCCAGGGGGGUGUUGGGGGUUUCUGCCUUCCCCAAUUCAAAUUUAAGAGGAAUUUAAACAUGAUGCACAUUCUAAUGCUUGAUCUAGCUAGGGUGUGACAACUCACCCCCACUCAAAAGAAUCUCAUCCCGAGAUUUAGGAUCCUCUGGAAAGAAGGUGGGGUACUCGAGUCGAAGACGAUCCUCCCUUUCCCAAGUGGCUUCUUUCUCGGAAUGGUGUGACCAUUGAACCAUGAGAAACUUGAUAUUAUGACGUCGAGUAGUAUGCUCGGCUUGAUCAAGGAUACGAACGGGAUAUUCCUGAUAAGAGAGGUUAUCUUGUAGAUCAAGCGUUUCGUGGUCCACUCCACGGAUAGGAUCCGCGAAGCAACGCCUGAGUUGUGAAACGUGGAAGACAUCAGGAACUCUGGAAAGAUGCGGAGGUAGUUCCAAUUGGUAGGCAACUUCUCCUUGUUUGGCAAGAAUGCGAACGGGUCCAAUGUAACGAGGAGCCAAUUUGCCUUUGAUACCGAAACGAUGGGUUCCUUUUAACGGGGUAACCCGAAGGUAAGCCUUCUCAUCGACUUCAUAAGUCAUAGAGUUAUGUUUAUGAUCAUAUUGACUCUUUUCACGAGAUUGGGCUGUUUUCAAUUUCUCACGAAUAACGCGAACCUGCUCUUCCGCUUCCUGAAUCAUAUCCGGGCCAAAGAGUUGUCUUUCCCUGGUUUCUGACCAGUUAAGGGGUGUUCGAUAUUUUCGUCCAUAGAGAACUUUGAAAGGAGCUUUGCCCAAGCUAGCUUGAUAACUAUUGUUAUAAGCAAACUCUGCGAAUGGGAGGCAUUUCUCCCAACUCAUUCUGAAUGAGAUAACAGAAGCUCAGAGCAUAUGUUCCAGAAUUUGAUUGACUCGCUCUACUUGACCACUUGACUGAGGAUGGAAGGCGGUACUAAAAGAGAGACGAGUUCCCAUAGCAUUUUGGAAACUUUCCCAAAAUCGAGAGGUGAAGAGACUCCCACGCUCUGAGUUAUUUUCCAAUGGGACACCAUGGAGAGACACUAUUCGGGAGAUGUAUAAAUCGGCUAGCUGGCUAGCAGUGAUACUCUCACGAACAGGUAGGAAAUGGGCUACUUUGGAAAGACGGUCGAUGAUGACGAAGAUGGCAUUAUUCCCUCUCUUGGUCCUGGGAAACCCAGUAAUGAAAUCCAUACUGAUUUUAUCCCAUUUCCAUUCAGGAAUAGCCAAAGGUUGAAGGGUGCCAGUAGGCCGUUGAUGCUCUGCUUUAACACGAAUACAGACGUCACAGCUAGCAAUGUAUCGAGCAAUUUCUCUCUUCAUCCUAGUACACCAAAACCUCUCGCGUAGGUCUUGAUACAUUUUUGUGCUACCGGGAUGAAUGGUGAGAGGGGAUUCAUGAGCUUCCUUAAGGAUCAAUUGGCGUAGAUGUUGUUUCUUGGGAACCACCAAACGGUUCUCAAAGAAGACAGCACCCCGCUUAUCCAUGGAAAAACAUUUAGCAACUCCGCUAGCAAUGUUUUCCUUAAUCCGGGAUAUGCCCUUAUCAUACCGCUGGGCAGUUAUGAUCUGAUCCAUAAGGUUAGGUUUCGCCACCAGGGUGGAUAGGAAUCCUCGAGGAACAAUGUGAAGAUUAAGCUUACGGAAUUCCUCAUGGAGAAGUGGUUGACUUUGUUGUAACAUCAGGUUGUUACAACAGGAUUUACGGCUUAGCGCAGCAGCCAUGACAUUGGCUUUGCCCGGUGUGUAGGUUAUUCCUAAGUCGUAAUCCGAGAUCAACUCAACCCAACGUCUUUGCCUGAGAUUCAAAUCUGGUUGGGUGAAGAUAUAUUUCAAGCUUUGGUGAUCGGUGAAGAUCUCGCAACGAUUACCGAGGAGGUAAUGUCGCGAAGUUUUAAGUGCAUGGACUACAGCUACCAGCUCUAGAUCAUAUGUGGGAUAAUUUUCCUCAUGUGGGUGUAAUUGCCAUGAAGCGUAGGCAAUUACCUGAGGAUCUUGCAUGAGUAUGCAACCUAGUCCUUGUCGCAGAUGUCAGGCGUCUUUUCAGUUCCUGAAAGCUGAACUCGCACUGUGGAGUCCACUCGAACUUUUUAUCUUUCUUGAGGAGUUCAAUUAGAGGUUUAGCAACCUUGGAGAAACUCUCGCCGAAGCGGCGGCAAUAGCUCGCUAAGCCAAGGAAGCUCCAAACUUGCUUGACCGUCUCAGGUGGAGUCCAAUCAAGGACCGCUUGAACUCGCUCGGGAUUGACGGCAAUACCCUUACCAGAGAUUACAUGGCCUAGAUAGGUUACUUCUGGCAACCAAAAUUCACACUUGGAGAACUUGGCAUAAAGGCGAUGCUCUCGAAGUUUCAUCAAUACCAGCCUUAGAUGUUCGGCAUGUUCCUCUUCAUUCUUGGAGUAGAUGAGUAUGUCAUCGAGGUAUACUACGACGAAUUUAUCCAAGUACUCCAUGAAAACCGAGUUCAUUAACCGGGAGAAGGUAGCCGGGGCAUUGGUUAAACCGAAGGACAUAACGGUGUACUCGUAUUGGCCAUAACGAGUAACAAAGGCCGUUUUGGGAAUGUCCCCGUUUCUGAUUUAGAUUUGAUGGUAGCCCAACCUCAAAUCCAUCUUGGAAAAGACUGAGGAUCCAGCGAGCUGAUCAUACAGAUCGUUGAUCCUGGGAAGUGGGUAUUUGUUCUUGAUGGUGACAAAGUUGACAGGUCGGUAAUCCACAACCAUUCGAUCUGUUCCAUCCUUCUUCUUGACGAAGAGGAUGGGGCAAGCCCAAGGAGAGGAACUAGGACGGAUGAAACCCUUUUUCAAGGACUCAUCGAGUUGGUUCUUAAGCUCGGCUAGUUCUAAGGGUGCCAUCUUGUAGGGUCUUCUAGAAAUUGGAACGGUUCCUGGAACAAGGUCUAUCACAAACUCGACAUCCCUGUCAGGUGGAACACCUGGCAGUUCUUCUGGAAAGACAUCCGGAAAGUCUCGGACUACCGGAACAUCCUCAAGGUCUGGAAGGGGGUUGGCAUUUAGGGAGUAAAGUUGGCGCUUGGCCACUCGAGUUAAGACAUUAACUGUCUUGCCCAAUGGGUGAGUAAGUUGAACGGUUCUAGUGGCACAGUCAAGCUUAGCAUAAUGAGCUGACAUCCACUCCAUACCUAAGAUGAUGUUUAUGUCCGAGGACUUGAGAGCUAUUAAGGAUACAAGGAAGACAAGUCUAUCGACAAGAAUUUCGUUCCCAUGGCUUACUCUAGAAGUUUGCCAUCUAGAGCUAGGGGUUUGAAUUUCCAUGGUAGAGGGCAUGUCACAGAAUGUCGUGUUGUGCAAUCGAGCAUAGUUCUCGGAUAUGAAUGGAUGAGAUGCUCUAGUAUCGAAAAGAACAGAUGUCGGAUGGCAGUUAACAAGGAGCGUACCAAGGACGAGGUUGGGAUCCUCAUGAGCCUCCUCGGCUGAAACAUAGUUGACAUGGCCACGUGCAGUGGUGGCUGGCUUGGCGUAGAAUGUUUUCCCCGCGGGCUUACCACGGCCAACGGACUUUCCAGUUUGAUUGGGGUUGUUGUUCUGGGGACACUCUCGGCUAUAGUGACCCGGCUCUCCACACUUAAAGCAUGUCACCACAUUGGGGCGUGGAGCAGCAUUAGCAGUAGGGCCACCAUAGGGCUUGGGCGGUGCAAAUUGCUGGUUGGGACGUGGUGCCUCAAAGGAUGGCCUCGGGAUGAACCUGGGUGGCAGUGCCGUGCUUGGAAUCCACACCCGGCGCUUCUGAGCUCUAGAGCCGGAUGAAGAGCCAAAAUCACGGGAGUGCUUGCAUGAAGCGUCAUAAUCAGUCUGGCCUUUCUCAGCACUGAUGGCUUUAUUGACCAACUUCUGAAAGGAGGUGCACUCGGGCAGACGAAGAUCGCGGUGAAGCUCAGGGCUAAGUCCCUUGCGGAACCUUGCCUGCUUCUUAGCAUCAAUAGAUACCUCUUUAGGGGCAUAACGUGCCAGAUUCCGAAAUUCACGACCGUAAGCAUCCACAGUCAGUCUUCCUUGGGUGAAGUUGCAGAACUCCUCCCUCUUGCGAUCCAUGAGACCUUCCAGAAUGUGAUGCUCACCGAAAGCCUCACAGAAUUCAGCCCAAGUAGUGAUUUGGCCGACCGGGCGCAUAGCUUCGAAGUUUUCCCACCAAAGGCUAGCAGGGCCUUCGAGGUGAUAGGCAGCAUAAGUAACCUUGUCGGCUGCGGCUGCGUUGGCAGAACGUAGCUUGUGGGUGAUGCUGUGAAGCCAGUCAUCCACAUCGAGGUACUCGACGGAAUGGUUAAACUUUGGUGGGUAUAGCUUGAUAAAGUCAUUGAUUGACACCAAUCAUUUCGUGGGUGGCGUGCAGUGUUCUGCUCAAUCCGCUCCAACAGGCGGUUGGUCUGACGCUUCUUUAUUUCCGCCUCCAGCAUUACUUCGGCCAGAGAAGGCGGGUGAGGCAGAUUUUCACCUCUAGCAGCACUGGCUUCCCCCUGCUCCAGGGCAGCAGGGUUGCUGCGGGUGUUGACCAUCCUAGGAGAAAACAAGACAACGGUUUAGACAAGGAUGUCUCAAAUUAGCAAGGAUGUGCAGAAUGUAAUGGAUAACACGGAAUGCAGAGAUGUUCAUCCGUAUGUCAUGGUAAUAUAAAACUGCCAUAUAUAUACCAACGGUCAUACACAUCAUACAUAGUUUAGUACAAGCCCAGGCUACAAUACAACUAUGAUGAAAGACGUUACAUCUCAUCGGAGGCAUUCCAAGCUCCUAUACAUUAUUGUCUACACCUCCAAAAUUGAUUACACGCAAAGUCAUAUUCCAAAAGUCACGCAGGACAGUGGAGAUACAGCUACUACAAUACUAGUGGUACUACUACUAACUCAGACAGCUCCGUAGUAGUCCUCAUAGAAGUCACCUCCAUAGCCUGGAAGUUCAACGGGACCAUCCGGGAACAGACGGUCCUGAGGAGCCUGUGGACCAUAGGGGCUAGGAUGGUGUCUUGGACCAACAAACGGUGGCCUGCGGGAACCACGGGGUGGGGUGAUGCCUCCCACAUCACGCCAAUCCACCACGUCUGGCAAAGCAGACCUCACAGGAUACAGAUCCCUUGUAUCCAUACAUCUAGCUUGCACCGCAGGUGCAAACCGAGCCAAUGUGGCCCAAUGAUCAGCACGGGUAUUAAAAAGCUCCAGCCUCAAGGCCCGAUUCUCUCGGUCCUUAUCUUCGAGCAUCUCAGCAGUGGUACGAGUUAAUGAAUCCUCCUGAGUGGAGACAGCAUAGAUAGCCUGAAGAUACCCUUGCGCUCCCGGAAGUGAAGCUGGCAUGUAUCGGAAGUCGGUGUUCCGAAGCAGGCCAGUCCGGACUCGCAUGAUGGUCAUCAUGUAAUAGGCAGCAUCCUGCACAGCAAUCUCAACAGUAACCCCGAGUCCAUAGGAAUAGUGAAGGGGCUCGGUAGAUCCAGGAUAAGAAGGAAAUAUCCUGACAGUGCAGAAAUACUGGCUUUGAUUAAAGUCUCGGAAUUGCUCUUCGACGGUGUAUUCGAGAUACCAACGGUAACCCGUCUCGAUCAUGACCCGGACUAACAUAGCAGUAUGACCGGGCACGUCGAGCCACCGGGUUAGGCGAACCACUUGGUUUUGAGCACGGUUGGCCAUCUGAAAGCACAACCACAAUGCAAAGACAUCAGAAUUUCUAGGGAAAAUUGGACAGCAUAACAGCUGUAAAUGCUCAGAAAAAGAUUUGAGACAUCCACAACAGUUCGCAAUACCACUCAAUAACAUCAUAUCAAGGUUCUGAUCCAAAUAGCAACAUACUAAAAAUAGUAGAAACUGAACUGGGGCUUGUAACAACAAUCCUAUAAGCUACUACGGAUUAGUAACACGUGAACCUGAUAGAAGAAGAGAGCCUAGUCCUUAACCCACGUUGAAUGAGAAGGGAAUGACUCAGAUAAGAGGCAUAGGGUAAAGGAGUAAAAGAGACUUACGUUCCCUCCCACAAUCAAUUCCCCUACAUAUAACUAAAGCAUUUCCAGACUCGACAUCGACCAGUUUGGCUCAACGAACCUACAAGCAGUCUGGCUCUGAUGCCAACGCUGUCAGGACCCCGAUUCCAAGCCACAUCGAUCUAGCCGGUAACACCUCAUAUCACUUUGCGGCCUCACGCACGAUAUUCCACGGGUGUCGCCUUACCAUGGCCCGGGACCGUUUGCGCCUUUUGGCUCACGUAUAUGAUAGUGUUGUUAGCAUCCAUAUGACAGAGAACCUGGGCCGACAUGGCUAGUCGUGAACCCAAAGCGGCACAGACCUAUGGAGACAGGCAUACAUGAAUCACAUCGAGCAUGUCGGUCAUCAGCGAGUGAUUCCGGGCUGUAGCACUGGGCUAACAGGACUCCGGGGAACCCGGGCUGUAGCAGGCUAGGCAGGACUCCGGAAGUCACCGCGUGACAUUUCCCCGAAGGGACAGACAUAGGAACGAAGUGAAUCACAUGCCGGCCAUUCAAGUGUCCUAAGUAGUAGUGCUGGGCUAGCAGGACUCCGGUGAACCAGGCUGUAGCGGACUACUAUGGCUCGAGGAACACUAGACUACAUUUCCCCAUAAGGAAGGCUGCCAAGGAUAAACAACUAGAUUGUUGGAUCCCACUCAUACCAAGCAUUUCAAUCAUACACACAAUAUGCCCGAUAUGAGUACAUACAACAUGGCAUCACAACAAAACUCUACAACUCAAGUACUUUAUUUAAAUGCUCCAGAGAGCCAUACAUAACAUGUUCAUACAGAUAGGGGUCACAUGACCCGACACUCAAGUCAUACAAUCAUACAAGCACAUGCGGAAGCAACCGGUCUGAGUACAGACACUAGAAAGAAAGAAGGCUCCUCGAGGCCUGUCUAUCUACAUAGGGCCCUCCAUGGCCAGGAUCACCACCUGGGUGGCUAGUCACUCGUCGAUGUCAAGGUCUACAUAGAACCCAUAGGAGGGGGCGGUGUUGUCGUCUGAAAACGGUAAUUAAGCAAACAUGAGUACAAAGGUACUCAGCAAGUCUUACAACAGAACCUACUAUACAUGCUUAUUCUCAAGAAGGUGGUGGGGAUAUUGCAGCAAGCCAGCUUUGACUCUUGGCUAAACUAUCCUACGGAACAUCUCUAGUAAAAUAGUUUUCGCACACGAGUCCACUACUCACCAACACAAUACUCCACCGGGGAUCCUCCCUCGUCAUCCUAUGAGAGGGUGUCGGGGGUGUCUGAUCCCUCGCACACCUAUGGGGAUCAGCGGACCGAGCCCCUUUUGGUUCGGUAGGGGGCGGUGGAUGCACAAAGAGUAGAUCGAGGCGAAACACAUGAGCGAGACAAUCGAUUUACCCAGGUUCGGGCCACACGGAUGCGUAAAACCCUACUCCUGCUUUGGUGGUUGUAUUGAGUUUUUUCUCGGGAGCAGCUGGCGAGACCGAGCGUGAGAAUGGCUGUCCCCCCCCUGUUGCGCAUGGGCCUCCUUUUAUAUGUCUAAGGGGUCACCGACACGUGGCAACAGAGGUAAGGGUAAAAAUGUAAAAGGGGUGGUAGUUGGCUCCACCGCCUACAUGUCGCAUCCUACCUAACUCUGACGGCAGGGGACAAGGGCAUUAAAUGCCCGUCUGUGUCACCUUGACGGCCCAGAGAGGGACCACUAGGAACGCCACCGUUUGCCACGACGGUUCCUUGUCAGCGUCUGCUUGCCAUUGCAUGCCCCCGGCUGCACAGCCUCCCGCCACGUACGCCAGGAAUGGCCCCAGGGCGACACGUUGGUGGGUGAGCUGGAGCGCGGGCUGCGGGGUAGUGGCUUGCCGCGGCAAGUGCCUUGCCGCGGGUGUUGUCUUGUCACGUCCGGGAGCUUGCCGCUCACCGGGUCUUGUCGGGGCACGCGGUGCGCCGCAGCGAGUCUCUUGAGAUGCUUUGGUUGUCUUCCCGGCAAGCUCCUCUUGCCGGGGUCUCGUCUCCUUCCCGGCAAGCUCCUCUUGCCGGGGCCUUGUUCCCUUCCCGGCAAGCUCCUCUUGCCGGGGCCUUGUUUGGAUCUUGGAUACUUUGUUCUUGAAUGGCUCCAGAGGAACCAUGGAGGGUCUUGGCGGUCGCCCGGCAAGCCUUGCCGCGGGUCGCUGCGACUACCCAUGCACAAGUUCGGGGUACUAAGGUACCCGUACUUUAGCACACCGACAGGAGCCCCCAGGCCUGGGCCAUACACGGUGCCGAGCGCUGUUGGGCCAGGCCCAAAACAGUGCAAGGGCACGCGCGGCCUGGGUCACGCCAUAACUGAUUCCGUAUCCACCGCGCUCUCCCCAAACGGCACGCGUCAAACGCGGCAUCGUGGGAGAGAUCGUGGGCGGUUUUCGAGGUGCCCACUCCCCACGAUCACGGGGUGGGGAGAGACCGCCCCAUCCGUCGCCUCGGUUCUGCACGCCUGCCACGCGGUUCCCGUGCACUUGGGGUCGCGGGCGGCGGAAGCGGGAAACGGGGCCGUCGUGGGUCGAGGGAGUGGGUCGGCCCCGGCUCCCCGCGUCUUGAUUCGCUGAGCGGGGCGGCCGAGCCCCCACCUUGCUCCUUUAUAAAGAGCGGGAGGGGAGGACGGGAGCCUGCAUCCUCCCAUCUUCUCCUUCCUUCAGCUCCUGCUCCCCUCCCCCCAUUCGCCAUGGAGAGAGGGAACCCUGGUCCUUCGUCAGUGGCGGCAAGGGUUGCCGCCAGGCAGCGCAUCCCUCCCUCUCCCGCACCCGUGGCGGCGGAGCCAGCCAUAAGGGGAAGAGGGAGGGGGCGAAGUCGUGGACGAGGCCGUGGCGCUCGGGGAAGAGGUGGGCGAGGCGGCGCGUCGGCUUCGCCUCCGCCGGCGGCUCUUCUUCCCGCGGUGGCCCAUGCCGGGGACGACCCUUGCGAGUUAUUCGUCAGGCUGCGCCGGGCGCCCCGCCGUCGCCUCUGACUCCCGGAUCCGUUUGCGGAAGUGGUGGAGUUGGACCCGCCCGAGACGCUGAGGCUGCAGAUGAGGGCUGUGGGAUCAGCGGCACGCGGGUCCGCGCCGAAUUCCCAGCCCCCGGCGUGAUUUAUCUUGGCCGAGGGUGGAAGACGUUCGCCCGCAUCCACAGCUUGACACCGGGGCUGACCCUCCACUUCAAGUUGGUGGAGGGUGAUCUCCUCUCCGUCAAGGUCUUCGGGUGCUUCAGCGUCCGGGCCCGGUGCUGCGUGGAAAGCUCCUCCGAUAGCGAAGGCUCCUCCUCGAGCAAGAGUGACGAGGAGGGAACGACAGCGGCGACGAGGGGAGCGGGCGGCAGGAUGGCGGGUCCGACUAGGUGUCGGGCGCCGCUCCGCGCGGCACCAGCAACCCCAUCAUCCGGGUCGCCGGCUCCUUGAACUCCCCGGGGGCGUCUCCUUGGGCGGCUGGCGUAGGGAGGCUGCGAAAGAGGAAGAGGGCAGGCGGCAAGGCCGUCAGGUCGGAGUACGAUGGCGUGGUGCCCUCGACAGCGUGCUGACGUCCUGCCGCCUCGUCUUCGAGCCCCCCUUCCGGCGCUGCCAUCACCAUCCAGCCUUGAAGGCCCCCGGGAUGUUCUCUUGGUGUCUUCUGGCACCCGUAGUUCCCCUAGGCACUCCUUUUGCCCUUCUCGCCUCCUUGACCUACCUCCUGAAAAGAGGGGCAGGAAAGAGAUUACGGGCAUCUUAUCUUUUUGAUUUGUAAGCCCUCGGGCCUUAGUUGCAUCUAAAACUUGUAAUCCUCUCUUUCAUGUUUUCCAUUCUCCAUGUACUGUACCUGCGUGGAAUGUUUUAAUGAAAAGGGGAUGCUUGCCAGGUUACUCGUCUCGCGGGUAGAACCCAUGCCAAGGAGCAAAUCCUUGGUAUCUCACAGAUAGACACUCCCUCCCCAGCAACAGGCCCUGCCACAUACCCACGUCGCUCGACCUUUCUCACGCUCUUGACGGAGGCAGAGACGAGGCGGGUGCGGCCCCUCGUUUCAUCCCUUUCCCGCCGCGACUGCGACCAAAGCUUGGCCCUGGGGCCCCAGGGACCAAAGCUAAGGGAGCACGGUGGCUUUCGGGAAGAAGCGAGGUUUUGUAUUCCCAGUCCAAAAGAGAAUGCACGAAGAGGGAUGAAAGACUUAUCUGAGACUGCAGCCCCCGGCAACUCUGGCUUGCCGUGGGGUGAACCUUGGUACUUGCAGCCUCCAGCAACUCUGGCUUGCCGGGGUUCGGAUGCCGGCACGUCCUUCUUCUCCCUUUCGUCCUCACGCGGUCCGACAAGGAUAUGCAAGCCCUGCGAACCAAAGGAAACAAAGGAAGGACAAAGGGACGCACACUAGACCUCUAAGUUAGGGGUUAGCUGCUGUUAGGCACUAUCAACCCUAACCGAGGACUCGACUCGACCUAGCAUGCAUGCUGUAACUCUGGGCGCCAGCGCUUCAUUAUCUUGUGCUCAAGGUCUGUGCCUGGCUUUGUACAAAGGAUUACAUGCAACAGCGUCAAGACUUGUACAAAAGGGUGGUUGCCGGACAGGGUCCGACAACCGCGCCUUACGGGUAAAACUUACAAAGAAGCUUGAUAUUCCAGGAGUUGCUCACUAGUACGCCAUCUUCGGUCUCCAGGCGGACAGUGCCAGGCCUGGUGACUCGUUUCACCCGGUAAGGGCCUUCCCACUUCGGCGUCAACUUGUUGGAAUUCUUGGCGGACUGAACGCGCCGAAGAACAAGGUCGCCUUCCUCGAGGCUCCUAGCAUUAACUUUGCGGCUAUGAUAGCGGCGCAAAGCUUGCUGGUAGCGAGCGGCUCGCACAGCAGCCUGGAGACGAUCUUCCUCAAGGAGCAGCGCGUCAUCUUGCCGCAGCUGCUCUUGCUCAAGCUCAUCAUAGCACUCGAGGUGACCCGUAUACGAGUUCCAUGGGGAUAACUGCCUCCGCUCCAUAGACUAGAGCGAAGGGUGUCUGCCCGGUGGCUCGAUUUGGCGUCGUCCUGAUCGACCAAAGAACCACCGGCAGCUCCUUGAUCCAGUUGCGUCCGCGCUUGUGCAGCCUGUCAAAUGUUCUGGUCUUGAGCCCGUGCAGCACUUCAGCAUUCGCCCUCUUAGCUUGGCCGUUGCUUCUCGGGUGAGCGACAGAAGCAAAGCAGAACUUGGCGCCAAGAUCUUGGACGUACUGCAUGAAGGCGCGGCUUGUAAAUUGUGUACCGUUGUCGGUGAUUAUCCUGUUAGGGAUUCCGAAACGGCAAACAAUCGACCUGAAGAAUUUGAUCGCGGACUGCGCCGUCACCUUCCUCACUGGUUCCACUUCCGGCCACUUUGUGAACUUGUCGAUUGCAACGUACAAGUACUCAAAGCCCCCGACGGAUCGGGGGAAGGGGCCGAGGAUAUCGAGCCCCCAGACCGAAAAUGGCCAGGAUAAAGGGAUCGUCUGGAGAGCUUGAGCUGGCUGGUGUAUCUGCUUGGAAUGGAACUGGCACGCUUCACACUUGGUUACUUGUGCAGUUGCAUCCUGGAGGGCUGUCGGCUAGAAGAAGCCUUGUCGGAAUGCUUUUCCGACAAGAGCUCUUGCGCCAAUGUGGUGACCACAUAUGCCUCCAUGUAUCUCUGCCAACAGCUUCUGUCCAUCUUCCCGAGGAAUACACUUCAAUUUCACACCGUUGAGUCUUCUUCUGCACAGUGUGUUGUCAACAAACUGGUACAUACUGGACUGCCGGGCUACUCUUUCUGCUUCUUCUGGUUCCUCGGGAAGCUCUCCUGUCUGAAGGAAACGGACGGUCUGCUACGCCCAUGUUGGAGCCUGUGGCUCGACAACAAGGACUAAAGGCACAUCUGCUGCUGUGGGAACGCCUACUUCUACGGCAGGAGCCUGCGACUCUGCCGGAGCUUGACAUUCCCCGACAAGCUUGCCGGAGCAGAGCUUGCCGGGAGUGUCUGCUGCAAUGGAACAAACCCUGGGGCUUGCCGGAGUAGACUGCUCCUCAGCACUCUUGGCGUCGAUCUUGGGGACCUUCUUGGCGGCGUCUUCGGGGAGCUUUGCCGGGAGAUAGUCACCAGAGAUCAACUUCCUCUUCUUGCUCUGUCCACUUGAUGGUGCCACGGAUGGCUGAGUUAGCUUGAGCACAAAGGUCCCUGGUUCCACAGGUAACUUAAGUGCUGCGCACUUUGACAGGCGAUCGGCAAUGUCAUUCUCAGCUCUUGGAACAUGUUCCAUUUGCAGGCUGUCAAAGCGCUCUUCCAGCUUCCUCACUUCAUCAACGUAAGCUUCUAUCAAUGGACUUUGGUAAUCUUUGUUCACUUGGCGGACGACAAGCUGCGAGUCACCCCUAACAAUGAGCUUCUUAAUCCCAAGUUCUGCCGCGAUCCUGAGACCGGCAAGCAAGCCUUCUUACUCUGCAGUAUUGUUUGUCGCUUGCUCCUUGGGAAAGUGCAUCUGGACUAUGUACUUGAGGUGCUCCCUGGUGGGUGCGACAAGCAGUACACCAGCACCGGCGCCUUGCAGCGAGAAAGCACCGUGAAAGUACAUGAGCCACUCUUUGCUUGCUUCCUUGGCGGGGAUGCUCGUCUCCGGAAUUUCUUCGUCUGGAGUUGGCGUCCACUCUGCUAUUAACUCUGCCAAUGCUCCGCUCUGGAUUGUUGAUGUACUCUCAAACUUGAGGCCAAAGCUUGACAGUUCCAGUGCCCACUCGACAAUCCUGAAUGUUGCUUCUGGAUUUUGCAAUAUCCUUUUCAGCGGAAAGCGAGUGACAACUGUGAUCUCGUGUGCUUGGAAGUAAUGACGUAGCUUUCUCGAGGCCAUGAGGAGGCCGAAAAGCAGCUUCUGCACACUAGAGUACCUUGACCUAGCCCCCUGUAAAAGGGAGCUGACAAAGUAAACUGGGUGCUGCACCAUUUUCUUCUGUAUCUCCUCUUGUAUCUGCGCAGAUCCUUGGUUGUCGGGACCAGAGCUUGUCGGGGAAGCCCCCUGCUUGUCGCUGGAUGUGCUUGCCGCGGCCGCUGGCUCGUCGUCGGCCUCCCUUUCCGCUACUAACGCAGCACUAACCACUUGAUUGGUUGCCGCUAUGUACAGGAGCAACUUCUCUUGUGGUUUAGGCGCGACAAGUGUUCGGGUGGACGACAGGUAUCUCUUCAAGUCUUGCAGCGCAGCCUCCGCUUCCGGAGUCCAUCUCAUUGGACCUGCCUUUUUCAAAAUUUGAAAAAGGGCAGGGCGCGCUCAGCAGACCAAGGGAUAAACCUGCUAAGAGCAGCUACGCAGCCGGCAAGCUUCCGUACAUCCGUGACGCGCUUUGGUGCUUCGAUCUGCUCAAUGGCCCUGAUCUUGUCGGGGUUGGCUUCGAUUCCCCGCUGAGACACGAAGAACCCGAGAAGCUUGCCGAAAGGGACUCCAAACACACACUUCUCGGGGUUGAGCUUGAGGUUGAUCUUGCGCAGAUAUGCAAAAGUCUCUUCUAAGCCUUGGAUCAGAGUUGCCCUGUCUUUGCUUUUGACCACUAUAUCAUCCAUGUAAGCUUCUACAUUUCUGUGUAUCUAUGGCUUCAAAGCAAUAUGGACUACUCUGGCAAAUGUUGAACCAGCAUUCUUUAAUCCGAAAGGCAUCCGUACGAAACAGUACGUGCCACAUCGAGUAAUGAAUGCGGUUUUCUCCUCAUCCUCUUCCGCCAUGAAGAUCUAAUGGUAUCCUGAGUAUGCAUCAAGAAAUGAAAGCAACUCACAUCCGGCCGUGGAGUCAACAAUCUGGUCAAUGCGCGGCAAGGGAAAUGGAUCUUUUGGACAAGCUUUAUUAACAUCAGUAAAGUCAAUACAAAGCCUCCAUUUCCCAUUCGCCUUGCGCACUACAACCGGAUUGGCCAACCACAUGGGAUGGAGCACCCCUCUAACGAGGCCUGCUGCUUCCAAUUUCUUGAUUUCUUCGGCUAUGAAUUCUUGGCGCUCCACCGCCUGUUUCCUGACCUUCUGCUUGACGGGCCGCGCAUGAGGACAAACUGCAAGGUGGUGCUCAAUUACCUCCCUGGGAACACCGGGGAUGUCAGACGGUUGCCAUGCAAACACGUCGACAUUCGCCCGCGGGAAAGUAACGAGUGCGCUUUCCUAUUUAGGGUCAAGCGUGGCACUGAUGGUGAAGGUACCACCAGUGCCGUCCUCCUUGGCGGGCACCUUCUUGGUAAGUGGUGGAGCGGCCAUCGUCUUCUUACUCUUGCAGCCGGAGCUCGAUGGUGCGUCCUCGACGGCAGCGCAGCACUCCGAAGAGGUGCGCCUGCCGGAGUAGGCAUCAGAGCACUCGCCGGGCUUGGUCUUCUUCUUGCCGGUGGAGCUCGAUGGUGCGUCCUCGACGGUAGCGCAGCACUCCGAAGAGGCGCGCUUGCUGGAGUGGGUACUAGAGCUCUUGCCGGACUUGGUCUUCUUCCCCCUGGGAGCUUCAGCGGCAAGUGUCUCGCGGUCUGUCGCGGCGGCAGCUUCCCGGUAGAUCUUGUCGGCGCAGAUAAGGGCGUCCUUCUUGUCGCCAGGGACAGAGAUGACGCUUAUCGGGCCCGGCAUCUUGAGCAUGUUGUAGGCAUAGUGAUAGGCUGCCAUUAACUUGGCGAGCGCGGGACGGCCAAGUAUCCCAUUGUAGGGCAAUGGGAAAUCGGCAACGUCGAAGGUGACCCUCUCAGUCCUGAAGUUCAUCUCACUGCCGAAUGUCACCGGCAGCGCGACUUUUCCCUUCGGCUUGCUCCUUCCCGGGUUAAUUCCUUGGAAUGUACCGGUUUCUUCGAGCUCACUGUCUGGGAUCUGGAGUUUCUGGAGCACAGCGGAGGAGAUCAGAUUCAGGCCGGCCCCGCCGUCAACUAGCAUCUUGGUGACCUUGAGGUUGCGGAUUGUUGGGGAAACCAACAACGGCAAGCACCCGACCGCAGUCGUGCGAUCAGGGUGGUCCUCAAUGUCAAAGAUGAUCGGCGUGCUGGACCACUUCAGAAGCUUGCGUGAUUCGACAGGUGGCUCUGCCGCAUUAACUUCCCGGAGCCACUGUUUGAGUUGGCGGUGGGAAGUGUGCAGAGAAGCGCCACCGUCAACACACAAGACUUCUGUAGCCUUCUGAAACUCCUGCUCGCUGUUCUCAACAUCAUCCAUGUCUUCGUCGUCGUCUUCGUCUUCGUCCUUAUCGCGGCCGCGAGGAGGUCUGUCUCCUUGCCGCUGCUUGGCCUUGCCACGGCUCCCUCCCGGGCCAGCGCGGUUCUUGCCGGCUUCUCCAUCGCCUCCUUGGGCUCUCUCCUUGUCGCGCCGCUCGUACUCACCUCUUUGUUGCUGGACAAGCUGCUCGACCCUCUUGCAGUUCUGGAGAUCAUGGCCCUUGGUGCGGUGGAUCUUGCAGUACUGCUUGUCGGAGCUGCCCUGCUUGUCGGCGGCCGCCACAGCCUGGCAGUUGGUACACGCGGCAACCUCUUUGCCGGAGCUGACAACUUUGGCUUGCUUGGCGGGGCCGUCAUCGCUGGACUGCUCAACGACCAGUACCUCUUUGCCGCUCUUCUUCUUGUUGGGCCUCCGGUUUUUGCUUGCCGGGGCGGCAUCCUCACUGUCAGAUAUCCCUGCUCUAGCAUCCUCUCCGGGGAGUUUCCUCCCUUCUUCAGCGCGUGCGCACUUGUCGGCCAGGGCGUACAGCUCGCUGACGUCCUUGAUCCUGCUCAUCGCCAUCUCCUCCCGCAUCCUGCAAUUACGCAUGUUCUGAUGGAACGCGCUGAUAACCGCGGUAGGGUGGAUGUCUGGGAUGUUGCGCUGCACGCGGCUGAAUCUCUGGAUAUACUUGCGCAAAGGUUCUCCUUCCUUCUGGGCAAGCAGGUGGAGGUCACUCUCUUGGCCGUGUGGUUUGUGGCCGCCUGUAAAGGCGCCGACAAACUGGUGGCACAAAUCCGCCCAAGAGGAUAUGGAGUUGUCCGGCAAGUGCAUGAGCUAGGAUCUGACUUCGGGCUUGAGCACGAGCGGGAAGUAGUUGGCAAGGACCUUGUCGUCUCGUCCCCGGCAGCUUGCACCGCAAUGGUGUAGAUGCUGAGGAACUCCGACGGGUGUGACUUGCCGUCGUACUUCUCCGGCACGUCUGGCUUGAAAUGCUUCUGGUUGGGCCACUGGACUUGCCGCAGCUCAUGGGUGAACGCGGGACAACCCGCCGCGUACGGCAAGUUACCUGGCUCUCCGGGUGCAUGCAUGUCAACAGAGGGCCCAGCGCACAGGUCAGAUUGACGCCGCGCUUCCCUUCGGCGCUCGAUGCAUGUUCAAGUGUCUUCUUGCUGUCUCUGAUGAAGAACUUGGCGUUGAUCGCGGUGAGCUCGCGGAUCUGACGACGCGGUGGAGUAGCCGUCGAGGUGGAUCCGGUGAGUCGGCGAUCUCGGCCUUCGGGGCGGAGAGUGCACAGUGGUUGCACCCUCACCGGUCUUGUCGCCACCGGCUCGCGCCUGGCUGACUUGCCGCGGCAGCGAUGCGCUCUGCUGCCGUGGGUUGUCACCAUUGGCGCAGCCGAUGAUGCUCUGAAUAGUGGCCCUCCAGUCAUCGAUCUUCUCUAGUGCUGGAGGGUAGUCUAGGAGCAGCUGGGCACGCGCCAACGGUUCCGUCGGAGUGGUGGGCGGCGGCAGCGAACGGUGCGAGGAGCGAGAUAUGCUCGGACUCCUAACCACGUUAGAAGGAGCAACAUCCCGUCCAAGCGACCGCGCCGCGCUCGCGCCAGCACGUUGGCGUGCCUGCUGAUCCUGAGCACUUCGGGAUCCGCCAGCUUGAUCUUGGCCCAGCAGGCGUAUGGUACAGUGGGUACCAUGACGCUACUGGUCCCGCGCCUCCUGGGAUGGGCGCGGUGCGUGUACGGACACCGAGGUCUCGGAGUGCGCGCGGUCGUCGUGGGAGGCGACCGCGCUACCGACGUGCGCCGCAGCCAGGCACUUGGACCUGGCAGUGCCAUGAGUCUCCCCGUCGGCGCCCGCCCUUCCGCCGGCGCCUACUUCACCCGCCGUUCGCUCCGGCGAUGGCGGGCUCGACGCGGACGGAGCGGCUACCUCCGAAGCCUUCUUCUUCGGCGGCAUGUUGAUGAAGACGAUGAAGAUUCGGCUCGCGCGAACGCCGGAUCAGGUUCGCACUACCUCGACGCACCCCCUACCUGGCGCGCCAAAGAUGUCGGGGGUGUCUGAUCCCUCGCACACCUAUGGGGAUCGGCGGACCAAGCCCAUUUUGGUUCGAUAGGGGGCGGUGGAUGCACAAAGAGCAGAUCAAGGCGAAACACACGAGCAAGACGAUUGAUUUACCCAGGUUCGGGCCGCACGGAUGCGUAAAACCCUACUCCUGCUUUGGUGGUUGUAUUGAGUUUUUGCUCGGGAGCGGCGAGUGCUACAGUACACUCAAGCAGCUGGCGAGACCGAGCGUGAGAAUGGCUGUCCCCCUCCCCCUGUUGCGCAUGGGCCUCCUUUUAUAUGUCUAAGGGGUCACCGAUACGUAGCAACAGAGGUAAGGGUAAAAAUGUAAAAGGGGUGGUAGUUGGCUCCACCGCCUACAUGUCGCAUCCUACCUAACUCUGAUGGCAGGGGACAAGGGCAUUAAAUGCCCGUCUGUGUCACCUUGACGGCCCAGAGAGGGACCGCUAGGAACGCCACUGUUUGCCACAACGGUUCCUUGUCAGCGUCUGCUUGCCACCGCAUGCCCCCGGCUGCACAGCCUCCCGCCACGUACGCCAGGAAUGGCCCCAGGGUGACACGUUGGUGCGUGAGCUGGAGCGCGGGCUGCGGGGUAGUGGCUUGCCGCGGUAAGUGCCUUGCCGCGGGUGUUGUCUUGUCGCGUUCGGGAGCUUGCCGCUCACUGGGUCUUGUCGGGGCGUGCGGUGCGCCGCAGCGAGUCUCUUGAGAUGCUUUGGUUGUCUUCCCGGCAAGCUCCUCUUGCCGGGGUCUCGUCUCCUUCCCGACAAGCUCCUCUUACCGGGGCCUUGUUCCCUUCCCGGCAAGCUCCUCUUGCAGGGGCCUUGUUUUUCUCUUGGAUACUUUGUACUUGAAUGGCUCCAGAGGAACCAUGGAGGGUCUUGGCGGUCGCCCGGCAAGCCUUGCCGCGGGUCGCUGCGACUGCCCGUGCACAAGUUCGGGGUACUAAGGUACCCCUACUUUAGUACACCAACAGAGGGCCAUCCUCGGUACUCACACUUAUCUUGAGUAUUUAGUAGUAUCCAUUUACUUGUCUAUGAACUGUAUAGGCAACCAAGUAGUCCUUUACCGCGGACGUGGCUAUUCGAAUAGUUUUAUACCCUGCAGGGGUGUACUUCGUCAUACACGCUUUCACCACUUAUCGCCGUUUACACGACAUGUACUCGGCAACCUUCAAGCGGAAGCCCAGCGAGGGUGUCGGCCACGGCCUACCUAAACACUUAAGUCUCUAGUCCAGGUUUAUCGCCUAUCCAGGUUCCAUCGGCAGGGAGUGCGGCCGAGGUUUCCACAUACGGCCCCGAACGAUGUGAACAGGGUUCCGAGAUGCCAAACGGGCGCCCGGCAUACCCGGCCAGGUGUAUCUACCGCAACAUAGCCCACCCCUAGGGUCAGCGCUACGCACGGCCGCCAACACAUAACCUACAAACCCAGAAACUAUAUGCAACUCCUGGACAGAGUACAAGGGUGAUUAAGAAGCCGAGAGGGUCAAUUAAGGAUCCCAAUGCGUGGUAGUAGCUGAAUCUUAAAUCAACAUACAGAUCUCAGUUCUUAGGGACGGUCUCAAUGAAACAACCCACCAUGUACUCCUACAUGGCCUCUCAUCGAUACCUUUACCAAAACAUGUUCAACACAUUCCUCAUAUUACCGACAUAAUCAUAUCACCCUAGCCCAUCACCCAGAUGAACCAGACCUGACACAACUCUAAGCAUAGCAGGCAUAGCAAGGUAGGAAUCACAUACAUGGCUCAAUCAAAUCAUACACAUGCUAGUGGGUUUCAUCUAGUUAUUGUGGCAAUGACAGGCCAUGUAGAGGAUAAGGGUUCAACUACCGUAGCACACAACAGUUUGAAUCGCGUUGUCUUAAUGAAGUAAACAAGAGCAGAGGCGAGAACAUGGGUUGUAUCGGAAUGAUCAAUGGGUUGCUUGCUUGAUGGAGUGGUAGUGGGAUACUGCCCUUCAGUUGGAUACUCGUGAAUAUCCUCGGAGGUAGAACCUACCACGAAGAACACAUCGGAACACAAUCAACACAUGACGAUAUGCAACAAUAUGAUGCAUGCUAUGACGUGUCUUGGCCUAAUGCAAGCUAAAAUAGAAAGGGAUGAACUCAUUUGAAUCAAAGAUUCAAAUAUUAGCUCACUAAACAUGGCCUUAGUAGUGCAUUUCCUUAUUCUGCUUAAACAGCAAGGUAAACUUGUUUUGUCAUGCAUGAAACCAUUACAGAUGGAUAGAUUGAAUUUUUCUGAUAAUUUUUCAUAUAUAAAUUAUUUCAUUUGGAGUUACGGUUGAAUUUCUAUGAUUUCUAGAAGUUUUAAACAUUUUCUGGAAAUUCCUGAAUAAAAAUAAAUCCAGAAAAUGCAUUACUACGUCAGCAUUGCGUCAUGCUGGCCUCGGCAGGUCAAAGGCGCCAGCCCAGGUCAAACCUGACUGGUGGGCCCCUUCUGUCAGUCUCUCAGUUAAAUAACAGGAUUAGAUUAACACUAAUUAGCUGUCAGUGGGGCCUGGGCCCACAUGUCAGUGACUAAUUAAAAUCAAAUUAGUUAAAACUAAACCUAGAUUAGUUAGCAGACUGGCCCCACCUGUCAUAGACUCAGGGGGGGUCUACCUGGGCCCACCCAGGGUCAAACUCGCCGGCGUUGAGCCGCCGGCGAGACCCGAGACGGUGGCGCAGCUCGAAAAACGCCUACAGGGCACGAGCGAGGCCGUUCAUGGGCUCGUUGGAGAGCUCUUGCAGUCGCGCAUCUAGUGGUGGUGGUGGCCGGGCCUACGGUGGCCGGAGACGACGACGGCGAGCUCCAAGGCGGCGGCCGGAGUUCGGCCAUGUGCGGGGUGUGGGCUGUGGCGUGCAAACGUGGAAACUGAGGCACUAGCGAGGCACUACGCGAUGCGGCAAGCACGUUGCGUAGCACGGGAUGACCAAAUGGUCGCCGGAGCGGCGCCGGCGACAAGCUCGAGCGGAGACGAGCUUCGGCCAUGGUGGCACUAUGGCCUAGAGGGUGCAAACGCGUGGAAAAGAAGAGGGGAAAGGUGGCGGAGCUCACAGGCAGGUCGAUGAGCAGCUCAGUGGGCUCGGGGGCGACCGGAGUGAGGCGAAUCGAUGAGCGGCGUCCGGCGGGUACCGAGGUUGAAGACAAUCCGAUGGCGGCGAUGCAGGGCCUCCGGCGAUGCGUGGCUCGGUGGGGAGGGCGGGGGCGUCACGGCGCAGCUUCUGGACAGGUCAGAGAGGCGAGGGGGUGACGGAGGGCGCGACUACGGCGGUGAGACGGCGAUUAGAAAGAAAGAUUUGGUUCACUCGUACGUGAAAAAAGGAACAAGCGCUUGAUGCCUUCCUUUGCAUCGAUGCCAGACGCGGUGCUGGGAAUCGACAAGAUAACCGCCAAUCUACCAGGAUUAAAUUCCUAGCGCCUCCUUCUAGCGCCUCCCACUGAAAAUGCCCUAACGAUUUUUGAGGGAUUUUUUUACUGUGUCCUACUUCACGAAUCACGAGGCAAAUCAAGUAGGCGGCAUGGCCUGGCCGGUGAGUGCCAUUGCACUUACUUGCCCCAGCAAUUUUCCGCGUGCAUUGUAGAAUUCUUUCUCCGAGUCCUGUGAAUUAAAGAUGGUGCAGACAAAAGUAUAUCCUGUAUGCGUACAUGUGCAUGAUCAGAACAUGUUUUUACGUGCGUCUACUAUAAAUCAUGACCAUUUUUAACACAAAUCAUGACCAUUCAUGAUUAGUGAAUCAUACUGUCUUAACUUAUGUGAAAUCAUGUGGAGUAAUAUAAUAUAAUAUAAUAGAUAGAUAGAUCCAUGUUGUAUUAUUUUUUGUUUACAAAAAAUAUCUGUCAUUACACAUUUUGAUUUAUGCAUUUGUUUACAAAAAAAACAGUAACAUUUCAUGGUGGAAAGUUUGUAUUGUUUCAUACUGAACACCAAUGUUUUCCUGUAAAAGAAAAUAAUGCCUACGCAUAUGCUUUUAUAUUAUUAUUAUUCUUUCAAACUUAUUCAUACAGUAUUUUUGAUUGUGCAACCAUAAUUUUUAUUGUCUCUCUCGUUCCACUACAUGCUCUUACUCAAUGAUUUUUUUUAUAACGGGUGUUUUUAUUAACUCAAAAUAUAGUAUCAAGCGGAUACAAAACAUAAUGAGCCACACCUGGUCUCUGCAUAACUAAGAUGCAUACAGCUAAAAGCAGAUGUCUGACAAAAAUAAGAUAAGAAAAUCGACAUAUCGACAACAGUGAGUCAUAUAGUUCCGACACUAUGCCUCUGUUGAAGGACGGGGUGGAGCGAUCUGAAGAUUAUGCUGCCCUCCAUGUUGAGUAAAUACCUCCCUGGCCACUUGUUCCAACCGCAUAGACGCCGCCACGAAUAAUGGUCGGUACUCUGUUCGGUGUAGCAUACACCAUGUAGGAAGUGAGUGCUCACUUCUAGUUACUAAAUUAUGUACACACUAAUAGAAAAAGGGCCAUUUGUCCCGGUUCGUAAGGCCCAUUUGUCCCAGUUGGGGAACCGGGACUAAAGGGUCGGUACUAAAGCCCUACACAUUUAGUCCCGGUUCUUACACCAUCCGAGACAGAUGGGGCUCCACGUGGCCGCUACAGCUUGCCGUGGCAGGGGGGCCUUUUGUCCCGGUUGGUAGCACCAACCGGGACCAAUAAGCUACCACGCGUCAGCAUUUGAGGGCUAGGUUUUUUGUUUUUUUUCNNNNNNNNNNNNNNNNNNNNNNNNNNNNNNNNNNNNNNNNNNNNNNNNNNNNNNNNNNNNNNNNNNNNNNNNNNNNNNNNNNNNNNNNNNNNNNNNNNNNNNNNNNNNNNNNNNNNNNNNNNNNNNNNNNNNNNNNNNNNNNNNNNNNNNNNNNNNNNNNNNNNNNNNNNNNNNNNNNNNNNNNNNNNNNNNNNNNNNNNNNNNNNNNNNNNNNNNNNNNNNNNNNNNNNNNNNNNNNNNNNNNNNNNNNNNNNNNNNNNNNNNNNNNNNNNNNNNNNNNNNNNNNNNNNNNNNNNNNNNNNNNNNNNNCAAAUGAAGUAAACCAUUAAGUACAGAAGUUCGUCAUGAACAUAUGCAUACAAACAUAAGUGAUAUCGACCUCUCCUUCUCCGACAGAUAGGUCGAACAACAAGUUUCCGUAUAUCUAUCCGGCGCUACUAGCUACAUAUAUACAAUAUUAAGAUCUCUUACAAUAUAAUCCCCUAAUUAUAAAUGAACUCAGCUUCGAGAUGGUAUUCUCCGGCUUUAUUGAUGACGUGGUCAAGAAAGAAUCCCUCCAAUUCCUCUUGAAUUGCUUUGAUGCGAUCUUGUGGUAGGAGUUCAUCCCGCAUCUGCCACAUCUAAUUUGAAGAAGGGGGUCAAUCACCAGUAGAAUAACAGCCAUUUGUCCUGGUUCAUAAGGUUAAUUUGUCCCGGUUGGGGAACCGAGACUAAAGGGUCGUUACUAAAGCCCUACACCUUUAGUCCUGGUUCUUACACCAACUGGGACAGAUGGGCCUCCAUGUGGCUGCUGCGGCGAGCCCAGGCCGGAGGUCCUUUGGUCCCGGUUAGUGGCACUGAUACGUCUCCAACGUAUCUAUAAUUUUUGAUUGCUCCAUGCUAUUAUGUUAUCUAUUUUGGAUGUUAAUGGGCUUUAUUUUACACCUUUAUAUCAUUUUUGGGACUAACCUACUAAUCGGAGGCCCAACCCAAAUUGCUGUUUUCUGCCUAUUUUAGGUUUUCGAAGAAAAGGAAUAUCAAACGGAGUCCAAACGGAAUGAAACCUUCGAGAACGUGAUUUUCUCAACGAACAUGAUUCAGGAGACUUGGAGUGUGCGCCAAGAAACAAGGGAGGAAGGCACGAGGCAGGGGGGGCGCGGCUACCCUCUUGGGCACGCCCUCCACCCUCGUGGGCCCUCCGCUGCUCCACCGACGUACUUCUUCCUCCUAUAUAUAUCCACGUACCCCCAAACAUCCAGGAGCACCACGAAAACCUAAUUCCACCGCUGCAACCUUCUGUACCCAAGAGAACCCAUCUUGGGGCCUUUUCUGGAGGUCCACCGGAGGGGGCAUCGAUCAGGGAGGGCCUCUACAUCAACUCCAUGGCCUCUCCGGUAAUGUGUGAGUAGUUUACUUCAGACCUACGGGUCUAUAGUUAUUAGCUAGAUGGCUUCUUCUUCUCUCUUUGGAUCUCAAUAAAAAGUUCUCCUCGAUUUUCUUGGAGAUCUAUUCGAUGUAACCUUCUUUUGCAGUGUGUUUGUCGAGAUCCGAUGAAUUGUGGGUUUAUGAUCCAGAUUAUCUAUGAACAAUAUUUGAUUCUCCUAUGAAUUCUAUUAUGUAUGACUGGUUUAUCUUUGCAAGUCUCUUCGAAUUAUCAGUUCGGUUUGGCCUACUAGAUUGAUUUCUUGCAAUGGGAGAAGUGCUUAGCUUUGGGUUCAAUCUUGUGGUGUUUGAUCCCAGUGACAGAAAGGGAACCAAUACGUAUUGUAUUGUUGCCAUCGAGGAUAAAAAGAUGGGGUUUAUAUCAUAUCGCAUGAGUUUAUCCCUCUACAUCAUGUCAUCUUCCUUAAAGCAUUACUAUGUUCUCUUGAACUUAAUACUCUAGAUGCAUGCUAGAUAGCGGUCCAUGUGUCGAGUAAUAGUAGUAGAUGCAGAAUCGUUUCGGUCUACUUGUCUAGGACGUGAUGCCUAUAUACAUGAUCAUACCUAGAUAUUCUCAUAACUAUGCUCAAUUCUGUACAAUAUGGUGCACGGGGUUACAUCGGCCUGUAAAGACAUUUAUGCGAUGUGAGACAUCCGAAAAGCAACGAAAACGGGAGAUUAUACAUUUAUUGAAGAGGGCCGGUGUGACAGAUACCGUGAGGGCGUCGAGCUCAGCCAAAGACGACGGACAGCUGAGCACGGCCUGUGUCAGAGCCGGUGCGGGAGCAAGUGCAGGUGCAGGUGCUGGUGCAACGCUAGUCGAGCUGCUCCUGAAGAAGUCAACAAUGGGAAAGUCCGCUGCAUUUUUUCUGCAUUUUGCGUGCUCCAAUUGAAAAUGGCUGGAACCAAGACAGUAGACAUAUCUGCAACCACCUGUUUUCCAGCAGCUACCGCUGUCGCGACUGUCUCAGAUGAUUUCUUCUCAACCGCAAUCUCAACCUUCUUGUCGAUGUUUUAUUCGGUUAACCUCCAUCUUUCCUUUCUCUCCUCUGUGGUCUCACGGUAGUACUUCUUCCACGUGGCCCCGUCUCCGACACCGUGAACGCGUCCAUACGACGACCGAGUCUCCACCGGGAGUCCUUUCAAUAUGUUCAAUGCCCGGUUGAAUGGAGUGUCCCACUUGGGCCUUGCCAAUGCCUCAGACGGCGAGUCGCUUUCGGCCGCAAUCUUGUGCUGCUCUCUUUACAAAAGGAACACGGAUCAUUUACAAAUAUGACUAAACGUGCAGUCAAAUUGAUCAGAAACUAAAAUUACCGGCAGUCUCAUGAACUCCGUCGUGAUCGGGUCCGUCUUGAAAACCUUCUUGACUUAGUCCCAAUGGUGCCGUGCCUUGAGGACGUCAUCCUCCUACGGGAUGGUGAAGUCCGCCAAGGGGUCUGGGAUGCCAGAUUUUCGCAUUCCGUGUCCUCCUUGGCCCAUAUGGACCUCUUCCUGCCGUAACCACUGCUUCCGAGGUGGUGGCGCCCCAUGUUCCUUUGUGGAAGCCCCUUCAUGUACUUCGACUUUGUUUUGGCAGCUUCGGCCUCGCAAGCCGCCUUGAAUAUUUCAAAGUGCUCUCCCAUGAUUGUCAGAUUAUCCUUUACAAUCUCGGAGUAGGGUUGAUACGUCUCCAACGUAUCUAUUAUUUUUGAUUGCUCCAUGCUAUAUUAUCUCCUAUUUUGGACAAUAUUGGGCUUUAUAAUCGACUUUUAUAUUAUUUUUGGGACUAACCUAUUAACCGGAGGCCCAGCCUAGAAUUGUUGUCUUUUGCCUGUUUUAGGGUUUCGAAGAAAAGGAAUAUCAAACGGAGUCCAAACGGAAUGAAACCUUCGGGAACGUGAUUUUCUGAACGAACAAGACCCAGGAGACUUGGACCCUAUGUCAAGACACAAAAGAGGAGGACACGAGGUAGGGGGCGCACCUACCCCCCCCCCCCCCUCGAGGCACGCCCUCCACCCUCGUGGGGCCCCUGUUGCUCCACCGAUGUACUCCUUCCUCCUAUAUAUACCUACGUACCCCCAAACGAUCAGAUACAGAGCCAAAACCCUAAUUCCACUACCGCAACUUUCUGUAUCCACGUGAUCCCAUCUUGGGGCCUGUUCCGGAGCUCCGCCAGAGGGGGCAUCGAUCACGGUGGGCUUCUACAUCAACACCAUAGCCUCUCCGAUGAAGUGUGAGUAGUUCACCUCAGACGUACGGGUCCAUAGUUAUUACCUAGAUGGCUUCUUCUCUCUUUUUGGAUCUCAAUACAAUGUUCUCCCCCUCUCUUGUGGAGAACUAUUCGAUGUAAUCUUCUUUUUGCGGUGUGUUUAUUGAGACCGAUGAAUUGUGGGUUUAUGAUGAAGUCUAUCUAUGAAUAAUAUUUGAAUCUUCUCUGAAUUCUUUUAUGUAUGAUUGUUUAUCUUUGCAAGUCUCUUUGAAUUAUCAGUUUGGUUUGGCCUACUAGAUUGAUCUUUCUUACAAUGGGAGAAGUACUUAGCUUCGGGUUCAAUCUUGCGGUGUCCUUUCCCAAUGACAGUAGGGGCAGCAAGGCAUGUAUUGUAUUGUUGCCAUCGAGGACAACAAGAUGGGGUUUUCAUCAUAUUGCAUGAGUCUAUCCCUCUACAUCAUGUCAUCUUGCUUAAGGCGUUACUCUGUUUUUAACUUAAUACUCUAGAUGCAUGCUGGAUAGCGGUCGAUGAGUGGAGUAAUAGUAGUAGAUGCAGGGAGGAGUCGGUCUACUUGUCUCAAACGUGAUGCCUAUAUACAUGAUCAUACCUAGAUAUUCUCAUAACUAUGCUCAAUUCUGUCAAUUGCUCAACAGUAAUUUGUUCACCCACCAUAGAAUAAUUAUGCUCUUGAGAGAAGCCACUAGUGAAACCUAUGGCCCCUGGGUCUAUCUUUAUCAUAUUAAUCUCCUAUUACUUAGUUAUUUCCUUUGCUUUUUCCUUUGCCUUUAUUUUACUUUUCAUCUUUAUCACAAAAAUACCAAACAUAUUAUCUUUAUCAUACCUAUCAGAUCUCACUCUCGUAAGUGGCUGUGUAGGGAUUGACAACCCCUAUUCGCGUUGGUUGCGAGGAUUUAUUUCUUUUGUGCAAGUACGAGGGACUCGCGCGUAGCCUCCUACUGGAUUGAUACCUUGGUUCUCAAAAACUGAGGGAAAUACUUACGCUACUUUGCUGCAUCAUCCCUUCCUCUUCGGGGAAAACCAACGUAGUUCUCAAGAGCUGGCAAGAUGGAUUUCUGGCGCCGUUGCCGCGGAGGUCUACGCAAAAGUCAACAUACCAAGUACCCAUCACAUACCCUUAUCUCCCUCAUUACAUUAUUUGCCAUUUGCUUCUCGUUUUCCUCUUCCCCACUUCACCCUUGCCUUUUUAUUCGCCCUCUCUCUCUAUCCUCCCUCUCUUUCUCUAUUUGCCUCUUUUUCCCUACUUGCUUUCUGUUUGCUUGUGUGUUAGUUGCUUGCUUGUCACGAUGGCUCAAGAUAAUACUAAAUUACGUGACUUCACCAAUACCAACAACAAUGAUUUUAUUAGCACUCCGAUUUCUCCUCUUACCGAUGCUGAAUCUUGAGAAAUUAAUACUGCUUUGCUGAAUCUUGUCAUGAAAGAUCUGUUUUCCUGCCUUCCUAGUGAAGAUGCCGCUACCCACAUAAAUAGAUUCGUUGAUUUGUGUGACAUGCAAAAGAAGAAAGGUGUGGAUAAUGAUAUUGUUAAAUUGAAGCUAUUUCCUUUUUCGCUUAGAGAUCGUGCUAAAGCUUGGUUUUCGUCUUUGCCUAAAAAUAGUAUUGAUUCAUGGAAUAAGUGCAAAGAUGCUUUUAUCUCUAAGUAUUUUCCUCCUGCUAAGAUCAUCUCUCUUAGAAAUGAUAUUAUGAAUUUUAAGCAACUUGAUCAUGAACAUGUUGCACAAGCUUGGGAGAGAAUGAAACUAAUGAUACGUAAUUGACCUGCCCAUGGUUUAAAUUUGUGGAUGAUUAUACCAAAUUUUUAUGCCGGAUUGAACUUUGCUUCUAGAAAUCUUUUAGAUUAGGCCGCAGGAGGCACUAUUAUGGAAAUCACUUUAGGAGAAGCUACUAAACUCCUAGAUAAUAUUAUGGUUAAUUAUUCUCAACGGCAUACCGAAAGUUCUACUAAUAAAAAGGUGCAUGCGAUAGAAGAAAUUAAUGUUUUGAGUGGAAAGAUGGAUGAACUUCUGAAAUUAUUUGCUAAUAAGAGUAUUUCUUCUGAUCCUAAUGAUAUGCCCUUGUCUACUUUGAUUGAGAAUAAUAAUGAAUCUAUGGAUGUGGAUUUUGUUGGUAGGAACAAUUUUGGUAACAACGCGUAUAGAGGAAAUUUCAACCCUAGGCCUUAUCCUAGUAAUCUCUCUAAUAAUUAUGGUAAUUCCUACAGCAAUUCUUAUGGAAAUUAUAAUAAGAUGCAUACUGAUUUUGAAUCUAAUAUUAGAGAAUUUAUUACUUUGCAAAAGAAUUUCAAUGCUUUGAUUGAAGAAAAAUUGCUUAAGAUUGAUGAUUUGGCUAGGAACAUUGAUAGAAUUACUCUUGAUGUUGAUUCUUUGAAACUUAGAUCUAUUCCACCUAAGCAUGAUGUCAAUGAGUCUCUCAAAGCCAUGAGAAUUUCCAUUGAUGAGUGCAAAGAAAGAACCACUAGGAUGCGUGCUAAGAAAGAUGCCUUUAUAAGAGCGUGUUCUUCUAGUUCCUAUGAAAAUAAUGAUGAAGAUCAAAAAGUUAUUGAUGUGCUCCCUAUUAAAUCUUUGUUUUGCAAUACGAAUCUUGAUAAUCAUGGGACUGAAUAUGAUCCACCUUUACCUAGAAGGCGUUCCAAGAAUUCAGAAUUUGUUGAUCUUGAUGGUAAAACUGAUAAAGGUGGGAUUGAAGAAAUUAAAACCCUAGAUGUUGCUAAACCCACUAUUAUGGAUUUCAAGGAACUUAACUAUCAAAACUGCCCUUUGAUUGAUUGUAUAUCCUUGUUACAAUCCGUGCUAAAUUCUCCUCAUGCUUAUAGUCAAAAUAAAGCAUUUACUAAACAUAUCGUUGAUGCCUUGAUGCAAUCUUAUGAAGAAAAACUUGAAUUGGAAGUUUCUAUCCCUAUAAAGCUUUAUGAUGAGUGGGAACCAACUAUUAAAAUUAAAAUUAAAUAUCAUGAAUGCUAUGCUUUAUGUGAUUUUGUGUGCUAGUGUUUCCACGAUUCCAAAGACUUUGUGUGAUUUGUUAGGUUUCCAUGAUUUUGAUGAUUGCUCUUUAAACUUGCACCUUGCGGAUUCCACUAUUAAGAAACCUAUGGGAAGAAUUAAUGAUGUUCUUAUUGUUGCAAAUAGCAAUUAUGUUCCCGUAGAUUUUAUUGUUCUUGACAUAGAUUGCAAUCUUUCAUGUCCUAUUAUUCUUGGUAGACCUUUCCUUAGAACGACUGGUGCAAUUAUUGAUAUGAAGGAAGGAAAUAUUAGAUUCCAAUUUCCAUUAAGGAAAGGCAUGGAACACUUUCCUAGAAAGUAAAUUAAAUUACCUUAUGAAUCUAUUAUGAUAGCCACUUAUGGAUUGCCUACCAAAGAUGGCAAUACCUAGAUCUAUCCUUGCUUGUUAUGCCUAGCUAGGGGCGUUAAACGAUAGCGCUUGUAGGGAGGCAACCCAAUUUUAUUUUUACUCCUUGAUUUUUGCUCCUGUUUAGUAAUAAAUAAUUUAUAUAGCCUCUGUUUUGCUUGUGUUCUUUGUGUUUAAUUAGUGUUUGUGCCAAGUAGAACCGUUAGGAAGACUUGGGGAAAGUCAUGUUACACUUGCUGUAAAAAACUGAAACUUCAGCGCUCACGAGAACUGCUGCCGUUUUUAUUUGGAAAGUGCUAUUUAGUUAAUUAUUUUUUCAGAUAAAUUCCUCACAUCCAGAAAUUUAUUUUAGAAUUUUUGGGGUUCCAGCUCUUGAGCUAGCUACAGAGUACUACCGACUGUUCUGUUUUUGAAAGAUUCUGUUUUUCGUGUGUUGUUUGCUUAUUUUGAUGAAGCUAUGGCUAGUAAAAUAUUUUAUAAACCAUAGAGAAGUUGGAAUACAGUAGGUAUAACACCAAUAUAAAUAAAUAAUGAGUUCAUUACAGUACCUUGAAGUGGUCUUUUAUUUUCUUUCGCUAACGGAGCUCAUGAGAUAUUCUACUUUAAGUUUUGUGUUGUGAAGUUUUCAAGUUUUGGGUAAAGAUUUGAUGCAUUAUGGAACAAGGAGUGACAAGAGCCUAAGCUUGGGGAUGCCCAUGGCACCCCCAAGAUAAUCUAAGUACACCUAAAAGCCAAAGCUUGGGGAUGCGCCGGAAGUCAUCCCCUCUUUCAUCUACUUCUAUCGGUAACUUUACUUGGAGCUAUAUUUUUAUUCGCCACAUGAUAUGUGUUUUGCUUGGAGCGUCUUGUAUUAUUUGAGUCUUUAUUUGUUAGUUUACCACAAUCAUCCUUGCUGUACACACCUUUUGAGAGAGUCAUACAUGACUUGGAAUUUGUUAGAAUACACUAUGUGUUUCGCUUAUAUCUUUUGAGUUAUAUAGUUUUGCUCUAGUACUUCACUUCUAUCGUUUAGAGCACGGUGGUGGAUUUGUUUUAUAGAAACUAUUGAUCUCUCAUGCUUCACUUAGAUUAUUUUGAGAUUCUUAAUAGCAUGUUAAUUUGCUUAAAAUCCUAAUAUGCUAGGUAUUCAAAGUUAGUAAAAUUUUCUUAAGAGUGUUUUGAAUACUAAGAGAAGUUUGAUGCUUGAUGAUUGUUUUGAGAUAUGGAGGUAAUAAUAUCAAAGUCAUUCUACUUGAGUAGUUGUGAAAUUGAGAAAUACUAGUGUUGAAGUUUGCAUGUCCCGUAGCACGCACGUAUGGUAAACGUUGUGUAACAAAUUUGAAACAUGAGGUGUUAUUUGAUUGUCUUCCUUGUGAGUGGCGGUCGGGGACAAGCUAUGGUCUUUUCCUACCAAUCUAUCCCCCUAGGAGCAUGCGCGUAGUACCAAGGUUUUUGAUGACUUGUAGAUUUUUGCAGUAAGUAUGUGAGUUCUUUAUGACCAAUGUUGAGUCCUUGAAUUAUACGCACUCUCACCCUUCCAUCCUUGCUAGCCUCUUCGGUACCGUGCAUUGCCCUUUCCCACAUUGAGAGUUGGAGCAAACUUCGCCAGUGCAUCCAAACCCCGUGAUAUGAUACGCUCUUUAACACAUAAACCUCCUUAUAUCUUCCUCAAAAUAGCCACCAUACCUACCUAGUAUGGCAUUUCCAUAGCCAUUCCGACAUAUAUUGCCAUGCAACUUUCCACCAUUCCGUUCAUCAUGACACAUUCAUCAUUGUCAUAUUGCUUAGCAUAAUCAUGUUGUUGACAUAGUAUUUGUGGCAAGGCCACCGUUCAUAAUUCUUUCAUACAUGUCACUCUUGGUCCAUUGCAUGUCCCGGUACACCGCCGGAGGCAUUCAUAUAGAGUCCUACUUUGUUCUAGUAUCGAGUAGUAAUUAUUGAUUCGUAAAUAAAUAGAAGUGUGAUGAUCAUCAUUAAUAGAGCAUGGUCCCAAAAAGAAAAAAAGGAAGUGCCAAAAAAGGCCAAAUAAAAAAAUAUAAAAAAGGGGGGCAAUGCUACUAUCCUUUUUUUCCACACUUGUGCUUCAAAGUAGCACCGUAAUCUUCAAGAUAGAGAGUCUCUUGAUUUGUCACUUUCAUAUACUAGUGGGAAUUUUUCAUUAUAGAACUUGGCUUGUAUAUUCCAAUAAUGGGCCUCCUCAAGUGCCCUAGGUCUUCGUGAGCAAGCAAGUUGGAUGCACACCCACUUAGUUUCUUUUGUUGAGCUCUCAUACAUUUAUAGCUCUAGUGCAUCCGUUGCAUGGCAAUCCCUACUCAUUGCAUUAACAUCAAUUAAUGGGCAUCUCCAUAGCCCAUUGAUUAGCCUCGUUGAUGUGAGACUUUCUCCUUUUUGUCUUCUCCACAUAACCCCACUCAUUAUAUUCUAUUCCACCCAUAGUGUUAUGUCCAUGGCUUGCAAUCAUAUAUUGCAUGAAAGUUUAUAGGUUUGAGAUCACUAAAGUAUGAAACAAUUGCUUGGCUUGUCAUCGGGGUUGUGCAUGAUGAGAGCAUUCUUGUGUGACGAAAAUGAAGCAUGACUAAACUAUAUGAUUUUGUAGGGCUGAACUUUCUUUGGCCGUGUUAUUUUGAGAAGACAUAAUUGCUCAGUUAGUAUGCUUGAAGUAUUAUAAUUUUAUGUCAAUAUGAACUUUUGUCUUGAAUGUUUCAGAUCUGAAUAUUCAUACCACAAUUAAAAAGAAUUACAUUAAAAUCAUGCCAUGUAGCACUCCGCAUCAAAAAUUCUGUUUUUAUCAUUUACCUACUCGAGGACGAGCAGGAAUUAAGCUUGGUGAUGCUUGAUACGUCUCCAACGUAUCUAUAAUUUUUGAUUGCUCCAUGUAUAUUAUCUAUUGUUUUGGACAAUAUUGGGCUUUAUUAUCCACUUUUAUAUUAUUUUUGGGACUAACCUAUUAACCGGAGGCCCAGCCCAGAAUUGUUGUUUUUUGCCUGUUUUAGGGUUUCGAAGAAAAGGAAUAUCAAACGGAGUCCAAACGGAAUGAAACCUUCGGGAACGUGAUUUUCUCAACGAACAAGACCUAGGAGACUUGGACCCUCCAUCAAGACAUAAAAGAGGAGGCCACGAGGUAGGGGGCGUGCCUACCCCCCCCCCCCCCGGCGCGCCCUCCACCCUCGUGGGCCCCCCUGUUGCUCCACCGACGUACUCCUUCCUCCUAUAUAUACCUACUAUUGGGGAACGUAGCAGAAUUUUAAAAUUUUCUAUGCAAGAUCAAUCUAUGGAGUCAUCUAGCAACGAGGGAGAGAGGAGUGCAUCUACAUACCCUUGUAGAUCGCGCGCGGAAGCGUUCAAGAGAACGGGGUUGAUGGAGUCGUACUCGUCGUGAUCCAAAUCACCGAUGACCAAGUGCCGAACGGAUAGCACCUCCGCGUUCAACACACGUACGGUUGGGAAGACGUCUCCUCCUUCUUGAUCCAGCAAGGGGGAAGGAGAGGUUGAUGAAGAUCCAGCAGCACGAUGGCAUGGUGGUGGAUGCAGCAGGAUCCCGGCAGGGCUUCGCCAAGUGCAAGCGGGGAGGAGAGGUGUUACGGAAGGAGAGGGAGGCGCCAAGAGAAAGGGUGCGGCUACCCUCCCUCCCCCCCUCUUUAUAUAGGGGCCUUGGGGGGCGCCGGCCCUAGGAGAUGGAUCUCCAAGGGGGGCGAAGGCCAAGGGGUGGCUUCCCCCCCAAGCCAAGUGGGGGGCGCCCCCACCCCUAGGGUUUCCCAACCCUAGGUGCAGGGGAGGCCCAAGGGGGGCGCACCAGCCCACUAGGGGCUGGUUCUGCUCCCAAUUCAGCCCAUGGGGCCCUCCGGGAUGGGUGGCCCCACCCGGUGGACCCCCGGGACCCUUCCGGUGGUCCUGGUACUAUACCGGUGACCCCCGAAACCUUUCCGAUGGCCGAAACUGUACUUCCUAUAUAUAAAUCUUUACCUCCGGACCAUUCCGGAACUCCUCGUGAUGUCCGGGAUCUCCUCCGGGACUCCGAACAUAUCCUGGGUUACUACAUACUAAUAUCUCUACAACCCUAGCGUCACCGAACCUUAAGUGUGUAGACCCUACGGGUUCGGGAGACAUGCAGACAUGACCGAGACGCCUCUCCGGUCAAUAACCAACAGCGGGAUCUGGAUACCCAUGUUGGCUUCCACAUGCUCCAUGAUGAUCUCAUCGGAUGAACCACGAUGUCGAGGAUUCAAUCAAUCUGUAUACAAUUCCCUCUGUCAAUCGGUAGGUUACUUGCCCGAGACUCGAUCGUCGGUAUCCCAAUACCUCGUUCAAUCUCGUUACCAGCAAGUCACUUUACUCGUGCCGUAAUGCAUGAUCCCAUGAUCAACCACUUGGUCACAAUGAGCUCAUUAUGAUGAUGCAUUACCGAGUGGGCCCAGAGAUACCUCUCCGUCAUACGGAGUGACAAAUCCCAGUCUCGAUUCGUGCCAACCCAACAGACACUUUCAGAGAUACCUGUAAUGUUCCUUUAUAGUCACCCAGUUACGUUGUGACAUUUGGCACACCCAAGGCACUCCUACGGUAUCCGGGAGUUGCCCAAUCUCAUGGUCUAAGGAAAUGAUACUUGACAUUCGGAAAAGCUACAGCAAACGAACUACACGAUCUUUGAGCUAUGCUUAGGAUUGGGUCUUGUCCAUCACAUCAUUCUCCUAAUGAUGUGAACCCGUUAUCAAUAACAUCCAAUGUCCAUAGUCAGGAAACCAUGACUAUCUUUUGAUCAACGAGCUAGUCAACUAGAGGCUCACUAGGGACGUGUUGUCUUCUAUGUAUUCACACAUGUAUUACGAUUUCCGGAUAACACAAUUAUAGCAUGAACAAUAGACAAUUAUCAUGAACAAAGAAAUAUAAUAAUAACCAUUUUAUUAUUGCCUCUAGGGCAUAUUUCCAACAGUCUCCCACUUGCACUAGAGUCAAUGUCUAGUUACAUUGUGAUGAAUCGAACACCCUUGAAGUUCUGGAGUUGAUCAUAUUUUUCUCUAGGGAGAGGUUUAGUCAAUGGAUCUGCCACAUUCAGGUCCGUAUGUACUUUACAAAUCUCUAUGUCUCCAUUUUGAACAACUUCACGAAUGGAGUUGAAGUGACGCUUGAUAUGCCUGGUCUUCCUGUGAAACCUGGGCUCCUUGGCAAGUGCAAUAGCUCCAGUGUUGUCACAGAAUAGAGUCAUCGGGCACGGUGCAUUGGGUAUGACUCCUAGGUCGGUAAUGAACUCCUUCACCCAGACUGCUUCUUGUCCUGCCUCCGAGGCUACCAUGUACUCCGCUUCACAUGUAGAUCCCGCCACAACGCUUUGCUUGCAACUCCACCAGCUUAUUGCCCCACCAUUCAAAAUAUACACGUAUCCGGUUUCCGACUUAGAGUCAUCCAGAUCUGUGUCGAAGCUAGCAUCGACGUAACCCUUUACGACGAGCUCUUCGUCACCUACAUAAACGAGAAACAUAUCCUUACUCCUUUUUAGGUACUUGAGGAUAUUCUUGACCGCUGUCCAUGUUAGGGAACGUUGUAAUUUCAAAAAAAUUCCUACGCACACGCAAGAUCAUGGUGAUGCAUAGCAACGAGGGGAGAGUCUGAUCUACGUACCCUUGUAGAUCGCAACGGAAGCGUUGACACAACGUAGGGGAAGUAGUCGUACGUCUUCUUCCCGAUCCGACCGAUCCAAGCACCAUUACUCCGGCACCUCCGAGUUCUUAGCACACGUUCAGCUCGAUGACGAUCCUCGGGCUCCGAUCCAGCAAAGUGUCGAGGAAGAGUUCCGUCAGCACGACGGCGUGGCGACAAUCUUAAUGUACUACCGACGCAGGGCUUCGCCUAAGCACUACAACAGUAUGAUCGAGGUGGAAUUUGGUGGCAGGGGGCACCGAACACGGCUAAGGAACGAUCUCAAUGAUCAACUUGUGUGUCUAGAGGUGCCCCCUGCCCCCGUAUAUAAAGGUUGCCAGGGGGUGGGCUGGCCGGCCAAAGGAGGAGGGCGCAGGAGGAGUCCUACUCCUACCGGGAGUAGGACUCCCCCCCCCAAUCCUAUUCCUAAUAGGACUCCUCGAGAGAGAGAGAGGGAGAAGGGGGCCGGCCACCUCUCCUAGUCCUAAUAGGACUAGGGGAGGGGGGAGGCGCGCAGCCCACCUUGGGCUGCCCCUUUCGCCUUUCCACUAAGGCCCAAUAAGGCCCAUUUGGUUCCCGGGGGGUUCCGGUAACCUCCCUAUACUCCGGUAAAAUUCCCGAUUUCACCCGGAACACUUCCGAUGUCCAAACAUAGGCUUCCAAUAUAUCAAUCUUUAUGUCUCGACCAUUUCGAGACUCCUCGUCAUGUCCGUGAUCACAUCCGGGACUCCGAACAACCUUCGGUACAUCAAAAUGCAUAAACUCAUAAUAACUGUCAUCGUAACGUUAAGCGUGCGGACCCUACGGUUCGAGAACAAUGUAGACAUGACCGAGACACGUCUCCGGUCAAUAACCAAUAGCGGGACCUGGAUGCCCAUAUUUGCUCCUACAUAUUCUACAAAGAUCUUUAUCGGUCAGACCGCAUAACAACAUACGUUGUUCCCUUUGUCAUCGGUAUGUUACUUGCCCGAGAUUCGAUCGUCGGUAUCCAAUACCUAGUUCAAUCUCGUUACUGGCAAGUCUAUUUACUCGUUCCGUAAUACAUCAUCUCACAACUAACAUCUUAGUUAUAAUGCUUGCAAGGCUUCUGUGAUGUGUCUUACCGAGAGGGCCCAGAGAUACCUCUCCGACAAUCGGAGUGACAAACCCUAAUCUCGAAAUACGCCAACCCAACAUCUACCAUUGGAGACACCUGUAGUACUCCUCUAUAAUCACCCAGUUAUGUUGUGACGUUUGGUAGUACCCUAAGUGUUCCUCCGGCAAACGGGAGUUGCAUAAUCUCAUAGUCAUAGGAACAUGUAUAAGUCAUGAAGAAAGCAAUAGCAACAUACUAAACGAUUGGGUGCUAAGCUAAUGAAAUGGGUCAUGUCAAUCAGAUCAUUCAACUAAUGAUGUGACCUCGUUAAUCAAAUAACAACUCUUUGUUCAUGGUUAGGAAACGUAACCAUCUUUGAUUAACGAGCUAGUCAAGUAAAGGCAUACUAGUGACACUCUGUUUGUCUAUGUAUUCACACAUGUAUUAUGUUUCCGGUUAAUACAAUUCUAGCAUGAAUAAUAAACAUUUAUCAUGAUAUAAGGAAAUAAAUAAUAACUUUAUUAUUGCCUCUAGGGCAUAUUUCCUUCAGUCUCCCACUUGCACUAGAGUCAAUUAUCUAGAUUACACAGUAAUGAUUCUAACACCCAUGGAGCCUUGGUGCUGAUCAUGUUUUGCUCAUGGAAGAUGCUUAGUCAACGGGUCUGCAACAUACAGAUCCGUAUGUAUCUUGCAAAUCUCUAUGUCUCCCACCUGGACUAGAUCCCGGAUGGAGUUGAAGCGUCUCUUGAUGUGUUUGGUCCUUUUGUGUAAUCUGGAUUCCUUUGCUAAAGCAAUUGCACCAGUAUUGUCACAAAAGAUUUUCAUUGGACCCGAUGCACUAGGUAUGACACCUAGAUCGGAUAUGAACUCCUUCAUCCAGACUCCUUCGUUCGCUGCUUCCGAAGCAGCUAUGUACUCCGCUUCACAUGUAGAUCCCGCUACGACGCUUGUUUAGAACUGCACCAAUUGACAGCUCCACCGUUUAAAGUAAACACCUAUCCGAUUUGCAAUUUAGAAUCGUCCGGAUCAGUGUCAAAGCUUGCAUCAACGUAACCUCUUACGGUGAGCUCUUUGUCACCUCCAUAUACGAGAAACAUAUCCUUAGUCCUUUUCAGGUACUUCAGGAUGUUCUUGACCGUUGUCCAGUGAUCCACUCCUGGAUUACUUUGGUACCUCCCUGCUAAACUUAUAGCAAGGCACACAUCAGGUCUGGUACACAGCAUUGCAUACAUGAUAGAGCCUAUGGCUGAAGCAUAGGGAACAUCUUUCAUUUUCUCUCUAUCUUCUGCAGUGGUCGGGCAUUGAGUCUGACUCAACUUCACACCUUGUAACACAGGCAAGAACCCUUUCUUUGCUUGAUCCAUUUUGAACUAAUUCAAAAUCUUGUCAAGGUAUGUGCUUUGUGAAAGUCCAAUUAAGCGUCUUGAUCUAUCUCUAUAGAUCUUUAUGCCUAAUAUGUAAGCGGCUUCCCCGAGGUCUUUCAUCGAAAAACUUUUAUUCAAGUAUCCCUUUAUGCUAUCCAGAAAUUCUAUAUCAUUUCCAAUCAGCAAUAUGUCAUCCACAUAUAAUAUCAGAAAUGCUACAGAGCUCCCACUCACUUUCUUGUAAAUACAGGCUUCUCCAAAAGUCUGUAUAAAGCCAAAUGCUUUGAUCACACUAUCAAAGCGUUUAUUCAAACUCCGAGAGGCUUGCACCAGUCCAUAAAUGGAUCGCUGGAGCUUGCACACUUUGUUAGCUCCCUUUGGAUCGAUAAAACCUUCUGGUUGCAUCAUAUACAACUCUUCUUCCAGAAAUCCAUUCAGGAAUGCAGUUUUGACAUCCAUCUGCCAAAUUUCAUAAUCAUAAAAUGCGGCAAUUGCUAACAUGAUUCUGACAGACUUAAGCAUCGCUACGGGUGAGAAGGUCUCAUCGUAGUCAACCCCUUGAACUUGUCGAAAAACUUUUGCGACAAGUCGAGCUUUAUAGACAGUAAUAUUACCGUCAGCGUCAGUCUUUUUCUUGAAGAUCCAUUUAUUCUCAUUUGCUUGCCGAUCAUCAGGCAAGUCAACCAAAGUCCAUACUUUGUUCUCAUAUAUGGAUCCCAUCUCAGAUUUCAUGGCUUCAAGCCACUUUGCGGAAUCUGGGCUCACCAUCGCUUCUUCAUAGUUCGUAGGUUCAUCAUGAUCUAGUAGCAUGACUUCCAGAAUUGGAUUACCGUACCACUCUAGUGCGGAUCUCACUCUGGUUGAUCUAUGUGGUUCAGUAGUAUCUUGUCCUAAAGUUUCAUGAUCAUCAUCAUUAGCUUCCUCACUAAUUGGUAUAGGUGUCGCAGAAACAGUUUUCUGUGAUGUACUAUUUUCCAAUAAGGGAGCAGGUACAGUUACCUCGUCAAGUUCUACUUUCCUCCCACUCACUUCUUUCGAGAGAAACUCCUUCUCUAGAAAUGAUCCAUUCUUAGCAACGAAUGUCUUGCCUUCGGAUCUGUGAUAGAAGGUGUACCCAACAGUCUCCUUUGGGUAUCCUAUGAAGACACAUUUCUCCGCUUUGGGUUCGAGCUUAUCAGGUUGAAGCUUUUUCACAUAAGCAUCGCAGCCCCAAACUUUAAGAAACGACAACUUUGGUUUCUUGCCAACACUACAGGAAUCGGCUACUUUGCCAUGUGCCACGGCGGACGGCAAAGGCCCGAACGGCGGACGGCAAAGGCCUUUGCCGUCAGCGGCGGACGGCAAAAGGCUCCGGCAAAGUAGGCUUCGGUAAACAGGUUCUUUGCCGUCUACUAUUGACGGCAAAGUCUUUGCCGUCUGCGGCGGACGGCAAAGAGAGAGCAGCAGACGGCAAAGACGGCGGACGGCAAUAAUUGCGCUGUCAGUCCGUUAAGUGGCUAACGGAAGGCCUUUGCCGUCCGCCGCUGACGGCAAAAUUUCUAGGGUCUUUGCCGUCCGCCGUAUGAUGUCAUCUACACGUCACUACGUGGCAGGUUCUUUGCCGUCUGCCACUGACGGCAAAGUCUUUGCUGUCUGCCACUGUAGGCAAACUGACCAAAUGGGUCAGCUCCCAGGAAGCACAGGUGGACGCCACGUGGCUUCUUUGCCAUCCGCGGCAGACGGCAAAGAGCCCGUUGCCGUCGGUGGUAGACGGCAAAGAGCCUGCAUAUUGGCUCUUUUUUCUGUUUUUUCAUAUACCCAACCAUUUUCACAGCAAAUAGAUGAUACAUAUAUAUUUUUCACAUGGCAAGUUCACAGCAAACAUAUGAGAUAUCCAACACAUAUAAUUGCAUCAUACAUGCAUAGUUCCAUCAACCAUACAUAGCAAGUUCGACAUACAUGCAUCCAACCAUACAUAUUACAAUAGUGUCAUCCUACCAUACAUGCAUAGUUCAUAGAUACAAAGGAAACAUAGUUCAUCCAAACAAGCACUCCAUCUAUGCAAGCUUCCGUGAAGUGAAUGAAUUCUGCAAAAUGGGAAAUAAGAAAGUUAGAAGAAGAAGAUUGGAAGAAGAAGAAGUAGAAGAAGAAUAUAUAUAUAUAUAUGACAUUUAUGCGCUAAUUUAGGUGAAAUUGAUCAUUUGUGAGCUAACUUAGGUGAAAUGGAUCGUUUAUGAGCUAACCUAGGUGCAAUGGAUCGCUUAUGAGCAAACUUAAGUAAAAUGCAUCAUUUUAGAGGUAACCUAGGUAAGAUGGAUCAUUUUGGAGCUAACCUAGGUAAAAUGGGUCAUUUUAGAGCUAACUUCGGUAGAAUGGAUCAUUUAUGAGCUAGGUAAGGUUAAAUGGAUCAUUUUAGAACUAACUUAGGUAAAAUGGAUCGUUUAUGAGCUAACUUAGGUAAAAUGGAUCGUUUUUGAGCUAACUAAGGUGAAAUGAAUCGUUUUUGAGCUAACUAAGGUGAAGGGCAUCAUUUUUGAGCUAACUAAGGUGAAAUGGAUCGUUUUUGAGCUAACUAAGGUGAAAUGAAUCGUUUUUGAGCUAACUAAGGUAAAAUGGAUCGUUUUUGAGCUAACUUAGGUGAAAUGGAUCGUUUUUGAGCAAACUUAGGUGAAAUGGNNNNNNNNNNNNNNNNNNNNNNNNNNNNNNNNNNNNNNNNNNNNNNNNNNNNNNNNNNNNNNNNNNNNNNNNNNNNNNNNNNNNNNNNNNNNNNNNNNNNNNNNNNNNNNNNNNNNNNNNNNNNNNNNNNNNNNNNNNNNNNNNNNNNNNNNNNNNNNNNNNNNNNNNNNNNNNNNNNNNNNNNNNNNNNNNNNNNNNNNNNNNNNNNNNNNNNGGAUCGUUUUUGAGCUAACUAAGGUGAAAUGGAUCAUUUUUUAGCUAACUAAGGUGAAAUGGAUCGUUUUUGAGCAAACUUAGGUGAAAUGGAUCAUUUAAGAGCUAAUUUAGGUGAAAUGGAUUGUUUUUGAGCUAACUAAGGUGAAAUGGAUCGUUUUUGAGCAAACUUAGGUGAAAUGGAUCAUUUAAGAGCUAAUUUAGGUGAAAUGGAUCGUUUUUGAGCAAACUUAGGUGAAAUGGAUCAUUUAAGAGCUAAUUUAGGUGAAAUGGAUCGUUUUUAGCUAACUUAGGUGAAAUGGAUCGUUUAGGAGCUACUCUAGGUAAAUUGGGUCAUUUUAGAGCUAACUUGGAUAAACUAGAUCACUUAUAAGCUAACCUAGGUAAGAUGGGUCAUUUUGGAGCUAACUUAGGUAAAAUGGAUCGUCUAUGAGCUAACUAAGCUAAUUAUGCAAUUUUUGACAUAAGUAAGCUAAGUAUAGAUUGUUUUAGAGCUAACUUAGGUAAAAUGGAUGGUUUUGGAGGUCAGUAAGCUUAUUUAGUCAUUUUGGAGGAGAAGAAGCUAAGUCUACGUCAUUAUGGUAAGCAUUGGAGGAAAUAAAGCUAAGUCUAGGUCUUUAUGCAUGUGUUAAGCAAAACACUAGAUAAACUUACCAAGAUCCAGGAGGUGUAGGAGUGGGGUGGCUCGUGUCGGUAGCUGGAGAAGGAUCGUGCGAUGCUUGUCUGGAGUUACGCUGCACCAAAGAUCAUUUCCAAUGUCUUGUUAGCAUGAUGACACUCAAAUGUUAAGACUAGUAAGUAAUGUCCAUUCAAAUAAAACUCACCGUGGUCCCAGGAGCAAUCACUGGCAUCGGCGGAGCGGUCUGACCUGUCUUCUCGCACACAGACUGCACAUUUGGUUUUGACGACUCAGUCAUACUAGUUAGUAAUGAGACAAACACUACAUGAAUGUUUUGGCUAAUCUGCAGAUGAAACUUACCACAAGGAGCUCGUACAUGGCCCUUGCCUGCAUGUCAUUCCGUGCCCUCUCCUCCUCCACCAUCUUUGUCGUCCUCUCCUCCAACUCCCGCUGCCUCUCCGCCGCCUCCGCCAGAAGUUUCUCCGUUCUAUCUCUCUCACUCUGUAUGGCAGCCUGCAACACCACUCACAUGACAAUUUGUAAUCAUUGAUGGAAGCGCACACAAUGUAAUGGAGAAAGAUAACUGAGUAUGUAUCACUAACCUUGAUGGCGACUUGCACUGGCCGUUCACGAGGCCUUAUCUUAGGAGCGGAGCUCGACUGGCGCGCCUUGAUCUCCGAGAGAGUGCUAGGACAACGGAUAAGUCCAUCUCCAAUGGCUAUGGAGCCAUGGGACCUCCCGUCACCAGAUAUCAUCAACAGCUCUGGAUCAAUGGGACCCUGGCUCGGGUUAAAGUCCUCCCCUUUCCUCGCCUUCCCCUCAUCUCUAUAUCUCACGAGCUUGUUGUGGGAGGAGAUGUUGGUGAAGUUGUUUGCAUCAUCGAGGUCAGACUGAGAGAAAGCCUUGACUUUCUUGAAAGAGGCAGUGUGGGCCAUGGCAUACAGGUCGUACACCUCUGGCACCUUAUCCGCCUUAUUAUAGCAUGCCUGAAAGAGAGAAACAAUGAAAAUUAGUAAUUAAAGGGCUCAAGCUAGCAUGAUGAAUGAAUUGCAUGAAUCAUGAAGCAAACCACAUACCCAGUUGCGCCCGAACUGAUAUAAGUUGGAGCUGCCUUGAUGGUGUGGCACACCUUCCAUUUUUGCACGUUUGUCCUUGGCCUCCUUGUGGGGGGCUAGCCAUCGUUGUGAGCACCACUCAUCGACCAACACCUCCCAACAAUCCAUCCGAUCCGCACACCAUCUCGGAGGCGCCUAAGUUAGCAAAUAGAAACUUGAGCGCUACGGCUAAGAAUUACUAAAUGAAGGAACUUAAGUAGAGAAGGCCUUGAGAAUUACCUUCAUGUAAUGCUCCUUACUCAGGAACUUAUCGCAGCAUGCCGGCUUGGUCUUCUUGAUACCACGCAAGGCGUAGUAGUCUCGAACAGCCUGCACCCGAGCCUCGUGCCGUAAGUUCUGGAGUAGGCGCUUGCAGACGUUCUCGAUAACAUGUGCCGCGUCCUCCUCGUAUCCCUCCUCACACCUGUAGAAUGUCUGCAAUCAAAUGAGACAAUGUUGAUUAGUACAAUUAAUAACUAGCUAGUUGAAGAUUUUUAAAUGUGUAAAGGAGAAAUUACCCAGAACUUUCUGAUCACCAUGUCUGCCCUCGUGUCACACACGACACCGUCGAUAAUCUCAUUUGGCAGGGCCGGGGCAGCCACGUAGUGCUCCCAGCUCAAUCCAAGCUCUGGAAGCCGACCCUCACCAGGCAACGUGACAAACCCCGGGAAGUUUUGCCGGCAAAGAACUCCAAGGACGGAGUUGGGCCGGCGGACACUAUGAUGGUGGUCCCAACCCCUGCAGCAUGACAAGGCCAACGCAUUAGUUAUUUGAAAAAAUGUGAAUGCACAAGGUACAAAAAUAUUAAAUGCACUUACGUACCUCUCCCCAUCAGGGAAAAUCAACCACCUCUGCUCGCGGGUCACCGGCACGGACGGGAGCCGUGUAGCACCACGCUGGUAGACGGUGCCCCCCUCCUCCUCAAGAUCAGUCGGCUCCCCGCCAUCAUCAGCAUGACCACUCGGCUCCUUGGGCUGAUCCGGCCAGGUACCCCAUCCGGACGUGUGCUCCUCCGGGGUCAUGUGGGCCGAACUCUCGUGGGCUGAAGACCCGUGGACCGGAGGCUCAUGGACCGGAGUUCGUGUAGCCUCCUCCUCGGACGAGUCCACCCUAGCAGUCACGUGCUUGGGUGAAACGGUUGGGGGUGGCGGCGAGGAAGGCACCGUAGCAGUCACCCUACCUCCUCUCCCAGGACCACGUGCCCCACCUCCUCUCUUCCUACCUCGUCCCCUGCUGGGCACCAUGGUCGACGAAGAAGGGCCCGGCGGUGUGGCCAUACUGUCCAGCAACGCUCGGCGGAGAGGUGCGUCUGGAAUGGAAGACCUCAGACCACGCUCCCGACCAGUGCCCACCAUCUUUCAACACCUGCCAUGACAAACAGUAAAUGAAAUUAGUACAACAUAAAAAAGGACCGACAUGAAUAAUAAUAUGUGUAUCACUUAAGUGUAUCAUCAUCAAGUACAACAUAAAAAAAUGUAAUACCGGACACUACUAAUAAUCUCGAUCAGUAUCAUCAAUAAAUGCAUAAUCAUCAUCAUCACUAUAAUCAAUGACGGGCUCAUAGGGUUCAUUGGCAUCAACAUGUGCAAGGCCACCUUGACGUAAUCGGUCAAGCAUUGACAGGUCAUCCGCAGCAGUAACCUCUUCUUGUUCCGGCUCUUCUUGUUCCUCCUCUGGGGUGAUGUCGGAUUCAUUGUCGCUGUCUACUUCAAUGUUUUGGGGUGAAGUAUAGCGGUUCUUGAAACGCUUUUUGGAAAGACGUGUCUCUUGGAAGAAUUCUCCUUCAUAUGUGUCUGGGUUAAUGUGAGGUUCAUAAUCCUCUUCCUUUGCGGGAGAAAGUCUAGCACGUGGCGGCACUUCAUAAACGACAUCCCAACCUUUCAGAUUUGGAUUAGUUUGGCAGGCCCACGGUAGAUAGAAUACUUGGGUCGCCUGUUGAGCCAUAAUAUAGACAUCAAGAACAUCUAAACGAGUGCUUUGGUUGAUUUCAACUAGCCCUACAUGUUCAUGAGUCCUUCUAGUCUCGUUUGGCUGAAACCAAUAACAUUUGAAGACUACGACAUUUUGUGGGUUUUCACCAUAGAACAGAAGUUCAUAAAUUGCUUCAACUCUCCCAUAAUACUCGGUACCUCCUUUGCCGAUAGCAGAUACACAACAAUUUGUUGACUUUGGGUCCGCCAUAGAUAGCUCUUUGCCAUAGGUACGAAAGCGAUACCCGUUGAUGUCGUACUUGUCAAAUGAACGGACCUUAUAGUCAAAACCAUUAGCGACUUGUCUCAAUUCGGCGUCCAUAGAGUCUGGAUUAGCCUACAGGUUUAAUAUGAAAGGAUUGUUGCAUUAUGCACAAAUUAGCGAAUGAAAUGAAAUUGUCUAAUAGAAAUUACCGUUUGUUUGAACCAAGAGAUGAAACCGGGAUAGCCACCUCCUUGCUUUGCGAGAAGCUCAUACUCUUCGACAGAAUCCUUUUGGAUCUCCGCUCCAUACGAGAAUAUGGUGACGUAUCGACUGUAUGACAUAUCCAGGAAUAAGAGUAGUUCAAAGGAAAUAGAAGUUGCGAAACAAUGUAUCGAGAACUUACUCGAUGUACGGCCGCACUUCUAUCAGGUUGUUGAAGAUAUACAAUGAAAUGGUCCGCCAUUCUUUGUUAUCCAAAGAUACUGGAUGUGAAACACCAGCUGGUGCGAGAUUCCCUUUGAAUAGGCUGAGGUUGGAUCCACCCUUUUUAGGCUCGUCAGCAUUGUACCGAGGCUUCGGAUUAUGCAAAUGACGAUUUUUGGCUUCGUAGUGCGCUGUUACGAAGUUUGCCACCUCCUCUGUGAUGAAUGCCUCAGCCAUCGAUGCUUCAAUUCUACGUUUAUUUUUACAUUUUUCUCGAAGCGUGUUCUGCAUCCUCUCAGUUGGGUAGCACCAACGAUUUUGCACGGGCCCCCCCAAUCUUGCCUCGGUCGGGAGAUGCAAAAUCAAAUGCUGCAUUGGAUUAAAGAAGCCCGGUGGAAAGAUUUUCUCUAACUUGUAGAUCAACUCCGGCGCCAACUCUUCCAUUUCUUCUAGCACGCCAGGAGAUAGUUAUUUCGCACAAAGAACACGGAAGAAAUAGCUGAGUUCUGCCAGUACUAGCCAUUCAUCCUCAGGGAUGAAGCCACGCAACAUCACCGGCAUUACCCGCUCAAUCCAUAUUUGCUCCCCUCUUUAGAUUCGCUGCAUACCCAUCGGGGAACAUCAACUGCUGUUGCACCCACAAGAGAAUUUCCCUCAUAGCUGGCCUUCCAAGAUUGAACCAUGCCUUUGGCUUCGUCUAGUUCUGCUUUCCUUUCGGUUCUUUCAUGUUUUGUAACGGCCUAUCACAUAGCGCCUCCAGAUCGACUCUAGCCUUAGUAUUAUCCUUUGACUUCCCAUCCAUGCCGAACAAUGUACCAAAAAGUGCCUCGGUGAUAUUCUUCUCAGUGUGCAUCACGUCGAUGUUGUGUGGGCAAAGGAGGUCUUUGAAGUAAGGCAGAUCCCAUAAGCAUGUUUUGUGAGUCCACGCAUGCUUAGUAUUAUACCCCUUGAAGUACCCUGGACAUUGUGGAUCUGGCUCGAGAGCGUUUAACUGAUCCAGGGUCUGUUGGCCUGUCAAUGCAGGUGGUGCAGAGUUUUUGACAACUCUACCCCUGAUGAAGUUCUUCUUGUCUUCCCUGAACUUAUGGCGAGGAUCCAGGAACUGUCUAUGCAUGUCGAAGCAAGAAAACUUGCGACCGGCCUGAAGCCAACGAAACUCAAGAGCUCCCUGGCAUGUGGGGCACGGGAACCUUCCAUGCACACACCAGCCAAUGAAUAGCGCAUACGCCGGCAAGUCAUGCGUCGAGUACAUGUACUAGACACGCAUUAUGAAGUUCCGUUUGCUAAAGGCAUCGUAUGUCUUGAACCCAUUAUCCCAAGCUUCUUGCAAUUCGUCCUUAAGCGGCUGCAUGUACACAUUCAUAUUUUUGCCCGGAUAGUUGGGUCCUGGAAAUAUCAACGUUAGGAAAAUGUUCUUUCUUUGCAUAAUCUGUGCGGGGGGGAGAUUGAGUGGAAAGACAAAUACGGGCCAACAACUGUAUUGGGCUGCCAUCAUACCAAACACACUGAACCCAUCCGUGCUGAUGCCGACUCGAGAAUGCCUCGGAUCUGCCGCUUUGUCAGCAUGUAAUUCAUCAAACUUUUUCCACGCAACACCAUCCGAUGUGUGUACCAUCAUCAGAUUCCCAUCUGCAUCUAGUGCGGUUCUUUUGCCUGUUUUGUGCCAUGUCAUCUGUCUGGCCGUCUCUUUGACCAUGAAAAGACGUUGAAGUCUUGGUACAAUUGGCAUAUACCGAAGAACACUAACGGGGAUUUUGGUCUGUGUCUUCUCACCCAUACCGUUGUCUACCACAAUAUACCUGGAAGACUUGCAAAUGGGACAAUAGUUCAAGUCCGCAUAGUCAAGCCUAAAUAAGGCACAUCCUUUCUCACAGGCAUGUAUCUUCUCAUAGGGCAUCUUCAGUGCAUGGAGGAUUUUGUCCGACUGGUACAGGUUUGCAGGCAUUACAUGUCCUUUGGGUAGAAAGCGUCCAAAUACUGUCAUAAUUGCGUCAUAGCAUUCUCUACCCAAGUUGAACUGAGCCUUCAGAGCCAUUACUUGUGAGAUGGCAUCCAACUGACAAAGCUCAGUGUGCUCGCGGAGCGGACGUUUCGAAGACUCCAACAUUUCAUUGAAGGCCUUUGCAGAUUCCUCCAUCUCCUCGUCCGAAUCCCGAGCAUCAUCAUAGUCUUGCACCAUGUUUUCCAUCCCGGUACCAUGCUCGUCGGUGCGACGACGAUCCACCUCAGCUCGGUCACGUUGGGCAGACUCACCAUGAAAUGUCCAGACCGUAUAAUCGGGCGUAAAACCACUCUUCUGCAGGUGUUUGCCCAUUUCAGCCUCUCUCUUCUUUUCCCAAUUGCCGCACCGGAAAUAGGGGCACCAGGUUUUCUUUUGGCCAUUUGCAAAUGCGGCUUGCACAAACCCCUUAGUUUUUGUGAACCAUUCAGCGCUCCAUUUGUUCUGACCAGUGUGACCGGUAUACAUCCAAGCACGGUCACUCAUCUUGACUUUCAGAGCUACUGGACACACAACAAUUAUAUAUGUAAUUCACCAUGUAUAUAUUCAUCAGUUGAUCUACUGUGUCAAUUUUAUUACGUCCAUGCAACCUACACUCUAAUAGGUAAUGAUAGGUCCUAAUCCCACCCGUGUAUGUGUAGAUUGGGUUCAUUUUCCCAUGCUAUGCUCCGGAUCCGACGCAAAAUUUCGGCAGCACCUCCCCGUUAUUCUCCUGAUACACGUCUCUGCAAUAAACAGAGAGGAUGUGUACCCGGAGAACAACAGGGGAGGCACUGACGAAAUAUAUGCGUCGGAUCCGGAGCAAAGCAUAUGGGAAAACGAACCCAAUCUACACAUACUCGGGCUGUCCAUGGAUAGCGUUGGACAAUUCGAAAGAAUCAAGGUUAUAAAUAUGCAAAUGCAUGCAUAUUUAUAAAUAUGACGCUUUCGAAUGGGAGACACAUAUUGGUUACGCAUACUGAUGAUUCAAGACACAUAUAUAGCUAGCUAUCAAGUUUCAUCGGAAUAGAUCAAAUAAUUAAUGGGGGAGGAGGACUUGUCAUUUGUGCUCACCCACGAACGAAGGGCAGAGCUCGUCAAACGCACGGCGAGGUCGUCGAACACCAAACCUCGCAGCGAUGAAACAACUGCACAUUUAAAACUACACGAUCAACACAAUUAUAUAUGAUGUUUUUCAUAACUAAAUCGAAAAAUAUAUAACCUAACUAAUAAUUCACAAAUAUAUGACCCCGUCGGCCUCUGGAAGGCCGAAGAACACCUUAAUUUUCGGGAGGUGUCGGUGGUCGGGGUGCCCUGUCGGUGUCGGGGUGCCGUGUCGGGGUCGGGGUCUCGGGGUCGGGGUGUCGGGUCGGGGUGCCNNNNNNNNNNNNNNNNNNNNNNNNNNNNNNNNNNNNNNNNNNNNNNNNNNNNNNNNNNNNNNNNNNNNNNNNNNNNNNNNNNNNNNNNNNNNNNNNNNNNNNNNNNNNNNNNNNNNNNNNNNNNNNNNNNNNNNNNNNNNNNNNNNNNNNNNNNNNNNNNNNNNNNNNNNNNNNNNNNNNNNNNNNNNNNNNNNNNNNNNNNNNNNNNNNNNNNNNNNNNNNNNNNNNNNNNNNNNNNNNNNNNNNNNNNNNNNNNNNNNNNNNNNNNNNNNNNNNNNNNNNNNNNNNNNNNNNNNNNNNNNNNNNNNNNNNNNNNNNNNNNNNNNNNNNNNNNNNNNNNNNNNNNNNNNNNNNNNNNNNNNNNNNNNNNNNNNNNNNNNNNNNNNNNNNNNNNNNNNNNNNNNNNNNNNNNNNNNNNNNNNNNNNNNNNNNNNNNNNNNNNNNNNNNNNNNNNNNNNNNNNNNNNNNNNNNNNNNNNNNNNNNNNNNNNNNNNNNNNNNNNNNNNNNNNNNNNNNNNNNNNNNNNNNNNNNNNNNNNNNNNNNNNNNNNNNNNNNNNNNNNNNNNNNNNNNNNNNNNNNNNNNNNNNNNNNNNNNNNNNNNNNNNNNNNNNNNNNNNNNNNNNNNNNNNNNNNNNNNNNNNNNNNNNNNNNNNNNNNNNNNNNNNNNNNNNNNNNNNNNNNNNNNNNNNNNNNNNNNNNNNNNNNNNNNNNNNNNNNNNNNNNNNNNNNNNNNNNNNNNNNNNNNNNNNNNNNNNNNNNNNNNNNNNNNNNNNNNNNNNNNNNNNNNNNNNNNNNNNNNNNNNNNNNNNNNNNNNNNNNNNNNNNNNNNNNNNNNNNNNNNNNNNNNNNNNNNNNNNNNNNNNNNNNNNNNNNNNNNNNNNNNNNNNNNNNNNNNNNNNNNNNNNNNNNNNNNNNNNNNNNNNNNNNNNNNNNNNNNNNNNNNNNNNNNNNNNNACUAAAUCUAAACCUAAAACAAAACUAAAACUAAACCUAAAACUAAAACUAAAACUAAAUCUAAACUAAAACUAAAAAGGAAAAAAACAGAAAAAAAAUAGAAAAAAGGAGGUUGGGGCUCACCUUCUGCAGCGCCGGUGGAGGAGGGGGCGGGGCGGUGGAGGAGCUGGCUGGGGCGCGGGGCGGCCUGGGGCGGCGCGGGGCCGGGCCCGAUGCGGUGGGGCGCGGGGCGGCGGUGCGUGCGGACCCUAUGGUUCGAGAACAAUGUAGACAUGACCGAGACACGUCUCCGGUCAAUAACCAAUAGCGGGACCUGGAUGCCCAUAUUGGCUCCUACAUAUUCUACGAAGAUCUUUAUCGGUCAGACCGCAUAAUAACAUACGUUGUUCCCUUUGUCAUCGGUAUGUUACUUGCCCGAGAUUCGAUUGUCGGUAUCCAAUACCUAGUUCAAUCUCGUUACUGGCAAGUCUCUUUACUCGUUCCAUAAUACAUCAUCUCACAACUAACAUCUUAGUUAUAAUGCUUGCAAGGCUUAUGUGAUGUGUCUUACCAAGAGGGCCCAGAGAUACCUCUCCGACAAUCGGAGUGACAAACCCUAAUCUCGAAAUACGCCAACCCAACAUCUACCAUUGGAGACACCUGUAGUACUCCUUUAUAAUCACCCAGUUACGUUGUGACGUUUGGUAGUACCCAAAGUGUUCCUCCGGCAAACGGGAGUUGCAUAAUCUCAUAGUCAUAGGAACAUGUAUAAGUCAUGAAGAAAGCAAUAGCAACAUACUAAACGAUCGGGGGCUAAGAUAAUGAAAUGGGUCAUGUCAAUCAGAUCAUUCAACUAAUGAUGUGACCUCGUAAAUCAAAUAACAACUCUUUGUUCAUGGUUAGGAAACAUAACCAUCUUUGAUUAACGAGCUAGUCAAGUAAAGGCAUACUAGUGACACUCUGUUUGUCUAUGUAUUCACACAUGUAUUAUGUUUCCGGUUAAUACAAUUCUAGCAUGAAUAAUAAACAUUUAUCAUGAUAUAAGGAAAUAAAUAAUAACUUUAUUAUUGCAUCUAGGGCAUAUUUCCUUCAGUCCAGUGUUCCAUGCCGGGAUUACUUUGGUACCUUCCUACCAAACUUACGGCAAGGUUUACAUCAGGUCUGGUACACAGCAUAGCAUACAAGAUAGACCCUAUGGCCGAGGCAUAGGGGACGACACUCAUAUUUUCUCUAUCUUCUACCGUGGUCGUGCAUUGAGCCGUGCUCAAUCUCGUACCUUGCAAUAUAGGCAAGAACCCCUUCUUUUACUGAUCCAUUUUGAACUUCUUCAAUAUCUUGUCAAGGUACGUACUCUGUGGAAGACCAAUGAGGCGUCUCGAUCUAUCUCUAUAGAUCUUGAUGCCUAAUAUAUAAGCAGCUUCUCCAAGAUCCUUCAUUGAAAAACACUUGUUCAAGUAGGCCUUUAUGCUUUCCCAGAAUUCUAUAUCAUUUCCCAUCAACAAUAUGUCAUCCACAUCCAAUAUGGGAAAUUCUACAAAGCUCCCACUCAGUUCUUGUAAAUGCAGGCUUCUCCAUAAGUCUGCGUAAACCCAAACGCUUUGAUCAUCUCAUCAAAAUGAAUGUUCCAACUCCGAGAUGCUUGCACCAGCCCAUAAAUCGAGCGUUGGAGCUUGUACACCUUGUCAGCAUUCUUAGGAUCGACAAAACCUUCUGGCUGCAUCAUAUACAAUUCUUCCUUAAGGAAACCAUCAAGGACUGUUGUUUUGACGUCCAUUUGCCAUAUCUCAUAAUCAUAGAAUGCGGCAAUUGCUAACAUGAUUCGGACGGACUUCAGCUUCGCUACGGGUGAGAAAGUCUCAUCAUAGUCAACCCCUUGUACUUGCCGAUAACCCUUAGCGACAAGCCGAGCUUUAUAGAUGGUCACAUUACCAUCCGCGUCUGUCUUCUUCUUAAAGAUCCAUUUAUUUUCUAUGGCUCGCCGACCAUCGGGCAAGUCAGUCAAAGUCCAUACUUUGUUUUCAUACAUGGAUCUUAUCUCGGAUUUCAUGGCUUCCAGCCAUUUCUCGGAAUCCGGGCCCGCCAUUGCUUCUUCAUAGUUCGAAGGUUCACCGUUGUCUAACAACAUGAUUUCCAAGACAGGGUUGCCGUACCACUCUGGUGCGGGACGUGUCCCCGUGGACCUACGAAGUUCAGUAGCAACUUGAUCUGAAGUUUCAUGAUCAUCAUCAUCAACUUCCUCUCUAGUCGGUGCAGGCACCUUAGGAACAUUUUCUUGAGCUGCGCCACUUACCGGUUCAAGAGGUAAUACUUCAUCAAGUUCUACUUUCCUCCCACUUAUUUCUUUCGAGAGAAACUCUUUCUCUAGAAAGGACCCAUUCUUGGCAACAAAGAUCUUGCCUUCGGAUCCGAGGUAGAAGGUAUACCCAAUAGUUUCUUUAGGGUAUCCUAUGAAGACGCAUUUUUCCGAUUUGGGUUCGAGCUUUUCAGGUUGAAGUUUCCUGACAUAAGCAUCGCAUCCCCAAAGUUUUAGAAAUGACAUCUUAGGUGUCUUCCCAAACCAUAAUUCAUACGGCGUCGUCUCAACGGAUUUCGACGUAGCCCUAUUUAAAGUGAAUGCGGCAGUCUCUAAAGCAUAGCCCCAAAAUGACAGCGGUAAAUCAGUAAGAGACAUCAUAGAUCAUACCAUAUCUAAUAGAGUGCGAUUAUGACGUUCGGACACACCAUUACGCUGAGGUGUUCCAGGCGGCGUGAGUUGUGAAACUAUUCCACAUUUUCUUAAGUGUGUGCCAAAUUCGUGACUCAAGUAUUCUCCCCCACGAUCUGAUCGCAAGAACUUGAUUUGCCUGUCAUGUUGAUUCUCAACCUCACUUUGAAAUUCCUUGAACUUUUCAAAGGUCUCAGACUUGUGUUUCAUUAAGUAGACAUACCCAUAUCUACUCAAGUCAUCAGUGAGGGUGAGAACAUAACGAUAGCCACCACGAGCCUCAACACUCAUUGGACCGCACACAUCAGUAUGUAUGAUUUCCAAUAAGUUGGUUGCUCGCUCCAUUGUUCUUGAGAAAGGAGUCUUGGUCAUUUUACCCAUGAGGCAUGGUUCGCACGUGUCAAAUGAUUCGUAAUCAAGAGACUUUAAAAGUCCAUCUGCAUGGAGCUUCUUCAUGCGUUUGACACCUAUGUGACCAAGGCGGCAAUGCCACAUGUGGGACUAUCAUUAUCAACCUUACAUCUUUUGCUAUUCACACUAUGAAUAUGUGUAACAUUAUGCUCGAGAUUCAUUAAGAAUAAACCAUUCACCAAUGGAGCAUGACCAUAAAACAUAUCUCUCAUAUAAAUAGAACAACCAUUAUUCUCGGAUUUAAAUGAGUAGCCAUCUCAAAUUAAACGAGAUCCUGAGACAAUGUUCAUGCUCAAAGCUGGCACUAAAUAACAAUUAUUGAGGUUUAAAACUAAUCCCGUAGGCAAAUGUAGAGGCAGCGUGCCGACGGCGAUCACAUCGACCUUGGAACCAUUCCCGACGCGAAUCGUCACCUCGUACUUCGCCAGUCUCCGUUUAUUCCGCAGCUCCCGCUUUGAGUUACAAAUGUGAGCAACUGCACCGGUAUCAAAUACCCAGGAGCUACUACGAGUACUGGUAAGGUACACAUCAAUUACAUGUAUAUCACAUAUACCUUUAGUGUUGCCGGCCUUCUUGUCCGCUAAGUAUUUGGGGCAGUUCUGCUUCCAGUGACCACUUCCCUUGCAAUAAAAACACUCAGUCUCGAGCUUGGGUCCAUUCUUUGGCUUCUUCCCGGCAACUUGCUUAGCGGGCGCGGCAACUCCCUUGCCGUCCUUCUUGAAUUCUUCUUACCCUUGCCUUUCUUGAACUUAGUGGUUUUAUUCACCAUCAACACUUGAUGUUCCUUUUUGAUUUCCACCUCUGCUGAUUUCAGCAUUGAAUAUACCUCAGGAAUGGUCUUUUCCGUCCCCUGCAUAUUGAAGUUGAUCACAAAGCUCUUGUAGCUUGGUGGAAGCGACUGAAUGAUUCUGUCAAUGACCGCGUCAUUCGGGAGAUUAACUCCCACCUGAGUCAAGCGGUUAUGCAACCCAGACAUUUUGAUUAUGUGCUCACUGACAGAUCUAUUUUCCUCCAUAUUACAGCUGAAGAACUUGUCGGAGACUUCAUAUCUCUCGACCCGGGCAUGAGCUUGAAAAACCAUUUUCAGCUCUUCGAACAACUCAUAUGCUCCGUGUCUCUCAAAAUGCUUUUGGAGCCCCGGUUCUAAGCUGUAAAGCAUGCCGCACUGAACGAGGGAGUAAUCAUCAGCACGUAACUGCCAAGCGUUCAUAAUGUCUUGGUUCUCUGGGACAGGUGUGUCACCUAACGGUGCUUCUAGGACAUAAUCUUUCUUGGCAGCUAUGAGGAUGAUCCUCAGGUUCUGGACCCAGUCCGUAUAGUUGCUGCCAUCGUCUUUCAGCUUGGUUUUCUCCAGGAACGCGUUGAAAUUGAGGACAACGUGGGCCAUUUGAUCUACAAGACAUAUUGUAAAGAUUUUAGACUAAGUUCAUGAUAAUUAAGUUCAUCUAAUCAAAUUAUACAAUGAACUCCCACUCAGAUAGACAUCCCUCCAGUCAUCUAAGUGAAACAUGAUCCGAGUUAACUAGGCUGUGUCGGAUCAUCACGUGAGACGGACUAGUCAACAUCGGUGAACAUCUUCAUGUUGAUCGUAUCUUCUAGACGACUCAUGCUCGACCUUUUAGUCUUCUAUGUUCCGAGGCCAUGUCUGUACAUGCUAGGCUCGUCAAGUAAACCUAAGUGUAUUGCGUGUGUAAGUCUGGCUUACACCCGUUGUAUUCGAACGUUAGAAUCUAUCACACUCGAUCAUCACGUGGUGCUUCGAAACAACGAACCUUCACAAUGGUGCACAGUUAGGGGGAACAGUUUCUUGAAAUUAUUUCGAGGGAUCAUCUUAUUGAAGCUACCGUCGUUCUAAGCAAAUAAGAUGUAAAACAUGAUAAACAUCACAUGCAAUCAAAUAGUGACAUGAUAUGGCCAAUAUCAUUUUCUCCUUUUGAUCUCCAUCUUCGGGGGUCCAUGAUCAUCAUUGUCACUGGCAUGACACCAUGAUCUCCAUCAUCAUGUCUUCUUGAAGUUGUCUCGUCAUCUAUUACUUCUACUACUAUGGCUAACGCUUUAGCAAUAAAGUAAAGUAAUUACAUGACGUUUAUGUUGACACGCAGGUCAUAAAAAAUAAAGACAACUCCUAUGGCUCCUGCCGGUUGUCAUACUCAUCGACAUGCAAGUCGUGAUUCCUAUUACAAGAACAUGAUCAAUCUCAUACAUCACAUAUAUCAUUCAUCACAUCCUUUUGGCCAUAUCACAUCACACGACACAUGCUGCAAAAACAAGUUAGACGUCCUCUAAUUGUUGUUGCAAGUUUAUACAUGGCUGCUAUAGGUUUCUAGCAAGAACGUCUCUUACCUAUGGCAAAACCACAACGUGAUAUGCCACUUUCUAUUUACCCUUCAUAAGGACCCUUUUCAUCGAAUCCGAUCUGACUAAAGUGGGAGAGACAGACACCCGCCAGCCACCUUAUGCAACUAGUGCAUGUCAAUCGGUGGAACCAGUCUCACAUAAGCGUACGUGUAAGGUCGGUCCGGGCCGCUUCAUCCCAUGAUGCCACCGAAUCAAGAUAAGACUAGUAACGGCAAGCAAAGUGACAAUAUCCACGCCCACAACUGCUUUGUGUUCUACUCGUGCAUAGAAACUACGCAUAGACCUAGCUCAUGAUGCCACUGUUGGGGAAUGUAGCAGAAUUUUAAAAUUUUCUAUGCAUCACCAAGAUCAAUCUAUGGAGUCAUCUAGCAAUGAGGGAGAGAGGAGUGCAUCUACAUACCCUUGUAGAUCGCGCGCGGAAGUGUUCAAGAGAACGGGGUUGAUGGAAUCGUACUCGUCGUGAUCCAAAUCACCGAUGACCAAGUGCCUAACGGACAGCACCUCCGCGUUCAACACACGUCCUUUUGGGAAGACGUCUCCUCCUUCUUGAUCCAGCAAGGGGGAAGGAGAGGUUGAUGAAGAUCCAGCAGCACCACGACGUGGUGGUGGAUGCAACAGGAUCCCGGCAGGGCUUCACCAAGCGGAAGCGGGGAGGAGAGGUGUUACGGAGGGAGAGAGAGGCGCCAAGAGCAAGGUUGCGGCUGCCCUCCCUCCCCCCCUCUUUAUAUAGGGGCCAUGGGGGGGCGCCGGCCCUAGGAGAUGGAUCUCCAAGGGGGGCGAAGGCCAAGGGGUGGCUCCCCCCCCCCCAAGCCAAGUGGGGGGCGCCCCCACCCCUAGGGUUUCCCAACCCUAGGCGCAGGGGAGGCCCAAGGGGGGCGGACCAGCCCACUAGCGGCUGGUUCCCCUCCCAAUUCAUCCCAUGGGGCCCUCCGGGAUGGGUGGCCCCACCCGGUGGACCCCCGGGACCCUUUCGGUGGUCCCGGUACAAUACUGGUGACCCCCGAAACCUUCCCGAUGGCCGAAACUGUACUUCCUAUAUAUAAAUCUUUACCUCCAGACCAUUCCGGAACUCCUCGUGACGCCCGGGAUCUCAUCCGGGACUCCGAACAACUUUCGGGUUACUAUAUACUAAUAUCUCUACAACCCUAGCGUCACUGAACCUUAAGUGUGUAGACCCUACGGGUUUCGGAGACAUGCAGACAUGACUGAGACGCCUCUCCAGUCAAUAACCAACAGCGGGAUCUGGAUACCCAUGUUGGCUCCCACAUGCUCCAUGAUGAUCUCAUCAGAUGAACCACGAUGUCGAGCAUUCAAUCAAUCUGUAUACAAUUCCCUUUGUCAAUCAGUACGUUACUUGCCCGAGACUCGAUCAUCGGUAUCCCAAUACCUUGUUCAAUCUUGUUACCGGCAAGUCACUUUACUCAUACCAUAAUGCAUGAUCCCGUCAUCAACCACUUGGUCACAUGAGCUCAUUAUGAUGAUGCAUUACCGAGUGGGCCCAGAGAUACCUCUCCAUCAUACGGAGUGACAAAUCCCAGUCUCGAUUCAUGCCAACCCAAUAGUCACUUUCAGAGAUACCUGUAAUGUAACUUUAUAGUCACCCAGUUACGUUGUGACGUUUGGCACACCCAAGGCACUCCUACGAUAUCUGGGAGUUUUGUUGGAAAUAUGCCCUAGAGGCAAUAAUAAAAGCAUUAUUAUUAUAUUUCCUUGUUCAUGAUAAUUGUCUUUAUUCAUGCUAUAAUUGUGUUAUCCGGAAAUCGUAAUACAUGUGUGAAUAACAGACACCAACAUGUCCCUAGUAAGCCUCUAGUUAACUAGCUCGUUGAUCAACAGAUAGUCAUGGUUUCCUGACUAUGGACAUUGGAUGUCAUUGAUAACGAGCUCACAUCAUUAGGAGAAUGAUGUGAUGGACAAGACCCAAUCAUAAACAUAGCAUAAAGAUCGUGUAGUUCGUUUGCUAGAGUUUUUCCAAUGUCAAGUAUACUUUCCUUAGACCAUGAGAUCGUGUAACUCCCGGAUACCGUAAGAGUGCUUUGGGUGUACCAAACAUCACAACGUAACUGGGUGACUAUAAAGGUAUACUACGGGUAUCUCCAAAAGUGUCUGUUGGGUUGACACGGAUCAAGACUGGGAUUUGUCACUCCGUAUGACGGAGAGGUAUCACUGGGCCCACUCAGUAAUGCAUCAUCAUAAUGAGCUCAAAGUGACCAAGUGUCUGGUCACGGGAUCAUGCAUUACGGUACGAGUAAAGUGACUUGCCGGUAACGAGAUUGAACGAGGUAUUGGGAUACCGACAAUCGAAUCUCGGGCAAGUAACAUACCGAUUGGCAAAGGGAAUUGUAUACGGGGUUGCCUGAAUCCUCGAUAUCGUGGUUCAUCCGAUGAGAUCAUCGUGGAGCAUGUGGGAGCCAACAUGGGUAUCCAGAUCCCGCUGUUGGUUAUUGACCGAAGAGUCGUCUCGGUCAUGUCUGUCUGUCUCCCGAACCCGUAGGGUCUACACACUUAAGGUUCGGUGAUGCUAGGGUUGUAGGAAUAUGUAUAUGCAGUAACCCGAAUGUUGUUCGGAGUCCCGGAUGAGAUCCCGGACGUCACGAGGAGUUCCGUAAUGGUCCGGAGGUAAAGAAUUAUAUAUGGGAAGUGCUAUUUCGGCCAUCGGGACAAGUUUUGGGGUCACCGGUAUUGUACCGGGACCACCGGAAGGGUCCCGGGGGUCCACCGGGUGGGGCCACCUAUCUCGGAGGGCCCCAUGGGCUGAAGUGGGAAGGGACCCAGCCCAAAGUGGGCUGGGGUGCCUCUCCCCUAGGGCCCAUGCGGCUAGGGUUUGGGGGAAACCCUAAAAGGGGGCGCCCCCUUGCUUGGGGGGCAAGCCCCCCACCCCUUGGCCGCCGCCCCCCCCUCCCCCUAGGAAAAUAGAUCUCCUAGGGCCGGCGCCCCCCCCCCUUGGCCCUCCUAUAUAUAGUGGGGGAGGGAGGGCUAUUCUCUCAUGCCUUUGGUUGCCUCCCUCUCCCUCUCCGACACCUCCUCCUCCUCCAUAGUGCUUGGCGAAGCCCUGACGGAGUUCUGCAGCUCCACCAUCACCACGCCGUCGGUCUGCUGCUGGAGCCAUCUUCCUCAACCUCUUCUUCCCUCUUGCUGGAUCAAGAAGAAGGAGACGUUACGCUAACCGUACGUGUGUUGAACGCGGAGGUGCCGUCCGUUCGGCGCUAGGAUCUCUGGUGAUUUGAAUCACGUCGUGUACGACUACUUCAUCCACGUUCUUUGAACGCUUCCGCUCGCGAUCUACAAAGGUAUGUAGAUGCAUCCGAUGACUCGUUGCUAGAUGAACUCAUAGAUAGAUCUUGGUGAAACCGUAGGAAAUUUUUUGUUUUCUGCAACGUUCCCCAACAGUGGUAUCAGAGCUAGGUCUAUGCGUAGUUCUUCUUGCGCGAGUAGAACACAAUUUGUUGUGGGCGUAGAUGUUGUCAACUUUCUUGCCGCUACUAGUCUUAUCUUGCUUCGACGGUAUUGUGGGAUGAAGCGGCCCGGACCAACCUUACACGUAUGCUCACGUGAGACAGGUUCCACCGACAAACAUGCACUAGUUGCAUAAGGUGGCUAGCGGGUGCCUGUCUCUCCUACUUUAGUUGGAGCGGAUUCGAUGAGAAGGGUCCUUAUGAAGGGUAAAUAGAAGUUGAAAAAUCACGUUGUGGCUUUCACGUAGGUUAGAAAACGUUCUUGCUAGAACCCUACUUCAGCCACGUAAAACUUGCAACAACAAUUAGAGGAUGUCUAACUUGUUUUUGCAGCAAGUGCUUUGUGAUAUGAUAUGGCCAAAGUUGUGAUGAAUAAUACAUAUGUGAUGUAUGAGAUGUUCGUGCUAUUGUAAUAGGAAUCACGACUUGCAUGUCGAUGAGUAUGACAACCGGCAGGAGCCAUAGGAGUUGUCUUUAUUCUUUUAUAUGACCUGCGUGUCAUUGAGAAACGCCAUGUAAAUUACUUUACUUUAUUGCUAAACACGUUAGCCUUAGUAGUAGAAGUAAUAGUUGGCGAGCAACUUCAUGGAGACACGAUGAUGGAGAUCAUGAUGAUGGAGAUCAUGGUGUCAUGCCGGUGACAAGAUGAUCAUGGAGCUCCAAGAUGGAGAUCAAAGGAGCUAUGUGAUAUUGGCCAUAUCAUGUCACUAUUAUUAUUUGAUUGCAUUUGAUGUUUAUCAUGUUUUGCAUCUUGUUUACUUAGAACGACGGUAGUGAAUAAGAUGAUCCCUCAUAAUAAUUUCAAGCAAGUGUUCCCCCUAACUGUGCACCGUUGCGACAGUUCAUUGCUUCAAUGCACCACGUGAUGAUCGGGUGUUUGAUUCAAACGUUCACAUACAACGGGUGUAAGACAGAUUUACACAUGCAAACACUUAGGUUGACUUGACGAGCCUAGCAUGUGUAUAGACAUGGCCUCGGAACACAGAAGACCAAAAGGUCGAGCAUGAGUCGUAUAGAAGAUACGAUCAACAUGAAGAUGUUCAUCGAUGUUGACUAGUCCGUCUCACGUGAUGAUCGGACACGGCCUAGUUGACUCGGAUCAUGUUAUACUUAGAUGACUAGAAGAGGGAUGUCUAUCUAAGUGGGAGUUCAUUCAAUAAUUUGAUUAGAUGAACUUAAUUAUCAUGAACUUAGUCUAAAAUCUUUGCAAUAUGUCUUGUAGAUCAAAUGGCCAACGUAGUCCUCAACUUCAACGCGUUCCUAGAGAAAACCAAACUGAAAGAUGAUGGCAGUAACUAUACGGAAUGGGUCUGGAACCUGAGGAUUAUCCUCAUAGCUGCCAAGAAAGAUUAUGUCCUACAAGCACCGCUAGGUGAAGCUCCCGUCCCAUGGAACCAAGAUGUUAUGAACGCUUGGCAGACACGUGCUGAUGACUACUCCCUCGUUCAGUGCGGCAUGCUUUACAGUUUAGAGCCGGGGCUCCAAAAGCGUUUUGAGAGACAUAGAGCAUAUGAGAUGUUCGAAGAGCUGAAAAUGGUGUUUCAAGCUCAUGCCCGGGUCGAGAGAUAUGAGGUCUCCGACAAAUUCUUCAGUUGUAAGAUGGAGGAAAAUAGUUCUGUCAGUGAGCACAUACUCACUAUGUCUGGGUUACAUAAUCGCUUGACUCAGCUGGGAGUUAAUCUCCUGGAUGAUGCGGUCAUUGACAGAAUCCUCCAGUCGCUUCCACCAAGCUACAAGAGCUUUGUGAUGAACUUCAAUAUGCAGGGGAUGGAAAAGACCAUUCCUGAGGUAUUUACAAUGCUGAAAUCAGCAGAGGUAGAAGUCAAGAAGGAACAUCAAGUGUUGAUGGUCAAUAAAACCACUAAGUUCAAGAAGGGCAAGGGUAAAAAGAACUUCAAGAAGGACGGCAAGGGAGUUGCCGCGCCCGGCAAGCAAGCUGCCGGGAAGAAGCCAAAGAAUGGUCCCAAGCCCGAGACUGAGUGCUUUUAUUAUAAGGGAAGCGGUCACUGGAAGCGGAACUGCCCCAAAUACUUAGCGGACAAGAAGGCCGGCAAAACAAAAGGUAUAUGUGAUAUACAUGUAAUUGAUGUGUACCUUACCAGUACCCGUAGUAGCUCCUGGGUAUUUGAUACUGGUGUAGUUGCUCACAUUUGUAACUCAAAGCAGGGGCUGCGGAAUAAGCGGAGACUGGCGAAGGACGAGGUGACGAUGCGCGUCGGGAAUGGUUCCAAGGUCAAUGUAAUCGCCGUCGGCACGUUACCUCUAUAUUUACCUUCGGGAUUAGUUGUAAACCUUAAUAAUUGUUAUUUAGUACCAGCUUUGAGCAUGAACAUUGUAUUGGGAUCUCGUUUAAUUCAAGAUGGCUACUCAUUUAAAUCCGAGAAUAAUGGUUGUUCUAUUUAUAUGAGAGAUAUGUUUUAUGGUCAUGCUCCUAUGGUGAAUGGUUUAUUCUUAAUGAAUCUCGAGCGUAAUGCUACACAUAUUCAUAGUGUGAGUACCAAAAGAUGUAAGGUUGAUAAUGAUAGUCCCACAUACUUGUGGCACUGCCGCCUUGGUCACAUAGGUGUCAAACGCAUGAAGAAGCUCCAUGCAGAUGGACUUUUAGAGUCUCUUGAUUAUGAAUCAUUUGACACGUGCGAACCAUGCCUCGUGGGUAAAAUGACCAAGACUCCGUUCUCAGGAACAAUGGAGCGAGCAACCAACUUAUUGGAAAUCAUACAUACUGAUGUGUGCGGUCCAAUGAGCGUUGAGGCUCGCGGUGGCUAUCGUUAUGUUCUCACCCUCACUGAUGACUUGAGUAGAUAUGGGUAUGUCUACUUAAUGAAACACAAGUCUGAAACCUUUGAAAAGUUCAAGGAAUUUCAGAGUGAGGUUGAGAAUCAACGUGACAGGAAAAUCAAGGUUCUACGAUCAGAUCAUGGAUGCGAAUACUUGAGUCACGAAUUUGGCACACACUUAAGAAAAUGUGGAAUAGUUUCACAACUCACGCCGCCUGGAACACCUCAGCGUAACGGUGUGUCCGAACGUCGUAAUCGCACUCUAUUAGAUAUGGUACGAUCUAUGAUGUCUCUUACCGAUUUACCACUAUCUUUUUGGGGCUAUGCUUUAGAGACUGCCGCAUUCACUUUAAAUAGGGCUCCGUCGAAAUCCGUUGAGACGACACCGUUUGAAUUAUGGUUUGGGAAGAAACCUAAGCUGUCGUUUCUAAAAGUUUGGGGAUGCGAUGCUUAUGUCAAGAAACUUCAACCUGAAAAGCUCGAACCCAAGUCGGAAAAAUGCGUCUUCAUAGGAUACCCUAAAGAAACUGUUGGGUAUACCUUCUACCUCAGAUCCGAAGGCAAGAUUUUUGUUGCCAGGAAUGGAUGCUUUCUAGAGAAGGAGUUUCUCUCGAAAGAAGUAAGUGGGAGGAAAGUAGAACUUGAUGAAGUGUUACCUCUUGAACCGGAAAAUGGCGCAACUCAAGAAAAUGUUCAUGAGGUGCCUGCACCGACUAGAGAGGAGGUUAAUGAUGAUGAUCAUGAAACUUCUGAUCAAGUUGCUACUGAACUUCGAAGGUCCAUAAGGACACGUUCCGCACCAGAGUGGUACGGCAACCCUGUCUUGGAAAUCAUGUUGUUAGGCAACGGUGAACCUUCGAACUAUGAAGAAGCGAUGGCGGGCCCGGAUUCCGACAAAUGGCUAGAAGCCAUGAAAUCCGAGAUAGGAUCCAUGUAUGAAAAUGAAGUAUGGACUUUGACUGACUUGCCCGUUGAACGGCGAGCCAUAGAAAAUAAAUGGAUCUUUAAGAAGAAGACAGACGCGGAUGGUAAUGUGACCAUCUAUAAAGCUCGGCUUGUCGCUAAGGGUUAUCGACAAGUUCAAGGGGUUGACUACGAUGAGACUUUCUCACCGGUAGCGAAGCUGAAGUCCGUCCGAAUCAUGUUAGCAUUUGCCGCAUUCUACGAUUAUGAGAUAUGGCAAAUGGAUGUCAAAACGGCAUUAAUUAAUGGUUUCCUUAAGGAAGAAUUGUAUAUGAUGCAGCCGGAAGGUUUUGUCGAUCCUAAGAAUGCUGACAAGGUGUGCAAGCUCCAACGCUCGAUUUAUGGGCUGGUGCAAGCAUCUCGGAGUUGGAACAUUCGCUUUGAUGAGAUGAUCAAAGUGUUUGGGUUUACUCAGACUUAUGGAGAGGCCUGCGUUUACAAGAAAGUGAGUGGGAGCUCUGUAGCAUUUCUCAUAUUAUAUGUAGAUGACAUACUUUUGAUGGGAAAUGAUAUAGAACUCUUGGACAGCAUCAAGGCCUACUUGAAUAAGAGUUUUUCAAUGAAGGACCUUGGAGAAGCUGCUUAUAUAUUAGGCAUCCAGAUCUAUAGAGAUAGAUCAAGAUGCCUCAUAGGUCUUUCACAAAGCACAUACCUUGAUAAGAUAUUGAAGAAGUUCAAUAUGGAUCAAUCUAAGAAGGGGUUCUUGCCUGUGUUACAAGGUAUGAAAUUGAGCUCAGCUCAAUGUCCGACCAUGGCAGAAGAUAUAGAAGAGAUGAGUGUCAUCCCCUAUGCCUCAGCCAUAGGUUCUAUUAUGUAUGCCAUGCUGUAUACCAGACCUGAUGUAAACCUUGCCGUAAGUUUGGUAGGAAGGUACCAAAGUAAUCCCGGCAAGGAACACUGGACAGCGGUCAAGAAUAUCCUGAAGUACCUAAAAAGGACUAAGGAAAUGUUUCUCGUUUAUGGAGGUGACGAAGAGCUCGUCGUAAAGGGUUACGUCAACGCUAGCUUCGACACAGAUCUGGAUGACUCUAAGUCACAAACCGGAUACGUGUAUAUUUUGAAUGGUGGGGCAGUAAGCUGGUGCAGUUGCAAGCAGAGCGUCGUGGCGGGAUCUACAUGUGAAGCGGAGUACAUGGCAGCCUCGGAGGCAGCACAUGAAGCAAUUUGGGUGAAGGAGUUCAUCACCGACCUAGGAGUCAUACCCAAUGCGUCGGGGCUGAUCAAGCUCUUCUUUGACAACACUGGAGCUAUUGCACUUGCCAAGGAGCCCAGGUUUCACAAGAAGACAAGGCACAUCAAGCGUCGCUUCAACUCCAUUCGUGAAAAUGUUCAAGAUGGAGACAUAGAUAUUUGUGAAGUACAUACGGACCUGAAUGUAGCAGAUCCGUUGACUAAACCUCUCCCUAGAGCAAAACAUGAUCAACACCAGAAUUCCAUGGGUGUUCGAUUCAUCACAAUGUAACUAGAUUAUUGACUCUAGUGCAAGUGGGAGACUGUUGGAAAUAUGCCCUAGAGGCAAUAAUAAAAGCAUUGUUAUUAUAUUUCCUUGUUCAUGAUAAUUGUCUUUAUUCAUGCUAUAAUUGUGUUAUCCGGAAAUCGUAAUACAUGUGUGAAUAACAGACACCAACAUGUCCCUAGUAAGCCUCUAGUUAACUAGUUCGUUGAUCAACAGAUAGUCAUGGUUUCUUGACUAUGGACAUUGGAUGUCAUUGAUAACGAGAUCACAUCAUUAGGAGAAUGAUGUGAUGGACAAGACCCAAUCAUAAACAUAGCAUAAAGAUCGUGUAGUUCGUUUGCUAGAGUUUUUCCAAUGUCAAGUAUCCUUUCCUUAGACCAUGAGAUCGUGUAACUCCCGGAUACCGUAAGAGUGCUUUGGGUGUACCAAACGUCACAACGUAACUGGGUGACUAUAAAGGUAUACUACGGGUAUCUCCGAAAGUGUCUGUUGGGUUGACACGGAUCUAGACUGGGAUUUGUCACUCCGUAUGACGGAGAGGUAUCACUGGGCCCACUCGGUAAUGCAUCAUCAUAAUGAGCUCAAAGUGACCAAGUGUCUGGUCACGGGAUCAUGCAUUACGGUACGAGUAAAGUGACUUGCCGGUAACGAGAUUGAAUGAGGUAUUGGGAUAACGACGAUCGAAUCUCGGGCAAGUAACAUAUCGAUUGGCAAAGGGAAUUGUAUACGGGGUUGCUUGAAUCCUCGACAUCGUGGUUCAUCCAAUGAGAUCAUCGUGGAGCAUGUGGGAGCCAACAUGGGUAUCCAGAUCCCGUUGUUGGUUAUUGACCGGAGAGUCGUCUCGGUUAUGUCUGCCUGUCUCCCGAACCCGUAGGGUCUACACACUUAAGGUUCAGUGACGCUAGGGUUGUAGGAAUAUGUAUAUGCAGUAACCCGAAUGUUGUUCGGAGUCCCGGAUGAGAUCCCGGACGUCACGAGGAGUUCCGGAAUGGUCCGGAGGUAAAGAAUUAUAUAUGGGAAGUGGUAUUUCGGCCAUCGGGACAAGUUUCGGGGUCACCGGUAUUGUACCGGGACCACCGGAAGGGUCCCGGGGGUCCACCGGGUGGGGCCACCUAUCCCGGAGGGCCCCUUGGGCUGAAGUGGGAAGGGACCCAGCCCAAAGUGGGCUGGGGCGCCUCUCCCCUAGGGCCCAUGCGGCUAGGGUUUGGGGGAAACCCUAAAAGGGGGCGCCCCCUUGCUUGGGGGGCAAGCCCCCCACCCCUUGGCCGCCGCCGCCCCCCCCCCCUAGGAGAAUAGAUCUCCUAGGGCCGGCGCCCCCCCCCUUGGCCCUCCUAUAUAUAGUGGGGGAGGGAGGGCUAUUCUCUCACGCCUUUGGUUGCCUCCCUCUCCCUCUCCAACACCUCCUCCUCCUCCAUAGUGCUUGGCGAAGCCCUGACGGAGUUCUGCAGCUCCACCAUCACCACGCCGUCGUGCUGCUGCUGGAGCCAUCUUCCUCAACCUCUUCUUCCCUCUUGCUGGAUCAAGAAGAAGGAGACGUUACGCUAACCGUACGUGUGUUGAACGCGGAGGUGCCGUCCGUUCGGCGCUAGGAUCUCCGGUGAUUUGAAUCACGUCGUGUACGACUACUUCAUCCACGUUCUUUGAACACUUCCGCUCGCGAUCUACAAAGGUAUGUAGAUGCAUCCGAUGACUCGUUGCUAGAUGAACUCAUAGAUAGAUCUUGGGGAAACUGUAGGAAAAUUUUCUGCAACGUUCCCCAACAAGUUUCACAAUCUCAUGGUCUAAGGAAAUGAUACUUGACAUUCGGAAAAGCUACAGCAGAUGAACUACACGACCUUUGAGCUAUGCUUAGGAUUGGGUCUUGUCCAUCACAUCAUUCUCCUAAUGAUGUGAUACCGUUAUGAAUGACAUCCAAUGUCCAUAGUCAGGAAACCAUGACUAUCUUUUGAUCAACAAGCUAGUCAACUAGAGGCUCACUAGGGACGUGUUGUGGUCUAUGUAUUCACACAUGUAUUACGAUUUCCGGAUAACACAAUUAUAGCAUGAACAAUAGACAAUUAUCAUGAACAAAGAAAUAUAAUAAUAACCAUUUUAUUAUUGCCUCUAGGGCAUAUUUCCAACACCUACGUACCCCCAAACGAUCAUAUACGGAGCCAAAACCCUAAUUCCACCGCCGCAACUUUCUGUAUCCACGAGAUCCCAUCUUGGGGCCUGUUCCGGAGCUCCGCCAGAGGGGGCAUCGAUCACGGAGGGCUUCUACAUCAACACCAUAGCCUCUCCGAUGAAGUGUGAGUAGUUCACCUCAGACCUACGGUUCCAUAGUUAUUAGCUAGAUGGCUUCUUCUCUCUUUUUGGAUCUCAAUACAAUGUUCUCCCCCUCUCUUGUGGAGAACUAUUCGAUGUAAUCUUCUUUUUGCGGUGUGUUUGUUGAGACCGAUGAAUUGUGGGUUUAUGAUCAAGUCUAUCUAUGAAUAAUAUUUGAAUCUUCUCUGAAUUCUUUUAUGUAUGAUAGGUUAUCUUUGAAAGUCUUUUCGAAUUAUCAGUUUGGUUUGGCCUACUAGAUUGAUCUUUCUUGCAAUGGGAGAAGUGCUUAGCUUUGGGUUCAAUCUUGCGGUGUCCUUUCCCAGUGACAGUAGGGGCAGCAUGGCACGUAUUAUAUUGUUGCCAUCGAGGACAACAAGAUGGAGUUUUCAUCAUAUUGCAUGAGUCUAUCCCUCUACAUCAUGUCAUCUUGCUUAAGGCCUUAAUCUGUUUUUAACUUAAUACUCUAGAUGCUUGCUGGAUAGCGGUCGAUUAGUGGAGUAAUAGUAGUAGAUGCAGGCAGGAGUCGGUCUACUUGUCUCGGACAUGAUGCCUAUAUAUAUGAUCAUACCUAGAUAUUCUCAAAACUAUGCUCAAUUCUGUCAAUUGCUCAACAAUAAUUUGUUCACCCACCGUAGAAUACUUAUGCUCUCGAGAGAAGCCACUAGUGAAACCUAUGGCCCCCGGGUCUAUCUUUAUCAUAUUAAUCUCCUACUACUUAGUUAUUUCCUUUGCUUUUUACUUUGCCUUUAUUUUACUUCGCAUCUUUAUCACAAAAAUACGAAAAAAAUUAUCUUUAUCAUAUCUAUCAAAUCUCACCCUCGUAAGUGGCCGUUUAGGGAUUGACAACCCCUAUUCGCGUCGGUUGUGAGGAUUUAUUUGUUUUGUGCAGGUACAAGGGACUCGCGCGUAGCCUCCUACUGGAUUGAUACCUUGGUUCUCAAAACCUAUUUGAUUGCCGUAGCACGAUCGCGCUUCCUCGGGCGCUAUUGUCUCAAAAAUACCGUCGUCCAUCUCCGUGACCUCCAGUCUACUACUCAUGAGCUGGUUUGGGCGCCGUGGCCUCUUUGCUUUCGGUUCUAGACCAGCUCCGCUAGUCUCGGCGCCUGUCUCAGUCUCAUCGCCGAUCUGCAUGUCGGUAUCAGUCCCCGAUGCGACAUCACAGUUGCUGCAACAUGGGAAAGGGAGACCACGUCAGUGCUGGGGGGUCUGAAAAUCGGAACACACUUUCGCGCGUUGCGGGCCGCCUCUCAGACAGCUACUGGGGAGGCGGCGGAGUACCUGGGUGCGCGGCGAAUCCCCGGGAACUCGGUGACCAACUUCCUUCCCGUGUGGCGCAUGGAGACGACGGCGACCCCGGCGAAGAGCAGCUUAGCCGCGAGCUGCACAGCCUCGUCCACCUCCUAAGUUGGGACCUCCGUGCGAGCGUUGCGGGGCCGCCACUCGGAUGGCUUCUGGAAGGCGGUUGUACAUGGGCACAUGGUGAAUCCCGGCGAGAGCUUGCCAUUGGCGCGCUCAAGUAGACGACGACGUCCUCGACGAAGAGCAGCCCGGCCAGCUCGCCUCACUAUCGUUUGAUUAGAAAUGAAAGAUUGGGAAGAAGCAGACUUGAGCCUGCAGGGAAAGGAUAAGGUGACGAUGCAGUCUCCACUCGUUCGGGGCGACACUCGUACUGAAUGUAUGAGAAAUCUGACGUGGCAGAGACCCCAAGAUACUCCCUCCAUUUAUUUUUAGUCUGCAUAUAAAGUUUGGUCAAAGUCAAGAUUUGUAAAUUUUAACUAACUUUAUAAUAAAAAAAUAUCAACAUUCACAAUAUGAAAUCAAUAUUACCAGAUGCGUCAUGAAAUGUAUUUCCAUACUAUAUAGUUUUGGUAUUGUAGAUGUUCAUAUUUUUUUAUAUAUAUGGGAAGUAGAGGCACUCUUCUAUACUAUAUUCAGAUGUAUGAUAUCUGUUAUUUAAGCGCUUGAAUUUUACAUACGAAUAUUUAUUAUUAAAUAUGUACCCCUACAAUAGCUAGGCCGUGCAGUUGCACGGGUAGAUGACUAGUGAUUACAAUCUUGUUUGUGUGCAAGUCAAGCUUAUCUAGUUUACACGUAACAACUUGUAGAACAUUACAAAAUUUAUGCUUGCUAAUAACUUUUAGAACACUACAACACUUGACAUGUAAAAGGAAUUUGACUGAGUCAUGGCCUACUAAAGCAAGUUACAUUACUAGUCUUAUCUAUCUUAACAGACCACACAAGAUUACAAACUAAGUACCGUGACAGCCAUGCUUAUCUAGUUUAUGCGUAACAAUUUGCAGAAAAUUACAAACUUAGUUUCAGAAAGAUAGGCAAUCUAGAUUAGUGUUUGAGCUGUAAAGUGAAUAAGAUGAGUCAUGCAUGUUAUCACACCUUUUUGGUGGUCGAAUGAUAGUGCAACAACAAGGAACUUUAAUGACCAGUCCAAGAAUACACUUGUAAGUAGUGCCACCAAACAGAACAUACCAAAUGAUCAUUCCAUGGCAGCUAUAAAUAGCCCCAUAGCAUGACGAUCAUCCUUCCUCAUCCAUCAUUCUCAUAAGUAGAGCACAUCAUUUAAGCCAAGCAAGUUGUGGUCAAUACAAAUCCACCAUGAAGACCUUUCUCAUCCUUGCCCUCCUUGCUAUCGUGGCGACCACCGCCACAACCGCAGUUAGAGUUCCAGUGCCACAAUUGCAGCCACAAAAUCCAUCUCAGCAACAGCCACAAGAGCAAGUUCCAUUGGUACAACAACAACAAUUUCUAGGGCAGCAACAAACAUUUCCACCACAACAACCAUAUCCACAGCUGCAACCAUUUCCAUCACAACAACCAUAUCUACAGCUGCAACCAUUUCCGCAGCCGCAACUACCAUAUUCGCAGCCACAACCAUUUCGACCACAACAACCAUAUCCACAACCGCAACCACAGUAUUCGCAACCACAACAACCAAUUUCACAGCAUCAACAGCAGCAGCAGCAACAACAACAACAACAACAACAACAACAAAUCCUUCAACAAAUUUUGCAACAACAACUGAUUCCAUGCAUGGAUGUUGUAUUGCAGCAACACAACAUAGCGCAAGGAAGAUCACAAGUUUUGCAACAAAGUACUUACCAGCUGUUGCAAGAAUUGUGUUGUCAGCACCUAUGGCAGAUCCCUGAGCAGUCGCAGUGCCAGGCCAUCCACAAUGUUGUUCAUGCUAUUAUUCUGCAUCAACAACAACAAAAACAACAACAACAACAACAACAACAACCAUCGAGCCAGGUCUCCUUCCAACAGCCUCAGCAACAAUAUCCAUUAGGCUAGGGCUCCUUCCGGCCAUCUCAGCAAAACCCACAGGCCCAGGGCUCUGUCCAGCCUCAACAACUGCCCCAGUUCGAGGAAAUAAGGAACCUAGCGCUACAGACACUACCUGCAAUUUGCAAUGUCUACAUCCCUCCAUAUUGCACCAUCGCGCCAUUUGGCAUCUUCGGUACUAACUGAGAAGAAAAUAACUCUAGUACUAGAUAUAUGAAACACCGUUUUCUCAGUCCAUGGUUUGGUCGUUGUAGCGGUGAAAAAAUAAUGUGGCAUGCACUAUCAUGUAAGAACCCAAACUAUACUAGUUCAAACUUGGGAAUAAAAGACAAACACAGGUCUUGUCUACAUAUUUAUGUUGCAUCUAUUUAUAUAUUAAAAGUAAUAUAAGGUGAACCAGGAGCAAGGUAAAUAUGCUAGAAAAUUGCACGUUAAUUAGAAAUUACUAGCCCUCAAUCUGGUAAAUCUUAACAAAUAGAAUUAUCUUGACCGUUAGAUUUAUGUAACAUAUAUAAUGCUCUGGGCCUCCAACGACUGUACGUGACACAUCUGAACGCACAUAUCUUAAAGAAAAUAUAUUUGGUAAAUGGUGGGCCUCUUUAAAAAGAGAACUCACGUACAUGCACCAACUAAGAAAAACACAUACAUGUAAACGGGAAAAGGAUGAGAUUUUCUCACGUACGUGCUCCCUGGCUCCACCCCGUUGAAAAAAUAUACAUCUGGAGGCCACUUUGUUUCCUCAUCAAAAAAAAACUUACGUUAAAAAGAUUGCAUGCAUCCCAGGGAAAAUAGUCAAGAAGAAGUCGGCUCUUCCUUACAAAAACAAGGAACGUGUUAAGUUGACUUCAAAGAAAAAAGGAACAUGUUAAGUUAAAAAAAACAAGAAACCUGUUAAGUUAGAAAAAAACAAGGAACGUGUUGUCCUAGGAAAGAUAUGUGUCAAAUCUUACAAAAAAAAAGAAUACACACACGUACGUUCAUGCACUUGGAAAAUAGAAAAAAAAGGAACAUCACGUAUGUAUACACUUCGGAAACUCAUUACAUGACCAUGUCUGAUAUACUCCUCUAAUGCUUAAUAUUAGUGCCUAAUAAUUUAUAUUUAAAAUUUAAUUUACUGAUCAAAUAUCCCCACUGUAUAAAUUUUAAUUUGGCACAUUGUUUGGCUAUAGUAUGAACCUAAAUUUCCUCUUAUUAUUAUAUAUCAUGGUAAUAAUCCAAAGGCGACUAAUCUGCGCCGGCGCACCGGCGCAAUCAAUUCGGCCCGACACAGCGCGGCCGUUUGAUUAGAUUGCAUUUAACCGUCAGAUCUGGAAUCAUUUUAUUUCCAAUUAAACGGAUUCAACCAAACAGCAGAGAGGAAAACAAAGCAGCGCCGCCGCCAACACUAGCCAUGGACGACCGAUGUAGCAAAACCUUGAAGAACCGCCGCCGGUCGCCACCCUUGCCGCUGGUCGCCGCCCUCGCCGCCUGUGUUUCUCAUCGGCUUCAUGCAUGCAACAACAUGCACUCGUGAUUGCAGGCUUGCAGCUCCGGCUCUGGGGGACAUGGCCGCAUCUCCAGUAGCGCCGGCCGCCGGCCGCAGCACCUGUCGUUGUGGUCACGCUGUACCUCGCCGUGUGCCCUCCCAAGGAUCUUGCUGGUUCCAACAAAAAACGAUACCUGUUGUAGCAAAAAAGUUUAUCGCUUCCAGCAAAAAAGCUUACCGCUACAGCCCGCCAUCAUCAUUGUAGCAAAAAUGUUAACUCGAUGUAGCUUCUGUGGUUGCCGACUGCAGCCAAAAAUGACGUGGUUGUAGCAAAACACAAAAGAAAAACUCCGGCCGUCCGCUGUGUAUGGUGGUAACAAACCCUAUAGCCGGUGGUAGCGAAAAACUUCAUUGUUUGCAGCAAAAAAAUGUUGUCGCCCAUCGUCGAGGUUGCAUCAUCUUCAUGAAUUAUGUCGCAAAAAAACGUUGUCGCCGGUAGUAGCAAAUGAAGCCGCCGGUAGAAACAAAACAAGACACUGGUUCCAGCCAAAAAAAAAUCAGCGACAGAACCUUUUGUUGGUUCCAACAAAAAAACUUGUCGGUUGUAGCAUCCCUCGCCGCCGGAUGUAGCAUCUCCCAGGGCUGGUUGCAACACUCCAUAAAAAAAGGUUGUCUACGAGCGCAUCCAUGGCAACUGCUGCACCGUCAGCAACGAGGGGAAGAGGAGGCAAUGAAAAUCGUUCGAGUCGUAGCUCCACAGGACGCGGGUGCAGCAUAGGGAGUCCAAAAAUCUGUCACAAGCAAGAUGCGCCUUGCCAUCCUCCUGCGCAGGAGAGAGAAGAAAAAGGAAUAAGAGGAAGAAGAAAGGAAACGGGAGAAAGAAAAAAAGAAACGAUUGGUUGUGGGCUCAGGCAAUUAGUCAAACGAGGGGCACGCGGGGCCGCAGGAUACAGCGCAAUCGAACGAAGUGCGCGCGUCUGGCCGAAGACUCAGCUGGACUGCCGGCUGGAAAUGUUUCCCUAAUACAAAGGCUUUUCUGAAUGACAAGUCGUCUGAGUUAUCGGCUAACUAGAAAAAAGAUAAAUAUGCUAGAUAAUUCCAUAAUCAUUAGAAAUAUCUAGCCUUUAAUUAUGUAAAUCAGAAAAUCACAACCGUUGGAUUUACUUUAAAGGUAAAUUUCUCUAAAUUCCCACCAUUGCCAGUAUGUAGAAACAUGUGCUGCUUCAAUUCUCCCUUAAUCACCAAUCAAUCAACAACAGAAAACAUACCGCAGUUCAAAAAACUGAACAAAAAAAAGAAAAAAAGAAGAAAGGACAAGAUACACGCAUGUACACGACAGCCUUGGCUUGAAACACAUCAGUAAAUCAAGUGUCCACCUCCCUUACACAGAAUAAAUUCUAGGGAAGAAAAUAAUAGUGCAACCUAACCUUAUACGUACUAUUCUAUCCUCACGUCCCAUGAGGUUUACUAGCCUACUGCCGCCGCAUCAUGCCAUCCUCUCCUUUCAGCUCCCAUGCUCUCCAGCACCCUCCUUGCGGCGCCACUACUCGCCUAGGGAUAUUGCUGCUCAGACCGUGGAGCUUAACCUGCUUCUUCUUCAGCAAAUAUGGAACUGCUUUAGGAUCCUUCUGACAUCAGCGCGUAUGGGCCUCAUUAUACUGCAGCUCCUGGACCUCCUACAAUUGGUUGGCUAUGGCCAGUUGAUCGAUUUGCUGAUGUCCAGGUCUGUUUGCUGGCACAUAUGCUUUGGAAAUAGGCCACUAUGUUUGUACUUCAAAAUUGUUUCUGUAUUCUUUAGUGGUACAUCCUUUUAAGCGCCAGUUUUUUAUGUUAAUUCAUGCUGACAACACUUAACCUAGCCUUUCAUGUUCACGUACUAAAUACAGGAGCAAGUAAAAACAACAGACCACCUAAUUGCUCUGCAAGUUCUACAUAGGAAAAUUUGUCAUGUUCUACGAUCGCACUAUCCCACCCUUCUCUCUUGGUAUGGGCGCCAAUUGAGGGAUUGAUAAAAUUGAAACGAAGCCGUCACAGGGCUGGAAGUACCGCUAGCCUGGUUCGCACUGCAACCUACCCAACGCCAUCAGAAACUAGCAACUGAGUCAGGUGUUGAUCGAUUCUCUCAAAUUGCUCUCAUGUAAGUACUACCCCUUGCAUGUGCGUACAUACCUUUGUUGCAUUCUCAAACAGAUAGAACAUGUAUGAUCGGUGCAUGGCUAUUUUUCAUCACAUGACAUCCAGAUAACAAGCAUGAAAGGACUACAUUGGAGAUCAAAAAAUAUUGGUUCCUGGCUAGAGUACCACUACCUAUGGACUUGUCUCCAUAGAAUUUGUUCCCAAGAUGUUAUUUUAAUUAACCUCUUUAGCUUUCUUCCAUUGCAAACGGUGAUGUGCAUCUUGGUAUAUACGUGACCAUCUUGCACAUGUAUACACAAGAGGCUCAGACGGAGGUGUUGGAUUCUGGACGAGGGAAUAUAAAGCAGGAGUGAGCGAAGUGUAAAUAAUGGUGGGAGUACCGAUUGGUGUUAUGAAGAAAAAUGCCAUCAAAAGAUUGAUUAGUGUCAUGGAAGAUUAAUUUCUGAAUGCGAAUAUAUAUGUUACAUUGGUUUGGAUCUUUUUGAGAUAAUUGCACCUAAAUUAGGUUCUUUCUUAUUUCAUAUGUAUACCUUAUUUCAGUAAAAGUUCACAACGAACUUAGUAGGACAAAUAUAAUUUUGUUUGUUCUUUCUGUUGUCCGCCACCAAAGCUCAAUUUGAACUCUCUAGAAAUGGACAAUGAUUUAUGCAUUCUAUAUCUUCUUGAUUGAUUAGCCAUGACAAGGAAAUAAAAGGAUUGACUGAUAUAGCAUAACUUUGGAACGAUUAGAGGUUACUACAAAUAAGAGUAGUGUCUGUUGGAAUUUUGCUAGUAGGCCUUUGGCCCAAAGCCCAACUAAAAUUCUGAAAUUCUCUUGGCUCAUUUAUACACACAUGUGAGUUGAGUGAGUGAGACUAAAGUUUAGUCCCACCCCGGAAGUUGAGAGAGAGUUGCACCUCUUUAUAAGGUGAGCUCUUCUACCACUUGUAUGAGCAUGAGAAGAGGAGACCUACACGCGCGCUCCUCCUCCACGCUCGCCACGCCUCGUCGCGCCGCGCCGUGCCGCGGGUUGCGGGAUUGAGCCGAGCCGAGGACGUUUUCUAUAUUUUUGCUGCUCGGGAAAAAUUAAUGAGUCAUUAAUUAAUAAUUAAUGGACACAUUAAUUACUGAACCGUUUCCGAUUUUUUUGGAUCGUGACGACUCGGACGUGGGGUUUACUCCCAGGACCUACCCGGCCCGCACUAUAUAGUCAGGAAGAUGUCUACCCUAGCCGCCGCCGCUUCGUAUGGUUUCUCACCAUCGUUACAGAUCAUUGCGCCGCCAAGCAAGUUUUCUCCAUCCCUCCUUUCGGCGUGCACCGGGAGAAGGGACAGCAGACCUCCGGAACCCCGCCUCUCGUGAUCCUAUACGGGAGAGGGGCGAUCAGGUUUUUGGGGAGCGCACUCGCAUGACUGCUUGCAGCGACGACUUCGCAAACGACGACUUCUUCCCCGACCUCGGCAACCUCAUCCUCGACGACAUGGGCGACAACGUCAACGCCGGCGAUGCUACACCCACUGCACCGUAUGUUAUUCUCUCCUUCUUGUUCGAGAUCGUGGUAGAAUUCAUGUUUCUAGUAUAUGUGCCCUAGAUGUGAUCUGUUCAUCUACUAUGGUAGUUCGCAUGAUUAGUUUAAUCUCUGCUAUUGCUGUCAUGAUCUAUUUCCUAUUUAUUCGGAUUAAAUCUCUUUGUAAUUUGCUCAUUUUUCCAACAAUCCAAAAACCUGAUUAUAGGAAAUUUACUCCGAGUGGUUUUGCUGCGCAUCUGAAAGCCGCUUGCCUUUAAGGGGGCGCAAUAUAAGAGGUGGCGCACCAGAGCAGUCUACUGGUUUCAGAUCAUGGGCUGCUAUGACGCCACCAAGGGCAAGCCUGAGGGCGAUCUUAAUCCAGCACAGCUGGAAGCUUUCAAGAAGAUCAAUACCCUCUUUAAAGGCACGCUUCUGAGUGUUCUUGAUGACUCCAUUGUAGAUUCGUAUAUGUCGUUUGACAACGGCAAGAACAUGUGGGCUACGCUCGAGGCCAAGUUUGGUGCCUCGGACGCCGGCAGCGAGUUGUACGUCAUGGAGCAAUUAUAUGACUCCAAGAUGACUGAUGGGCGCCCUGUUGUACAUGGGCGACUUCUUCCCCGACCUCGGCAACCUCAUCCUCGACGACAUGGGUGACAACGUCAAUGCCAGCGGUGCUACACCCACUGCACCGUAUGUUAUUCUAUCCUUCUUGUUCGAGAUCGUGGUAGAAUUCAGAUUUCUAGCAUGUUCCCUAGAUGUGAUCUGUUCAUCUACUAUGCUAAUUCGCAUGAUUAGUUUAAUCUCUGCUAUUGCUGUCAUGAUCUAUUUCCUAUUUAUUCGGAUUAAAUCUCGUAGUAAUUUGCUCAUUUUUCCAACAGUGCCAUCCAAUAGAUGAUGUAAAUCUCCUCAAGUUUGACGUUGUUGAGCUAAUUUACAAAAAAAACCUCAUCAUUAUUGGAUGUCCUUAACAGCUCAAGAACAAGUUGGGGUCGAAAUAAUGGAUUUUACACUUUUACAUUAAAGGUUUAGCUAAAGCAAGCAGGUGUUUUUAAAACUGAAUUUUUUCCUCCUGAAUUUCUUUGUAUUUUCUUAUUGACACUAUUUAUACAAUCAUCUGACAAAGAUUAGCUAAAGCUGUUUGUAGAUACGUUGAAACCUGAAAAGCUUCUUUGGUUAUCCUUUUAAUAGUUCUACGUUUAUUUUCUCAUAGGUCAUAAUUCUUAUGUAAUACCAAGAUGCAUUGUGGUAGUGUACAUGUGUUAAAUUCAGGUUGUUAUUCACAAUUUGCGACAAAAUUUAGCUCACGCUACAUUUAAAUAUGUUGAAAUGUGAAAGCUCUUUUUCUUCUCCUUUCUACACCUUGCAUCGGAUUGCAUCCCUUUAGUUAUCCAACAUUUUGUUCAACAUGUAGAGAUUAGGAAGUUCAUCAUAGUUUGUCUAUUUCCGUGCUAAUAAAUGUAUGAAAUCUGCAUUUCCAAGCUACUAGGACAAGUAAAAAAUAAUAAUUUUACUAGAGGAUUCAAAAACAGCAGUUCUGAAGUGCACUUUAUUUAUUUGUGAAAGUGAUCACAUUUUGUUUCAUUUUUCUAUAGACAAAUCUACUAAUACAUACUCACGAUAAAACUAUAAAAGUUCUAGUCCGCACAUUGGGCGGGCCACCCGGCUAGUUAGUCUAAAGAUAACAAAAUGAGUCUGGAAUUUGAAUUAAAUUGAAGUAUUUUCUUGGACUAUCCACAUCCUUGGCUUGCCCCUGAUCAAUUAUUUCCAGAGAAGCAUUCAAUUCAUCAAUCAAUUACAUUGAUUUUAGUGGCUAGUACAUCACCUCAACAUCAGUAUAUUCACCGUGGCCACUCCAAAUCGGCAAGAAUGAGGUACCAGUGCUCUGGAGAAGUGCAAGCUAAUUGCUUCUCAUGUGAAGGGGUGCGGGCGCGGGAGAGGUAUUUCUGGUGGGCCAAGGGACUAAGAAGCGACCGUGGCAGCGGUACAGAUGCCCGCAAAGCCUCAUAAUUUGUUUUUGGUUUACAGGAAAAAUGCACAUCCAUACUGGCCCGGGGAAUAUAGCACUGUAUUGGAUGGAAAACAAUGUCCGGAUGGUUGUGUGCGGUUUGAGGGUUAGCUUUUGUAACGCCCGGUUAGUUAUGCUAUAGCAAUUCCCUGCUAAUGAUGUCACGUCACCACGAUUACUGUUGUUAACCUCACAAUGAUUCAAUCUCGUUCAAAUUCAAAUUUAAAAUAAAGGCAAACAUCAAAAGUUUUCAAACAUUAAAACUAAAAUCUUUGAGAGGUGACAAAUAAUGCAUAAGUAAUUAUGGUGAAGAAACCACACUUUAAUCAAAUGUUUAAAUACUCUAAAAUGAAAAAAAAACAGUGACUUAAACUAUUAUUUAAAUGCUUUUAAAAUAGUAAAAAUCUUCUAACUAAAUUAUUUGGGUACCAAAACUUUUGGUGGCAGUGGUAUAUUUAGUAGAACUAAUUUAGAUGCUAAUUAUAUAAUUUACAAAAUUAGAGUAAAUUGAAAAAUAGGAUAAAACGAAAAAAGGAAAAACAAAACAAAUAAAAGCAAAAGGGGGCAACCCCUCGCUGGGCCUCGGCCUAGCUGGCCACUAGGCUAGCUAGGCUCGCCCCGCCGCCUCCCUUAACCCCCCACUCCCCGUCGAACCCAAGCCCGAUCGCCCCACUUCCCCCACACCCCCUCGCCGGUCUCCCCACCUCUUGAUCCCAUCUGGAUCGGGGAGGGUAUUGCCCCCAUCGAACCCGUUGCUGUCGCCGGAUCGCCCGCCGACGUCGCCAGGCCUCCUCCCCGUCGCCCGUCUCCGGCUCACCUCCCCUCUCGCUCCUCUUCCCUGACCCGAUCUGGAUCGUGAACGAGCAAUGAGCUCGAAGCCCCCCUUCACCGGCGCCAUCACCGUGCGCCACCACCACCGCCUGAAGACCUCACCGUCGCCGAACCUUGCGUCGCUGUAACACCCUCGAUGCGACUAUAUCUCCCACGUGUCGAGGCACGACUUAGAGGCAUAAUCGCAUUGAAGGCAUAUGUCGCAAGUGAGGUAGUCUUCACACAACCCAUGUAAUAUAAUAAGGGAAAGAGAUACAUAGUUGGCUUACACUCGCCACUUCACACAAUUACAUGAAUAAAACAUUACAUCAACCAAGUACACUCAUGGUCCGACCACGGAACCAAAAUAAAGAAGAACCCCAAAAGCGACAAAGGUCCCCGAUCGACCCCAACUGGGCUCCACUACUGAUCAAUUAGAACGAAACAGCUCAACGGACAAAGUCUUCAUCGAGCUCCUCCUGAGCUUGGUUGCGUCCUGCUCGGACUCAUCGGCACCUCCAAGCUGGUUUUGGAAGUAUCUGUGAGCCACGGGGACUCAGCAAUCUCGCACCCUCGCGAUCAAGACUAUUUAAGCUUAUGGGUAAGGUAAAGGUAUGAGGUGGAGCUGCAGCAAGCGACUAGCAUAUAUGGUGGCUAACCUAUUCGCAAAUGAGAGCGAGAAGAGAAGGCAAAGCACGGUCGAUAAAAGUAUGAUCAAGAAGUGAUCCUAGACUACCUACGUCAAGCAUAACUCCAACAACCGUGUUCACUUCCCGGACUCCGCCGGAAAAAGACCAUCACGGUUACACAUGCUGUUGAUUCAUUUUAAUUAAGGUCAAUUUUAGAUUUUCUACAACCGGACGUUAACAAAUUCCCAUCUGCCCAUAACCGCGGGCACGGCUUUCGAAAGUUCAAAUCCCUGCAGGGUGUCCCAACUUAGCCCAUGACAAGCUCUCACGGUCAACGAAGGAAUAGACCUCCACCCGAGAUAUUCCGAUCAGACUCGGUAUCCCAGUACAACAAGACAUUUCGACAGGGUAAAACUAAACCAGCAACACCGCCCGAUGCGCCGACAUCCUGAUGGGAGCUGCACAUAUCUCGUUCUCAGGGCAACACUGGAUUGUCUAAACUUCCGGUAGGCCAGCCCAGAGUUGCCCCUGGUGGCCACCGGCGGCUGACGGUUUGGACCAACACUUAGACAAGCACUGGCCCGGGGGGGUUAAAAAACGAUGACCCUCAGGAGCGCGACUCCCAAGGGAAAAGAAAAGGCUAGGUGGCAAAUGGUAAAGCCAAUGUUGGGCAUUGCUGGCAAAGCUUUACUUAAGGCGAACUGUCAAGGGGUUCCCAUUAUAGCCCAACCGCGUAAGGGACGCAAAGUCCAGGAACAUAACACUGAUAUGACGGAAACUAGGGCGGCAAGAGUGGAACAAAACACCAGGCAUAAGGCCGAGCCUUCCACCCUUUACCAAGUAUAUAGAUGCAUUAAUUAAAUAAGAUAUAUAGUGAUAUCCCAACAAGUAAACAAAUGUUCCAACAAGGAACGGCCUCCAAUCUUCACCUGCAACUAACAACGCUAUAAAAGGGGCUGAGCAAAGCGGUAACAUAGCAAUUCAACGGUUUGCUAGGACAAUGGUGGGUUAGGGGCUGAACAUGGCAAUUUGGGAGGCUGACAAGCAAGUGGUAGGCAUUGUAGCAAUGGCAUAGCAAAAGAGUGAGCAUACUAGCAUAGCAAAGAUAGUAGUGACUUCGAGGGUAUGAUCAUCUUGCCUGAAAUCCCGCAAGGAAGAAGAACGAGUCCAUGAAGAAGACAAACGGGCGUAGUCGAACGGGUCCUCACAAUCACGACGUUAUCGGAACCAACCCGAAGAAGCAAUCACCGGAAAAGAAGCACACACAACAUAGUAAACACCCAACACAUCAACAUGGCAAGAUGCACAAUCGAGUAUGAUGCAUGUCCGGUUUAAAGAGGCAUGGCAUGGCAAAGUGCACAAACAACCCUACAAAUUAAGUGGAGCUCAAUAUGCAACGGUUGCAUAUUGACGAAACACCACGUCAAUUAUUUAGUUCGAUCUCGUUUAUGUACCCAACAAUAUUAAAUGUUGUUAAAACAUGGCAAGAGGGGAAACAUGAUGAAACUAUCUAAUCUAGGCAAGUUUAAAUGAGGCCGGAAGCAACGAACAACAAUUCCGGAAAAUCCUCAUGUGUAAAUAUUAGGUUAGGUCCUGAUCUGUCCUAAACACAAUUUAAGCGUUGUUUAACAUGCAAGAUGAGGCCACCACGUUAAACUAGGCAAAAUUCUACCCGAUUUACAUAUAAAGAUUAUUAAAAUCGGAGUUACGGUUAAUUAGAUAUGAAUAAAAUCAUUUUAGCAUGGCAUGGGAGCAAACUUAAACAAACAUCAUUUUAGACAUUUUUUAAUUGUUGUUAUCAUGAUGCGGAUGACAUGAACAAGUUUAACGCAAUUUUAAUUAAGACUUGACAAGAGCAUUAUCAUGAAGCAUUGUCACCGUGGUGGAAGGAAAAAGGGGGUGCCACGGCAACGAAUCCGAAAAUGAUGCCAUGGCAACAUAUCGGUUCCGGUAACUCGAUUGAGAUCCCGGUGCAAACGAAAAAAACGACGGGAGCGUGACACGCGAUAGGAGGUGGGGUGAUCCCGGAUAUCGGGUUCCCACAAUAUGGUGACAAAGCAAAAGAGGGGCGACGUGCACCGAACAACUCCGACACGGAGCAAACACGAGCAUUUCAUACAUCACACAUGCAUUCGUUCACGGGCAUCGUUCCGGCGGUUAUACCUUUGAAGCGAGCAUCAUCGAAACGGAUCGAGUUCGACGGUAGGGGUACACGUGUCGACGAGGAAGUAGUUGUACACGGGGUCGUCGUGGGAAGUAGUCAUUCUCGCGAUGGUAGUGGAAGUAGGGGUACAUGACGACGUAGAGGUGCUCGCGACGGUAGUCGUUCACGUUUGCGUUUCACGGGUCUUCGGCGACGGUUGUCGUACAUGGUCCACAAGACGUCGAUCGUUCGGGGUCCGAUUUGCGGAUCUUGCCGACAUGAAGGGGUACUUGGCGUUCUCCGGACUUGCUGGUCUCGUCGAAACGAAGGGGUACUUGGUACAAUCCUCGUAGUCGUGCACUUGUCGUCAAGGGACUAGAUGGAUCCGAGGCUUCCGGAGGCGACGGUAGUGGGACUUGGUGAAUCCGAGUUCUUCAGAGGUCGUCAUGGUACUUGGUGAAAUCCUCGGAGAUGGACUUGACGCACGAAAGGUCUUCGGUGCCACGGUACUUGUCUGAUCACACACGGAGAUGCAUCGAUGGAUCUCUGACUCGUCCUGGCGAUGGACGAACUUGGCGAAAACCCCGAAGGCGGUCUUGAGCUUCCCUGGUUACCGCACCUUGGCAGAGACCAGAGGAACGACGAGGCCAGCGGGCAGCAACCGAAGAUGCCUGAGGUCUGUGGGCGUCCAGAUCAGGUGGCCUUCUGGCUAGGCAAGGACGACGAGGAGGAUGCCGAGGCGCGGGGACGAGGUAGGAGGCGGCACGGGAGCACGGCGCGGGCGUGGGCGCUCCUGGUGGGCGCAGAGGACGACGACGGCAGGCCAUGGCAGGGGCGGAGGCGCGGUUCCCUGGACCGGUAGGGCCGCGGCGGCGCUGUGGUGCCCGGCGGCCUCGGCGACGCGGCGAGGGAGGGGAUCCGGCGGGGCGCGAGGGAGCUCGGUGGCGGCGCAGGCUGCAGUGCCCGACAGAUGGAGGAGGCGCGGCAGGGUGGCUCCGGCCAGGGCACGGCGCGGGGAGCGCAAGACGGCGGCGAGGAGGCCGAUGAGGCUCCGACCUGGUACUUGGAUCGAAGGAGGAGGGAGGAUGAGGGGAGCCGGAGGGAGAUCGAGAGGGGGGUUCGAGCAGCUGGGGAUGGGGAUCGGGCUGCGAGGGAAAAUGGGGGUCGGGCACGAGAGAGAGAGAUCGAGGGGAGAUGGCGGCGCUGCGGGAACGAGAGGGAGAUGAGUGUGGUGCAGGAGCUGGGCUUCGGGCCUUCUAGGGUUAGGAGGGAGUGGGCCAGGGAGGCCGGCCGAGGAGAGAGAGGCCCAGGUGGGCAGGGGCGCGGCCUGCGGGGAAGGAUGGGCCUAGGGAGGCCUGAGGCUGCAGCUGGGCUGGACUCUCUUUCCCUCUUUCUCUAAUUUUCUUUAGCAGCAAAUGAUUAAAGAGAAAGAAAAGAAAGAGGGGGUUAGGGAAAGGAGUCGGACACGCGGAUAAUUUUCCCGGACUCACAAAAUUGCACUUGUUCCGAGAAAAAUGAAGUGGGCAAGAUUGCAAGAAUUAAAUUCAAGGACAAUUGAAUUUAAUUAGAAAGGUUGCACAAGGACUAGGAUUUAGGAGAGUCCAAAAAUGUUGAGAAAUUAGGAGGAGCCUCAAUAAAUGGGAAAAGAGAUGUUGGCAAAGUUUGGGGACCAAACUUGAAGUAGAAAGGGAGUGGGGAUUUUUCCAGUGUGUUUUGGUUAAUUCCGAAAGAAUGGAAUAUUUUAUAAUAGCCCCACUAAUAUCGGGACGAUAUGUUAUAAAGAGAAGUCAUCCUUCCCUCGAUUUAAAUGGAUCGAAGAUCCAUAUGAAUUAUUUAGUUGAGAUGCAAAAGAUUAUGACAUGAUGACAUGAUGCAAUGCACAUGAUGACGUGACAUGGUGCAACACGCAAGCACAUGACAACGCAACAACAUCGAAUAACUGCACGACACCUGGCACAUCGGUCUCGGGGCGUUACAGUCGCCUCCUUGUAUCCCCCCCCUACUCGCAUCCUCAAGCCAGGCCGAGCCCCUUCUCGGCAACGCUGUGAGACGCCCCCGUUUCCCUCCUCUUUCCACCGCAUUCACCGCGCCGCUCGCCGUGCCCGUCGCCGUGCGUGAGCCCACCACCGCACCAGCCCCCGCUCCGCGCACGACCCUACCCGCGCCCGCGCCAUGAUCCCCUUUUCCGCCCUACCUUCACGCGCUCGCCGCGAUCCCGAUGCUCCCCCGCGCCCUCUUUCGGGCGCGCCGACUGCCCCUGUCCUGGUGCUCGCCGCCGUGCCUCGCCACCGCUCUACUGCUACGUUACUACUGCGCUGCGGCCGCCGCCUCUUCCCGCUGCUCCGCUAGCGCCGGAGCUCCCGGUUGGCUCCACCACUGCUCACGUUAAACCGCCGGCCUAAAUGGCCUAACCCCCGGCUAAUGAACCCCCACUAACCCACUGACACCGGGACCCACAUUCCCUAAUUAACCAUUUAAUAAAUUAAAACUCUUAAAUUAACAUUAGUGUAUGACAUGUGCGUCCCCUGUUAAUUAAUAAUUUUACUGCUAGUUUUAUUAGUUUCUGUUUUUUCUGCAUAUUUCUUUUGUAUUUGAACAGGCUUUAUACAAUAAUAUUUAGCGUAUCAUACACAUACAAAUGUAAUCAUAGCAUAUACAUACAAAUAGUCUCAUCAAAUCAUGUCAUCAUCAUAAUCAUCAUCCAUCACAAAGUGGUCUCUCGUCAUCAUCUCGAAAAUAGCGAUACAAGUCUCGAUUACUUGCAACUACAUCGUCAUCCAUCUAAACAAUGAUAUACGCGAGAAGAGCUCUCACUAUGAGUGAGAGCGGAACUAUGCAGUACAUGAGUUUGUAUCCCUCUCUCGCAUUAGCGUGAACCUAAACUAACGACUCGCUGUUGCUCGGAAACCGGAAACCGGUACACCUGGGCCUGACACUCCGGCCACUCGUCGUAUACUCCUGGCGUAGCACUUCUUCGCCAUCGAUGAUCUAUGCACCUGCAUCGUCACAUGAGUCGAUGAUAUGCAACAUAUAUAGUUGAGUAACAGAAAGAGACAGACUUCGCAAAAAUAGAAGCAACAUAUCAUAAGUAUAAAUAACAAAGUUCAUCCUACCCAAAAUGCCCUAACUAGAGUGAUCUUCGCUAGUCGAGGAGGACGGUUUAAUUACAUCACAAAUAACGUUUCGUCGUGCAUAACUCAAAGUUCCGUCAUACAGAAAGUAUGAACUAAACGGACACAUUGUCAUAUUUCGAAAAUCACUCCAACAUAUCGUACCAUCCAUCCAAGUCAAGGAGAGAGUGCCCGAGCUUAGUGAAAGGCUUGUGGUCGAGACGCUGAGCGGCUACGCGUGUUCGAAAGUCUUCCCACGUCAUUUGUCCUUCUUCAUAGAACAUCCCUGUUUUUUCGACGACCUCCUUCAUGAUGAUUUGGACAAGUUCGCACUGGAAGUGAUAUAACUCAUCUCGAAGUGGAUGAUCCUCGAUAUCUCCUAAGUUCUUUGCCCAUUGCAGAAUAUGGGCAUCGCUGAAUUUAGGUGACAUGCAAAGGUUCCGGUGAUCUCGUCUAUACUCCAUCAUAUGGACAUAGAAUCGAUCAUCAAGAGAAUCACUCGGUUGCUGGAUGCAGCUGAAGUGGGUCUUAUGGGCCUGCCGUCCCUUUUCUUCUUGUCCUUGACCUCUCCACCCCGUGCAUCGUAGUAAAACGUAGCACUGUCGAGAAUAGACUUGAUGUGGGUGUAAUCCUUUUUGUUAAUGUUCUUCGACGAGUCCACAGUAUCGGGGGUAGCGGAUAAUGAGGACGGCGCUGAAGGAAAUAUGCCCUAGAGGCAAUAAUAAAGUUAUUAUUUAUUUCCUUAUAUCAUGAUAAAUGUUUAUUAUUCAUGCUAGAAUUGUAUUAACCGGAAACAUAAUACAUGUGUGAAUACAUAGACCAACAGAGUGUCACUAGUAUGCCUCUACUUGACUAGCUCGUUAAUCAAAGAUAGUUAUGUUUCCUAACCAUGAACAAAGAGUUGUUAUUUGAUUAACGAGGUCACAUCAUUAGUUGAAUGAUCUGAUUGACAUGACCCAUUCCAUUAGCUUAGCACCCGAUCGUUUAGUAUGUUGCUAUUGCUUUCUUCAUGACUUAUACAUGUUCCUAUAACUAUGAGAUUAUGCAACUCCCAUUUACCGGAGGAACACUUUGGGUACUACCAAACGUCACAACGUAACUGGGUGAUUAUAAAGGAGUACUACAGGUGUCUCCAAUGGUAGAUGUUGGGUUGGCGUAUUUCGAGAUUAGGGUUUGUCACUCCGAUUGUCGGAGAGGUAUCUCUGGGCCCUCUCGGUAAUGCACAUCACAUAAGCCUUGCAAGCACUGCAACUAAUAUGUUAGUUGUGAGAUGAUGUAUUACGGAACGAGUAAAGAGACUUGCCAGUAACGAGAUUGAACUAGGUAUUGGAUACCGACGAUCGAAUCUCGGGCAAGUAACAUACCGAUGACAAAGGGAACAACGUAUGUUGUUAUGCGGUCUGACCGAUAAAGAUCUUCGUAGAAUAUGUAGGAGCCAAUAUGGGCAUCCAGGUCCCGCUAUUGGUUAUUGACCGGAGACGUGUCUCGGUCAUGUCUACAUUGUUCUCGAACCGUAGGGUCCGCACGCUUAAUGUUACGAUGACAGUUAUUAUGAGUUUAUGCAUUUUGAUGUACCGAAGGUUGUUCGGAGUCCCGGAUGAGAUCACGGACAUGACGAGGAGUCUUGAAAUGGUCGAGACGUAAAGAUUGAUAUAUUGGAAGCCUAUGUUUGGACAUAGGAAGUGUUCCGGGUGAAAUCGGGAUUUUACCGGAAUACCGGAAGGGUUACCGGAACCCCCCGGGAGACUAAUGGGCCUAUUGGGCCUUAGUGGAAAAAGAGAAAAGGGGCAGCCCAUAGCUGGCCGGCGCCCCCCCCCUUUCCCCAAGUCCUAGUAGGACUAGGAGAAGGGGCCGGCCCCCCCUCUUUCUCCUUUCCCCCCGAGAGUCCUAAUUGGAAUAGGAUUGGAGGGAGGAGUCCUACUCCCGGUGGGAGUAGGACUCCCCUGCGCCUCCCUCUCCCUGGCCGGCCGGCCCCCCUUCCUCCAACCUUUAUAUACGGGGGCAGGGGACACCCCAAGACACACAAGUUGAUCCUUGAGAUCGUUCCUUAGCCGUGUGCGGUGCCCCCUGCCACCAAAUUCCACCUCGAUCGUACCGUUACAGUGCUUAGGCGAAGCCCUGCGUCGGUAGUACAUCAAGAUCGUCACCACGCCGUCGUGCUGACGGAACUCUUCCUCGACACUUUGCUGGAUCGGAGCCCGAGGAACGUCAUCGAGCUGAACGUGUGCUAAGAACUCGGAGGUGCCGGAGUAACGGUGCUUGGAUCGGUCGGAUCGGGAAGAAGACGUACGACUACUUCCUCUACGUUGUGUGAUCGCUUCCGCAGUCGGUCUGCGUUGGUACAUAGACAACACUCUCCCCUCUCGUUGCUGUGCAUCACCAUGAUCUUGCGUGUGCGUAGGAAAAUUUUCGAAAUUACUGCGUUCCCCAACAGGCGCGCCCGCCGCUGCGCAAAAUAAGUACACCUCCAAUUAAUUACACUCCAUCGUUCAAAUGAAUGAUUGAAAUCGAAGGAAGGAUAUCUGCGCGGAUGACUUACACGAGAUGAUAAGCCAUGAGAAUCGCCUCCUUGUCCUUAUUGGCAAGCAUGAAAUCGACGAUGUAUUCCUCGCGUAUUCACGGUGCUUUGCACGGACUCCCAAGAAGCCCUCGUGCAUGAAGUACGGGUCAGCAACACAGAUAUGAGGUAUCUGCUCAACCCCGAUGAGGUAGUUCAUGUGCAAGGCAUAAAGGCGGACAAACGUAAAAUCCAGCUUCUUUAAGUGAAACAUGUUGAAGAUGUAAUCGAAUCGAAGGAAAAACUUCUUCGAGGGGAAUGUGUCGACGUACGACAAUUGCCGCGGCACGUUAACCACGUAGAGAGGGUAUCCUGGAUUUUUCGAGGCGAUGAGGCCUUUCUCUAUCCGCAACACGUCGUCAUGAAGUCUCCUUAGAUUGCCGGAUCUGGCCCCUAGUGCUGCUUUCGGUAGGAUUGGUUCACCGGGAUACGCCAUUUUGCCGCUCCGGGGAUAUCUAUACGGUCUUGAACCCGAGGCUGCUGAGGCGGCUGGAUCAUAGAAGCAGCUUUGUUGGCUUUCCUCGGUGUAUUCCUAAGCUUCUUUGCUACCGGAAGGUCGUCUAUAAUAUGUUCAGCCUCCGGAGGCGGCAAUUCAAGCACCGACUCAUGACGCUCAAACCCUUAGUAGGCGCCAGUAUUGAGAUACUAUUGAGUGUCAUUGUCAUCCUCAUCUAUGGCGGUGUCACCAGCGACAAAUGGAGCCUCUUCCUCACCCCGUCCGCUAUCACCCAGCACGACAGCCGGCGCUAAUUGGGUAGGUGGGGUGUUGAUGUUCAUACCUAACUGCGUGCUCGUGUGUGUGCUCCCGGCCGUCUCCAAACAAAGCAGACUCUUUGGCCACAAUAGGACCCACCCAUUGCAAUCACCAAGCCGCUGCGGGAUCUUGUCGUCAUUCCCCCUAGUACCGGAGGAGCCAAAUUCUCCUGGCCUGGUUUGACACUGGCCACGGAAACUUUGAAGAUGUCCAGGGGGAUCGAUCGGCCGUGGAACAAUGGUUCCUUCAGCUUCAUUAUCGUCACCUUCCCCACGUCCACCUCCUGGUAGCGGAUGCUGUACAAUAUGGUGCACGGGGUUAUAUUGGCCUGCAAAGACAUUUCUGUGAUGUGAGAUAUCCGAAAGGCAACGGAAAUGGGAGAUUAUACAUUUAUUGAAGAGGGCCGGUGUGACAGAUACCGUGAGGGCGUCGAGCUCAGCCAAAGACGAAGCACCGCUGAGCACGUCUGGUGUCGGAGCCGGUGCCGGAGCAGGUGCGGGAGCCCGUGCGGGAGCAGGUGUAGGUGCCGGUGCAACGCUAGUUGAGCUACUCCCGAAGAAGUCAGCAAGGGGAAAGUCUGCUGUAUUUUUUUCUGGAUUUUGCAUGCUCCAAUUGAAAACGGCCGGAACCAAGACAGAAGACAUAUCUGGAACCACCUGUUUUGCGGCAGCUAUCGCAGUUGUGACUGUCUCAGAUGAUUUCUUCUCAACCGCAAUCUCAACCUUCUGGUUGAUGUUUUCUUCAGUUAACCUCCGUCUUUCCUUUCUCUCCUCUGUGGUCUCACGGUAGUACUUCUUCCAUGUGGCGCCGUCUUCGACACCGUGCACGCGUCCAUACGACGGCCGAUUCUCCACCGGGAGUCCUUUCAAUAUGUUCAAUGCCCGAUUGAAUGGAGUGUUCCACUUGGGCCUCGCCAACACCUCAGACGGUGAGUCACUUUCGGCUGCAAUCUUGUGCUGCUCUCUCUACAAAAGGAACAAGGAUCGUUUACAAAUAUGACUAAACGUGCAGUCGAAUUGAUCAGAAACUAAAAUUACCGGCAGUCCCAUGAACUUCGUCGUGAUCAGGUCAGUCUUGAAAACCUUCUUGACUGAGUCCCAAUGGUGUCGUGCCCCGAGGACGUCAUGCUCCCGCGGGACGGUGAAGUCCGCCAAGGGGUCUGGGAUGCCCAGACUUUCGCGUUCCGCGUCCUCCUAUGCCCAUAUGGACCUCUUCCCGCCGUAACCACGGCUUCCGAGGUGGUGGCGCCCUAUGUUCCUUUGUUGAAGCCCCUUCAUGUACUUCGACUUUUUUUGGCAGCUUCGGCCUCGCAAGCCGCCUUGAAUUUUUCAAAGUGCUCUCCCGUGAUUGUCGGAUUAUCCUUUACAAUCUCAGAGUAUGGUUCCUUUUUGUCGACAAUCCGAUGUUUCAACCUUGUUUUCCAGGUGCCCAACGCGUCACUAAACUUGGUCAUGGCGUGUUUGUUUAUCUUCUUCAUUGCCGGGUCCUUAUUUGGAUCUUUAUAAUCCAUUUCAUUCCGGCCCGGGAACAACAAUAUCUGGUGCAGCUUCUUUAGGAGAGAGGGCCUCAUAUUAUCUAUCUUCUGUAGUUUCCCAUCAUUGAUCGUGGCAGUUGUCCGUACGAUGCAGCCUACUUGAUUGCCGUAGCACGAUCGCGCUUCCUCGGGCGCUAUUGUCUGAAAAACACUGUCGUCCAUCUCCGUGACCACCAGUCUAGUAGUCAUGAGCAGGUUUGGGCGCCGUGGCUUCUUUGCUUUCGGUUCUAGACCAGCUCCGCUAGUCUCGGCGCCGGUCUCAGUCUCAUCGCCAGUCUGCAUGUCGGUAUCAGUCCCCGAUGCGAUAGGUCGGCCCAGCAACAACAUUCGUUGAUCGUCGGCAAGGCUCAAAAAUUCAUCUGCCGCCAGGUAGACGUGUCGCAAUCACCAGAACCCUAUCCUUCAUCGUUGCUAGCCAUGUUUCCUACGAUUAUGCCUAGUCAAUUAAUUUUAGACCUAAUAAAAUGAAUAAUGACAUAAAACAGGCCAAUGUUUUGCAGGAUUACAACUCAACCCAUUGCAGAUUAGAAAACAAGCCCGUGUGAAUGCACAGGCUGACCACUAGUCUAUCUAUACCUAUACCUACCUAUACUAAUUACAGACUCCCAAGUAAUUCCCACGUUAAUUAGUAAUUAAGAGCCGUUAAUCUUGUGGGACCAAAUUAUUACGACAGUCCACGAUCUCUUUUCUCUCUGUGUAAAAAAAAAGGUCCACGAUCUCUUUUCUCCGUUGUAAAAGAUAAAGGCAACUCAGGUCCACGAUCUCUUUUCACGGUUGUGAAAGAUAAAGACAACUCCCGUCUUCUUCUAAUCUAUAGUUCUAUACCUCCACGACCCCUUCCUCUCCCCAUUUAAAAGGAACAAGCUGAACCAAUAUCUAAGCAUGCAAUUGGUUCCUGUGCGGUCUUGACCUUCCAUCCGUCCACUGCUCGAUCGGCCCUCCCUCAACUACAAGCUGACAAGCCACCAUCGCCAUCCAGCGGCACGCCACCGUUCAUGCAUGUGUUUUUGCCCUUCAAUCUGAAGGAGAUGCGUUGGCUACUCAAGUAACUCUGUUUGUUUUGUUCAAACCAAUUUCGUUAAUUCGGUUCUUUGAUUAUCUUAUUGACAUGGCCUGUGAGUUUUGUGCUAGUGAUACAGGGCCUGUCUACUAGAUUCUCUCCUUGCAACUUCUAUUGUUGUCUCGAUUUGGUGUGGUCAAGAUCCUUGCCCCACCACAAGCAGCACCUUUGCACCAUCGGGGAAAUCUGUCAUAGCAAACAGAGGUAUGUAACAUGCUUUGGUGUUUUCCUCUUUCGUUUAGAUCACUAGAGUUGCUCAACCACACCAUUCAUUGAUUAGUAGUUGGCCUGAGAAGUUGCUCGGUCACCUGCAGCGUCUGAUCCCCUUCUUGACCCUCUCAUUCUGGUCAUUAUCCACCGGCAGGUCAAUGCCAAACGGAUCGUUCGUUGCCGCCACCUUGCGGAGACCGAUGUUUGGCUGCCCUCCUGCCAUCCUGGCGCUCUGGUACCGGUCACUGUGCCGUUGUUCUAGAAGAACUAUGUCACACGAAGCGAGAUAUCUUCUUACUAAUCUGGAACAUAAGUGUUUCUUCUUACUAGGAUUCGCUCACCGGUGCAUUCAUCUCUUUUUGGAAAAUACGGCCUUCAUAUUUCACACGCCUAUACAUGGGUGCUGUCCCAACAAUAAUCCAUCUAAUCCAUGAUGCACAUUCAUGAAGACUGAUGUGACUGAAUUAAUAUAUCAAUCUGGUGCUUCCGGAUCAGCACUUGAAGAAGCAACCCCUUUAGUUCAUAAAUAUAUCAUACGAAAGUCAGGGGAGAAAUCAACUAAGUCAUGUGUGCUUUUCUAAUUAUUUACUAUACACUAAUUCCAUUUUUUCAGUAGAAGGCUAGGAUACGUGGAUUGUGGCAGCACAGAAGUAAACCGAUGAGCUACGUUGGCCGUUCACCAGUCAUCGGAUCAGCAGCCAUGUCGACCAGAGGGACGGAACAGUUCUAUAUUAGGCGAUGGAUACAUGUGGAAGCAACUAAGCAUAUGUGGAUGCAUGUGAUCGCAUAGGUAAGGCCAUAGCUGUUCAAGCCCUACAGGAUCUUUAUUGCUGGUUUUAAUUAUGAGUUUACAACACCAUCUAUACAUACUACUUAUCCAUUUAUUUCCUUACCUUCUUUGUUUCUUUCUCUCCUUGAUCCCCUGUCAAAAGGGCAUCAACAUCCAUAUGCGCAACGGCACACGCAACAAACUAUGACUUCGGUUGCAUGUCCAACGGCAACCACAGUACAUGAUGAUAUCAUGUUUGCUGCAAGACGAAGUACAAGUUCAUAAUUUGGUCUUUUGCAUGGUCCCUUAGUAAAUUCACUUCUGCUUCGGUACACCCCCCCUAAACACAUAGACGGCCCAGAUUAGUCGAUACCUCUUCAUAAGUAAGGGCAUGAUGGUCAUAUAUUAAAAACCAUUCGUCCCCUGUAUAUGUGUACAGUGAGAUGGGCCGGCCCAUCUUUCCCUUUUUUUCUGAUUUGAUCCUGACAGGAAUCGAACCAGAUAGUUCCUGGUACAUAGUUGGACGUGAUAACCAACCAGCCGACUUAGGCACCUAUGGUUAGAUAGUUCUUUCUCGUCCUUUUCUUCUUUCCUCUUUCCUCUUUCUUAUUUCCUUUUUUCUUGUUUUUUCAAACGUUGUUUUGGGUUUUCAUUUCCCUUUUUUUCUUUUUCGUUUUCUUUUCCUUUUUAUGUUCCUUUUGUUUUACCUUUUCUUUUGCAAUGUGCAAAAUUUUUCAGUUUCCUUUAUAAAAAAUUAAUGAACCUUUUUUAAUAUUGAUGAUUUUUUUUUCAAAGUCGAUGAACUUUAUUCAAGAUUGAUGAUUUUUUUCUAAAUUGAUGAACCUUUCUCAAGAUGAAUAUAGUUUUUUCAAAGUAGAAGAUUUUUUUUCAAAAUUGAUAAAAUUUUGCAAAAUCGAUGAUUUUAAAAAAAUCAUGAACUUUUUUCAAAUCCUUGUACUUUUUUUAAUCAAGAUGCAUGGGUUAUUUUUAAUUCAUGGAACUUUUAAUUUACGGACAUUUUGCCAAUCCGCUUAUUUUUUUCAAGUCCAUGAACUUUUCCAAAAGGGCGAACCCUUUUUUAUAGUCAAUGGUCAAAGGUCAAGCAUGUCAAUGGUCAACUUUUUGUCCAGGUUAACCAUGAAGAAGUUUUUUUUUGGUCGAACCACGAAGAAGCGAUCGAGCGUAUGCUCUUGGCGAGCGACAGCUGAUCGCUCCUGUAGUUUGGCCAGCCCAUGAAAGGUGGUGUUCAAGCGAUGUGUCCACUAAGUAGCGCAGAAAGCGGUGACUAGGCGCUCCCACUGUACAGGGAGUAGCGUCGCACAAACCGGCGCACACACCCCUUCGUCCAAGGUCUGGCCCAUUUUCCUUUUCUAUUUUUACCUUGAAAAAAUAGGUGCAUGAAGUAGGAUUCAAACUAUGAACCUUUGUGAUUACUUCCACCCACUAUAACAAACUAGGAUAGCUCACUUCUUGCGUCUAAUUACUUCUUUUUUAGAGCAUCUUCUCAGUCUGUUUUUUCUUUUGCUUUUGUUUGGCCUUUUUAUUCCGUUUUAUUCAUUUUUUAUUUGUCUUUGUUUCUUCUUAUUUUCAUUUUGUUAAAUUCAUGAUUUUUUAAAUCUAUGAGCUUAUUUUAAGGAUGUUGAGAAAUAACAUGCUCCCAGACAAAACCUUCUGGCCUACCGGAUACUCUUUGUAGAACAUGGUAUAGUUUUGGACAUCAUUCAAAUGAUCCCAACUUUUGUAGGAUGGUGGGCAUUUCCCGUGGUAGGCAUCAUUGACAGGUUUGAAUGACUUCUGACACCGUAUGCAAGUUGCGACACGUCCGAUCAUUUAUCGGUCUUUUUUCACCGGAAAAACUCUAGAAAAUGCAAAACUUGUUGAGAAUCCAAAAAACUUAGCUUGGUGUCUUGAAUUGGUCGUACAAGGCCAUGAAAAAAUUUGGGGCCAUUUCAAGGAUGUCAAGAAACAACGUGCUCUCAAACAGAGCCUUCUGGCAACCGAACACCCUUCAUUGAACAUGGUCUAGUUUUGGACAUUCUUGAAAUGACCCCAACUUUUUGAAGUAGAUGAGCAUGCCCAUGGUAGACAUCCAUGUCAAGUUUGAAUGAUUUCUGACACCGUAUGCAAGUCGCGACACGUCCGGCCAUUUAUCGACCUUUUUUGGCCGAGGAAACUCCAGAAAAUGCAAAAUUCAUCAAAAAACAAAACAACUUGGCAUGGUGCACUUAGUUGGCCAUACAAGGUCAUAUAAAAAAUUGGGGCAAUUUCAUGGGUGUGGAAACACAACAUGCUCUCAGACGGAGCUUUCUGACCUACCUGAUGAAGGAAAUAUGCCCUAGAGGCAAUAAUAAAGUUAUUAUUUAUUUCCUUAUGUCAUGAUAAAUAUUUAUUAUUCAUGCUAGAAUUGUAUUAACCGGAAACAUAAUACAUGUGUGAAUACAUAGACAAACAGAGUGUCACUAGUAUGCCUCUACUUGACUAGCUCGUUAAUCAAAGAUGGUUAUGUUUCCUAACCAUGGACAAAGAGUUGUCAUUUGAUUAACGGGAUCACAUCAUUAGUUGAAUGAUCUGAUUGACAUGACCCAUUCCAUUAGCUUAGCACCCGAUUGUUUAGUAUGUUGCUAUUGGUUUCUUCAUGACUUAUACAUGUUCCUAUAACUAUGAGAUUAUGUAACUCCCGUGUGCCGGAGGAACACUUUGUGUGCUACCAAACGUCACAGCAUAACUGGGUGAUUAUAAAGGUGCUCUACAGGUGUCUCCAAAGGUACAUGUUGGGUUGACGUAUUUCGAGAUUAGGAUUUGUCACUCCGAUCGUCAGAGAGGUAUCUCUCGGCCCUCUCGGUAAUGCACAUCACUUAAGCCUUGCAAGCAUUGCAACUAAUGAGUUAGUUGCGGGAUGAUGUAUUACGGAACGAGUAAAGAGACUUGCCGGUAAUGAGAUUGAACUAGGUAUUGGAUACCGACGAUCGAAUCUUGGGCAAGUAACAUACCGAUGACAAAGGGAACAACGUAUGUUGUUAUGCGGUCUGACCGAUAAAGAUCUUCGUAGAAUAUGUAGGAGCCAAUAUGGGCAUCCAGGUCCCGCUAUUGGUUAUUGACCGGAGACAUGUCUCGGUCAUGUCUACAUUGUUCUCGAACCCGUAGGGUCCGCACGCUUAAGGUUUCGAUGACAGUUAUAUUAUGAGUUUAUACGUUUUGAUGUACCGAAGGUUGUUCGGAGUCCCGGAUGUCAUCACGGACAUGACGAGGAGUCUCGAAAUGGUCGAGACAUAAAGGUUGAUAUAUUGGAAGCCUAUGUUUGGAUAUCGGAAGUGUUCCGGGUGAAAUCGGGAUUUUACCGGAGUACCGGGAGGUUACCGGAACCCCCCGGGAGAUAUAUGGGCCUUAGUGGGCCUUAGUGGAAAAGAGAAGAGGCAGCCAGAGAUGGGCCGCGCACCCCUCCCCUCCCUUGGUCCGAAUAGGACAAGGAGAGGGGGCCGGCCCCCUUNNNNNNNNNNNNNNNNNNNNNNNNNNNNNNNNNNNNNNNNNNNNNNNNNNNNNNNNNNNNNNNNNNNNNNNNNNNNNNNNNNNNNNNNNNNNNNNNNNNNNNNNNNNNNNNNNNNNNNNNNNNNNNNNNNNNNNNNNNNNNNNNNNNNNNNNNNNNNNNNNNNNNNNNNNNNNNNNNNNNNNNNNNNNNNNNNNNNNNNNNNNNNNNNNNNNNNNNNNNNNNNNNNNNNNNNNNNNNNNNNNNNNNNNNNNNNNNNNNNNNNNNNNNNNNNNNNNNNNNNNNNNNNNNNNNNNNNNNNNNNNNNNNNNNNNNNNNNNNNNNNNNNNNNNNNNNNNNNNAUCCUACUCCCGGAGGGAGUAGGACUCCUCCUGGCGCGCCUCUCCUAGGCCGGCCGCACCCCUCCCCCCCCUUGAGCCUUUAUAUACGGAGGCAGGGGCACCCCAGAGGAACACAAGUUGAUCCACGUGAUCAUAUUCUUAGCCGUGUGCGGUGCCCCUGCCACCAUAGUCCUCGAUAAUAUUGUAGUGGUGCUUAGGCAAAGCCCUGUGACAGUAGUACAUCAAGAUCGUCACCACGCCGUCGUGCUGACGGAACUCUUCCCCGACACUUUGCUGGAUCGGAGUCCGGGGAUCGUCAUCGAGCUGAACGUGUGCUAGAAUCGGAGGUGCCGUAGUUUCGGUGCUUGAUUGGUCGGGCCGUGGAGACGUAUGACUACAUCAACCAAACGCUUCCGUUGUUGAUAUACAAGGGUACGUAGAUCACAUUCUCCCCUCUCGUUGCUAUGCAUCACCAUGAUCUUGCGUGUGCGUAGGAUUUUUUUUGAAAUUACUACGUUCCCCAACACCUGAACACCCUCAUUUGAACAUGGUCAGUUUUUAGAUAUCCUUCAAAAGACCACAACUUUUCCAAAAAGGUGAGCAUGCACAUGGUAGGCAUAUAUGCCAAGUUUGAACGAUUUUUGACACUGUAUGCUAGUUGCGACACGUUCGGCAAUUUUCGCCAUUUUUUGACAAAGAAAUCUCCAGAAAAUGUAGAAUUUUUAGAAAACCAAAAAACCCUGGCAUGGUGCCUUGAAUUCUUCAUACAAGCCAGUGAAAAAAAAUAGGUCAUUUGACGGAUGUCGAGAAAAAACAUGCUCCCAAACGGAGCCUUCUUACCUACCCCUACACCCUAUGUUGAACAUGGUGAUUUUUUCUACACGAACACAAAAAAAAUGUUCGAGAAAAUUCAAAAAAUUUUCUUUCAAAUUUUUAUUCGUAUUUUUCUUGAAGUUCCAAAUUUAAUAGUGAAUUUUCCUAAAAUGUUAAAUCAAAAAUGUUCGUGUGGAAAAUUUUGUUUGCUCUUUGUAAAAAUGUUUGUGUUUUGACAUUAUGAGCAAUUUGAAAAUACAAAUACAUUCUGAGGAAUUCAUAAAUGUCGCAUUUUGAAGUAAUUGUUCGUAGUUUCAGAAAAUGUCCGUGUUUUCAGUUUUAUAUCUCUUUUAAGAAAAUGUUCGUAUUUAAAAAAAAUUGUUUGUAGUUUCAAGAAAUGUUCUCGUUUUCAAUUCUGCUCUUAUUUUUCUAAAACAAAGUUUGAGAGUCUGAAACAUUGCUCACUAAAGGUUUGAAUUUUAAAAAUAUGUUCACAGAUUUUGAAAUUUUUUGGGUUUAAAGCAUAUUUACUUUGUCAAACAGAAAUUCACAUACGGAAUUUUGAAAAAAAUAAUCGUUUUUGGACUAGUGAUGUUAUGCACUCGCGGGAGCUUGUGUGUUAGAUCCGCGCACCCAUUUUAGUAUUUGUGAAUUGGUGUUGAAGUGUUGCCGCUCUAGCUAAUUCUUUAGGUGUGACACUGCUAUUGUGUCGGUUGCGUUAGGCAGGCGAAGUGGCUAGGGCGUAAUUUUUGUUGAUUUUCCAGCCCAAAUGGAUCGGCCCAGGUUAUCUGUGCCUGUGUCCUGCGAACAUAUGGCACAUUCCAGCGUACGUACGAAAAUGGAUAGGAUUUGUCAAAAGUCUAAAUUACCCAUUAUACGCUUUGUGAGGGGGGUGUAUCGAAGCGUUUCUCCACAUAAAUUAUAUUUGUCCACAUACACCACAUACAUAAAAACAGGUAGAAGCGGUUGCAUGGUGAAAAUGUCCUCUCAAUAUGCAUGCCUAUGAAUACUAUCACCAGAAAGCCAAGGACUAACAAUUAUUCAGGGGUCAAGAUUGAAGACAGACGUCCAAGAUUGGAAGUCGGCCGGCCUAAGAGGGGCAAAACCAUUGUACAUUAUAUUGUAUGGACCUAGCAAGAUCCUAAAGAUAAGUGAUAAUGGAGAUCAUGGGGGCCACCCUUAUAACCAUAUGUCCAAAUGUUCUUAUUUGUUUAUUUUUCUUUUCUCUUUUCGGAAGAAUCCAUCCUGCCUCUAUGGUCAUCCUGACCACUUCGUAUUGUUAUCUAAUCUCCUCCCUUAAUUAAUAUAAAGAAUUACCGCAGCUGAAUUCACUAAAAAAAGUAUUCAGUUUAUUUUAAUUUAUUCAACUAUUAUGGCAUAUCAAUUGGAUUGCAAGUUCUUGGCGGUUGCAUUUGAAUCAUAUUUGAUGUGCACAAAGGCUUCAGUGUCAAGGUGGUCGGACGAGUAUUUAUGUCCAUUAUAUAUGCGUUAGCUUGAGAUCAUCAGGCACCUGUUAUGCAUCUGUCCAGUUAAAAGGAUGUUCAGACUCAGGCUUGCCCUACCAUAUAUGGCUGUGACACUCUGAACCAAGCAAGUUGGUCAUAUAUGUCGAGCACUAUUAACUCUUUGGAAGAAGAUCCACCAAGUACAGAAAACAAAUCAAAUAUCUUCUUAACCUUAUCACCAGAAAAAUUAGCAAGAGAUGAAUAGUAACAUUUUAAAGAAGAAAGAUAUGUUUGAAAAGGGAUAUAUAUUAUGGCGACGAUUAGAACAGCCCUUGACGAAUGGUGCCUAGCCUGCGAAAGUUUCUUAUGAAUAUAGUCAACACUCUAUAUCAACUGUUGUAAGAUUUUAGAAAUAUUUUUGGGGACAUAUGAUACAUGUCUAUUAUACAUAUGAUUCAACAGAAGUUUGAUUGAAUACAUAUUUAAAACGUGACUGACUUCUAUAUGGACGGAGUAUUUCACAAAGGACUCACUGCCAACUGUGUGAAUAUUCCAAGAUAGUUAGUGCACAUAAAUGUUCAAAUCCAUAGCUGCAUAAAUAUACAAAAGCAAUGUGUUAGACCACUACACAUGCUUCUGAAAGGAGGCAAAAAAAUGUAUGCUUGAUUGAUGACCGUUCAUGCAUGAAAUUAAUUUUUGAUUUCUAAUUAUUUUGGUCAUAUAAUGGAAAUAGAGACAUUAUAAAGAUCCAACAGCAUGCUAUCACACACGUGUGAACACAGACACACACAAAUAACAUUUGCCGAGCACUCACAAAUAAAAGGUGUGGCUACUCUUGGGUGUUCUACAGCUGGCUUAAAAAAACACGUAUGAAACAUGAUCCCCAAAAAUCUGAAAUUCGCAACAUAUGAAAAUCCACCCUCAAACAUAUUUCUAGUGUCUCAAUUCUUUUAGUUUCAGAUGGUAUGUCCAGCCAAAGUAGUUGUACACAUACAUUACUAUGUUCUAUUAUUUGAGAUUCUAAGAGAACAUUUAGUAACUAGCCCGUGCGAUGCACGGGUUCACGACUAGUAUAUAUAAAGCUUAAUGGUGCCUAAGAAAGCUCGCACAAUUUUACAGUGGCUAUGGAAAUGUGUUGCCAAACUGAGACAUAAGAUUUUCAUUUGGCAUCCAGAGUUGCAGACCGCUUGUGUUAUCCUUAAUCCAUGGCCACUCUAAUUUUUCCGGCUGGGCCUUCCCUGUGGUACCGCGGCAAGGCUUGCGUGUGUAUAUGUUUCCUUUAACUACCACUAGCACAUAUGCCCAUGCGUGCGUUGCAAUGGGAGAGAUAAUGGCAUAUCCACCAAUAUAUCUAGCAGCAUGACCCAACAACAUCCGAAUGAUGUCACCCGACGACGGCAGGAAGGCACGCACAGAGGUCUAGUAAAAACUCAUCAAUUGUACGGGCAUGGUUAAUUCGCGUGAAUUCAAGGGUGUGAGAUUAGUUAGUGUUGGUCCCACAAUUGAAUUCGGGGGGUGAUUAGUUAGUGUGGGCCCACCCUUGAAUUCACCGGGGGAGACAAAAUAAUUAGGGCGAGGAGAGAUUUACGGGGCUUGGUCCCCAGAUGCGUUGCGGCAGUCAUUAUUCGAGCAUUGCAAUGCUCGCACGUGAGGAGCUCCUUUUCCAAUUGUAUAUUAAGAAGCAUGCUAUAGAUACAAUGUUUUUGAUACAUUUUUGUACGAUGAUCCUGAUCUUAAAGGGCCUUCUAAUUUUUAAAUCUUAAAGGCAUUAUUUGUAAGUUGUCGUGAAAAAAAUCUCGCUAAAAGGGUUGUGUUAGACCAUCUUCAGUACAUUAGAAAUAACGAAUUAUAAUUCCUUGGCAUUUGAACAAACAAUCCCUACUUAUUUACACAUACAAUACUUUUGGUAUGAUUUUGAAAUCUUGAAGGCAUUAUUGUAAGUUGAAGCAAUUUUGAAAUCUCACUAAAAGGUCUGGUAAGCUUUAGAAAUAACUAAUUAUAAUUUUGCAAAAAAAAGAAAUAACUAAUUACUAAUUUUGGUAUGAUUUAUUGUCUGGGUAGUAGUUCCUUUGCAACAUUAUUCUCUCCUUUCUUGAAGGAACUCUUGCCUGCUCCCUCGCCAUGCUCCCAUCCAUGCUCCCACUCCAUCCUAUGGUUGUCCUUUUUUCCUUUUUCUUUCUAAACUAAUCAUCUCCCCCCCUGAUUUUAAGGGGAUGGGGCCGGGCCUUAUUUUGUUCCAAUUAAAUCAUGCCACGUAUGCGGGAGCAUUUUGUCCCUCCUUCUAGCGCCUCCCACUGAAAAUGCCCUAAAAGUUUUUGAGGGAUUUUUUUACUGUGUCCUACUUCACGAAUCACGAGGCAAAUCAAGUAGGCGGCAUGGCCUGGCCGGUGAGUGCCAUUGCACUUACUUGCCCCAGCGAUUUUCCGCCUGCAUUGUAGAAUUCUUUCUCCGAGUCCUGUGAAUUAAAGAUGGUGCAGACAAAAGUAUAUCCUAUAUGCGUACAUGUGCAUGAUCAGAACAUGUUUUUACGUGCGUCUACUAUAAAUCAUGACCAUUUUUAACACAAAUCAUGACCAUUCAUGAUUAGUGAAUCAUACUGUCUUAACUUAUGUGAAAUCAUGUGGAGUAAUAUAAUAUAAUAUAAUAGAUAGAUAGAUCCAUGUUGUAUUAUUUUUUGUUUACAAAAAAUAUCUGUCAUUACACAUUUUGAUUUAUGCAUUUGUUUACAAAAAAACAGUAACAUUUCAUGGUGGAGAGUUUGUAUUGUUUCAUACUGAACACCAAUGUUUUCCCGUAAAAGAAAAUAAUGCCUACGCAUAUGCUUUUAUAUUAUUAUUAUUCUUUCAAACUUAUUCAUAUAGUAUUUUUGAUUGUGCAACCAUAAUUUUUAUUAUCUCUCUCGUUCCACUACAUGCUCUUACUCAAUGAUUUUUUUAUAAUGGGUGUUUUUAUUAACUCAGCCAAAACAUAAUGAGCCACAUCCGGUCUCUGCAUAACUAAGAUGCACACAGCCAAAAGCAGAAGUCUGACAAAAAUAAGAUAAGAAAAUCAACAUAUCGACACCAGUGAGUCAUAUAGUUCCGACACUAUGCCUCUGUUGAAGGACGGGGUGGAGCGAUCUGGAGAUUAUGCUUCCCUCCAUUUUGAGUAAAUACCUCCCUGGCCACUUGUUCCAACCGCAUAGACGCCGCCACGAAUAAUGGUUGGUACUCUGUUCGGUGUAGCAUACACCAUGUAGGAACUGAGUGCUCACUCCUAGUUACUAAAUUAUGUACACACUAGUAGAAAAAGGGCCAUUUGUCCCGGUUCGUAAGGCCCAUUUGUCUCAGUUAGGGAACCGGGACUAAAGGGUCGGUACUAAAGCCCCACACCUUUACUCCCGGUUCUUACACCAACCGAGACAGAUGGGGCUCCACGUGGCCGCUGCGGCUUGCCAUGGCAGGGGGGCCUUUUGUCCCGGUUGGUAGCACCAACCGGGACCAAUAAGCUACCACGCGUCAGCAUUUGAGGGGCUUGGGUUUUUGUUUUUCUUCUGAAGGGGAGGGGAGGGGUGUUGGGGGUUUUGGGGGGUUUUGUAUGGUUAAUUUUGGGGGGUUUCAUAUAUUGUGUUAGGUAGUAAUUAAUUAAUAGAGAGAAGUGUCCUCUCUUAUCUCCGUGCUUGGUCGACGCUACGUACUAUACGUAUAGAGAGGCCCUCGACACACUUGCCAGUAAGCAAAUGAAGGAAACCAUUAAGUACAGAAGUUCGUCAUGAACAUAUGCAUACAAACAUAAGUGAUAUCGACCUCUCCUUCUCUGAGAGAUAGGUCGAACAACAAGUUUCCGUAUAUCCAUCCGGCGCUACUAGCUACUUAUAUACAAUAUUAAGAUCUCUUACAAUAUAAUCCCCUAAUUAUAUAUGAACUCAGUUUCCAGAUGGUAUUCUCGGGCUUUAUUGAUGACGUGGUCAAGAAAGAAUCCCUCCAAUUCCUCUUGAAUUGCUUUGAUGCGAUCUUGUGGUAGGAGUUCAUCCCGCAUCUGCCACAUCUAAUUUGAAGAAGGGGGUCAAUCACUAGUGGAAUAACAGCCAUUUGUCCAAGUUCAUAAGGCUCAUUUGUCCCGGUUGGGGAACCGAGACUAAAGGGUCGUUACUAAAGCCCUACACCUUUAGUCCCGGUUGUCGGUGUCAAAACCGGCGGAUCUCGGGUAGUUGGUCCCGAACUGUGCGUCUAGGCCGGAUGGUAACAGGAGGCAAGGAACACAAUGUUUUACCCAGGUUCGGGCCCUCUCGAUGGAGGUAAAACCCUACGUCCUGCUUGAUUAAUAUUGAUGAUAUGGGUAGUACAAGAGUAGAUCUACCACGAGAUCAAGGAGGCUAAACCCUAGAAGCUAGCCUAUGGCAUGAUUGUUGUGUAUGGAGUUGAUUGCCUACGGACUACAACCCUCCGGUUUAUAUAGACACCGGAUAGGGUUAGGGUUACAUAGAGUCGGUUACAAUGGUAGGAGAUCUUGAAUAUCCGCAUCGCCAAGCUUGCCUUCCACGCCAAGGAAAGUCCCAUCCGGACACGGGACAAAGUCUUCAAUCUUGUAUCUUCAUAGUCCAGGAGUCCGGCUACCCGAACACCCCCUAAUCUAGGACUCCCUCAGUAGCCCCUGAACCAGGCUUCAAUGACGACGAGUCCGGCGUGCAAAUUGUCUUCGGCAUUGCAAGGCGGGUUCCUCCUCCACGUCCUUCAUAGAAGAUUGUAAACACCAAGAGUAGUGUCCGGCUCUGCAAAAUAAGCUUCCACAUAUUUCCGUAGAGAGAAUAAUAUUAACACAAAUCAAAUCUGCUGACGUAUUCCGCAGUGCGUCAUCACACUGCAGCCAAGUCCUUCACUCGAAUCGUUUUCACUUUUCCACCUCAGCGUGUUUUGCGAGGCGGUUUCCUUGGCACGUCUUGUCAAAGUAGAUAUCGUGUACCCCCCUUUUACGGGAUUCUCAUCAAUACAGACAUGGGUAACCCAACCGCGCCACUUAUCUCGACGCUUGGGAGGCAAGCGAGUUUUACUAGGCAGGUGGGGACGCACAACCGCAUCUACCCAUAUAAGGGGAUAAGGAUCCACCUUUUUACCUACGCCUUCUUCCUCCUUUGCCUAUCCAUCUCCUGCGCACCCGAGCUCCAGCGCCCAAGCCCGCACUUCCCACCUCGACCUUCUCCAGCAAUGUCCGGAGCGGGAGGCAAGUGGAUGGUCUCUACCACCACGGAGGGUAAAAUCAAGAAGCUAAGGAAGGCCGGAUACCUGUCCAAGGACAUCGCGCACUGGCUUCCCGAAGAGGGGCAGCUUCUCCCCACCCCAAGGCCCCAUGAGAGGGUAGUAUUUCUCCCCCACUUCCUCCGCGGACUGGGUUUUCCACUCCACCCAUUUGUCCGGGGGCUCAUGUUCUACUACGGCCUGGAUUUCCACGAUCUGGUCCCGAACUUCAUCCUCAACAUCUCGGCGUUUAUCGUCUUUUGCGAGGCUUUUCUCCGCGUCCGCCCUCAUUUCGGCCUCUGGCUCAAGACCUUCAACGUCAAGCCCAAGGUGGUGUGCGGCAGCCAGGCGGAGUGCGGAGGCGCCAUGGUGGGCAAGAUGGCCAAUGUCAUAUGGUUCGAGGGCUCUUUUGUGGAGACCCUAAAGGGAUGGCAAUCUGGGUGGUUUUACAUCACCGAGCCGCGCGAUCCGAAAUGGACCGCAGCCCCCGAGUUCCGAUCCGGACCCCCCAAGCGGCUUGUGUCCUGGAAAGAGACGGGCCUGUCAUGGGGUGACGAAAAUGAGGUGACCGGAUUGCAAACAUGCAUCCAGUCCCUGGUGAACAAGCCAGUCUGGCUUGUUAAUGUAAUCCAGGUUAUGCUCGUCCGCCGGAUCCUCCCGUGCCAACAACGGGAUUUUAAUCUAUGGGAGUUCGACCCGGUGCAGCAUCAAACCCUCAGCAGGCUCUUCGACACGACGUACGAAGACGCCUGGAAGAUGCUAUUAAAGGGCGUCGAGGCUCCCGCAUCCGCUUCCGAGGACCGCGAAUACAGCUCGCAGCGUCACGCUAGCGAGGUAAGCCAUCUACACCUUUUAUAGGAUGUUCAAGCUUUUUUCAUAGUUUGACUCUAUGUGGGAUCUAAACUCCCUUACCUUUGAAAGGCUUGGCGGGCAAUAUCCGGACCGAUUAACUGUCCGGCUCCGCUGCCCGAAGACCCAGCCCCAGCUCUACUAGUGAAGCUGCUGGUUCCGGAGCCUUAUGUGGUGCCGAAGACGAAGGCCAAGAAGAAGAAGACCACAGGGACUCGAAAGAGUGCAUGCAACGUGGUGGUGUCGGACUCGUCAUCUGACGAGUCCAAGACGCCCUCCUCCCAUGAAAACGAGGAGGAGGAAGAAGAAAACUCCCCCCCCCCCCCAGCGGAGGGAGGAGAGAAGAGGAAGGCCGCCCCAACGGGGGAGGCCGAGGGGUCUAGGAAAAGGAAGACCCCUCCGCCAGACUACGCCCCCGACGCCGAAGAGGGCGAAGAGGAGUGGCCGAACAGGGCCAAACGUCCGGCGAAAUCGUAAGUUCGGAUAUCAGAGUAACUCAUGAUGUUCCUUUGUUGCACAGCUUUCCCUAAUGUCGAAUGUAAUUAUGCAGUCCGCCCCGGGCCAAAUUCGACGAAUCAUCGUGCGGCUCCCUGGACUCAUCGGACGUGAACUCAGUUCCGCCCGCUGUCUCCCCCCGCACUGUGGACGACGCCGAAGUGGCGUCGCGACAAGCCCCGGGGCAGGAGGAGGUGGUCCCGGAGGAGCCACAAGGCAACCUCCCGGACUCCAGGAGUGAAGGGGACAAGACCCCCCAGGGCUCCAAGUCUGGCUUUGAGCCGGACACCGCACCGGAAUCUACAACAGUUCCGGACCGCGGUAGGCGAACUCCUUCCAAGAGGAGUAAGCCUUCUGAGCCGGCGUCCUCCGUCCAGCCGAAGGCGCCGGAAAAUCUGCUGGAGGAGCUUAAGGGCGCCUCCAUCGACGAGGAGCACCAUGCCAUCAUGAGUAUGGUGGUCCAGAAGGUUCGGUCCGCCAAAAGCGGACUGACUGAAGCUUGUAAAAAUAUGUAAAAAUAUUACCGUAUAGACAGUAGCCCCUGAUGCUCUGUUUGGCGUUCGGAAAGAAAAGCUGGAUAGAGGAUCUAUUAAAUAUCGCAGGAGUCUAACUAAAAAGCAGUCAAUAUACGUAUGCAGGCUUCGCUGCUGGCCACCGCUGCACUGACUGCGGAGGUGGGUGCCCUGAAACAGGGCCUCGAGCGGACCGAGCAAGAGCUCGGCCUUGCCAAACGGCAGCUCGAGGAGAAAGAAGGUAAGAAAUACCUUACAGAAAAAGUGCCUAUAAAAAGACCUGAUUGCAAAAAAUAACAGGAUUGUACUGCUUAUUGUAGGGGCCACGACUGAGGUGGCGACCCUCAAGCAGGCGCUGUCCGAGGCCAAAAAGAAAACGGCCGUGGAGUGCACCGAGCGAGAGAAACUUGAGGCCCAGGUCAGCGAGGUGCAGCAGGAGCUUCAGGCUCUCAUGAAAAAACAUGAGAGUUUGGAGCUUGAGUCCAAGACGCAAGCGUAUGAGCUCGCGGCGGCCCUUGAGACUGCCAAGUCUGCCAAGGCCGAAGCCCAAAAGGCCCUCCAAGAGUUGGAGGAGAUGAAAAAGAUAGCGGCGGGUAAGGCAUUCUUUAUGCAAAGCAGAAGUAUAAAAGUGAAGUACUUGUUACUUACCCGAAUCCAGAGCUCUCCAGGGGCAUUCGCAGAUCUUCCCCGCGGCGUAUCUGACGCCGCUGCAUUCUACCGAGCCGAAGAGGGCAGCUCGACGGAGAAGGUGUUCUGGUUUCAGUAUGCUGAGGCCGGACACCCUGUGCCCUUGAGCGACCAGCUGAAACAGCUGGUCGAGCUCCACAAGGCGGCCGAGCAGGCCAUGAAGGGCUUCAUAGUUCGGCUGUGGCCCGGAGAGGCCCUGCCUGGGAGCUACUUCGGGUUGGUGUGGCGACUGGUGGAGGCCUGUCCAAGGCUCGAGGUCAUUAAGUGCUCCGUCUGCAUCGAAGGUGCCCGUAGGGCCCUUGCCCGUGCAAAGGUGCACUGGGGCAAGCUGGACGGUGAGAAGCUUGUGAGGGACGGGCCGCCGCCGGGGAAGGAGCAUCGCAAGCCCGAGAACUACUAUAAGGAUGUUCUAGCGGGUGCCCGCCUUGUGGCGGAUGAAUGUACCAAGGAUGUAAUUUUUUAAUGAACUCGCUCGUGUUUAUCCUGUGUGCUGAAAAGUUGUUCAUAUGCGCUAAGCAAUGCUUGUUGAAUUUAAAAUAUUACUUUCUGUGCGGCCGUUUAUCAAAAAUUGAGAGAUGGCCAGUCGGCGGCUUCUGCCCCCAUGCCACUAGUGCUGGGGUGUUCGGGAUAAACCUGAGCGCUCUUUUUCCCAUAGUUGGAUCCUUCGAGGGAGGCGCUCAGCACAACGAACCAGGCAAUCGGACUAUAAUGCUUGAACACUCUAACUUAGCCAUAGAACUCUAUAAUUUUAAAUUUCGGCGAAGCCCCUAGUUCGGAAGACCGAGUUCGGGGCGCUAUCCACGCCUUGGCCGGACAAAGCCGGCUCCUCGCUCGAAGCGGCAUAAGUCUUUAGGGACUCGAAAAACCUGUCGAACAGCGACCGGUCUCUCACCAUAUCAUGACAGUCAGUUUUACCUUUCUCCACUGAGGUGCUUAACCCAGCUCAACCGGGGCACAAUCGCAGUGGUUCUCCUAGUGCUACCUUAGCCGAUAUAGCGGAACGUAAGGCACCAAAACAUAGGAGCCAGGCAAACGCAACUAUUGACCCAAAUCAUGAUACGGAGCCGAUGCAUAUAGUGCUAUAAGUUCGGGGUGCCGUACUUGUGAAAGUGUACGGACUUCUCACGCCAUAUUUAUGGGUACUAAAGCCCCUGACGUAUUUUGCCGUACCACGGUGUACGGGUGCAACAUGUCAUAAACAUAUAUAUGAAAAGGUGAUAAUGCGAAAAAUAGACAGAAAGCUAUCCAUUGUUUAUAGAGAGGCUAUUUAUCAAAGCCGAACGAUACAAAUAGUGCGGUAAGCAAAAAAUAUUGGACUAUUUAGUAUGUCCUGACCAGGAGCAGGCCGCGGAAUUGUGUUUAAAACAGGUAUACCGCUCGUAACAGAGACCACCUGGGAGUUCCAUAAUGCGGCAUGGCUUGUCUUCCUCCCUGGAUCUUGCAUCGUUUGUGCGGCCGUCGAAUUGCCGAACAGGUCGUCCGAAGUAUGGAGUCCUGAAAGUAAGAAAAAAAUUAAAAAAAGAAUCCGGCAGCCCCUAGUACGUUUUAAGUCGUAUUUUGGGCGUGCCGUUAUUGCCCCUUCCCCUGUGCCCAUGGUAUUUCAAGGGCGUAGUUAUGUACGCGGGGUACUGGUUUCGCUAUGUCGCGAAAGCUGGGGUUGGGGCCACAUUGCUACGCUUGCUUAGAGUGUGCCAGGCGGUCCUGCUGUGGGUUACUCCAGGGGCGCCUGGCAGUGUCUGGCUUUUUAAUGGCCGGACUAGAGAAUUGCCUGAGAAGGCUACUUUGUACCUCCGCUGCGAGAGCCGCCGUAUGCUCCCCCAUAUGGAGGGAGCGUUCGGUGUUUCCGUUGACCGUAAUUACUCCUCGAGGGCCUGGCAUCUUGAGCUUGAUAUAUGCGUAGUGCAGCACCGCAUUGAACUUUGAGAAUGCAGUUCGUCCGAGCAGGGCGUGAUAGCCACUGCGAAACGGGACUAUAUCGAAGAUUAACUCUUCGCUUCGGAAAUUGUCCGGGGAUCCGAAGACCACGUCAAGUGUUACUGAGCCUGUACAGUUGGCUUCUACACCUGGUAUAAUGCCUUUAAAGGUCGUUCUUGUGGGCUUAAUCCUUGAGGGAUCUAUGCCCAUUUUCCGCACUGUAUCCCGAUAAAGCAGGUUCAGGCUACUGCUGCCGUCCAUGAGGACUCUUGUGAGAUGAAAUCCGUCGAUGAUUGGGUCGAGAACCAAUGCGACGAAGCCGCCAUGACGGAUGCUAGUGGGAUGGUCCCUUUGAUCAAAAGUGAUUGGGUAGGAGGACCAUGGGUUGAACUUUGGGGCGACUGGCUCCAUCGCGUAUAUGUCUCGCAGCGCACGCUUCCGCUCCCGCUUGGGAAUGUGGGUUGCAUUUAUCAUGUUCACCGUCCGCACUUGUGGGGGAAAGCCCUUCUGUCCAUUGUUGUUCGGCGGCUUGGGAUCCUCAUCGUCGUUGUGCAGCCCCUUUUUCUCUGUUUUUGGCCCUUAACUUGCCUGCCUGCUUGAACACCCAACAAUCCCUAUUAGUGUGAUUGGCUGGCCUUUCGGGGGUGCCAUGUAUCUGGCACAAGCGAUCGAGUAUUCGGUCCAAACUGGACGGGCCCUGAGUAUUCUUUUUGAAUGGCUUUUUCCGCUGACCGGAUUUAUAGCCUUUGAAUCCGGCAUUGACUGCCGUGUCUUCAUUGCUGUUGCUGCUAACGCGGCGUUUUUGCUUAUUCCGACGUGUCCUGCCACUUUUGUCCUUGGUAUCCGAAUUACCAGGGUUCUUUGAUAAGUUGUUACUGCGAGCUAGCCAGCUAUCUUCUCUCGCGCAAAAGCGGGUCAUGAGUGUCGUGAGGGCUGCCAUGGAUUUCGGCUUUUCCUGUCCCAGGUGCCGGGCAAGCCACUCGUCGCAGAUGUUAUGCUUCAAGGCUGCCAGGGCCUCUGCGUCCGGAUAGUCGACUAUCUGGUUUUUCUUUGUUAGGAACCAUGUCCAGAAUUGUCUGCCGAUUCCUCUGGCUGCUGAAUUAUGUGGCUUAAGUCGUCGGCAUCCGGUGGUCGCACGUAAGUGCCCUAGAAGUUGUCGAGGAAUGCGGCUUCCAGGUCCUCCCAAGAACCGAUUGAGUCUGCUGGCAAGCUGUUAAGCCAAUGCCGGGCCGGUCCUUUAAGUUUGAGCAGGAGCUAUUUGAUGGCGUGUAGAUCAUCGCCGCGUGCCAUGUGGAUGUGAAGGAGAUAAUCCUCGAUCCAUACCGCCAGAUCUGUUGUGCCAUCGUAUGAUUCGAUGUUUACGGGUUUGAAACCCUCUCGGAUUUUAUGAUCCAUUACUUCGUUCGUGAAGCAUAGCGGGUGUGCGGCGCCUCUGUAUUGGGCUAUAUCAUGACGCAGCUCGGAAGAGCUAUGUCUGUUGUGUUCGGCCCGGCCGGAUUUGUUGUAUCCGGAGUGAAGAUCAUUGUCACAUGCUGUAGGGUGGCUGCGCGAUCCGUAGAUCGAUCUUUUUUGUCUUGCCUUAUCCUCCAGUAUGUCUCGCAGAUCGGGCGCAUUUUCCCGUGCCUUAUUUACGCACCGUCGGGGCAUGGCUUGGGUGGAGGGCCGAGAGGCCUCUCUGUCGCGGCCGUGAGGUGGCCGGUCUGCCAUGUCAUUCGCUGGUGACGUAGGUACUUCCUCCUCUGAUCGGGGUAGCGGCCUGCGCUUCGGGUAACUCUUGGAGGGGCGUUCGUGUUCAUACUCUUCGGCUGCAAGGACUUCAGUCCAUCUGUCAGCUAGCAAAUCUUGGGCGGCUGUAAGCUGUUGCUGCUUUUUCUGGAGGCUGCUUGCCAUGGCUAAAAGCCUGUGUUUAAAACGCUCUUGUUCGGCGGGGUCUGAUGGUAUGACGAAUUUGUCGUCAUCGAGGCUUGCCUCGUCUCCAGAGGGAGGCGUAUAGUUAUCAUCCUCGACUUCUCGGUCUGCCGCUCUCUCAUGAGGGCUGGCUACUCCAUCUCCCUGUGCCGAAUCUUGCUGAGGUGGGUGUUCUUCGGCGUUAUCCGGGGUAGUAUUAUCUCCCGUGCCGGAAUCACCGUUUUUGCUUUGGCUGUUUCUUGGGGGCGUCAUCCCCCACUAUUCCAUCACCAUCUCCAUCUUUUGGAGUAUCCACCAUAUAUAUGUCAUAUGACGAGGUGGCCUUCCAGCGCCCUAUAGGUGUUGGUUCCUAUUCGUCUCCUACUUCGUCGUCCAUGCCGUCGAUGUCUUCGGAGCCGAAGUCACGCAUGUCGGUUAAAUCAUCGACAGUGGCUACAAAGUGGGUGGUGGGUGGGCUUUGAAUUUCCUCAUCGUCCGUAUCCCACCCUCGCUGACCGUAGUCCGGCCAGGGCUCUCUUGAUAAAGAGAGAGACUUAAGAGAAUUCCGGAUGUCACCAAAAGGCGAAUGCUGAAAGAUGUCUGCGGCGGUGAACUCCAUUAUCGGCGCCCAAUUGGAUUCGAUUGGCAGGGGCGCAGGGGGUUUGGAGUCCGGGAAGGAGUCCGGAUCCUCGGAGUCACGGGUCGUCCAGAGUGCGGGGCUAGCGUUCAGCUCGAUCGCUUUCGGGAUCGCAGCCCCUGAGGUGACGUCCAGCCACUCAUCCUCGAUUGGCGCAAUAGGCAUCGAGUUAGGGGUCAGAACCGAUGCGUGUGCGGCCUCCAGGACACUGUCCGGGGGCAGAGCUAGAUCAUGCCCCUCGAGAUAGUGCGGCGCGCUUGACCGUGGCUCGAGCCCGUCGAAGAUCAAGUCUCCGCGGAUGUCAGCCGUGUAGUUUAAGCUUCCAAACCUGACUUGAUGGCUAGGGGCGUAGCUUUCGAUCUGCUCCAGGUGGCCGAGCGAAUUGGCCCGCAGAGCAAAGUUGCCGAAGACGAAGAUCUGUUCGGGGAGAAAAGUAUCACCCUCGACCGCAUCGUUGUUGAUGAUCAAAGGAGCCAUCGGGCCUAAAGGCGACGACACAGAGGAACUCUCAAUGAAAGCACCAAUGUCGGUGUCAAAACCGGCGGAUCUCGGGUAGUGGGUCCCGAAUUGUGCGUCUAGGCCGGAUGGUAACAGGAGGCAGGGAACACGAUGUUUUACCCAGGUUCGGGCCCUCUUGAUGGAGGUAAAACCCUACGUCCUGCUUGAUUAAUAUUGAUGAUAUGGGUAGUACAAGAGUAGAUCUACCACGAGAUCAAGGAGGCUAAACCCUAGAAGCUAGCCUAUGGCAUGAUUGUUGUGUAUGGAGUUGAUUACCUACGGACUACAACCCUCCAGUUUAUAUAGACACCGGAUAGGGUUAGGGUUACAUAGAGUCGGUUAUAAUGGUAGGAGAUCUUGAAUAUCCACAUCGCCAAUCUUGCCUUCCACGCUAAGGAAAGUCCCAUCCGGACACAGGACAAAGUCUUCAAUCUUGUAUCUUCAUAGUCCAGGAGUCCGGCUGAAGGUCUAGUCCGGCUACCCGAACACCCCCUAAUCCAGGACUCCCUCACCGGUUCUUACACCAACUGGGAGAGAUGGGCUUCCACGUGGCCGCUGCGGCGAGCCCAGGCAGGAGGUCCUUUGGUCCCGGUUAGUGACACUGAUACGUCUCCGACAUAUCUAUAAUUUUUGAUUGCUCCAUGCUAUUAUGUUAUCCAUUUUGGAUGUUAAUGGGCUUUAUUUUACACCUUUAUAUCAUUUUUGGGACUAACCUACUAAUUGGAGGCCAAACCCAAAUUGCUGUUUUUUUUGCCUAUUUUAGGUUUUCGAAGAAGAGGAAUAUCAAACGGAGUCCAAACGGAAUGAAAACUUCGGGAACGUGAUUUUCUCAACGAACAUGAUCCAGGAGACUUGGAGUGUGCGCCAAGAAAUAAGGGAGGAAGGCACGAGGCAGGGGUCGCGCCUACCCCCCUUGGGCGUGCCCUCCACCCUCGUGGGCCCUCCACUGCUCCACCGACGUACUUCUUCCUCCUAUAUAUAUACACGUACCCCCCCAAACAACCAGGAGCACCAUGAAAACCUAAAUCCACCGCCGCAACCUUCUGUACCCGAGAGAUCCCAUCUUGGGGCCUUUUCCGGAGGGGGCAUCGAUCACGGAGGGCCUCUACAUCAACUGCAUGGCCUCUCCGAUGAUGUGUAAGUAGUUUACUUCAGACCUACGGGUCCAUAGUUAUUAGCUAGAUGGCUUCUUCUCUCUCUUUGGAUCUCAAUACAAAGUUCUCCUCGAUGUUCUUGGAGAUCUAUUCGAUGUAAUCUUCUUUUGCGGUGUGUUUGUCGAGAUCCGAUGAAUUGUAGGUUUAUGAUCCAGAUUAUCUAUGGACAAUAUUUGAUUCUCCUCUGAAUUCUUUUAUGUAUGAUUCGUUUAUCUUUGCAAGUCUCUUCGAAUUAUCAGUUUGGUUUGGCCUACUAAAUUGAUCUUUCUUGCAAUGGGAGAAGUGCUUAGCUUUGGGUUCAAUCUUGCGGUGUUCGAUCCCAGUGACUGAAAGGGAACCGAUAUUUAUUGUAUUGUUGCCAUCGAGGAUAAAAAGAUGGGGUUUAUAUCAUAUUGCAUGAGUUUAUCCCUCUACAUCAUGUCAUCUUCCUUAAAGCAUUACUCUGUUCUCUUGAACUUAAUACUCUAGAUGCAUGCUGGAUAGCGGUCGAUGUGUGGAGUAAUAGUAGUAGAUGCAGAAUCGUUUCAGUCUACUUGUCUCGGACCUGAUGCAUAUAUACAUGAGCAUAACUAUAUAUUCUCAUAACUAUGCUCAAUUCGAUCAAUUGCUCGACAGCAAUUCGUUUACCCACCGUAAUACUUAUGCUCUUGAGAGAAGCCACUAGUGAAACCUAUGGCCUCGGGGUCUAUCUUCUAUCAUAUUAAUCCUCCAAUACUUAGUCAUUUCUAUUUCUAUUUAUUUUAUUUUGCAUCUUUUAUUUCUCUUUAUCAUAAAAAUACCAAAAAUCUUAUCUUAUCAUAUCUAUCAGAUCUCACUGUCGUAAGUGACCGUGAAGGGAUUGACAACCCCUUUAUCGCGUUGGUUGCGAUGUUCUUAUUUGUUUGUGUAGGUUCGUGGGACUUGAGCAUGAUCUCCUACUGGAUUGAUACCUUGGUUCUCAAAAACUAAGGGAAAUACUUACGCCGAUUUAUUUCAUCACUCUUUCUUCUUCAAGGGAAAACCAACGCAAUGCUCAAGAGGUAGUGUCGGUGUCAAAACCGGCGGAUCUCGGGUAGUGGGUCCUGAACUGUGCGUCUAGGCCGGAUGGUAACAGGAGGCAGGGAACACGAUGUUUUACCCAGGUUCGGGCCCUCUUCAUGGAGGUAAAACCCUAUGUCCUGCUUGAUUAAUAUUAAUGAUAUGGGUAGUACAAGAGUAGAUCUACCAUGAGAUCAAGGAGGCUAAACCCUAGAAGCUAGCCUAUGGUAUGAUUGUUGUAUAUGGAGUUGAUUGCCUACGGACUACAACCCUCCGAUUUAUAUAGACACCGGAUAGGGUUAGGGUUACAUAGAGUCGGUUACAAUGGUAGGAGAUCUUGAAUAUCCGCAUCGCCAAGCUUGCCUUCCACGCCAAGGAAAGUCCCGUCCGGACACGGAACGAAGUCUUCAAUCUUGUAUCUUCACAGCCCAGGAGUCCGGCUGAAGGUAUAGUCCGGCUAUCCGAACACCCCCUAAUCCAGGACUCCCUCAGUAGCCCCUGAACCAGGCUUCAAUGACGACGAGUCCGGCACGCAAAUUGUCUUCGGCAUUGCAAGGCGGGUUCCUCCUCCAAGUCCUUCAUACAAGAUUGUAAGCACCAAGAGUAGUGUCCGACUCUGCAAAAUAAGCUUCCACAUAUCGCCAUAGAGAGAAUAAUAUUAACACAAAUCAAAUCCGCUGACGUAUUCCGCAGUGCGUCAUCACACUACAGCCAAGUCCUUCACUCGAAUCGUUUUCACUUUUCCACCCCAGUGUGUUUUGCGAGGUGGUUUCCUUGGCACGUCUUGUCAAAGCAGAGAUCGUGUCCCCUUUGUUUACGGGAUUCUCGUUAAUACGGACGUGGGUAACCCAACCGCGCCACUUAUCAUGGCGCUUGGGAGGCAAGCGAGUUCUACUAGGCUGGUGGGGACGCAUAGUCGCAUCCGCCCAUAUAAGGGGAUAAGGAUCCACCUUUUUACCUAUGCCUUCUUCCUCCUUUGCCUAUCCAUCUUCUGCGCACCCGAGCUCUAGUGCCCCAUCCCGCGCUUCCUACCUCAACCCUCUCCAACAAUGUCCGGAGCGGGAGGCAAGUGGAUGGUCUCCUCCGUCACGAAGGGCCAUGUCAAAAGGUUAAGGAAGGCCGGAUACUUGUCCAAAGACAUCGCGCACCGGCUUCCUGAGGAGGGGCAGCUUCUCCCCACCCCAAGGCCCCAUGAGAGGGUAGUAUUUCUUCCCCACUUCCUCCGCGGACUGGGUUUUCCUAUCCACCCAUUUGUCCGCGGGCUCCUGUUCUACUAUGGCCUAGAUUUCCAUGAUCUGGCCCCGAACUUCAUCCUGAAUAUCUCGGCAUUUAUCGUCGUGUGCGAGGCUUUCCUCUGCAUUCGCCCCCAUUUCAGCCUCUGGCUCAAGACCUUCAACGUCAAGCCAAAGGUGGUGCGCGGUAACCAGGCGGAGUGCGGAGGUGCCAUGGCGGGAGAAAUUGCCAACGUCCUAGGGCUCGAGGGCUCCUUUGUGGAGACCUUGAAGGGGUGGUAGUCAGGGUGAUUUUACAUCACCGAGCCACGCGAUCCGAAGUGGAUCGCAGCCCCUGAAUUCCGAUCCGGACCCCCUACACGGCUCACGUCCUGGAAGGAGACGAGCUUGUCGUGGGGCGACGAAGGAGAGUUGACCGGACUGCAAAAAUGCAUCCAGUCCCUGGUGAACAAGCAGCUCAAGCUUGUCAACGUAAUCUAGGUCAUGCUCGUCCGCCGGAUCCUUCCGUGUCAAGAACGGGACAUCAAUUUGUGGGAGUUCAACCCGGUGCAGCAACGAACUCUGAGAAGGCUCUUUGACACGACGUACGAAGUUGUCUGGAGGGGGCUAACCAAAGGCGCCGAGGCUCCCACAUCCGCCUCCGAUGACCGCGGAUUCAGCUCGCAGCGUCCUGCUGGCGAGGUAAGAUAUUUCCAUCUUUUACAGGAUAUUAAGUUUUUUCAUAGUUGACUCUAUGCGGGAUCUAAACUCCCUCACCUUUGACAGGAUUGGCGGGAGAAGUCCGGACAGAUUAACUGCCCGGCUCCCUUGCCAAGCCGGAGAAGAGGGCCAAGAAGAAGAAGGCCACGGGGACUCGAAAGAGUUCCUGGCAUAUGGUGGUGUCGGACUCGUCGUCCGACGAGUCCGAGAUGCACUCCUCCCGUGAAUACGAGGAGGAAGAAGAAACCUCUCCCCCUCCAGCGGGGGGAGGAGAGAAGAGGAAGGCCGCCCCAGUAGGGGAGGCCGAGGGGUCCAAGAAGAGGAAAACCCAUCCGCCGGACUACGUCCCCGACACCGACGAGGACGAAGAGGAGUGGCCGGACAGGGCCAAGCGUCCGGCGAGAUCGUAAUUCUUCGGAUACCAGAGUAACUCGUGAUAUUCCUUUUGUUGCACAGGUUUCGCUAAUGUCAGAUAUAAUCAUGCAGUCCACCCAAGGACGGGCACGACGAGUCGUCGAGCGGCUCCCUGGAUUCAUCGGACGCGAAUUCAGUUCCGCCUACUGCUUCCCCCUAUGCUGCAGAUGACGCCGAAGUGGCGUCGCGACAAGCUCCGGGGCGAGAGGAGGUGGUCCAGGAGGAGUCGCGAGGUGACCUCCCGGACUCCAGGAGUGAAGGGGACAAGACCCCCAUGGGCUCCAAGUCCGGCUUUAAGCUGGACACUGCGCCGGAAUCAUCAAUGGUUCCGGACCGCGGUAGGCGAACUCCUGCCAAGAGGAGCAAGCCUACUGAGCCGGCAUCCUCCGUCCAGCCGGAGGCGCCGCACAAUCUGGUGGAGGAGCUUAAGGGCGCCUCCAUCGACGAGGAGCAUCGUGCCGUCAUGAGUACGGUGAUCCAGAAGGUUCGGUCCGCCAAAAGCGGACUGACUGAAGCUUGUGCUAGCCUUCUAACAGGCUUCGAGGUAAGUAAAAAUAUGUAAAAAUAUUACCGUAUAGACAGUAGCCCCUGAUGCUCUGUUUGGCGUUUGUAAAGAAAAGCCAAAUAGAGGAUCUAUUAAAUAUCCCAGGAGUCUAACUAAAAAGGAGUCAAUAUACGUAUGUAGGCUUCGCUGCUGGCCAUCGCCGCACUGACUGCGGAGGUGGGUGCCCUUAAGCAGGGCCUCCAGCGGACCGAGCAAGAGCUCGGCCUUGCCAAACGGCAGCUCGAGGAGAAAGAAGGUAAGAUAUACCUUAGAGAAAAAGUGCCUAUAAAAAGGCUUGAUUGCAAAAAGAGUAACAGGAUUGUACUGCUUAUUGUAGGGGCUACGACUGAGGUGGCGACCUUUAAGCAGGUGUUGUCUGAGGCCGAAAAGAAAACGGCCGCGGAGCGCACCGAGCGAGACAGACUUGGGGCUCAGGUCAGCGAGGUGCAGCAAGAGCUUCAGGCUCUCAUGAAAAAACAUGAGAGUUUGGAGCUGGAAUCGAAGGCGCAAGCAUCCGAGCUUGCAAUGGCCCUAGAGGCUGCCAAGUCUGCCAAGGCCGAAGCCCUAAAGGCCCUCCAAGAGUUGGAGGAGAUGAGGAAGAUAGCAGCGGGUAAGGCAUUCUUUAUGCAAAGCAGAAAUAUAAAAGUGAACUACCUGUUACUUACCCAAAUCCGAAGCUCUCCAGGGGCAUUCGCAGAUCUUCCCAGCAGCGUAUCCGACGCCGCCGCAUUCUGCCAAGCUGAAGAGGGUAGCUCGACGGAGAAGGUGUUCUGGUUUCAGUAUUCUAAGGCCGGACACCCUGUGCCCUUGAGCGACCAGCUGAAACAGCUGGUUGAGCUCCACAAGGCGGCCGAGCAGGCCAUGAAGGGCUUCAUAGUUCGGCUGUGGCCCGGAGAGGCCCUACUUGGGAGCUAUUUCGGGCUAGUGCGGCGGCUUGUGGAGGCCUGUCCGAGGCUUGAGGUCAUCAAGUGCUCCGUCUGCAUCGAAGGUGCCCGUCGGGCCCUUGCCCGUGCAAAGGUGCACUGGGGUAAGCUGGAUGGUGAGAAGCUUGUGAAGGACGGGCCGCCGCCGGGGAAGGAGCAUCGCAAGCCCGAGAACUACUACAAGGAUGUUCUUGCAGGUGCCCGCCUUGUGGCGGAUGAAUGUACCAAGGAUGUGAUAUUUGAAUGAACUCGCUCGUGUUUAUCCUGUGCGCUGAAAACUUGUUCAUAUGCGCUAAGCAAUGCUUAUUGAAUUUAAAAUAUUACUUUCUGUGCGGCCAUUUAUCAAAAAUUGAGAGAUGGCCAGUCGUCGGCUUUUGCCCCCGUGCCACUAGUGCUGGGGUGUUCGGGAUAAACCUGAGCGCUCUUUUUCCCAUAGUUGGGUCCUUCGAGGGAGGCGCUCACCACAACGAAUCAGGCAAUCAGACUAUAAUGCUUGAACACUCUCACUUAGCCAUAGAGCUCUAUAAUUUUAAAUUUCGGUGAAGCUCCUAGUUUGGAAGACCGAGUUCGGGGCGCUAUCCACGCCUUGGCCGGACAAAGCCAGCUCCUCGCUCGAAGCGGCAUAAGCCUUUAGGGACUCGAAAAACCUCUCGAACAGCGACUGGUCUCUCGCCACAUCAUGACAGUCAGUUUUAGCUUUCUCCACUGAGGUGCUUAACCCAGCUGAACCGGGGCACAAUCGCAGUGGUUCUCCUAGUGCUACCUUAGCCGAUAGAGCGGAACGUAAGGCACCAAAACAUAGGAGCCGGGCAAACCCAACUAUUGACCCAAAUCAUGAUUCGGAGCCGAUGCAUAUAGUGCUAUAAGUUCGGGGUGCCGCACUUGUGAAAGCGUACGGACUUCUCACACCAUUAUGAGGGGUUCUGAAGCCCCUGGCGUGUUUGCCAUACCAUGGUGUACGGGUGCAAUCAUGUCAUUUAAUAAACAUAAAUGUGAAAAGAAGACAACGCAAAAAAUAGACUAGAAGCUAAGCAUUGUUUAUAGAGAGGCUAUUUAUCAAAGCCGGACGAUACAAAUACUGAAGUAAGCAAAAGAUAUUGGACUAUUCAGUAUGUCCUGACCAGGGGCAGGCCGCGGAAUUGUAUUUAAAACAGGUAUACCGCUCGUAACAGAGACCACAUGGGAGUUCCAUAAUGCGUCAUGGCUUGUCUGCCUCCCUGGAUCUUGCAUCGUUUGUGCGGCAGUCGAAUAUCCGAACAGGUCAUCCGAAGUAUGGAGUCCUGAAAGAAGAAAAAAUUAAAAAAAGAAUCCGGCAGCCCCUAGUACGUAUUAAGCCGUAUUUUGGGCAUGUCGUUAUUGUGCCCCUUCUCCUGUGCCCAUGGUAUUUCAAGGGCGUAGUUAUGUCCGCGAGGUACUGGUUUCGCUAUGUCGCGAAAGCUGGGGUUGGGGCCGCAUUGCUACGCUUGCUCAGAGUGUGCCAGGCGGUCCUGCUGUGGGUUACUCCGGGCGUGCUUGGCAGUGCCUGGCUUUUUAAUGGCCGGACCGGAGAAUUGCCUGAGAAGGCUACUUUGUACCUCCGCUGCGAGAGCCACCGUAUGCUCCUCCAUACGGAGGGAGCGUUCGGUGUUUCCGUUGACCGUAAUUACUCCUUGAGGGCCUGGCAUCUUGAGCUUGAGAUAUGCGUAGUGCGGCACCGCGUUGAUCUUUGCGAAUGCGGUUCGUUCGAGCAGGGCAUGAUAGCCACUGCGAAACGGUACUAUAUCGAAGAUUAACUCUUCGCUUCGGAAAUUAUCCGGGGACCUGAAGACCACAGCAAGUGUUACUGAGCCUGUACAAUUGGCUUCUACACCUGGUAUAACGCCUUUAAAGGUUGUUCUUGUGGGCUUAAUCCUUGAGGGAUCUAUGCCCAUUUUCCGCACUGUAUCCUGAUAAAGCAGGUUCAGGCUAAUGCCGCCGUCCAUGAGGACUCUUGUGAGAUAAAAUCCUUCGAUGAUUGGGUCGAGAACCAAUGCGGCAAAGCCGCCAUGACGGAUGCUAGUGGGAUGGUCCCUUCGAUCGAAAAUGAUCGGGCAGGAGGACCAUGGGUUGAACUUUGGGGCGACUGGCUCCAUCGCAUAUACGUCCCGUAGUGCAUGCUUCCGCUCCCGCUUGGGAAUGUGGGUUGCGUAUAUCAUGUUCACCGUCCACACUUGUGGGGGAAAGCCCUUCUGUCCAUUGUUGUUCGGCGGCUUGGGCUCCUCCUCGUCGCUGUGCAGCCCCUUGUCUCUAAUUUCGGCCCUUAACUUGCCUGCCUGCUUGAACACCCAACAAUCCUGUUAGUGUGAUUGGCUGGCCUUUCGGGGGUGCCAUGUGUCUGGCAUAAGCGAUCGAGUAUUCGGUCCAAACUGGACGGGCCCUGAGUAUUCUUUUUGAAUGGCUUUUUCCGCUGACCGGAUUUAUAGCCUUUGAAUCCGGCAUUGACUGCCGUGUCUUCAUUGCUGUCGCUGCUAACGCGGCGUUUUUGCUUAUUCCGACGUGUCCUGCCACUUUUGUCCUUGGUAUCCGAAUUACCAGGGUUCUUUGAUAAGUUGUUACUGCGAGCUAGCCAGCUGUCUUCUCCCGCGCAAAAGCGGGUCAUGAGUGUCAUGAGGGCUGCCAUGGAUUUCGUCUUUUCCUGUCCCAGGUGCCGGGCAAGCCACUCGUCGCAGAUGUUAUGCUUCAAGGCUGCCAGGGCCUUUGCGUCCGGACAGUCGACUAUCUGGUUUUUCUUUGUUAGGAACCGUGUCCAGAAUUGUCUGGCCGAUUCCUCUGGCUGCUGAAUUAUGUGGCUUAAGUCGUCGGCAUCCAGUGGUCGCACGUAAGUGCCCUGGAAGUUGUCGAGGAAUGCGGCUUCCAGGUCCUCCCAAGAACCGAUUGAGUCUGCUGGCAAGCUGUUAAGCCAAUGCCGGGCCGGUCCUUUAAGUUUGAGCGGGAGGUAUUUGAUGGCGUGUAGAUCAUCGCCGCAUGCCAUGUGGAUGUGAAGGAGAUAAUCCUCGAUCCAUACCGCCGGAUCUGUUGUGCCAUCGUAUGAUUCGAUGUUUACGGGUUUGUAACUCUCUGGGAUUUUAUGAUCCAUUACUUCAUUCGUGAAGCAUAGUGGUUGUGCGGGUCCUCUGUAUUGGGCUAUAUCACGACGCAGCUCGGACGAGCUAUGUCUGUUGUGUUCGGCCCGGGGCCGGAUUUGUCGUAUCCGGAGUGAAGAUCAUUUUCCCGUGCCUUAGUUGAGCGGUGUCGGGGCAUGCCUUGGGUGGAGGGCCGAGACGCCUCUCUGUCGGGGCCGCGAGGUGGCCGGUCUGCCAUGUCAUGCGCUGGUGAUGUAGGUGCUUCCUCCUCUGAUCGGGGUAGCUGCCUGCGCUUCGGGUAACUCUUGGAGGGGCGUUCGAGUUCAUACUCUUCGGCCGCAAGGACUUCAGUCCAUCUGUCAGGUAGCAAAUCUUGGGCAGCUCUAAGCUGUUGCUGCUUUUUCUUGAGGCUGCUUGCCGUGGCUAAAAGCCUGCGUUUAAACGCUCUUGUUCGGCGGGGUCUGAUUGUAUGACGAAUUCGUCGUCAUCGAGGCUUGCCUCGUCUUCGGAGGGAGGCGUAUAGUUAUCAUCCUCGACCUCUCAGUCUGCCGCUCUCUCAUGAGGGCUGGCUUCUCCAUCUUCCUGUGCCGAAUAUUGCUGAGGUUGGUGUUCUUCGGCGCUAUCCGGGGUAGUAUUAUCUCUCGUGUCAGAAUCACCGUUUUUGCUUUGGCGGGAUUUAGGGUGGCGCCGCUGGUGCCGGUGCUUUGGUUGUUUCUUGGGGGCGUCAUCCCCCACUGUUCCAUCGCCAUCUCCAUCUUUUGGAGUAUCCACCAUAUAUAUGUCAUACGACGAGGUGGCCUUCCAGCGCCCUACAGGUGCUGGUUCCUAUUCGUCUCCUACAUUGUCGUCCAGGCCGUCAAUGUCUUUGGAGCUGAAGUCAAGCAUGUCGGUUAGAUCGUCGAUACUGGCUACAAAGUGGGUGGUGGGUGGGCUUUGAAUUUCCUCAUCGUCCGUAUCCCACCCUCGCUGACCGUAGUCCGGCCAGGGCUCUCCUGAUAAAGAGAGAUACUUAAGAGAAUUCAGGAUGUCGCCAAAAGGCGAAUGCUGAAAGAUGUCUGUGGCGGUGAACUCCAUUAUCGGCGCCCAAUCGGAUUCGAUUGGCAGGGGCGCGGGUGGUUUGGAGUCCGGGGAGGAGUCCAGAUCCUCGGAGUCACCGGUCGUGCAGAGUGCGGGGCUAGCAUUCGGCUCGAUCGCUUUCGGGAUCGCAGCCCCCGAGGUGACGUCCAACCGCUCAUCCUCGAUUGGCGCAAUAGGUUCCGAGUUAGGGGUCGGAACCGAUGCGUGUGCGGCCUCCAGGACACUGGCCGGGGGCAGAGCUAGAUCAUGCCCCUCGGGAUAGUGCGGCGCGCUUGGCCGUGGCUCGAGCCCGUCGAAGAUCAAGUCUCCAUGGAUGUCUGCCGUGUAGUUUAAGCUUCCAAACCUGACUUGAUGGACAGGGGCGUAGCUUUCGAUCUGCUACAGGUGGCCGAGCGAAUUGGCUCGCAGAGCGAUGCCGCCGAAGACGAAGAUCUGUCCGGGGAGAAAAGUCUCACCCUGGACCGCAUCGUUGUUGAUGAUCAAAGGAGCCAUCGGGCCUAAAGGUGACGAGACAGAGGAACUCUCAAUGAAAGCACCAAUGUCGGUGUCAAAACCAGUGGAUCUCGGGUAGUGGGUCGCGAACUGUGCGUCUAGGCCGGAUGGUAACAGGAGGCAGGGAACACGAUGUUUUACCUAGGUUCCGGCCCUCUUGAUGGAGGUAAAACCCUAUGUCCUGCUUGAUUAAUAUUGAUGAUAUGGGUAGUACAAGAGUAGAUCUACCACGAGAUCAAGGAGGCUAAACCCUAGAAGCUAGCCUAUGGUAUGAUUGUUGUAUAUGGAGUUGAUUGCCUACGGACUACAACCCUCCGGUUUAUAUAGACACCGGAUAGGGUUAGGGUUACAUAGAGUCAGUUACAAUGGUAGGAGAUCUUGAAUAUCCACAUCGCCAAGCUUGCCUUCCACGCCAAGGAAAGUCCCGUCCGGACCCGGGACGAAGUCUUCAAUCUUGUAUCUUCAUAGCCCAGGAGUCCGGCUGAAGGUAUAGUCCGGCUACCCGAACACCCCCUAAUCCAGGACUCCCUCAGGUAGCAAGAUGGAUUUCUGGCGCCGUUGCCGGGGAGACUCGCGCCAAGUAAAGACAUACCAAGUACCCAUCACAAACCCUUAUCCCUCGCAUUACAUUAUUUUCCAUUUGCCUCUCGUUUUCCUCUCCCCCACUUCACCCUUGCCGUUUUAUGCGCCCUCUCUUUUUUCCUUCGCCUCUUUUCCACUUGCUUUGUCAUUAUGGCUAGUCCUUUAUCUACUCCUUUGUCUCCCGAGAAUGAAGUUCUUAAUUUUAAACAAAGGGAGGGAGAAAAUCUAAAAGAUGCUUGGUACAGAAUUUGCAACACGCAAAUUAGAUCUACUAGGAAACAAUCUACUUUUGUUCUUCUUCACAAUUUUUAUGUAGGCAUCACACCUAGGAAUAGAUAUAUUCUUGAUGCCAUUACCGGAGGGAAUUUCUUGGGUAGCCAUACUUUUGAUUCUUAUAAUGCUAUGAUAGAUCUGUUUGGCCCACCACCUCUUUUGGUUAAUGGAACUAUUUUAACUUUGGAACAUGUGAUGCAAUGGCUUGAAAUUAGUGAAAAUAAAGUUGCCACCAUAGAGUUAAUUGAAAAUUUGGAUAGAAAGAUCCACAACCAAAUUACCCAAUACGGAUCUAAGUUAGGAGUUGCUCUUAAAAGUUUUAAAGAAAAGGGACCUAUGGUUAAUGAAAAGAUAGAAAAAGAUUCCACUAGAAUUGUUAAAUUGAGGAUAUUAUUACCAACCUUGGGUCUUCCUUUUCUUCUAUUAUAAAUACUCUACCUAAUGCUAAGAUUGCCAAACUAAUGUAUGUUACAAAAAAUAAUGGUGAAACUUCUAAUAAGGAAAAUGCGGAUCUCAAAUCCAUAAGUGUUCACCCCAAUUUUCUCACUAUCCUGAAGGAACCUUUUGCUACAAAUGAUUUUCUUGAUUUCGUACCUAGGAGUUUGAUAAUUAAUAAAAACCAAGAAACUCCUAAAAGUUAUUGGUGUCUUAUUGAAGAAUCACCUUCCAAAGACGGCAAUACCUAGGUCUAUCUUCGCUUUUAUGCCUAGCUAGGGGCGUUAAACGAUAGCGCUUGUUGGGAGGCAACCCAGUUUUAUUUUUAUUCCUUGCUUUUUGCUCCUAUUUAGUAAUAAAUAAUUUAUGUAGCCUCUGUUUUGGUUUGUGUUUUUUGUGUUUAAUUUGUGUUUGUGCCAUGUAGAACCGUUGGGUAGACUUGGGGAAAGUCUUUUUGAUCUUGCUGUAAAAAACAGAAACGUUAGCGCUCACGAGAAUCGCUGACAUUUUUAUUUGGAAAGUGAUAUUUAGAUAAUUAUUUUUGCAGAUGAUUAAUAGAUAAAUUCCUCACGUCUAGAAAUUUAUUUUAUAAUUUUUGGGGUUACAGAAGUUUGCGUUAGGUACAGAUUACUACAGACUGUUCUGUUUUUGACAGAUUAUGUUUUUCGUGUAUUGUUUGCUUAUUUUGAUGAAUCUAUGGCUAGUAAAAGAGGUUAUAAACCGUAGAGAAGUUGGAAUACAGUAGGUUUAACACCAAUAUAAAUCAAGAUUGAGUUCAUAACAGUACCUUGAAGUGGUGUUUUGUUUUCUUUCGCUAACGGAGCUCACGAGAUUUUCUAUUUGAGUUUUCUGUUGUGAAGUUUUCAAGUUUUGGGUAAAGAUUUGAUGGAUUGUGGAACAAGGGGUGGCAAGAGCCUAAGCUUGGGGAUUCCCAUGGCACACCAAGGUAAAAUUCAAGGACACCAAAAAGCCUAAGCUUGGGGAUGCCCCGGAAGGCAUCCCCUCUUUCGUCUUCGUCUAUUGGUAACUUUACUUGGAGCUAUAUUUUUAUUCACCACAUGAUAUGUGUUUUGCUUGGAGCGUCUUGUAUGAUUUGAUUAUUUGAUUUUUAGUUUACCAAAAUCAUCCUUGCUGUACACACCUUUUGAGAGAGACUCACAUGAUUGGGAAUUUAUGAGAGUACUCGAUGUGCUUCACUUAUAUCUUUUGAGCUAUAUGGUUUUUGUUCUAGUUCUUCACUUAUAUAUUUUAGAGCACGGCGGUGGUUUUAUUUUAUAGAAAUAAUUGUUCUCUCAUGCUUCACUUAUAUUAUUUUGAGAGUCCUUUAGAACAACAUGGCAAUAAUAAAACUGUCAUACAAGUGCAUUGAAUACUAUGAGAAGUUUGAUACUUGAUAAUUGUUUUGAGAUAUGGAGAUGGUGAUAUUAGAGUCAUGCUAGUUGUGUAGUUGUGAAUUUGAGAAAUACUUGUGUUGAAGUUUGUGAUUCCCGUAGCAUGCACGUAUGGUGAACCGUUAUGUGACGAAGUCGGAGCAUGAUUUAUUUGUUGAUUGUCUUCCUUAUGAGUGGCGGUCGGGGAUGAGCAAUGGUCUUUUACUACCAAUCUAUCUCCCUAGGAGCAUGGGCAUAAUACUUUGCUUUGAUAACUUGUAGAUUUUUGCAAUAAGUAUGUGAGUUCUUUCUGACCAAUGUUGAGUCCAUGGAUUAUACGCACUCUCACCCUUCCACCAUUGCUAGCCUCUCUAAUACCGCGCACUUCUCGCCGAUAUCAUACACCCACCAUAUACCAUCCUCAAAACAGCCACCAUACCUACCUAUUAUUGCAUUUCCAUAGCCAUUCCGAGAUAUAUUGCCAUGCAACUUUUCAUCGUUCCAUUAUUAUGACACACUUCAUCAUUGUCAUAUUUGCUUGCAUGAUCAUGUAGUUGGCAUUGUAUUUGUGCAAAGCCACCGUUAAUAAUUCUUCAUACAUGUCACUCUUCAUUCACUUCAUAUCCCGGUACACCGCCGGAGGCAUUCACAUAGUCAUAUUUUGUUCUAAGUAUCGAGUUGUAAUUCUUGAGUUGUAAGUAAAUAAAAGUGUGAUGAUCAUCAUUAUUAGAGCAUUGUGCCAAGUGAGGAAAGGAUGGAGACUAUGAUUCCACAACAAGUCGGCAUGAGACUCCAGACGAAAAUAAAAAAAGAGGGGAAAAAGAGAAAGGCCAUAGAAAAAGAAGGCCCAAAAAAUGAGAGAAAAAGAGAGAAGGGGCAAUGUUACUAUCCUUUUUCCACACUUGUGCUUCAAAGUAGCACCAUCAUCUUCAUGAUAGAGAGUCUCCUAUGAUAUCACUUUCAUAUACUAGUGGGAAUUUUUCAUUAUAGAACUUGGCUUGUAUAUUCCAAUGAUGGGCUUCCUCAAAUUGCCCUAGGUCUUCGUGAGCAAGCAAGUUGGAUGCACACCCACUUAGUUUCUUUUGUUGAGCUUUCAUACACUUAUAGCUCUAGUGCAUCCGUUGCAUGGCAAUCCCUACUCACUCACAUUGAUAUCUAUUAAUGGGCAUCUCCAUAGCCCGUUGAUACGCCUGUUCCGGAGCUCCGCCGGAGGGGGCAUCGAUCACGGAGGGCUUCUACAUCAACAGCAUAGCCUCUUCGAUGAAGUGUGAGUAGUUGACCUCAGACCUAUGGGUCCAUAGUUAUUACCUAGAUGGCUUCUUUUCUCUUUUUGGAUCUCAAUACAAUGUUCUCCCCCUCUCUUGUGGAGAACUAUUCGAUGUAAUCUUCUUUUUGCGGUGUGUUUAUUGAGACCGAUGAAUUGUGGGUUUAUGAUCAAGUCUAUCUAUGAAUAAUAUUUGAAUCUUCUCUGAAUUCUUUUAUGUAUGAUUGUUUAUCUUUGCAAGUCUCCUCGAAUUAUCAGUUGGUUUGGCCUACUAGAUUGAUCUUUCUUACAAUGGGAGAAGUGCUUCGCUUUGGGUUCAAUCUUGCGGUGUCCUUUCCCAGUGACAAUAGGGGCAGCAAGGCAUGUAUUGUAUUGUUGCCAUCGAGGAAAACAAGAUGAGGUUUUCAUCAUAUUGCAUGAGUCUAUCCCUCUACAUCAUGUCAUCUAGCUUAAGGCGUUACUCUGUUUUUAACUUAAUACUCUAGAUGCAUGCUGGAUAGCGGUCGAUGAGUGGAGUAAUAGUAGUAGAUGCAGGCAGGAGUCGGUCUACUUGUCUCGGACGUGAUGCCUAUAUACAUGAUCAUACCUAGAUAUUCUCAUAAAUAUGCUCAAUUCUGUCAAUUGCUCAACAGUAAUUUGUUCACCCACCAUAGAAUAAUUAUGCUCUCGAGAGAAGCUACUAGUGAAACCUAUGGCCCCCGGGUCUAUCUUUAUCAUAUUAAUCUCCUACUACUUAGUUAUUUCCUUUGCUUUUUCCUUUGCCUUUAUUUUACUUUUCAUCUUUAUCACAAAAAUACCAAACAUAUUAUCUUUAUCAUAUCUAUCAGAUCUCACUCUCGUAAGUGGCCGUGUAGGGAUUGACAACCCCUAUUCACGUUGGUUGCGAGGAUUUAUUUGUUUUGUGCAAGUACGAGGGACUCGCGCGUAGCCUCCUACUGGAUUGAUAUCUUGGUUCUCAAAAACCGAGGGAAAUACUUACGCUACUUUGCUACAUCAUCCCUUCCUCUUCGGGGAAAACCAACGCAGUGCUCAAGAGGUAGCAAGAAGGAUUUCUGGUGCCAUUGCCAGGGAGGUCUACGCAAAAGUUAACAUACCAAGUACCCGUCACAUACCCUUAUCUCCCGCAUUAUAUUAUUUGCCAUUUGCCUCUCGUUUUCACCUCCCCCACUUCACCCUUGCCGUUUUAUUCGCCCUCUCUCUCUAUCCUCCCUCUCUUUCUCUAUUUGCCUCUUUUUUCCCGCUUGCUUUCUGUUUGCUUGUGUGUUAGUUGCUUGCUUGUCACGAUGGCUCAAGAUAAUACUAAAUUAUGUGACUUCACCAAUACCAACAACAAUGAUUUUAUUAGCACUCCGAUUGCUCCUCUUAUCGAUGCUGAAUCUUGUGAAAUUAAUACUGCUUUGCUGAAUCUUGUCAUGAAAGAUCUGUUUUCCGGCCUUCCUAGUGAAGAUGCCGGUACCCACCUAAAUAGAUUCAUUGAUUUGUGUGACAUGCAAAACAAGAAAGGUGUGGAUAAUGAUAUUGUUAAAUUGAAGCUAUUUCCUUUUUCGCUUAGAGAUCGUGCUAAACUUGGUUUUCGUCUUUGCCUAAAAAUAGUAUUGAUUCAUGGAAUAAGUGCAAAGAUGCUAUUAUCUCUAAGUAUUUUCCUCCUGCUAAGAUCAUCUCUCUUAGAAACGAUAUUAUGAAUUUUAAGCAACUUGAUCAUGAAUAUGUUGCACAAGCUUGGGAGAGAAUGAAACUAAUGGUACGUAAUUGCCCUGCCCAUGAUUUAAAUUUGUGGAUGAUUAUACAAAAUUUUUAUGCCGGAUUGAAUUUUGCUUCUAGAAAUCUUUUAGAUUCGGCCGCGGGAGGCACUUUUAUGGAAAUCACUUUAGGAGAAGCUACUAAACUCCUAGAUAAUAUUAUGGUUAAUUAUGCUCAACGGCAUACUAAAAGAUCUAAUAAUAAAAAGGUGCAUGCGAUAGAAGAAAUUAAUGUUUUGAGUGGAAAGAUGGAUGAACUUCUGAAAUUAUUUGCUAAUAAGAGUGUUUCUUCUGAUCCUAAUGAUAUGCCCUUGUCUACUUUGAUUGAGAAUAAUAAUGAAUCUGUGGAUGUGGAUUUUGUUGGUAGGAACAAUUUUGGUAACAGCGCGUAUAGAGGAAAUUUCAACCCUAGGCCUUAUCCUAGUAAUCUCUCUAAUAAUUACGGUAAUUCCUACAACAAUUCUUAUGGAAAUUAUAAUAAGAUGCCCUCUAAUUUUGAAUCUAAUAUUAAAGAAUUUAUUACUUUGCAAAAGAAUUUCAAUGCCUUGAUUGAAGAAAAAUUGCUUAAGAUUGAUGAUUUGGCUAGGAACGUUGAUAGAAUUACUCUUGAUGUUGAUUCUUUGAAACUUAGAUCUAUUCCACCUAAGCAUGAUGUCAAUGAGUCUCUCAAAGCCAUGAGAAUUUCCAUUGAUGAGUGCAAAGAAAGAACCGCUAAGAUGCGUGCUAAGAAAGAUGCCUUUAUAAGAGCGUGUUCUUCUAGUUCCUAUGAAAAUAAUGAUGAAGAUCUAAAAGUUAUAGAUGUGUUCCCUAUUAAAUAUUUGUUUUUCAAUAUGAAUCUUGAUAAUGAUGGGACUGAAUAUGAUCCACCUUUACCUAUAAGGCGUUCGAAGAAUUCAGAAUUUGUUGAUCUUGAUGCUAAAAUUGAUAAAGGUGGGAUUGAAGAAAUUAAAACCCUAGAUGUUGCUAAACCCACUAUUAUGGAUUUCAAGGAAUUUAACUAUGAAAAUUGCUCUUUGAUUGAUUGUAUAUCCUUUUUACAAUCCGUGCUAAAUUCUCCUCAUGCUUAUAGUCAAAAUAAAGCGUUUACUAAACAUAUCGUUGAUGCCUUGAUGCAAUCUUAUGAAGAAAAACUUGAAUUGGAAGUUUCUAUCCCUAGAAAGCUUUAUGAUGAUUGGGAACCAACUAUUAAAAUUAAAAUUAAAUAUCAUGAAUGCUAUGCUUUAUGUGAUUUGGGUGCUAGUGUUUCCACGAUUCCAAAGACUUUGUGUGAUUUGUUAGGUUUCCGUGAUUUUGAUGAUUGCUCUUUAAACUUGCGCCUUGUGGAUUCCACUAUUAAGAAACCUAUGGGAAGAAUUAAUGAUGUUCUUAUGGAUGCAAAUAGGAAUUAUGUGCCUGUAGAUUUUAUUCUUCUUGACAUAGAUUGCAAUCUUUCAUGUCCUAUUAUUCUUGGUAGACCUUUCCUUAGAAUGAUUGGUACAAUUAUUGAUAUGAAGGAAGGAAAUAUUAGAUUCCAAUUUCCAUUAAGGAAAUUCAUGGAACACUUUACUAGAAAGUAAAUUAAAUUACCUUAUGAAUCUAUUAUGAUAGCCACUUGUGGAUUGCCUACCAAAGAUGGCAAUACCUAGAUCUAUCCUUGCUUGUUAUGCCUAGCUAGGGGCGUUAAACGAUAGCGCUUGUUGGGAGGCAACGCAAUUUUGUUUUUAUUCCUUGAUUUUUGCUCCUGUUUAGUAAUAAAUAAUUUAUCUAUCCUCUGUUUUGGUUGUGUUCUUUGUGUUUAAUUAGUGUUGGUGCCAAGUAGAACCGUUAGGAAGACUUGGGGAAAGUCUUGUUACACUUGCUGUAAAAAACAGAAACUUCGGCGCUCAUGAGAACUGCUGCCAUUUUUAUUUGGAAAGUGCUAUUUAGUUAAUUAUUUCUGCAGAUGAUUAAUAGAUAAAUUCCUCACGUCCAGAAAUUUAUUUUAGAAUUUUUGGGGUUCCAGCUCUUGAGCUAGGUACAGAUUACUACAGAUUGUUCUGUUUUUGAAAGAUUCUGUUUUUUCGUGUGUUGUUUGCUUAUUUUGAUGAACCUAUGGCUAGUAAAAUAGUUCAUAAACCAUAGAGAAGUUGGAAUACAGUAGGUAUAACACCAGUAUAAAUAAAUAAUGAGUUCAUUAUAGUACCUUGAAGUGGUCUUUUAUUUUCUUUCGCUAACGGAGCUCACGAGAUUUUCUACUUUAAGUUUUGUGUUGUGAAGUUUUCAAGUUUUGGGUAAAGAUUUGAUGGUUUAUGGAACAAGGAGUGACAAGAGCCUAAGCUUGGGGAUGCCCAUGGCACCCCCAAGAUAAUCUAAGUACACCUAAAAGCCAAAGCUUGGGGAUGCCCCGGAAGUCAUCCCCUCUUUCGUCUACUUCUAUCGGUAACUUUACUUGGAGCUAUAUUUUUAUUCGCCACAUGAUAUGUGUUUUGCUUGGAGCGUCUUGUAUUAUUUGACUCUUUAUUUGUUAGUUUACCACAAUCAUCCUUCCUGUACACACCUUUUGAGAGAGCCAUACAUGAUUUGGAAUUUGUUAGAAUAGUCUAUGUGCUUCGCUUAUAUCUUUUGAGUUAUAUAGUUUUGCUCUAGUACUUCACUUAUAUAUUUUAGAGCACGGUGGUGGAUUUGUUUUAUAAAAACUAUUGAUCUCCCAUGCUUCACUUAGAUUAUUUUGAGAUGCUUAAUAGCAUGGUAACUUGCUUAAAAUCCUAAUAUGCUAGGUAUUCAAAGUUAGUAAAAUUUUCUUAAGAGUGUUUUGAAUACUAAGAGAAGUUUGAUGCUUGAUGAUUGUUUUGAGAUAUGGAGGUAAUAAUAUCAAAGUCGUGCUAGUUGAGUAGUUGUGAAAUUGAGAAAUACUUGUGUUGAAAUUUGCAUGUCCCGUAGCAUGCACGUAUGGUAAAUGUUGUGUAACAAAUUUGAAACAUGAGGUGUUAUUUGAUUGUCUUCCUUAUGAGUGGCGGUCGGGGACGAGCGAUGGUCUUUUCCUACCAAUCUAUCCCCCUAGGAGCAUGCGCGUAGUACCGAGGUUUUUGAUGACUUGUAGAUUUUUGCAAUAAGUAUGUGAGUUCUUUAUGACUAAUGUUGAGUCCAUGAAUUAUACGCACUCUCACCCUUCCAUCCUUGCUAGCCUCUUUGGUACCAUGCAUUGCCCUUUCCCACAUUGAUUGUUGGAGCAAACUUCGCCGGUGCAUCCAAACCCCGUGAUAUGAUACGCUCUUUCACACAUAAACCUCCUUAUAUCUUCGUCAAAAAAGCCACCAUACCUACCUAUUAUGGCAUUUCCAUAGCCAUUCCGACAUAUAUUGCCAUGCAACUUUCCACCAUUCCGUUCAUCAUGACACAUUCAUCAUUGUCAUAGUGCUUAGCAUAAUCAUGUAGUUGACAUAGUAUUUGUGGCAAGGCCACCGUUCAUAAUUCUUUCAUACAUGUCACUCUUGGUCCAUUGCAUAUCCCGGUACACCGCUGGAGGCAUUCAUAUAAGUCAUACUUUGUUCUAGUAUCGAGUAGUAAUUAUUGAGUUGUAAAUAAAACGAAGUGUGAUGAUCUUAAUUAAUAGAGCAUGGUCCCAAAAAGAGAAAAAAGGAAGGGCCAAAAAAAGGCCAAAUAAAAAAAUAUAAAAAGGGGGGCAAUGCUACUAUCCUUUUUUCCACACUUGUGAUUCAAAGUAGCACCGUAAUCUUCAUGAUAGAGAGUAUCUUGAUUUGUCACUUUCAUAUACUAGUGGGAAUUUUUCAUUAUAGAACUUGGCUUGUAUAUUCCAACAAUGGGCCUCCUCAAGUGCCCUAGGUCUUUGUGAGCAAGCAAGUUGGAUGCACACCCACUUAGUUUCUUUUGUUGAGCUUUCAUACAUUUAUAGCUCUAGUGCAUCCGUUGCAUGGCAAUCCCUACUCCUUGCAUUAACAUCAAUCGAUGGGCAUCUCCAUAGCCCAUUGAUUAGCCUCGUUGAUGUGAGACUUUCUCCUUUUUGUCUUGUCCACAUAACUCCACUCAUUAUAUUCUAUUCCACCCAUAGUGUUAUGUCCAUGGCUUACAAUCAUAUAUUCCGUGAAAGUUUAUAGGUUUGAGAUCACUAAAGUAUGAAACAAUUGCUUGGCUUGUCAUCGGGGUUGUGCAUGAUGAGAGCAUUGUUGUGUGACAAAAAUGAAGCAUGACUAAACUAUAUGAUUUUGUAGGGAUGAACUUUCUUUGGCCAUGUUAUUUUGAGAAGACAUAAUUGCUUAGUUAGUAUGCUUGAAGUAUUAUUAUUUUUAUGUCAAUAUGAACUUUUGUCUUGAAUCUUUCGGAUCUGAAUAUUCAUACCACAAUUAAGAAGAAUAACAUUAAAAUCAUGCUAAGUAGCACUCUGCAUCAAAAAUUCUGUUUUUAUCAUUUACCUACUCGAGGACGAGCAGGAAUUAAGCUUGGGGAUGCUUGAUACGUCUCCAACGUAUCUAUAAUUUUUGAUUGCUCCAUGCUAUAUUAUCUACUGUUUUGGACAAUAUUGGGCUUUAUUAUCCACUUUUAUAUUAUUUUUGGGACUAACCUAUUAACCGGAGGCCCAGCCUAGGAUUGCUGUUUUUUGCCUAUUUUAGGGUUUCGAAGAAAAGGAAUAUCAAACGGAGUCCAAACGGAAUGAAACCUUCGGGAACGUGAUUUUCUCAACGAACAAGACCCAGGAGAAUUGGACCCUCCGUCAAGACACAAAAGAGGAGGCCACGAGGUAGGGGGCGUGCCUACCCCCCCGGCGCGCCCUCCACCCUCGUGGGCCCCCUGUUGCUCCACCGACGUACUCCUUCCUCCUAUAUAUACCUACGUACCCCCAAAUGAUCAUAUACGGAGCCAAAACCCUAAUUACGCUGCCGCAACAUUCUGUAUCCACGAGAUCCCAUCUUGGUGCCUGUUCCGGAGCUCCGUCAGAGGGGGCAUCGAUCAUGGAGGGCUUCUACAUCAACACCAUAGCCUCUCUGAUGAAGUGUGAGUAGUUGACCUCAGACCUACGGGUCCAUAGUUAUUACCUAGAUGGCUUCUUCUCUCUUUUUGGAUCUCAAUACAAUGUGCUCCCCCUCUCUUGUGGAGAACUAUUCGAUGUAAUCUUCUUUUUGCGGUGUGUUUGUUGAGACCGAUGAAUUUUGGGUUUAUGAUCAAGUCUAUCUAUGAAUAAUAUUUGAAUCUUCUCUGAAUUCUUUUAUGUAUGAUUGGUUAUCUUUGCAAGUCUCUUCGAAUUAUCAGUUUGGUUUGGCCUACUAGAUUGAUCUUUCUUGCAAUGGGAGAAGUGCUUAGCUUUGGGUUCAAUCUUGCGUGUCCUUUCCCAGUGAUAGUAGGGGUAGCAAGGCACGUAUUGUAUUGUUGCCAUCGAGGACAACAAGAUGGGGUUUUCAUCAUAUUUUAUGAGUCUAUCCCUCUACAUCAUGUCAUCUUACUUAAGGCGUAAUAGUAGUAGAUGAGUGGAGUAAUAGUAGUAGAUGCAGGCAGGAGUCGGUCUACUUGUCUCGGACGUGUUGCCUAUAUACAUGAUCAUACCUAGAUAAUCUCAUAACUAUGCUCAAAUCUAUCAAUUGCUCAAUAGUAAUUUGUUCAUCCACCGUAGAAUACUUAUGCUCUCGAGAGAAGCCACUAGUGAAACCUAUGGCCCCCGGGUCUAUCUUUAUCAUAUUAAUCUCCUACUACUUAGUUAUUUCCUUUGCUUUUUUACUUUGCCUUUAUUUUACUUUGCAUCUUUAUCACAAAAAUAAAAAUAUCUUUAUCAUAUCUAUCCAAUCUCACUCUCGUAAGUGGCCGUGUAGGGAUUGACAACCCCUAUUCACGUUGGUUGCGAGGAUUUAUUUAUUUUGUGCAGGUACGAGGGACUGGCGCAUAGCCUCCUACUGGAUUGAUACCAUGGUUCUCAAAACCUGAGGGAAAUACUUAUGCUACUUUGCUGCAUCAUCCCUCACUCUUCGGGGAAAACCAACGAAGUGCGCAAGAGGUAGCAAGGGUUCCUUUUUGUCGACGAUCUGAUGUUUCAACCUUGUUUUCCAGGCGGCCAACGCAUCACUCAACUUGGUCAUGGCGUGUUUGUUUAUCUUCUUCAUUGCCAGGUCCUUAUCUGGAUCUUUAUUAUCCUUUUCAUUACGGUCCGGGAACAAGAAUAUCUGGUGCAGCUUCUUCAGGAGGGAGGGCCUCAUAUUAUCUAUCUUCUAUAGUUUCCCAUCGUUGAUCAUGGCAGUUGUCCGUACAAUGCAACCUAUUUGAUUGCCGUAACACGAUUGCGCUUCCUCGGGUGCUAUUGUCUCAAAAAUACUGUCGUCCAUCUCCGUGACCACCAGUCUAGUACUCAUGAGCUGGUUUAGGCGUCGUGGCCUCUUUGCUGUCGGUUCUAGACUAACUCCCCUAGUCUCGGCACCGGUCUCAGUCUCAUCGCCGGUCUGCAUGUCGGUAUCAGUCCCCGAUGCGACAACACAGUCGCUGCAACAUGGGUAAGGGAGACCACAUCAGUGCUGGGGGUCCGAAAAUUGGGACACACUUUCGCGCGUCGCGGGCCGCCUCUCAGACAGCUAAUGGGGAGGCGGCGGAGUACCUGGGUGCGCGGCGAAUCCCCAAGAACUCGGUGACCAACUUCCUUCCCGUGUGGCGCAUGGAGACGACGGCGACCCUGGCGAAGAGCAGCUUAGCCGCGAGCUGCACAGCCUCGUCCACCUCCUAAGUUGGGACCUCCGUGCGAGCGUUGCGGGGCCGCCGCUCGGAUGGCUUCUGGAAGGCCGUUGUACAUGGGCACAGGGUGAAUCCCGACGAGAGCUGGCCAUUGGCGCGCGCAAGUAGACGACGACGUCCCCGACGAAGAGCUGCCCGGCCAGCUCGCCUCACUCGCCUUUGAUUAGAAAUGAAAGAUUGGGAAGAAGCAGACUUGAGCCUGCAGGGAAAGGAUAAGGUGACGAUGCAGUCUCCACUCGUUCGGGGCGACACGCGUACUGAAUGUAUGAGAAACGUGACGUGGCAGAGACCCCAAGAUACUCCCUCCAUUUAUUUUUAGUCUGCAUAUAAAGUUUGGUCAAAGUCAAGAUUUGUAAAUUUUAACGAACUUUAUAAUAAAAAAAUAUCAGCAUUCACAAUAUGAAAUCAAUAUUACCAGAUGCGUCAUGAAAUGUAUUUCCAUACUAUAUAGUUUUGGUAUUGUAGAGGCACUCUUCCAUAUAAUGAAGUUUAUAAUAUAUGUGCUUAUAUUGUAUUACAAUUGUUUGAAUAGCUUAGCAUAUGUUCAGAUGUAUGAUAUCUGUAAUUUAAGCGCUUGAAUUUUACAUAUAAAUAUUUAUUAAUAAAUAUGUACCCCUAUAAUAGCUAGGCCGUGCCGUUGCACGGGUAGAUGACUAGUGAUUACAAUCUUGUUUGUGUGCAAGUCAAGCUUAUAUAGUUUACACGUAACAACUUGUAGAACAUUACAAAAUUUAUGCUUGCUAAUAACUUCUAGAACACUAGAACACUUGACAUGUAAAAGGAAUUUGACGAGUCAUGGCCUACUAAAGCAAGUUACAUUACUAGUCUUAUCUAUCUUAACAGACCACACAAGAUUACAAACUAAGUACCGUGACAGCCAUGCUUAUCUAGUUUAUGCGUAACAAUUUGCAGAAAAUUAGAAACUUGGUUUCAGAAAAAUACGCAAUCUAGAUUAGUGUUUGAGCUGUAAAGUGAAUAAGAUGAGUCAUGCAUGUUAUCACACCUUUUUGGUGGUGGAAUGAUAGUGCAACAACAAGGAACUUUAAUGACCAGUCCAAGAAUACACUUGUAAGUAGUGCCACCAAACAGAACAUACCAAAUGAUGAUUUUUAGAAGCAUCCAAGCACUUUCCACACAAACAAAUGCCAAUUGUGAAAGAGAUCAUUCCAUGGCAGCUAUAAAUAGCCCCAUAGCAUGAGGUUCAUCCUUCCUCAUCCAUCAUUUUCAUUAGUAGAGCGCAUCAUUUAAGCCAAGCAAGCUGUGGUCAAUACAAAUCCACCAUGAAGACCUUUCUCAUCCUUGCCCUCCCUGCUAUCGUGGCGACCACCGCCACAACUGCAGUUAGAGUUCCAGUGCCACAAUUGCAGCCACAAAAUCCAUCUCAGCAACAGCCACAAGAGCAAGUUCCAUUGGUACAACAACAACAAUUUCUAGGGCAGCAACAACCAUUUCCACCACAACAACCAUAUCCACAGCCGCAACCAUUUCCAUCACAACAACCAUAUCUGCAGCUGCAACCAUUUCCGCAGCCGCAACUACCAUAUUCGCAGCCACAACCAUUUCGACCACAACAACCAUAUCCACAACCGCAACCACAGUAUUCGCAACCACAACAACCAAUUUCACAGCAGCAGCAGCAGCAGCAACAACAACAACAACAACAACAACAACAACAAAAGCAAAUCCUUCAACAAAUUUUGCAACAACAACUGAUUCCAUGCAUGGAUGUUGUAUUGCAGCAACACAACAUAGCGCAUGGAAGAUCACAAGUUUUGCAACAAAGUACUUACCAGCUGUUGCAAGAAUUGUGUUGUCAGCACCUAUGGCAGAUCCCUGAGCAGUCGCAGUGUCAGGCCAUCCAAAAUGUUGUUCAUGCUAUUAUUCUGCAUCAACAACAAAAACAACAACAACAACCAUCGAGCCAGGUGUCCUUCCAACAGCCUCUGCAACAAUAUCCAUUAGGCCAGGGCUCCUUCCGGCCAUCUCAGCAAAACCCACAGGACCAGGGCUCUGUCCAGCCUCAACAACUGCCCCAGUUCGAGGAAAUAAGGAACCUAGCGCUACAGAUGCUACCUGCAAUGUGCAAUGUCUACAUCCCUCCAUAUUGCACAAUCGCGCCAUUUGGCAUCUUCGGUACUAACUGAGAAGAAAAUAACUCUAGUACUAGAUAUAUGAAACACCGUUUUCUCAGUCCAUGGUUUGGUCAUUGUAGCGUCGAAAAAAUAAUGUGACAUGCACUAUCAUAUAAGAAUCCGAACUAUACUAGUUCAAACUUGGGAAUAAAAGACAAACACAUGUCUUGUCUACAUAUUUAUGUUGCAUCUAUUUAUAUAUUAAAAGUAAUAUAAGGUGAACCAGGAGCAAGGUAAAUAUGCUAGAAAAUUGCACGUUAAUUAGAAAUUACUUGCCCUCGAUCUGGUAAAUCUUAACAAAUAGAAUUAUCUUGACCGUUAGAUUUAUAUAACAUAUAUAAUGCUCUGGGCCUCCAACGACUGUACGUGACACAUCUGAACGAACAUAUGGUAAAGAAAAUAUAUUUGGUAAAUGGUGGGCCUGUUUAAAAAGAGAACUCACGUACAUGCACCAACUAAGAAAAACACAUACAUGUAAACGGGAAAAGGAUGAGAUUUUCUCACGUACGUGCUCCCUGGCUCCACCCCGUUGAAAAAAUAUACAUCUGGAGGCCACUUUGUUUCCUCAUCAAAAAAACUUACGUUAAAAAGAUUGCAUGCAUCCCAGGGAAAAUAGUCAAGAAGAAGUCGGACUUUUCCUUACAAAAACAAGGAACGUGUUAAGUUGACUUCAAAGAAAAAAGGAACAUGUUAAGUUAAAAAAAAACAAGAAACCUGUUAAGUUAGAAAAAAACAAGGAACGUGUUGUCCAAGGAAAGAUAUGUGUCAAAUCUUACAAAAAAAAAGAAUACACACACGUACGUUCAUGCACUUGGAAAAUAGAAAAAAAGGAACAUCACGUAUGUAUACACUUCGGAAACUCAUUACAUGACCAUGUCUGAUAUACUCCUCUAAUGCUUAAUAUUAGUGCCUAAUAAUUUAUAUUUAAAAUUUAAUUUACUGAUCAAAUAUCCCCACUGUUUAAAUUUUAAUUUGGCACAUUGUUUGGCUAUAGUAUGAACCUGAAUUUCCUCUUAUUAUUAUAUAUCAUGGUAAUAAUCCAAAGGCGACUAAUCUGCACCGGCGCACCGGCGCAAUCAAUUCGGCUGGACACAGCGCGGCCGUUUGAUUAGAUUGCAUUUAACCAUCAGAUCUGGAAUCGUUUUCUUUCCAAUUAAACGGAUUCAACCAAACAGCAGAGGGGAAAACAAAGCAGCGCCGCCGCCAACACUAGCCAUGGACGACCGAUGUAGCAAAACCUUGAAGAACCGCCGCCGGUCGCCACCCUCGCCUCUGGUCGCUGCCCUCGCCGUCGGUCACCGCCGGUCGCCGCCCUCGCCGCCUGCGUUUCUCAUCGGCUUCAUGCAUGCAACAACAUGCACUCGUGGUUGCAGGCUUGCAUCUCCGGCUCCGGGGACAUGGCCGCAUCUCCGGUAGCGCCGGCCGCCGGCCGCAGCACCUGUCGUUGUGGUCGCGCUGUACCUCGCCGUGUGCCCUCCCGAGGCUCUUGCUGGUUCCAACAAAAAACGAUACCUGUUGUAGCAAAAAAGUAUCGCUUCCAGCAAAAAAGCUUACCGCUACAGCCCGCCAUCGUCAUUGUAGCAAAAAUGUUAACCCGAUGUAGCUUCUGUGGUUGCCGACUGCAGCAAAAAAUGACAUGGCUGUAGCAAAACACAAAAGAAAAACACUGGCCGGCCGCUGUGUAUGGUGGUAACAAACCCUAUAGCCGGUGGUAGCGAAAAACUUCAUAGUGUGCUGCAAAAAAAUGUUGUCACCCGUCGUCGAGGUUGCAUCAUCUUCAUGAAUUAUGCCGCAAAAAAACGUUGUCGCCGGUAGUAGCAAAUGAAGCCGCCGGUAGUAGCAAAACAAGACACUGGUUCCAGCCAAAAAAAAAAUCAGCGACAGAACCUUUGGUUGGUUCCAACAAAAAAACUUGUCGGUUGUAACAUCCCUCGCCGCCGGAUGUAGCAUCUCCCGGGGCUGGUUGCAACACUCCAUAAAAAAAGUUGUCUAUGAGCGCAUCCAUGGUGACUGCUGCACCGUCAGCAAUGAGGGGAAGAGGAGGCAAUGAAAAUCAUUCGAGUCAUAGCUCCACAGGACGCGGCUGCAGCAUGGGGAGUCCAAAAAUCUGUCACAAGCAACAUGCGCCGCGCCAUCCUCCUGCGCAGGAGAGAGAAGAAAAAGGAAUAAGAGGAAGAAGAAAGGAAACAGGAGAAAGAAAAAAGAAAGGAUUGGUGGUUGGCUCAGGCAAUUAGUCAAGCGAGGGGCACGCGGGGCCGCAGGACACAGCGCAAUCGAACGAAGCGCGCGCGUCCGGGCGAAGACUCGGCCGGACUGCCGUCUGGAAACGUUUCCCUAAUCCAAAGGCUUUAUCUGAAUGACAAGUCGUCUGGGUUACCGGCUAACUAGAAAAAAGAUAAAUAUGCUAGAGAAUUCCAUAAUAAUUAGAAAUAUCUAGCCUUUAAUUAUGUAAACCAGAAAAUCACAACCGUUGGAUUUACUUUAAAGGUAAAUUUCUAUAAAUUCCCACCAUUGCCAGUAUGUAGAAACAUGUGCUGCUUCAAUUCUCCCAUAAUCACCAAUCAAUCAACAACACAAAACAUACCUCAGUUAAAAAAACUGAACAAAAAAAAGAAAAAAAGAAGAAAGGACAAGAUACACGCAUGUACACGACAGCCUUGGCUUGAAACACAUCAGUAGAUCAAGUGUCCGCCUCCCUUACACGUACGUCCCAUGAGGUUUACUAGCCUACCGCCGCCGCAUCAUGCCAUCCUCUCCUUUCAGCUCCCAUGCUCUCCAGCACCCUCAUUGCGGCGCCACUACUCGCCUAGGGAUAUUGCUGCUCAGACCGUGGAGCUUAACCACAUCAGCAUCAGCACGUAUGGGCCUCAUUAUACUGCAGCACGUAUUGCGCCCCCUUAAGUCCAGGUCUGUUUGCUGGCACAUAUGCUUUGGAAAUAGGCCACUAUGUUUGUACUUCAAAAUUGUUUCUGUAUUCUUGAGUGGUACAUCCUUUUAAGCGCCAGUUUUUUAUGUUAAUUCAUGCUGACAACACUUAACCUAGCCUUUCAUGUUCACGUACUAAAUACAGGAGCAAGUAAAAACAACAGACCACCUAAUUGCUCUGCAUGUACUACAUAGGAAAAUUUGUCAUGUUCUACGAUCGCACCAUCCCACCCUUCUCUCUUGGUAUGGGCGCCAAUUGAGGGAUUGAUAAAACUGAAACGAAGACGUCACAGGGCUGGAAGUACCGCUAGCCUGGUUUGCACUGCAACCUACCCAACGCCAUCAGAAACUAGCAACUGAGUCAGGUGUUGAUCGAUUCUCUCAAAUUGCUCUCAUGUAAGUACUACCCCUUGCAUGUGCGUACAUACCUUUGUUGCAUUCUCAAACAGAUAGAACAUGUUUGAUCGGUGCAUGGCUAUUUUUCAUCACAUGACAUCCAGAUAACAAGCAUGAAAGGACUACAUUGGAGAUCAAAAAAUAUUGGUUCCUGGCUAGAGUACCACUACCUAUGGACUUGUCUCCAUAGAAUUUGUUCCCAAGAUGUUAUUUUAAUUAAUCUCUUUAGCUUUCUUCCAUUGCAAACGGUGAUGUGCAUCAUGGUAUAUACGUGACCAUCUUGCACAUGUAUACACAAGAGGCUCAGAUGGAGGUGCUGGAUUCUGGACGAGGGAAUAUGAAGCAGGAGUGAGCGAAGAGUAAAUAAUGGUGGGAGUACCGAUUGGUGUUAUGAAGAAAAAUGCCAUCCAAAGAUUGAUUAGUGUCAUGGAAGAUUAAUUUCUGAAUGCGAAUAUAUAUGUUACAUUGGUUUGGAUCUUUUUGAGAUAAUUCCACCUAAAUUAGGUUCUUUCUUAUUUCAUAUGUAUACCUUAUUUCAGUAAAAGUUCACAACGAACUUAGUAGGACAAAUAUAAUUUUGUUUGUUCUUUCUGUUGUCCGCCACCAAAGCUCAAUUUGAACUCUCUAGAAAUGGACAAUGAUUUAUGCAUUCUAUAUCUUCUUGAUUGAUUAGCCAUGACAAGGAAAUAAAAGGAUUGACUGAUAUAGCAUAACUUUGGAACGAUUAGAGGUUACUACAAAUAAGAGUAGUGUCUGUUGGAAUUUUGCUAGUAGGCCUUUGGCCCAAAGCCCAACUAAAAUUCUGAAAUUCUCUUGGCUCAUUUAUGCACACAUGUGAGUUGAGUGAGUGAGACUAAAGUUUAGUCCCACCCUGGAAGUUGAGAGAGAGUUGCACCUCUUUAUAAGGUGAGCUCUUCUACCACUUGUAUGAGCAUGAGAAGAGGAGACCUACACGCGCGCUCCUCCUCCACGCUCGCCACGCCUCGUCGCGCCGCGCCGUGCCGCGGGUUGCGGGAUUGAGCCGAGCCGAGGACGUUUUCUAUAUUUUUGCUGCUCGGGAAAAAUUAAUGAGUCAUUAAUUAAUAAUUAAUGGACACAUUAAUUACUGAACCGUUUCCGAUUUUUUUGGAUCGUGACGACUCGGACGUGGGGUUUACUCCCAGGACCUACCCGGCCCGCACUAUAUAGUCAGGAAGACGUCUACCCUAGCCGCCGCCGCUUCGUAUGGUUUCUCACCAUCGUUACAGAUCAUUGCGCCGCCAAGCAAGUUUUCUCCAUCCCUCCUUUCGGCGUGCACCGGGAGAAGGGACAGCAGACCUCCGGAACCCCGCCUCUCGUGAUCCUAUACGGGAGAGGGGCGAUCAGGUUUUUGGGGAGCGCACUCGCAUGACUGCUGGCAGCGACGACUUCGCAAACGACGACUUCUUCCCCGACCUCGGCAACCUCAUCCUCGACGACAUGGGCGACAACGUCAACGCCGGCGGUGCUACACCCACUGCACCGUAUGUUAUUCUCUCCUUCUUGUUCGAGAUCAUGGUAGAAUUCAUGUUUCUAGUAUAUGUGCCCUAGAUGUGAUCUGUUCAUCUACUAUGGUAGUUCGCAUGAUUAGUUUAAUCUCUGUUAUUGCUGUCAUGAUCUAUUUCCUAUUUAUUCGGAUUAAAUCUCGUAGUAAUUUUCUCAUUUUUCCAACAAUCCAAAAACCUGAUUAUAGGAAAUUUACUCCGAGUGGUUUUGCUGCGCAUCUGAAAGCCGCUUGCCUUUAAGGGGGCGCAAUAUAAGAGGUGGCGCACCAGAGCAGUCUACUGGUUUCAGAUCAUGGGCUGCUAUGACGCCACCAAGGGCAAGCCUGAGGGCGAUCUUAAUCCAGCACAGCUGGAAGCUUUCAAGAAGAUCAAUACCCUCUUUAAAGGCACGCUUCUGAGUGUUCUUGAUGACUCCAUUGUAGAUUCGUAUAUGUCGUUUGACAAUGGCAAGAACAUGUGGGCUACGCUCGAGGCCAAGUUUGGUGCCUCGGACGCCGGCAGCGAGUUGUACGUCAUGGAGCAAUUCUAUGACUCCAAGAUGACUGAUGGGCGCCCUGUUGUACAGCAGGCUCAUGAGAUACAGUUGCUCGCAAAAGAACUUGAGUACUUCAAGUGUGUGUUGGCGAACAAAUUUGUUGCCGGAGGCAUCAUUGCCAAGCUUCCACCUUCGUGGAACAAUUUUGCUACUUCCCUGAAACACAAGAGACAGGAGUUUUUCGUUGCGGAUCUCAUUGGUACUCUUGAUGUUGAAGAGAAGGCGAGAGCAAAGGAUACACGUGCUUGAGUUGCUAAGGGAGGUUCUAGUGCCCACAUGGUACAGAAGAAGAACUUCCAGCCCAACAAGUUCAAAAACAACAAGAACAAAACUUAGGGCAAAGGCAAGUUCGAUACAAAGAACAAGCCAUCACAUUCUACCAACUUCAAGAAGAACUCUCAUAAGAAGGGGAAGGGACUUUGCCAUGUCUAUGGUGAUCCUAAUCACUGGGCUCCGAAGUGUCCCAACCGCUUUGAGGAGCGCGAACAUGAGAAGAGCGGCAAGUCUGCUAAUGUUGUCAUCGGUGAUACUGAUAUGAAGGAAUCAGGGUACGGUAUUUUUCCUACCAUCCUUUCAGUAUUCCAAACCCCUGACUGGUUAAUUGACACCGGUGCCAAUGUACAUGUUUGUGCUGAUGCCUCCAUGUUUUCUUCUUACCAGGCCACUGGGACUUCUCCUAUGCUGAUGGGGAACGGGUCACAUGCCAUCGUUCGAGGUGUUGGUACGGUCGAUCUGAAGUUUACUUCGGGGAAGACCGUGCGUCUGAAGAACGUUCAUCAUGUGCCGUCCAUCAAUAAAAAUCUCGUUAGCGGUUCCCGUUUAUGUCGAGAUGGUUUUAAGUUGGUUUUCGAAUCCAAUAAAGUUAUAAUUUCUAAGUAUGGACAAUUUGUUGGAAAAGGCUAUGAGAGCGGAGGCUUGUUUCGCCUGUCUUUGUCAGAUAUUUGCACUAAAGUUAUUAAUAAUGUUUGCCACAACAAUGAGUCUGAUAUUUGGCAUUCACGACUUUGUCACAUUAACUUUGGUUGCAUGACGCGGCUAGCCAAUAUGAAUUUAAUUCCGAAAAUCUCUACUGUCAAAGGAUCUAAGUGCCAAGUAUGUGUGCAAGGUAAGCAACCUCGCAAGUCCCAUAAGACUGCAGAGGCAACAGACUUGGCGCCACUAGAGCUUAUACAUUCUGAUAUUUGUGAGAUGAAUGACGUGUUGACAAAAGGUGGAAAGAGAUACCUCAUGACGUUGAUUGAUGACUCCACUAGAUAUUGUUAUGUGUAUCUUAUGAAAUCAAAAGAUGAGGCUUUGGCUUUCUUCAAAAACUAUAGAGCUGAGGCAGAGAACCAACUUGAUCGAAAAAUUAAACGGCUUAGGUCCGAUCAUGGUGGAGAGUAUUUUUCCAAUGAAUUUGAUCUAUUUUGUGCGGAACAUGGUAUAAUCCAUGAGAGGAUGCCUCCCUACUCACCCCAGUCAGAUGGGGUAGCCGAAAGAAAGAACCAAACUCUAACUGAUAUGGUUAACACCAUGUUAGACACUUCGGGUCUAUCCAAGGAAUGGUGGGGGGAGGCGCUAAUGACUGCGUGUCAUGUCCUAAACCGAGUUCCCACAAAGCAUAAGACCAUGACUCCAUUUGAGGAAUGUUAAAGGAAAAGGUUGAAACUCUCUUACCUACGUACUUGGGGUUGUUUGGCGAAAGUCAAUAUACCAAUUCCCAAGAAGCGCAAGCUUGGACCAAAAAUCGUGGGUUGUGUUCUUCUUGGCUAUGCUUUUCAUAGCAUCGGCUAUAGAUUUUUGAUAAUAAAAUCUGAGGUAUCCGACAUGCAUGUUGGUACGAUUAUGGAGUCGAAUGAUGCAACUUUUUUUGAGGACAUAUUUCCUAUGAAGGAUAUGUCGAGUUCAUCAAAUCAGGAGACACCUACUCCAUCUAGUGAGGAAUUCAUUGUAAUUCCUGAACCCACCAUUGCGAUGGAACACAUUGAGAAUCCUGUUGAGGGUGACAAUGGAACUCUUGUGAGGAGUAAGAGACAUAGGACUACAAAGUCCUUUGGUGAUGAUUUCAUUGUGUACCUCGUGGAUGACACACCCAGGACUAUUUCAGAAGCCUGUGCAUCUCUUGAUGCUGACUACUGGAAGGAAGCUGUACGUAGCGAGAUGGAUUCCAUCUUAGGUAACGGAACCUGGGAGAUCACUGACCGUCCUUAUGGGUGAAAACCUGUAGGAUGUAAGUGGGUGUUCAAGAAGAAGCUUAGACCUGAUGGUACGAUUGAAAUGUACAAGGCACGGCUUGUGGCCAAGGGUUAUACCCUGAAAGAAGGUGUAGACUUCUUUGAUACUUACUCACCCGUGGCUAGACUGACCACAAUUGGGUGCUACUAUCACUUGUUGCCUCACAUGGUCUUCUCGUUCAUCAAAUGGACGUUAAGAACGCUUUCCUCAAUGGAGAGUUGAAGGAGGAAAUUUACAUGGAUCAGCCAGAUGGUUUUGUAGUACCUGGUUAGUAAGGAAAGGUGUGCAAGUUAUUAAAGUAUUUAUAUGGCCUUAAACAAGCUCCUAAAGAGUGGCAUGAGUAGUUUGAAAGAACAUUAACUGCUACCGGCUUUGUAGUAAACGAUGGUGACAAGUGCGUGUACUAUCGCUAUGGUGGGGGCGAAGGAGUUAUUCUUUGUUUGUAUGUCGACGACAUAUUGAUCUUUCGAACCAAACUUGAUUUAAUCAAGGAGGUUAAGGAUUUCUUAUCUCGCUGUUUUGAGAUGAAGGAUCUAGGAGUAGCUGAUGUUAUCUUAAACAUCAAGCUGUUGAGAGAUGAGAAUGGUGGGAUCACACUGCUUCAGUCACACUAUGUGGAAAAGGUCUUGAAUCGUUUUGGGUAUAGCGACUGCACACCUUCUCCAACCCCAUAUGAUGCUAGCAUGUUGCAUCGAAAGAAUCGACGGAUUGCUAGAGAUCAACUGAGGUAUUCUCAUAUUAUUGGCUCGCUUAUGUAUUUGGCGAGUGCCACGAGGCCAAACAUCUCGUUUGCUGUUAGCAAGCUGAGUCGGUUUGUGUCAAAACCAGGAGAUGAUCAUUGGCAUGCACUUGAGAGAGUUAUGUGCUAUUUGAAAGGCACCGCGAGCUAUGGGAUUCACUACACCGGGUAUCCAAGAGUACUGGAGGGUUAUAGUGACUCAAACUGGAUAUCUGAUGCUAAUGAGAUUAAGGCCACAAGUGGUUAUGUUUUUACACUUGGUGGUGGCGCUGUUUCUUGGAAGUCCUGCAAGCAGACCAUCUUAAUGAGGUCAACUAUGGAAGCAGAACUCACAACAUUAGAAACUGCCACUGUUCAAGCAGUGUGGCUUCAUGAGCUCUUGAUGGACUUUCCUAUGAUUGAAGAACCAAUACCCCCUAUCCCAAUGAACUGUGAUAAUCAAACUAUGAUCGUCAAGAUAAAUAGUUCUAAGGACAAUAUGAAGUCCUCAAGGCAUGUGAAGAGGAGACUGAAAUCUGUCAGAAAAUUGAGGAACUCCGGAGUUAUUACGUUGGAUUAUAUCCAAACGUCAAAAAAAUUGGCAGAUCCCUUCACAAAGGGUCUAUCACGUAAUGUGAUAGAUAAUGCAUCGAUGGAGAUGGGUCUGAGACCCACCGCAUGAGUUGUCCAUAGUGGUAACCCACUCUUUGUGAUCGGAUAUCCCGUGAAGUAUAAGUGGGAGACAAGCUGUUGGUCAGCUGGGAGGAGAGUAUCCCUAUAUUACCUGUCCCACUCCAUGAAGAUGCAAUACUCUCCUAAUCUGCAUGGCAGGUUGAUACUUAUCUUAAUGUGUUCCAAGUGGCUUAUUCGGGUAAGCAGAGAUGUUGUCCUGCAGAACAUCUUCUGAGGAACACACCUAUAUGAAUUUGACUGUUAACGUCGCAGUCUGUGAGAAUUGGGUGUUCUCUAAUAAAUUCAUGAAAAGGCCCUGGAGUAUGACGUAUACGCUCCACCCGCAGGGAAGCCUUGCGGCAGCCCAGUAUCGGUCAAGAAUUUGUGUGAAACUAGUUGCGCAGAAAAUUUGUAGUUCAAGGCAUAGUCCACUAUUCAAGUUGUGAUCUAGUGUAGCAUAAAUCUCUAAGUGGAAGUUCAACUUCACAGUCUCCACUAAGCCCCGGUAUAUAAACAAUGUUUUGGAACUAAAUGAUGAGAUGUGCCAAUGAGACUUUGUGGGGGAUUGUUGGAAUUUUGCUAGUAGGCCUUUGGCCCAAAGCCCAACUAAAAUUCUGAAAUUGUCUUGGCCCAUUCAUGCACACAUGUGAGUGGAGUGAGUGAGACUAAAGUUUAGUCCCACCCCGGAAGUUGAGAGAGAGCACCUCUUUAUAAGGUGAGCUCUUCUACCACUUGUAUGAGCAUGAGAAUAGGAGACCUACACACGCGCUCCUCCUCCUCGCUCGCCACGCCACCCCUCGUCACGACGCGCCGCGGGUUGCGGGAUUGAGCCGAGCCGAGGACAGAGCUAUGCACAUUGUCUAUUUUUUGCUACCCGAAAAAAUUAAUGAGUCAUUAAUUAAUAAUUAAUGGACACGUUAAUUACUAAACCGUUUUCGAUUCUUUUGGAUCAUGAAGACUCGGACAUGGGGUUUACUCCCACGACCUACCGGGCCCGCAUUAUAUAGUCCGGCAGACGUCUACCCUAGCUGCCGCCGCUUCAUAUGGUUUCUUACCACCGUUCCAGAUCAUUGCGCCGCCAAGCAAGUCUUCUCCAUCCGUCCCUUCGGCGUGCAUCGGGAGAAGGGACAACAGGCCUCCGGAACCCCGCCUCUCGUGAUCCUGUACGGGAGAGGGGCGAUCAGGUUUUUGGGGAGCGCACUCGCGCGACUGCUGGCAGCGACGACUUCGCGAAUGACGACUUUUUCCCUGACCUCGGCAACCUCAUCCUCGACGACAUGGGCGACAACGUCAACGCCGGCGGUGCUGCACCCGCUGCACCUUAUGUUAUUCUAUCCUUCUUGUUCGAGAUCAUGGUAGAAUUCACGUUUCUAGUAUAUGCCCUAGAUGUGAUCUGUUCAUCUACUAUGCUAGUUCGCAUGAUUAGUUUAAUAUCUGCUAUUGCUGUCAUGAUCUAUUUCCUAUUUAUUCGGAUUAAAUCUCGUAGUAAUUUGCUCAUUUUUCCAAUAGUACCAUCUAAUAGAUGAUGUAAAUCUCCUCUAGUUUGACGUUGUUGAGCUAAUUUACAAAAAAAACCUCAUCAUUAUUGGACGUCCUUAACAGCUCAAGAACAAGUUGGGGUCGAACUAAUGGAUUUUACACUUUUACAUUAAAGGUUUAGCUAAAGCUAGCAGGUGUUUUUAAACCUGAAUUUUUUUCCUCCUGAAUUUCUUUGUAUUUUCUUAUUGACACUAUUUAUACAAUCAUCUGACAAAGAUUAGCUAAAGCUGUUUGUAGAUACGUUGAAACCUGAAAAGCUUCUUUGGUUAUCCUUUUAAUAGUUCUACGUUUAUUUUCUCAUAGGUCAUAAUUCUUAUGUAAUACCAAGAUGCAUUGUGGUAGUGUACAUGUGUUAAAUUCAGGUUGUUAUUCACAAUUUGCGACAAAAUUUAGCUCACGCUACAUUCAAAUAUGUUGAAAUGUGAAAGCUUUUUUUUCUUCUCCUUUCUACACCUUGCAUCGGAUUGCAUCCCUUUAGUUAUCCAACAUUUUGUACAACAUGUAGAGAUUAGGAAGUUCAUCAUAGUUUGUUUAUUUCGGUGCUAAUAAAUGUAUGAAAUCUGCAUUUCCAAGCUACUAGGACAAGUAAAAAAUAAUAAUUUUACUAUAGGAUUCAAAAACAGCAGUUCUGAAGUGCACUUUAUUUAUUUUUGAAAGUGAUCACAUUUUGUUUCAUUUUUCUAUAGACAAAUCUACUAAUACAUACUCACGAUAAAACUAUAAAAGUUCUAGUCCGCACAUUGGGCGGGCCACCCGGCUAGUUAGUCUAAAGAUAACAAAAUGAGUCUGGAAUUUGAAUUAAAUUGAAGUAUUUUCUUGGACUUUCAAAUUGAGUUUUAUUAAAGUAGUAAGGACUAUCCACAUCCUUGGCUUGCCCCUGAUCAAUUAUUUCCAGAGAAGCAUUCAAUUCAUCAAUCAAUUACAUUGAUUUUAGUGGCUGGUACUUCUCCUCAACAUCAGUAUAUUCACCGUGGCCACUCCAAAUCGGCAAGAAUGAGGUACCAGUGCUCUGGAGCAGUGCAAGCUAAUUGCUUCUCAUCUGAAGGGGUGCGGCCGCAGGAGAGGUAUUUCUGGUGGGCCAAGGGACUAAGAAGCGACUGUGGCAGCGGUAUAGACGCCCGCAAAGCCCCAUAAUUUGUUUUUGGUUUACAGGAAAAAUGCACAUCCAUACCAGCCUGGGGAAUAUAGGACCGUAUUGGAUGGAAAACCAUGUCCGGAUGGUUGCGAGCGGUUUAAGGGUUAGCUUUUGUAACGCCCGGUUAGUUAUGCUAUAGCAAUUCCCUGCUAAUGAUGUCACGUUACCACGAUUACUGUUGUUAACCUCACAAUGAUUCAAUCCCCUUCAAAUUGAAAUUUAAAAUAAAGGCAAACAUCAAAAGUUUUCAAAUAUUAAAACUAAAAUCUUUGAGAGGUGACAAAUAAUGCAUAAGUAAUUAUGGUGGAGAAACCACACUUUAAUCAAAUGUUUAAAUACUCUAAAAUGAAAAAAAACAGUUGCUUAAACUAUUAUUUAAAUGCUUUUAAAAUAGUAAAAAUCUUCUAACUAAAUUAUUUGGGUACCAAACUUUUGGUGGCAGUGGUAUAUUUAGUACAACUAAUUUAGAUGCUAAUUAUAUAAAAAGGAAAAGCAAAAGGGGGCAACCCCUCGCUGGGCCUCGGCCUAGCUGCCACUAGGCUAGCUAGGCUGGCCCCGCCGCCUCCCUUAACCCCCCCCCCCCACUCCCCAUCGAACCCAAGCCCGAUCGCCCCACUUCCCCCANNNNNNNNNNNNNNNNNNNNNNNNNNNNNNNNNNNNNNNNNNNNNNNNNNNNNNNNNNNNNNNNNNNNNNNNNNNNNNNNNNNNNNNNNNNNNNNNNNNNNNNNNNNNNNNNNNNNNNNNNNNNNNNNNNNNNNNNNNNNNNNNNNNNNNNNNNNNNNNNNNNNNNNNNNNNNNNNNNNNNNNNNNNNNNNNNNNNNNNNNNNNNNNNNNNNNNNNNNNNNNNNNNNNNNNNNNNNNNNNNNNNNNNNNNNNNNNNNNNNNNNNNNNNNNNNUUGAUCCCAUCUGGAUCGGGGAGGGUAAUGCCCCAAUCGACCCCGUUGCCGUCGCGGGAUUGCCCGCCGACGUCGCCAGGCCUCCUCCCCGCCACCCGUCUCCGGCUCGCCUCCCCUCUCGCUCCUCUUCCCCGACCCGAUCUGGAUCGUGAACGAGCAAUGAGCUCGAAGCCCCCUUCACCGGCGCCAUCACCGUGCGCCACCACCACCGCCUGAAGACCUCACCGUCGCCGAACCUUGCGUCGCCUCCUCGUAUCCCUCCCCUACUCGCGUCCUCAAGCCAGGCCGAGCCCCUUCUCGGCAACGCCGUGAGACGCCCCCGUCUCCCUCCUCUUUCCACUGCGUUCACCGCGCCGCCCGCCGUGCCCCUCGCCGUGCGCACGCCCACCACCGCACCAGCCCCCGCUCCGCGCACGACCCUACCCGCGUCCGCGCCAUGAUCCCCUUUUCCACCCUACCUUCCUGCGCUCGCCGCGGUCCUGAUGCUCCCCCGCGCCCUCUUUUGGGGGCGCCGACUGCCCCUGUCCCACUGCUCGCCGCCGUGCCUCGCCAUCGCUCUACUGCUAAGUUAUUGCUGCGCUGCGGCCGUCGCCUCUUCCCGCUGCUCCGCCAGCGCCGAAGCUCCCGAUUGGCUCCACCACUUCUCACGUUAAACCGCCGGCCUAAAUGGCCUAACCCCCGGCUAAUGAACCCCCACUAUCCCACUGACACCGGGACCCACAUUCCCUAAUUAACCAUUUAAUAAAUUAAAACUCUUAAAUUAACAUUAGUGUAUGACAUGUGCGUCCCCUAUUAAUUUAUAAUUUUACUGCUAGUUUUAUUAGUUUCUGUUUUUUCUGCAUAUUUCUUUUGUAUUUGAACAGGCUUUAUAUAAUAAUAUUUAGCGUCUCAUACACAUAUAAAUGUAAUUAUAGCAUAUACAUACAAAUAGUCUCAUCAAAUCAUGUCAUCACCAUAAUCAUCAUCCAUCACAAAGUGAUCUCUCGUCAUCAUCUCGAAAAUAGCAAUACAAGUCUCGAUUACUUGCAACUACAUCGUCAUCCAUCUAAACAAUGAUAUACGCGAGAAGCGCUAUCACUAUGAGUGAGAGCGGAACUAUGCAGUACAUGAGUUUGUAUCCCUCUCUCACAUUAGCGUGAACCUAAACUAACUACUGGCUGUUGCUCGGAAACCGGAAACCGGUACACCUGGGCCUGACACUCCGGCCACUCGUCGUAUACUCCUGGCGUAGCACUUCUUCGCCAUCGAUGAUCUAUAAACCUACAUCGUCAGAUGAGUCGAUGAUAUGCAACAUAUAUAGUUGAGCAACAGAAAGAGACAGACUUGGCAAAAAUAGAAGCAACAUAUCAUAAGCAUAAAUAACAAAGUUCAUCGUACGCAAAAUGCCCUAACUAGAGUGAUCUUCGCUAGUCGAGGAGGACGGUUUAAUUACAUCACAAAUAAUUUUUCGUCGUGCAUAACUCAAAGUUCCGUCAUACAGAAAGUAUGAACUAAAUGGACACAUUGUCAUAUUUCAAAAAUCACUCCCACAUGUCGUGCCAUCCAUCCAAGUCAAGGAGAUAGUGCCCGAGCUUAGUGAAAGGCUUUAGGUCGAGACGCUGAGCGGCUAUGCGUGUUCGGACGUCUUCCCACGACAUUUGUCCUUCUUCAUAGAACAUCCCUGUUUUUUCGACGACCUCCUUCAUCACUGGAAGAAAAAGGGCCUGUUGUCCCGGUUCUGGAACCGGGACUAAAGGGUCGGUACUAAUGCCCUGUCCCUUUAGUCCCGGUUCAAUCCAGAACCAGGACAGUUGGGCCUCCACGUGGCCUGUGCGCGGAGCCUAGGCGGGAGACCCUUUGGUCCAAUAAGCAUCCACGCAUCAGCAUUUAUGUGGUUGGGGUUUUUGUUUUUUUUGAAGGGGGGGGCAUUGGGGGUUUUGGGGGGUUAAUUUUGGUGUUUCAUAUAUUGUGUUAGCUAGCUAUAAUUAAUAGAGAGAAUUGUCCUCUCUUAUGUCCGUGCUUGCUCGACGCUACGUACUAUACAUACGUAUAGAGAGGACUAGACACGGUAGCUAGCUAGUAAGCAAACGAAGGAAAUAGAAGAUCGUCAUGAACAUAUAUGCAUACAGAGAGAAGUAAUAUCGACCACCUCUCCUUCUCCGAGAGAUUGGUCGAACAACAAGUUCUCAUAUAUCUAUCCGACACUACCGGCUACAUAUAUACAAUAAUUAUCUCUUACAAAUAUAAUCAUACGGAUUCAGGGUCCACAUAGUAUUCUCUGUCUUCAAGGAUCACGUGGUCAAGAAAGAAUGCCGCCAAUUCCUCUUGAAUUGCUCGCAUGCGAGCUGGUGCUAGGAGUUCAUCCCGCUUCCGAAACAUCUAAUUUAAAGAAGGGGGUUAAUACAUAUAUACAUAUAUAUAUAUAUAUAUAUAUAUAUAUAUAUAUAUAUAUAUAUAUAUGAAUGAAUGAAACUCAACACGAAUGAUGGUAAUAAAAUAAAAUUGUGAAUGUUGUUAUUUACGUACUUCAUAUUGUUCGUCAGUGUAGCCCCGCUCAUAGGUCGUGUGGCGGAUGGACUCGCAAACGUAGUAUCCACAGAAAUCAUUCCUUUGUUCCUGCCACAACCACUUUAUAAGAAAUAGAGGUCAAUCAAACUGAUAAGCAAGAAUGCCAAAUGGUAUUGAUGAAACUUGUCAGGACCCCGAUUCCAAGCCACAUCGAUCUAGCCGGUAACACCUCAUAUCACUUUGCGGCCUCACGCACGAUAUUCCACGGGUGUCGCCUUACCAUGGCCCGGGACCGUUUGCGCCUUUUGGCUCACGUAUAUGAUAGUGUUGCUAGCAUCCAUAUGACAGAGAACCCGGGCCGACAUGGCUAGUCGUGAACCCAAAGUGGCACAGACCUAUGGAGACAGGCAUACAUGAAUCACAUCGAGCAUGUCGGUCAUCAGUGUGUGAUUCCGGGCUGUAGCACUGGGCUAACAGGACUCCGGGGAACCCGGGCUGUAGCAGGCUAGGCAGGACUCCGGAAGUCACCGCGUGACAUUUACCCGAAGGGACAGACAUAGGAACGAAGUGAAUCACAUGCCGGCAAGUCAAGUGUCCUGAGCAGUAGUACUGGGCUAGCAGGACUCCGGUGAACCGGGCUGUAGCGGACUACUAUGGCUCGAGGAACACUAGACUACAUUUCCCCAUAAGAAAGGCUGCCAAGGAUAAACAACUAGAUUGUCGGAUCCCACUCAUACCAAGCAUUUCAAUCAUACACACAAUAUGCCCGAUAUGAGUACAUACAACAUGGCAUCACAACAAAACUCUACAACUCAAGUACUUUAUUUAAAGGCUCUAGAGAGCCAUACAUAACAUGUUCAUACAGAUAGGGGUCACAUGACCCGACACUCAAGUCAUACAAUCAUACAAGCACAUGCGGAAGCAACCGGUCUGAGUACAGACACUAGAAAGAAAGAAGGCUCCUCGAGGCCUGUCUAUCUACAUAGGGCCCUCCAUGGCCAGGAUCACCACCUGGGUGGCUAGUCACUCGUCGAUGUCAAGGUCUACAUAGAACCCAUCGAAGGGGGCUGUGUUGUCGUCUGAAAACAGUAAUUAAGCAAACAUGAGUACAAAGGUACUCAGCAAGUCUUACAAAAGAACCUACUAUACAUGCUUAUUCUCAAGAAGGUGGUGGGGAUAUUGCAGCAAGCCAGUUUUCACUCUUGGCUAAACUAUCCUACAGAACUUCUCUAGUAAAAUAGUUUUCGCACACGAGUCCACUACUCACCAACACAAUACUCCACCGGGGAUCCUCCCUCGUCAUCCUAUGAGAGGGCCAUCCUCGGUACUCACACUUAUCUUGACUAUUUUAGUAGUAUCCAUUUAAUUGUCUAUGAACUGUAUAGGCAACCAAGUAGUCCUUUACCGCGGACGCGGCUAUUCGAAUAGUUUUAUACCCUGCAGGGGUGUACUUCGUCAUACAUGCUUUCACCACUUAUCGUCGUUUACACGACAUGUACUCGGCAACCUUCAAGCGAAAGCCCAGCGAGGGUGUCGGCCACGGCCUACCUAAACACUUAAGUCUCUAGUCCAGGUUUAUCGCCUAUCUAGGUUCCAUCCGCAGGGAGUCCGGGCGAGGUUUCCACAUACGGCCCCGAACGAUGUGAACAGGGUCCCGAGACGCCAAACGGGCGCCCGGCAUACCCGGCCAUGGUGUAUCUACCGCAACAUAGCCCACCCUUAGGGUCAGCGCUACGCACGGCCGCCAACACAUAACCUACAAACACCAGAAACUAUUUGCAACUCCUAGACAGAGUACAAGGGUGAUUAAGAAGCCGAGAGGGUCAAUUAAGGAUCCCAAUGCAUGGUAGUAGCUGAAUCUUAAAUCACACAUACCGAUCUCAGUUCUUAGGGACGGUCUCAAUGAAACAACCCACCAUGUACUCCUACAUGGCCUCUCAUCGAUACCUUUACCAAAACAUGUUCAACACAUUCCUCAUAUUACCGACAUAAUCAUAUCACCCUAGCCCAUCACCCAGAUGAACCAGACCUGACACAACUAUAAGCAUAGCAGGCAUAGCAAGGUAGGAAUCACAUACAUGGCUCAAUCAACUCCUACACAUGCUAGUGGGUUUCAUCUAGUUACUGUGGCAAUGACAGGUCAUGCAGAGGAUAAGGGUUCAACUAUCGUAGCACACAGCAGUUUGAAUCACAUUGUCUUAAUGCAGUAAACAAGAGCAGAGGCAAGAACAUGGGUUGUAUCGGAAUGAUCAAUGGGUUGCUUGACUGAUGGAGUGGUAGUGGGAUACUGCCCUUCAGUUGGAUACUCAUGAAUAUCCUCGGAGGCAGAACCUACCACGAAGAACACAUCGGAACACAAUCAACACAUGAUGAUAUGCAACAAUAUGAUGCAUGCUAUGACAUGGCAAUAUGAAUGUGUCUUGGCCUAAUGCAAGCUAAAAUAGAAAGGGAUGAACUCAUUUGAAUCAAAGAUUCAAAUAUUAGCUCAUUAAACAUGGCCUUAGUAGUGCAUUUCCUUAUUCUGCUUAAACAGCAAGGUAAACUUGUUUUUUCAUGCUUGAAACCAUUACAGAUGGAUAUAUUGAAUUUUUCUGAUAAUUUUUCAUAUAUAAAUUAUUUCAUUUGGAGUUACGGUUGAAUUUCUAUGAUUUUUAGAAGUUUCAAACAUUUUCUGGAAUUUCUUGAAUAAAAAUAAAUCCAGAAAAUGCAUUACUGCGUCAGCAUUGCAUCAUGCUGACCUCCGCAGGUCAAAGGCACCAGCCUAGGUCAAACCUGACUGGUGGGCCCCUUCUGUCAGUCUCUCAGUUAAAUAACAGGAUUAGAUUAACACUAAUUAGCUGUCAGUGGGGCCUGGGCCCACAUGUCACUGACUGAUUAAAAUAAAAUUAGUUAAAACUAAUCCUAGAUUAGUUAGCAAACCGGCCCCACCUGUCAUAGACUUAGGGGGGGUCUACCUGGGCCCACCCAGGGUCAAACUGGGUCAAACUCGCCGGCGCAGCUCGGAAAACGCCUACAGGGCACGAGCGAGGCCGUUCUUGGGCUCAUUGGAGAGCUCUUGCAGUCGCGCAUCUAGUGGCGGUGGUGGCCGGAGACGACGACGGCGAGCUCCAAGGCGGCGGCCGGAGUUCGGCCAUGUGCGGGGUGUCGGCUGUGGCGUGCAAACGUGGAAACUGAGGCACUAGCGAGGCACUACGCGAUGCGGCAAGCACGUUGCAUAGCACGGGAUAAUCAAAUGGUUGCCGGAGCGGCACCGGUGACAAGCUCGAGCGGAGACGAGCUUCGGCCAUGGUGGAACUAUGGCCUAGAGGGUGCAAACGCGUGGAAAAGAAGAGGGGAAAGGUGGCGGAGCUCACAGGGAGGUCGAUGAGCAGCUCAGUGGGCUCGGGGGCGACAGAAGUGAGGCGAAUCGAUGAGCAGCGUCCGGCGGGUACCGAGGUUGAAGACGAUCCGAUGGCGGCGAUGCAGGGCCUCCGGCGAUGCGUGGCUCGGUGGGAAGGGCGAGGGGGUGACGGAGGGCGCGACUACGGCGGUGAGACGGCGACGGGUGCGUCGGCCAUCGCGGGAGAGGGAGAGGGAGAUGAGUGGGAGAGUGAGAGAGGAUGAGAGGGGGACGUGGGGGUCGCGUGGCAUUCCCUGGACGUCUCCCGGCAUCGGCGGAAGCAGGAGGUGGCCGGCGUGUGGCCGCGGGCGCCGGCCACGCGCUCUGCGUCCUUCUGGCGCGAGGAGGACGACGACUGGCAGCGCCAGUAGGCUGGGCCGAGCCAGGUGGGCUGGCCAGCACAGGUAAGGCUCAGGUGGGCUUCUCCCUCUUUUUUUUAAUUUGUUUCUGUUUUCUAUUUAACUGUAAAUGUUGGGCUUUAUUUAAAAUACUAAAACAUUUCCAAAAAUCCUGAAAAUAAUUGUGGGCUCUGUUUGGAUUAUUUCCAAUAGCAAACAUUUAUUUGCAGAAUUAUUUGAGCAUUUAAAUGCCCAAAUUCAAAUACUUAUGAUUUAAAUCAAUGACCUUCUGUUGACCUAGAAAAGUUGUGCACCAAUUUUGCCAGAGGUUCUAACCCAAGACAAAGAGGGUGAACUUUUUAGAAGGGCAUUUCAGGUUCAUUGAAAAUAAUUUUAGUAAUCCCUAGUUGUUUCCAGGGGGGUGUUGGGGGUUUCUGCCUUCCCCAAUUCAAAUUUAAGAGGAAUUUAAACAUGAUGCACAUUCUAAUGCUUGAACUAGCUAGGGUGUGACAACUCACCCCCACUCAAAAGAAUCUCGUCCCGAGAUUUAGGAUCCUCUGGAAAGAAGGUGGGGUACUCGAGUCGAAGACGAUCCUCCCUUUCCCAAGUGGCUUCUUUCUCGGAAUGGUGUGUCCAUUGAACCUUGAGAAACUUGAUAUUAUGACGUCGAGUGGUACACUCGGCUUGAUCAAGGAUACGAACGGGAUAUUCCCGAUAAGAGAGGUUAUCUUGUAGAUCAAGCAUUUCGUGGUCCACUCCACGGAUAGGAUCCGCGAAGCAACGCCUGAGUUGUGAAACGUGGAAGACAUCAUGAACUCUGGAAAGAUGCGGAGGUAGUUCCAAUUGGUAGGCAACUUCUCCUCGUUUGGCAAGAAUGCGAAAGGGUCCAAUGUAACGAGGAGCCAAUUUGCCUUUGAUACCGAAAUGAUGGGUUCCUUUUAAUGGGGUAACCCGAAGGUAAGCCUUCUCGUCGAUUCAUAAGUCAUAGGCUUAUGUUUACGAUCAUAUUGACUCUUUUGACGAGAUUGGGCUGUUUUCAAUUUCUCACGAAUAACGCGAACCUGCUCUUCCGCUUCCUGAAUCAUAUCCGGGCCAAAGAGUUGUCUUUCCCCGGUUUCUGACCAGUUAAGAGGCGUUCGACAUUUUCGUCCAUAGAGAACUUCGAAAGGAGCUUUGCCCAAGCUAGCUUGAUAACUAUUGUUAUAAGCAAACUAUGCGAAUGGGAAGCAUUUCUCCCAACUCAUUCCGAAUGAGAUAACAGAAGCUCGGAGCAUAUCUUCUAGAAUUUGAUUGACUCGCUCUACUUGACCACUUGAUUGAGGAUGGAAGGCGGUACUAAAAGAGAGACGAGUUCCCAUAGCAUUUUGGAAACUUUCCCAAAAUCGAGAGGUGAAGAGACUCCCACGGUCUGAGUUAAUUUCCAAUGGGACACCAUGGAGAGACACUAUUCGGGAGAUGUAUAAAUCGGCUAGCUGGCUAGCAGUGAUACUCGCACGAACAGGUAGGAAAUGGGCUACUUUGGAAAGACGGUCGAUCACGACGAAGAUGGCAUUAUUCCCUCUCUUGUUCCUGGGAAACCCAGUAAUGAAAUCCAUACUGAUUUUAUCCCAUUUCCAUUCAGGAAUAGCCAAAGGUUGAAGGGUGCCAGCAGGCCGUUGAUGCCCUGCUUUAACACGAUGACAGACGUCGCAGCUAGCAAUGUAUCGAGCGAUUUCUCUCUUCAUCCUAGUACAUCAAAACCUCUGGCGUAGGUCUUGAUACAUUUUAUUGCUACCGGGAUGAAUGGUGAGAGGGGAUUCAUGAGCUUCCUUAAGGAUCAAUUGGCGUAGAUGUUGUUUCUUGGGAACCACCAAACGGUUCUCAAAGAAGACAGCACCCCGCUUAUCCAUGGAAAAACAUUUAGCAACUCCGCUAGCAAUGUUUUCCUUAAUCCGGGAUAUGCCCUUAUCAUACCGCUGGGCAGUUAUGAUCUGAUCCAUAAGGUUAGGUUUCGCCACCAGGGUGGAUAGGAAUCCUCGAGGAACAAUGUGAAGAUUAAGCUUACGGAAUUCCUCAUGGAGAAGUGGUUGACUUUGUUGUAACAUCAGGUUGUUACAAUAGGAUUUACGGCGUAGUGCAGCAGCCAUGACAUUGGCUUUGCCCGGUGUGUAGGUUAUUCCUAAGUCGUAAUCCGAGAUCAACUCAACCCAACGUCUUUGCCUGAGAUUCAAAUCUGGUUGGGUGAAGAUAUAUUUCAAGCUUUGGUGAUCGGUGAAGAUCUCGCAACGAUUAAGUGCAUGGACUACAGCUGCCAGCUCUAGAUCAUGUGUGGGAUAAUUUUCCUCAUGUGGGUGUAAUUGCCGUGAAGCGUAGGCAAUUACCUGACGAUCUUGCAUGAGUAUGCAACCUAGUCCUUGUCGCGAGGCGUCACAAUAGAUAAUAAAGUCCUUGGAUAAAUCAGGUGGUACCAGUACGGGAGCAGAUGUCAGGCGUCUUUUCAGUUCCUAAAAGCUGAACUCGCACUGUGGAGUCUACUCGAACUUUUUAUCUUUCUUGAGGAGUUUAGUUAGAGGUUUAGCAACCUUGGAGAAAUUCUCGACGAAGCGGCGGCAAUAGCUCGCUAAGCCAAGGAAGCUCCAAACUUGCUUGACCGUCUCAGGUGGAGUCUAAUCAAGGACGGCUUGAACUCGCUCGGGAUUGACGGCAAUACCCUUACCAGAGAUUACAUGGCCUAGAUAGGUUACUUCUGGCAACCAAAAUUCACACUUGGAGAAUUUGGCAUAAAGGCGAUGCUCUCGAAGUUUCAUCAAUACCAGCCUUAGAUGUUCGGCAUGUUCCUCUUCAUUCUUGGAGUAGAUUAGUAUGUCAUUGAGGUAUACUACGAUGAAUUUAUCCAAGUACUCCAUGAAAACCGAGUUCAUUAGCCGGGAGAAGGUAGCCGGGGCAUUGGUUAAACCGAAGGACAUAACGGUGUACUCGUAUUGGCCAUAACGAGUAACAAAGGCCGUUUUGGGAAUGUCCCCGUUUCUGAUUUAGAUUUGAUGGUAGCCCAACCUCAAAUCCAUCUUGGAAAAGACUGAGGAUCCAGCAAACUAAUCAUACAGAUCAUUGAUCCUGGGAAGUGGGUAUUUGUUCUUGAUGGUGACCAAGUUGAUAGGUCGGUAAUCCACAACCAUUCGAUCUGUUCCAUCCUUCUUGACGAAGAGGACGGGGCAAGCCCAAGGAGAGGAACUAGGACGGAUGAAACCCUUUUUCAAGGACUCAUCGAGUUGGUUCUCAAGCUCGGCUAGUUCUAAGGGUGCCAUCUUGUAGGGUCUUCUAGAAAUUAGAAUGGUUCCUGGAACAAGGUCUAUCACAAACUCGACAUCCCUGUCAGGUGGAACACCUGGCAGUUCUUCUGGAAAGGCAUCCGGAAAGUCUCGGACUACCGGAACAUCCUCAAGGUCUGGAAGGGGGUUGGCAUUUAGGGAGUAAAGUUGGCACUUGGCCACUCGAGUUAAGACAUUAACUGUCUUGCCCGAUGGGUGAGUAAGUUGAACGGUUCUAGUGGCACAGUCAAUCUUAGCAUAAUGAGCUGACAUCCAGUCCAUACCUAAGAUGAUGUUUAUGUCCGAGGACUUGAGAGCUAUUAAGGAUGCAAGGAAGACAAGUCUAUCGACAAGAAUUUCGUUCCCAUGGCUUACUCUAGAAGUUUGCCAUCUAGAGCCAGGGGUUUGAAUUUCCAUGGUAGAGGGCAUGUCACAGAAUGUCGUGUUGUGCAAUCGAGCAUAGUUCUCGGAUAUGAAUGAAUGAUAUGCUCCAGUAUCGAAAAGAACAGAUGCCGGAUGGCAGUUAACAAGGAGCGUACCAAGGACGACGUUGGGAUCCUCAUGAGCCUCCUCGGCUGAAACAUAGUUGACAUGGCCACGUGCAGUGGUGGCUGGCUUAGCGUAGAAUGUUUUUCCCGCGGGCUUACCACGGCCAACGGACUUUCCAGUUUGAUUGGGGUUGUUGUUCUGGGGACACUCUCGGCUAUAGUGACCCGGCUCUCCACACUUAAAGCAUGUCACCACAUUGGGGCGUGGAGCAGCAUUAGCAGCGGGGCCACCAUAGGGCUUGGGCGGUGCAAAUUGCUGGUUGGGACGUGGUGCCUCAAAGGAUGGCCUCGGGAUGAACCUGGGUGGCAGUGCCGUGCUUGGAAUCCACACCCGGCGCUUCUGAGCUCCAGAGCCGAUGAAGAGCCAAAAUCACGGGAGUGCUUGCGUGAAGUGUCAUAAUCAGUCUGGCCUUUCUCAGCACUGAUGGCUUUAUGGACCAACUUCUAAAAGGAGGUGCACUUGUGCAGACGAAGACCACGGUGAAGCUCAGGGCUAAGUCCCUUGCGGAACCUUGCCUGCUUCUUAGCAUCAGUAGAUACCUCUUCAGGGGCAUAACGUGCCAGAUUCCCAAAUUCACGACUGUAAGCAUCCACAGUCAGUCUUCCUUGGGUGAAGUUGCAGAACUCCUCCCUCUUGCGAUCCAUGAGACCUUCCGGAAUGUGAUGCUCACGGAAAGCCUCACUGAAUUCAGCCCAAGUAGUGAUUUGGCCGACCGGGCGCAUAGCUUCGAAGUUUUCCCACCAAAGGCUAGCAGGGCCUUUGAGGUGAUAGGCAGCAUAAGUAACCUUGUCGGCUUUGGCUACGUUGGCAGAACGUAGCUUGUGGGUGAUGCUGUGAAGCCAGUCAUCCACGUCGAGGGGCUCGACGGAAUGGUUAAACUUUGGUGGGUACAUCUUGAUAAAGUCAUUGAUUGACACCAACUCAUUUCGCGGGUGGCGUGCAGUGUUCUGCUCAAUCCGCUCCAGCAGGCGGUUGGUCUCACGCUUCUUUCUUUCUGCCUCCAGCAUUACUUCGGCCAGAGAAGGCGGGUGAGGCAGAUUUUCACCUCUAGCAGCACUGGCUUCCCCCUGCUCCGGGGCAACAGGGUUGCUGCGAGUAUUGACCAUCCUAGGAGAAAACAAGACAACGGUUUAGACAAGGAUGGCUCAAACUGAGCAAGGAUGUGCAGAAUGUAAUGGAUAACACGGAACACAGAGAUGUUCAUCCGUAUGUCAUGGUAAUAUAAAACUGCCAUAUAUAUACCAACGGUCAUACACAUCACACAUAGUUUAGUACAAGCCCAGGCUACAGUACAACUAUGAUGAAAGACGUUACAUCUCAUCGGAGGCAUUCCAAGCUCCUAUACAUUAUUGUCUACACCUUCGGAAUUGAUUACACGCAAAGUCAUAUUCCAAAAGUCACGCAGGACAGUGGAGAUACAACUACUACAAUACUAGUGGUACUACUACUAACUCAGACAGCUCCGUACUAGUCCUCAUAGAAGUCACCUCCAUAGCCUGGAAGUUCAACGUGACCAUCCGGGAACAGACGGUCCUGAGGAGCCUGUGGACCAUAGGGGCUUGGAUGGGGUCUUGGACCAACAAACGGUGGCCUGCGGGGACCACAGGGUGGGGUGAUGCCUCCCACAUCACGCCAAUCCACCACGUCUGGCAAAGCAGACCUCACAGGAUACAAAUCCCUUGUAUCCAUACAUCCAGCUUGCACCACAGGUGCAAACCGAGUCAAUGUGGCCCAAUGAUCAGCACGGGUAUUAAAAAGCUCCAGCCUCAAGGCCUGAUUCUCUCGGUCCUUAUAUUCGAGCAUCUCGGCAGUGGUACGAGUUAAUGAAUCCUCCUGAGUGGAGUCAGCAUAGAUAGCCUGAAGAUACCCUUGCGCUCCCGGAAGUGAAGCUAGCAUGUAUCGGAAGUCGGUGUUCCGAAGCAGGCCAGUCCGGACUCGCAUGAUUGUCAUCAUGGAAUAGGCAGCAUCCUGCACAGCCAUCUCAACAGUAACCCCGAGUCCAUAGGAACAGUGAAGGGGCUCGGUAGAUCCAGGAUAAGAAGGAAAUAUCUUGACGGUGCAGAAAUACUGGCUUUGAUUAAAGUCUCAGAAUUGCUCUUCGACGGUGUAUUCGGGAUACCAACGGUAACCCGUCUCGAUCAUGACCCGGACUAACAUAGCAGUAUGACCGGGCACGUCGAGCCACCGGGUCAGGCGAACCACUUUGUUUUGAGCACGGUUGGGCAUCUGAAAGCACAACCACAAUGCAAAGACAUCAGAAUUUCUAGGGAAAAUUGGACAGCAUAACAGCUGUAAAUGCUCAGAAAAAGAUUUGAGACAUCCACAACAGUUCGCAAUACCACUCAACAACAUCAUAUCAAGGUUCUGAUCCAAAUAGCAGCAUACUAAAAAUAGUAGAAACUGAACUGGGGCUUGUAACAACAAUCCUAUAAGCUACUACGGAUUAGUAACACGUGAACCUGAUAGAAGAAGAGAGACUAGUCCUUAACCCACAUUGAAUGAAAAGGGAAUGACUCAGAUAAGAGGCAUAGGGUAAAGGAGUAAAAGAGCCUUACGUUCCCUCCCACAAUCAAUUCCCCUACAUAUAACUAAAGCAUUUCCAGACUCGACAUCGACCAGUUUGGCUCAACGAACCUACAGGCAGUCCGGCACUGAUGCCAACGCUGUCAGGACCCCGAUUCCAAGACACAUCGAUCUAGCUGGUAACACCUCAUAUCACUUUGCGGCCUCACGCACGAUAUUCCACGGGUGUCGCCUUACCAUGGCCCGGGACCGUUUGCGCCUUUUGGCUCACGUAUAUGAUAGUGUCGCUAGCAUCCAUAUGAUAGAGAACCCGGGCCGACAUGGCUAGUCGUGAACCCAAAGAGGCACAGACCUAUGGAGACAGGCAUACAUGAAUCACAUCGAGCAUGUCGGUCAUCAGCGAGUGAUUCCGGGCUGUAGCACUGGGCUAACAGGACUCCGGGGAACCCGGGCUGUAGCAGGCUAGGCAGGACUCCGGAAGUCACCGCGUAACAUUUCCCCGAAGGGACAGACAUAGGAAUGAAGUGAAUCACAUGCCGGCAAGUCAAGUGUCCUGAGCUGUAGUGCUGGGCUAGCAGGACUCUGGUGAACCGGGCUGUAGCGGACUACUAUGGCUCAAGGAACACUAGACUACAUUUCCCCAUAAGAAAGGCUGCCAAGGAUAAACAACUAGAUUGCCGGAUCCCACUCAUACCAAGCAUUUCAAUCAUACACGCAAUAUGUCCGAUAUGAGUACAUACAACAUGGCAUCACAACAAAACUCUACAACUCAAGUACUUUAUUUAAAGGCUCUAGAGAGCCAUACAUAACAGGUUCAUACAGAUAGGGGUCACAUGACCCGACACUCAAGUCAUACAAUCAUACAAGCACAUGCGGAAGCAACCGGUCUGAGUACAGACACUAGAAAGAAAGAAGGCUCCUCGAGGCCUGUCUAUCUACAUAGGGCCCUCCAUGGCCAGGAUCACCACCUGGGUGGCUACUUACUCGUCGACGUCAAGGUCUACAUAGAACCCAUCGGAGGGGGCGGUGUUGUCGUCUGAAAACAGUAAUUAAGCAAACAUGAGUACAAAGGUACUCAGCAAGUCUUACAACAGAACCUAGUAUACAUGCUUAUACUCAAGAAGGUGGUGGGGAUAUUGCAGCAAGCCAGCUUUGACUCUUGGCUAAACUAUCCUACGGAACUUCUCUAGUAAAAUAGUUUUCGCACACGAGUCCACUACUCGCCAACACAAUACUCCACAGGGGAUCCUCCCUCGUCAUCCUAUGAGAGGGCCAUCCUCGGUACUCACACUUAUCUUGAGUAUUUUAGUAGUAUCCAUUUACUUGUCUAUGAACUGUAUAGGAAACCAAGUAGUCAUACACGCUAUUCGGAUAGUUUUAUACCCUGCAGGGGUGUACUUCGUCAUACACGCUUUCACCACUUAUCGCCGUUUACAUGACAUGUACUCGGCAACCUUCAAGCGGAAGCCCAGCGAGGGUGUCGGCCACGGCCUACCUAAACACUUAAGUCUCUAGUCCAGGUUUAUCGCCUAUCCAGGUUCCAUCCACAGGGAGUCCGGCCGAGGUUUCCACAUACGGCCCCGAACGAAGUGAACAUGGUUUCGAGACGCCAAACGGGCGCCCGGCAUACCCGGCCACGGUGUAUCUACCGCAACAUAGCCCACCCCUAGGGUCAGCGCUAUGCACGGCCGCCAACACAUAACCUACAAACACCAGAAACUAUUUGCAACUCCUGGACAGAGUACAAGGGUGAUUAAGAAGUCGAGAUGGUCAAUUAAGGAUCCCAAUGCAUGGUAGUAGUGAAUCUUAAAUCGCACAUACAGAUCUCAGUUCUUAGGGACGGUCUCAAUGAAACAACCCACCAUGUACUCCUACAUGGCCUCUCAUCGAUAUCUUUACCAAAACAUGUUCAACACAUUCCUCAUAUUACCGACAUAAUCAUAUCACCCUAGCCCAUCACCCAGAUGAACCAGACCUGACACAACUCUAAGCAUAGCAGGCAUAGCAAGGUAGGAAUUAUAUACAUGGCUCAAUCAACUCCUACACAUGCUAGUGGGUUUCAUCUAGUUACUGUGGCAAUGACAGGUCAUGCAGAGGAUAAGGGUUCAACUACUGUAGCACACAGCAGUUUGAAUCACGUUGUCUUAAUGCAGUAAACAAGAGCACAGGCGAGAACAUGGGUUGUAUCGGAAUGAUCAAUGGGUUGCUUGCUUGAUGGAGUGGUAGUGGAAUACUGCCCUUCAGUGGGAUACUCGUGAAUAUCCUCGGAGCCAGAACCUACCACGAAGAACACAUCGGAACACAAUCAACACAUGACGAUAUGCAACAAUAUGAUGCAUGCUAUGACGUAUCUUGGCCUAAUGCAAGCUAAAAUAGAAAGGGAUGAACUCAUUUGAAUCAAAAAUUCAAAUAUUAGCUCAUUAAACAUGACCUUAGUAGUGCAUUUCCUUAUUCUGCUUAAACAGCAAGGUAAACUUGUUUUGUCAUGCAUGAAACCAUUACAGAUGGAUAGAUUGAAUUUUUCUGAUAAUUUUUCAUAUAUAAAUUAUUUCAUUUGGAGUUACGGUUGAAUCUCUAUGAUUUUUAGAAGUUUUAAACAUUUUCUGGAAAUUACUGAAUAAAAAUAAAUCCAAAAAAUGCAUUACGGCGUCAGCAUUGUGUCAUGCUGACCUCAGCAGGUCAAAGGCGCCAGCCCAGGUCAAACCUGACUGGUGGGCCCCUUCUGUCAGUCUCUCAGUUAAAUAACAGGAUUAGAUUAACACUAAUUAACUGUCAGUGGGGCCUGGGCCCACAUGUCAGUGACUGAUUAAAAUAAAAUUAGUUAAAACUAAUCCUAGAUUAGUUAGCAGACCGGCCCCACCUGUCAUAGACUCAGGGGGGUCUACCUGGGCCCACCCAGGGUCAAACUGGGUCAAACUCGCCGGCGUUGAGCCGCCGGCGAGACCCGAGACAGUGGCGCAGCUCGGAAAACGCCUACAGGGCACGAGCGAGGCCGUUCUUGGGCUCGUUGGAGAGCUCUUGCAGUCGCGCAUCUAGUGCUGGUGGUGGCCGGGCCUACGGUGGCCGGAGACGACGACGGCGAGCUCCAAGGCGGCGGCCGGAGUUCGGCCAUGUGCGGGGUGUGGGCUGCGGCGUGCAAACGUGGAAACUGAGGCGCUAGCGAGGCACUACGUGAUGCGGCAAGCACGUUGCGUAGCACGGGAUGACCAAAUGGUCGCCGGAGCGGCGCUGACGACAAGCUCGAGCGGAGACGAGCUUCGGCCAUGGUGAAACUAUGGCCUAGAGGGUGCAAACGCGUGGAAAAGAAGAGGGGAAAGGUGGCGGAGCUCACAGGGAGGUCGAUGAGCAGCUCAGUGGGCUCGGGGCGACCGGAGUGAGGCGAAUCGACGAGCGGCGUCCGGCGGGUACCGAGGUUGAAGACAAUCCGAUGGCGGCGAUGCAGGGCCUUCGGCGAUGCGUGGCUCGGUGGGGAGGGCGAGGGCGUUACGGCGGAGCUUCUGGACAGGUCAGAGAGGCGAGGUGGUGAUGGAGGGCGCGACUAUGAUGGUGAGACGGCGAUUAAAAAGAAAGAUCUGGUUCACUCGUACGUGAAAAAAGUAGCAAGCGCUCGAUGCCUUCCUUUGCAUCGAUGCCAGACGCGGUGCUGGGAAUCGACAAGAUAACCGCCAAUCUACCACGAUUAAAUUCCUAGCGCCUCCUUCUAGCGCCUCCCACUGAAAAUGCCCUAAAGGUUUUGGAGGGAUUUUUUUACUGUGUCCUACUUCACGAAUCACGAGGCAAAUCAAGUAGCCGGCAUGGCCUGGCCGGUGAGUGCCAUUGCACUUACUUGCCCCAGCAAUUUUCCGCGUGCAUUGUAGAAUUCUUUCUCCGAGUCCUGUGAAUUAAAGAUGGUGCAGACAAAAAUAUAUCCUAUAUGCGUACAUGUGCAUGAUCAGAACAUGUUUUUACGUGCGUCUACUAUAAAUCAUGACCAUUUUUAACACAAAUCAUGACCAUUCAUGAUUAGUGAAUCAUACUGUCUUAACUUAUGUGAAAUCAUGUGGAGUAAUAUAAUAUAAUAUAAUAAAUAGAUAGAUCCAUGUUGUAUUAUUUUUUGUUUACAAAAAAUAUCUGUCAUUACACAUUUUGAUUUAUGCAUUUGUUUACAAAAAAAACAGUAACAUUUCAUGGUGGAAAGUUUGUAUUGUUUCAUACUGAACACCAAUGUUUUCCUGUAAAAGAAAAUAAUGCCUACGCAUAUGCUUUUAUAUUAUUAUUAUUCUUUCAAACUUAUUCAUACAGUAUUUUUGAUUGUGCAACCAUAAUUUUUAUUGUCUCUCUCGUUCCACUACAUGCUCUUACUCAAUGAUUUUUUUAUAACGGGUGUUUUUAUUAACUCAAAAUAUAGUAUCAAGCGGAUACAAAACAUAAUGAGCCACACCUGGUCUCUGCAUAACUAAGAUGCACACAGCCAAAAGCAGAUGUCUGACAAAAAUAAGAUAAGAAAAUCGACAUAUCGACAACAGUGAGUCAUAUAGUCCCGACACUAUGCCCCCGUUGAAGGACGGGGUGGAGCGAUCUGGAGAUUAUGCUGCCCUCCAUGUUGAGUAAAUACCUCCCUGGCCACUUGUUCCAAACGCAUAGACGCCGCCACGAAUAAUGGUCGGUACUCUGUUCAGUGUAGCAUACACCAUGUAGGAAGUGAGUGCUCACUCCUAGUUACUAAAUUAUGUACACACUAGUAGAAAAAGGGCCAUUUGUCCCGGUUCGUAAGGCCCAUUUGUCCCAAUUGGGGAACCGGGACUAAAGGGUCGGUACUAAAGCCCUACACCUUUAGUCCCGGUUCUUACACCAACCGAGACAGAUGGGGCUCCACGUGGCCGCUACAGCUUGCCGUGGCAGGGGGGCCUUUUGUCCCGGUUGGUAGCACCAACCGGGACCAAUAAGCUACCACGCGUCCGCAUUUGAGGGGCUAGGGUUUUUGUUUUUUUUCUGAAGGGGGGGGGGUGGGUUUGUAUGGUUAAUUUUGGGGGGUUUCACAUAUUGUGUUAGGUAGCUAAUUAAUUAAUAGAGAGAAGUGUCCUCACUUAUCUCCGUGCUUGGUCGACGCUACGUACUAUACGUAUAGAGAGGCCCUCAACACGCUAGCCAGUAAGCAAAUGAAGUAAACCAUUAAGUACAGAAGUUCGUCAUGAACAUAUGCAUACAAACAUAAGUGAUAUCGACCUCUCCUUCUCCGAGAGAUAGGUCGAACAACAAGUUUCCGUAUAUCUAUCCGGCGCUACUAGCUACAUAUAUACAAUAUUAAGAUCUCUUACAAUAUAAUCCCCUAAUUAUAUAUGAACUCAGCUUCCAGAUGGUAUUCUCCGGCUUUAUUGAUGGCGUGGUCAAGAAAGAUUCCCUCCAAUUCCUCUUGAAUUGCUUUGAUGCGAUCUUGUGGUAGGAGUUCAUCUCGCAUCUGCCACAUCUAAUUUGAAGAAGGGGGUCAAUCACCAGUAGAAUAACAACCAUUUGUCCUGGUUCAUAAGGUUAAUUUGUCCCGGUUGGGGAACCGAGACUAAAGGGUCUUUACUAAAGCCCUACACCUUUAGUCCUGGUUCUUACACCAACUGGGACAGAUGGGCCUCCAUGUGGCUGCUGCGGCGAGCCCAGGCCGGAGGUCCUUUGGUCCCGGUUAGUGGCACUGAUACGUCUCCAACGUAUCUAUAAUUUUUGAUUGCUCCAUGCUAUUAUGUUAUCUAUUUUGGAUGUUAAUGGCUUUAUUUUACACCUUUAUAUCAUUUUUGGGACUAACCUACUAAUCGGAGGCCCAACCCAAAUUGUUGUUUUCUACCUAUUUUAGGUUUUCGAAGAAAAGGAAUAUCAAACGGAGUCCAAACGGAAUGAAACCUUCGAGAACGUGAUUUUCUCAAUGAACAUGAUUCAGGAGAAUUGGAGUGUGCUCCAAGAAACAAGGGAGGAAGGCACGAGGCAGGGGGCGCGCCUACCCCCUUGGGCGCGCCCUCCACCCUCGUGGGCCCUCCGCUGCUCCACCGACGUACUUCUUCCUCCUAUAUAUAUCCACGUACCCCCAAACAUCCAGGAGCACCACGAAAACCUAAUUCCACCGCUGCAACCUUCUGUACCCGAGAGAUCCCAUCUUGGGGCCUUUUCCGGAGGUCCACCGGAGGGGGCAUCGAUCAUGGAGGGCCUCUACAUCAACUCCAUGGCCUCUCCGGUGAUGUGUGAGUAGUUUACUUCAGACCUAGGGGUCUAUAGUUAUUAGCUAGAUGGCUUCUUCUUCUCUCUUUGGAUCUCAAUACAAAGUUCUCCUCGAUUUUCUUGGAGAUCUAUUUGAUGUAACCUUCUUUUGCGGUGUGUUUGUCGAGAUCCGAUGAAUUGUGGGUUUGUGAUCCAGAUUAUCUAUGAACAAUAUUUGAUUCUCCUAUGAAUUCUAGUAUGUAUGAUUGGUUUAUCUUUGCAAGUCUCUUCGAAUUAUCAGUUUGGUUUGGCCUACUAGAUUGAUUUCUUGCAAUGGGAGAAGUGCUUAGCUUUGGGUUCAAUCUUGCAGUGUUUGAUCCCAGUGACAGAAAGGGAACCGAUACGUAUUGUAUUGUUGCCAUCGAGGAUAAAAAGAUGGGGUUUAUAUCAUAUCGCAUGAGUUUAUCCCUCUACAUCAUGUCAUCUUCCUUAAAGCAUUACUAUGUUCUCUUGAACUUAAUACUCUAGAUGCAUGCUGGAUAGCGGUCCAUGUGUCGAGUAAUAGUAGUAGAUGCAGAAUCGUUUCGGUCUACUUGUCUCGGACGUGAUGCCUAUAUACAUGAUCAUACCUAGAUAUUCUCAUAACUAUGUUCAAUUCUGUACAAUAUGGUGCACGGGGUUACAUCGGCCUGCAAAGACAUUUCUGCGAUGUGAGACAUCCGAAAAGCAACGAAAACGGGAGAUUAUACAUUUAUUGAAGAGGGCAGGUGUGACAGAUACCGUGAGGGCGUCGAGCUCAGCCAAAGACGAUGGACAGCUGAGCACGGCCUGUGUCAGAGCCGGUGCGGGAGCAGGUGCAGGUGCAGGUGCUGGUGCAACGCUAGUCGAGCUGCUCCUGAAGAAGUCAACAAUGGGAAAGUCCGCUGCAUUUUUUCUGCAUUUUGCGUGCUCCAAUUGAAAAUGGCUGGAACCAAGACAGUAGACAUAUCUGCAACCACCUGUUUUCCGGCAGCUACCGCUGUCGCGACUGUCUCAGAUGAUUUCUUCUCAACCGCAAUCUCAACCUUCUUGUCGAUGUUUUAUUCGGUUAACCUCCAUCUUUCCUUUCUCUCCUCCGUGGUCUCACGGUAGUACUUCUUCCACGUGGCCCCGUCUCCGACACCGUGAACGCGUCCAUACGACGACCGAGUCUCCACGGGGAGUCCUUUCAAUAUGUUCAAUGCCCGGUUGAAUGGAGUGUCCCACUUGGGCCUUGCCAAUGCCUCAGACGGCGAGUCGCUUUCGGCCGCAAUCUUAUGCUGCUCUCUCUACAAAAGGAACACGGAUCAUUUACAAAUAUGACUAAACGUGCAGUCGAACUGAUCAGAAACUAAAAUUACCAGCAGUCUCAUGAACUCCGUCGUGAUCGGGUCCGUCUUGAAAACCUUCUUGACUGAGUCCCAAUGGUGUCGUGCCCUGAGGACGUCAUGCUCCUACGGGACGGUGAAGUCCGCCAAGGGGUCUGGGAUGCCAGAUUUUCGCGUUUCGUGUCCUCCUUGGCCCAUAUGGACCUCUUCCUGCCGUAACCACUGCUUCCGAGGUGGUGGCGCCCCAUGUUCCUUUGUGGAAGCCCCUUCAUGUACUUCGACUUUGUUUUGGCAGCUUCGGCCUCGCAAGCCGCCUUGAAUAUUUCAAAGUGUUCUCUAGUGAUUGUCAGAUUAUCCUUUACAAUCUCGGAGUAGGGUUGAUACGUCUCCAACGUAUCUAUUAUUUUUGAUUGCUCCAUGCUAUAUUAUCUACUGUUUUGGACAUUAUUGGGCUUUAUUAUCUACUUUUAUAUUAUUUUUGGGACUAACCUAUUAACCGGAGGCCCAGCCUAGAAUUGUUGUUUUUUGACUGUUUUAGGGUUUCGAAGAAAAGGAAUAUCAAACGGAGUCCAAACGGAAUGAAACCUUCGGGAACGUGAUUUUCUGAAUGAACAAGACCCUGGAGACUUGGACCCUACGUCAAGACACAAAAGAGGAGGACACGAGGUAGGGGGCGCGCCUAACCCCCCCCCCCCCUCGAGGCACGCCCUCCACCCUCGUGGGGCCCCUGUUGCUCCACCGACGUACUCCUUCCUCCUAUAUAUACCUACGUACUUCCAAACGAUCAGAUACGGAGCCAAAACCCUAAUUCCACUGCCGCAACUUUCUGUAUCCACGAGAUCCCAUUUGGUGCCUGUUCCGGAGCUCCGCCGGAGGGGGCAUCGAUCACGGAGGGCUUCUACAUCAACACCAUAGCCUCUCCGAUGAAGUGUGAGUAGUUCACCUCAGACGUACCGGUCCAUAUUUAUUACCUAGAUGGCUUCUUCUCUCUUUUUGGAUCUCAAUACAAUGUUCUCCCCCUCUCUUGUGGAGAACUAUUCGAUGUAAUCUUGUUUUUGCAGUGUGUUUAUUGAGAUUGAUGAAUUGUGGGUUUAUGAUCAAGUCUAUGUAUGAAUAAUAUUUGAAUCUUCUCUAAAUUCUUUUAUGUAUGAUUGUUUAUCUUUGCAAGUCUCUUCGAAUUAUCAGUUUGGUUUGGCCUACUAGAUUGAUCUUUCUUACAAUGGGAGAAGUGCUUAGCUUUGGGUUCAAUCUUGCGGUGUCCUUUCCCAAUGACAGUAGGGGCAGCAAGGCAUGUAUUGUAUUGUUGCCAUCGAGGACAACAAGAUGGGGUUUUCAUCAUAUUGCAUGAGUCUAUCCCUCUACAUCAUGUCAUCUUGCUUAAGGCGUUACUCUGUUUUUAACUUAAUACUCUAGAUGCAUGCUGGAUAGCGGUCGAUGAGUGAAACCUAUGGCCCCCGGGUCUAUCUUUAUCAUAUUAAUCUCCUACUACUUAGUUAUUUCCUUUGCUUUUUCCUUUGCCUUUAUUUUACUUUUGAUCUUUAUCACAAAAAUACCAAACAUAUUAUCUUUAUCAUAUCUAUCAGAUCUCACUCUCGUAAGUGGCUGUGUAGGGAUUGACAACCCCUAUUCGCGUUGGUUGCGAGGAUUUAUUUGUUUUGUGCAAGUACGAGAGACUCGCGCGUAGCCUCCUACUGGAUUGAUACCUUGGUUCUCAAAAACUGAGGGAAAUACUUACACUACUUUGCUGCAUCAUCCUUCCUCUUCGCGGAAAACCAACGUAGUGCUCAAGAGCUGGCAAUAAGGAUUUCUGGCGCCGUUGCCGGGGAGGUCUAAGCAAAAGUCAACAUACCAAGUACCCAUCACAUACCCUUAUCUCCUGCAUUACAUUAUUUUCCAUUUGCCUCUCGUUUUCCUCUCCCCCACUUCACCCUUGCCGUUUUAUUCGCCCUCUCUCUCUCUCUCUAUCCUCCCUCUCUUUCUCUAUUUGCCUCUUUUUUCCCACUUGCUUUCUGUUUGCUUGUGUGUUAGUUGCUUGCUUGUCACGAUGGCUCAAGAUAAUACUAAAUUACGUGACUUCACCAAUACCAACAACAAUGAUUUUAUUAACACUCCGAUUGCUCCUCUUACCGAUGCUGAAUCUUGAGAAAUUAAUACUGCUUUGCUGAAUCUUGUCAUGAAAGAUCUGUUUUUCGGCCUUCCUAGUGAAGAUGCCGCUACCCACCUAAAUAGAUUCGUUGAUUUGUGUGACAUGCAAAAGAAGAAAGGUGUGGAUAAUGAUAUUGUUAAAUUGAAGCUAUUUCCUUUUUCGCUUAGAGAUCGUGCUAAAGCUUGGUUUUCGUCUUUGCCUAAAAAUACUAUUGAUUCAUGGAAUAAGUGCAAAGAUGCUUUUAUCUCUAAGUAUUUUCCUCCUGCUAAGAUCAUCUCUCUUAGAAACGAUAUUAUGAAUUUUAAGCAACUUGAUCAUGAACAUGUUGCACAAGCUUGGGAGAGAAUGAAACUAAUGAUACGUAAUUGCCCUGCCCAUGGUUUAAAUUUGUGGAUGAUUAUACCAAAUUUUUAUGCCGGAUUGAACUUUGCUUCUAGAAAUCUUUUAGAUUAGGCCGCGGGAGGCACUUUUAUGGAAAUCACUUUAGGAGAAGCUACUAAACUCCUAGAUAAUAUUAUGGUUAAUUAUUCUCAACGGCAUACCGAAAGAUCUACUAAUAAAAACGUGCAUGCGAUAGAAGAAAUUAAUGUUUCGAGUGGAAAGAUGGAUGAACUUCUGAAAUUAUUUGCUAAUAAGAGUAUUUCUUCUGAUCCUAAUGAUAUGCCCUUGUCUACUUUGAUUGAGAAUAAUAAUUAAUCUAUGGAUGUGGAUUUUGUUGGUAGGAACAAUUUUGGUAACAACGCGUACAGAGGAAAUUUCAACCCUAGGCCUUAUCCUAGUAAUCUCUCUAAUAAUUAUGGUAAUUCCUACAACAAUUCUUAUGGAAAUUAUAAUAAGAUGCCCUCUGAUUUUGGAUCUAAUAUUAGAGAAUUUAUUACUUUCCAAAAGAAUUUCAAUGCUUUGAUUGAAGAAAAAUUGCUUAAGAUUGAUGAUUUGGCUAGGAACGUUGAUAGAAUUACUCUUGAUGUUGAUUCUUUGAAACUUAGAUCUAUUCCACCUAAGCAUGAUGUCAAUGAGUCUCUCAAAGCCAUGAGAAUUUCCAUUGAUGAGUGCAAAGAAAGAACCACUAGGAUGCGUGUUAAGAAAGAUGCCUUUAUAAGAGCGUGUUCUUCUAAUUCCUAUGAAAAUAAUGAUGAAGAUCAAAAAGUUAUUGAUGUCCUCCCUAUUAAAUCUUUGUUUUGCAAUAUGAAUCUUGAUAAUCAUGGGACUGAAUAUGAUCCACCUUUACCUAGAAGGCGUUCCAAUAAUUCAGAAUUUGUUGAUCUUGAUGCUAAAAUUGAUAAAGGUGGGAUUGAAGAAAUUAAAACCCUAGAUGUUGCUAAACCCACUAUUAUGGAUUUCAAGGAACUUAACUAUGAAAACUGCCCUUUGAUUGAUUGUAUAUCCUUGUUACAAUCCGUGCUAAAUUCUCCUCAUGCUUAUAGUCAAAAUAAAGCAUUUACUAAACAUAUUGUUGAUGCCUUGAUGCAAUCUUAUGAAGAAAAACUUGAAUUGGAAGUUUCUAUCCCUAUAAAGCUUUAUGAUGAGUGGGAACCAACUAUUAAAAUUAAAAUUAAAUAUCAUGAAUGCUAUGCUUUAUGUGAUUUGUGUGCUAGUGUUUCCACGAUUCCAUAGACUUUGUGUGAUUUGUUAGGUUUCCGUGAUUUUGAUGAUUGCUCUUUAAACUUGCACCUUGCGGAUUCCACUAUUAAGAAACCUAUGGGAAGAAUUAAUGAUGUUCUUAUUGUUGCAAAUAGCAAUUAUGUGCCCGUAGAUUUUAUUGUUCUUGACAUAGAUUGCAAUCUUUCAUGUCCUAUUAUUCUUGGUAGACCUUUCCUUAGAACGACUGGUGCAAUUAUUGAUAUGAAGGAAGGAAAUAUUAGAUUCCAAUUUCCAUUAAGGAAAGGCAUGGAACACUUUCCUAGAAAGUAAAUUAAAUUACCUUAUGAAUCUAUUAUGAUAGCCACUUAUGGAUUGCCUACCAAAGAUGGCAAUACCUAGAUCUAUCCUUGCUUGUUAUGCCUAGCUAGGGGCGUUAAACGAUAGCGCUUGUUGGGAGGCAACCCAAUUUUAUUUUUAUUCCUUGAUUUUUUCUCCUGUUUAGUAAUAAAUAAUUUAUAUAGCCUCUGUUUUGGUUCUGUUCUUUGUGUUUAAUUAGUGUUUGUGCCAAGUAGAACCGUUAGGAAGACUUGGGGAAAGUCUUGUUACACUUGCUGUAAAAAACUGAAACUUCAGCGCUCACGAGAACUGCUGCCAUUUUUAUUUGGAAAGUGCUAUGUAGUUAAUUAUUUUUCAGAUGAUUAACAGAUAAAUUCCUCACGUCCAGAAAUUUAUUUUAGAAUUUUUGGGGUUCCAGCUCUUGAGCUAGCUACAGAGUACUACAGGCUGUUCUGUUUUUGAAAGAUUCUGUUUUUCGUGUGUUGUUUGCUUAUUUUGAUGAACCUAUGGCUAGUAAAAUAGUUUAUAUACCAUAGAGAAAUUGGAAUACAGUAGGUAUAACACCAAUAUAAAUAAAUAAUGAGUUCAUUACAGUACCUUGAAGUGGUCUUUUAUUUUCUUUCGCUAACGGAGCUCAUGAGAUUUUCUACUUUAAGUUUUGUGUUGUGAAGUUUUCAAGUUUUGGGUAAAGAUUUGAUGGAUUAUGGAACAAGGAGUGACAAGAGCCUAAGCUUGGGGGUUCCCAUGGCACCCCCAAGAUAAUCUAAGUACACCUAAAAACCAAAGCUUGGGGAUGCGCCGGAAGUCAUCCCCUCUUUCAUCUACUUCUAUCGGUAACUUUACUUGGAGCUAUAUUUUUAUUCGCCACAUGAUAUGUGUUUUGCUUGGAGCGUCUUGUAUUAUUUGAGUCUUUAUUUGUUAGUUUACCACAAUCAUCCUUGCUGUACACACCUUUUGAGAGAGCCAUACAUGAUUUGGAAUUUGUUAGAAUACUCUAUGUGCUUCGCUUAUAUCUUUUGAGUUAUAUAGUUUUGCUCUAGUACUUCACUUAUAUCUUUUAGAGCACGGUGGUGGAUUUGUUUUAUAGAAACAAUUGAUCUCUCAUGCUCCACUUAGAUUAUUUUGAGAUUCUUAAUAGCAUGUUAAUUUGCUUAAAAUCCUAAUAUGCUAGGUAUUCAAAGUUAGUAAAAUUUUCUUAAGAGUGUUUUGAAUACUAAGAGAAGUUUGAUGCUUGAUGAUUGUUUUGAGAUAUGGAGGUAAUAAUAUCAAAGUCGUUCUCGUUGACUAGUUGUGAAAUUGAGAAAUACUUGUGUUGAAGUUUGCAUGUCCCGUAGCACGCACGUAUGGUAAACGUUGUGUAACAAAUUUGAAACAUGAGGUGUUAUUUGAUUGUCUUCCUUGUGAGUGGCGGUCGGGGACGAGCGAUGGUCUUUUCCUACCAAUCGAUCCCCCUAGGAGCAUGCGAAUAGUACCAAGGUUUUUGAUGACUUGUAGAUUUUUGCAGUAAGUAUGUGAGUUCUUUAUGACUAAUGUUGAGUCCAUGAAUUAUACGCACUCUCACCCUUCCAUCCUUGCUAGCCUCUUCGGUACCGUGCAUUGCCCUUUCCCACAUUGAGAGUUGGAGCAAACUUCGCCAGUGCAUCCAAACCCCGUGCUAUGAUACGCUCAUUCACACAUAAACCUCCUUAUAUCUUCCUCAAAACAGCCACCAUACCUACCUAUUAUGGCAUUUCCAUAGCCAUUCCGACAUAUAUUGCCAUGCAACUUUCCACCAUUCCGUUCAUCAUGACACAUUCAUCAUUGUCAUAUUGCGUAGCAUAAUCAUGUAGUUGACAUAGUAUUUGUGGCAAGGCCACCGUUCAUAAUUCAUUCAUACAUGUCACUCUUGGUCCAUUGCAUGUCCCGGUACACCGCCGGAGGCAUUCAUAUAGAGCCAUACUUUGUUCUAGUAUCGAGUAGUAAUUAUUGAGUCGUAAAUAAAUAGAAGUGUGAUGAUCAUCAUUAAUAGAGCAUGGUCCCAAAAAGAAAAAAAAGGAAGGGCCAAAAAAAGGCCAAAUAAAAAAAUAUAAAAAAGGGGGCAAUGCUACUAUCCUUUUUUUCCAAACUUGUGCUUCCAAGUAGCACCGUAAUCUUCAAGAUAGAGAGUCUCUUGAUUUGUCACUUUCAUAUACUAGUGGGAAUUUUUCAUUAUAGAACUUGGCUUGUAUAUUCCAACAAUGGGCGUCCCCAAGUUCCCUAGGUCUUCGUGAGCAAGCAAGUUGGAUGCACACCCACUUAGUUUCUUUUGUUGAGCUUUCAUACAUUUAUAGCUCUAGUGCAUCCGUUGCAUGGCAAUUCCUACUCCUUGCAUUAACAUCAAUCAAUGGGCAUCUCCAUAGCCCAUUGAUUAGCCUCGUUGAUGUGAGACUUUCUCCUUUUUGUCUUCUCCACAUAACCCCACUCAUUAGAUUCUAUUCCACCCAUAGUGUUAUGUCCAUGGCUUGCAAUCAUAUAUUGCGUGAAAGUUUAUAGGUUUGAGAUCACUAAAGUAUGAAACAAUUGCUUGGCUUGUCAUCGGGGUUGUGCAUGAUGAGAGCAUACUUGUGUGACGAAAAUGAAGCAUGACUAAACUAUAUGAUUUUGUAGGGGUGAACUUUCUUUGGCCAUGUUAUUUUGAGAAGACACAAUUGCUCAGUUAGUAUGCUUAAAGUAUUAUUAUUUUAUGUCAAUAUGAACUUUUGUCUUGAAUGUUUCAGAUCCGAAUAUUCAUACCACAAUUAAGAAGAAUUACAUUAAAAUCAUGCCAAGUAGCACUCCACAUCAAAAAUUCUGUUUUUAUCAUUUACCUACUCGAGGACGAGCCGGAAUUAAGCUUGGGGAUGCUUGAUACAUCUCCAACGUAUCUAUAAUUUUUGAUUGCUCCAUGCUAUAUUAUCUACUGUUUUGGACAAUAUUGGGCUUUAUUAUCCACUUGUAUAUUAUUUUUGGGACUAACCUAUUAACCGGAGGCCCAGCCCAGAAUUGUUGUUUUUUGCCUGUUUUAGGGUUUCGAAGAAAAGGAAUAUCAAACGGAGUCCAAACGGAAUGAAACCUUCGGGAACGUGAUUUUCUCAACGAACAAGAUCUAGGAGACUUGGACCCUCCAUCAAGACAUAAAAGAGGAGGCCACGAGGUAGGGGGCGUNNNNNNNNNNNNNNNNNNNNNNNNNNNNNNNNNNNNNNNNNNNNNNNNNNNNNNNNNNNNNNNNNNNNNNNNNNNNNNNNNNNNNNNNNNNNNNNNNNNNNNNNNNNNNNNNNNNNNNNNNNNNNNNNNNNNNNNNNNNNNNNNNNNNNNNNNNNNNNNNNNNNNNNNNNNNNNNNNNNNNNNNNNNNNNNNNNNNNNNNNNNNNNNNNNNNNNNNNNNNNNNNNNNNNNNNNNNNNNNNNNNNNNNNNNNNNNNNNNNNNNNNNNNNNNNNNNNNNNNNNNNNNNNNNNNNNNNNNNNNNNNNNNNNNNNNNNNNNNNNNNNNNNNUGGGCCCCCCUGUUGCUCCACCGACGUACUCCUUCCUCCUAUAUAUACCUACUAUUGGGGAACGUAGCAGAAUUUUAAAAUUUUCUACGCAUACCAAGAUCAAUCUAUGGAGUCAUAUAGCAACGAGGGAGAGAGGAGUGCAUCUACAUACCCUUGUAGAUCGCGCGCGGAAGCGUUCAAGAGAACGGGGUUGAUGGAGUCGUACUCGUCGUGAUCCAAAUCACCGAUGACCAAGUGCCGAAUGGACAGCACCUCCGCGUACAACACACGUACGGUUGGGAAGACGUCUCCUCCUUCUUGAUCCAGCAAGGGGGAAGGAGAGGUUGAUGAAGAUCCAGCAGCACGACGGCGUGGUGGUGGAUGCAGCAGGAUCCCGGCAGGGCUUCGCCAAGCGCAAGCGGGGAGGAGAGGUGUUACGGAAGGAGAGGGAGGCGCCAAGAGCAAGGGUGCGGCUGCCCUCCCUCCCCCCCCUCUUUAUAUAGGGGCCUUGGGGGGGCGCCGGCCCUAGGAGAUGGAUCUCCAAGGGGGGCGAAGGCCAAGGGGUGGCUUCCCCCCCAAGCCAAGUGGGGGGCGCCCCCACCCCUAGGGUUUCCCAACCCUAGGCGCAUGGGAGGCCCAAGGGGGGCGCACCAGCCCACUAGGGGCUGGUUCUGCUCCCAAUUCAGCCCAUGGGGCCCUCCGGGAUGGGUGGCCCCACCCGGUGGACCCCCGGGACCCUUCCGGUGGUCCUGGUACAAUACCGGUGACCCCCGAAACCUUCCCGAUGGCCGAAAUUGUACUUCCUAUAUAUAAAUCUUUACCUCCGAACCAUUCCGGAACUCCUCGUGACGUACGGGAUCUCAUCCGGUACUCCGAACAUAUCCUUGGUUACUACAUACUAAUAUCUCUACAACCCUAGCGUCACCGAACCUUAAGUGUGUAGACCCUACGGGUUCGGGAGACAUGCAGACAUGACAGAGACGCCUCUCCGGUCAAUAACCAACAGCGGGAUCUGGAUACCCAUGUUGGCUCCCACGUGCUCCACGAUGAUCUCAUCGGAUGAACCACGAUGUCGAGGAUUCAAUCAAUCUGUGUAGAAUUCCCUUUGUCAAUCGGUACGUUACUUGCCCGAGACUCGAUCGUCGGUAUCCCAAUACCUCGUUCAAUCUCGUUACCAGCAAGUCACUUUACUCGUGCCGUAAUGCAUGAUCCCAUGAUCAACCACUUGGUCACAAUGAGCUCAUUAUGAUCAUGCAUUACCGAGUGGGCCCAGAGAUACCUCUCCGUCAUACGGAGUGACAAAUCCCAGUCUCGAUUCGUGCCAACCCAACAGACACUUUCGGAGAUACCUGUAAUGUACCUUUAUAGUCACCCAGUUACGUUGUGACGUUUGGCACACCCAAGGCACUCCUACGGUAUCCGGGAGUUGCCCAAUCUCAUGGUCUAAGGAAAUGAUACUUGACAUUCGGAAAAGCUACAGCAAACGAACUACACGAUCUUUGAGCUAUGCUUAGGAUUGGGUCUUGUCCAUCACAUCAUUCUCCUAAUGAUGUGAACCCGUUAUCAAUGACAUCCAAUGUCCAUAGUCAGGAAACCAUGACUAUCUUUUGAUCAACGAGCUAGUCAACUAGAGGCUCACUAGGGACGUGUUGUCGUCUAUGUAUUCACACAUGUAUUACGAUUUCCGGAUAACACAAUUAUAGCAUGAAAAAUAGACAAUUAUCAUGAACAAAGAAAUAUAAUAAUAACCAUUUUAUUAUUGCCUCUAGGGCAUAUUUCCAACAGUCUCCCACUUGCACUAGCGUCAGUAGUCUAGUUACAUUUUGAUGAAUCCAACACCCAUGAAGUUCUGGAGUUGAUCAUGUUUUGCUCUAGGGAGAGGUUUAGUCAAUGGAUCUGCCACAUUCAGGUCCGUAUGUACUUUACAAAUCUCUAUGUAUCCAUUUUGAACACUUUCAUGAAUGGAGUUGAAGUGACGCUUGAUAUGCCUGGUCUUCCUGUGAAAUCUGGGCUCCUUGGCAAGUGCAAUAGCUCCAGUGUUGUCACAGAAUAGAGUCAUCGGGCCCGGUGCAUUGGGUGUGACUCCUAGGUCGGUAAUGAACUCCUUCACCCAGAUUGCUUCUUGUGCUGCCUCCGAGGCUGCCAUGUACUCUGCUUCACAUGUAGAUCCCGCCACAACGCUUUGCUUGCAACUCCACCAGCUUACUGCCCCACCAUUCAAAAUAUACACGUAUCCGGUUUCCGACUUAGAGUCAUCCAGAUCUGUGUCGAAGCUAGCAUCAACGUAACCCUUUACGACGAGCUCUUCGUCACCUCCAUAAACGAGAAACAUAUCCUUAGUCCUUUUUAGGUACUUGAGGAUAUUCUUGACUGCUGUCUAGUGUUCCAUGCCGGGAUUACUUUGGUACCUUCCUACCAAACUUACGGCAAGGUUUUCAUCAGGUCUGGUACACAGCAUAGCAUACAUGAUAGACCCUAUGGCCGAGGCAUAGGGGAUGACACUCAUCUUUUCUCUAUCUUCUGUCGUGGUCGUGCAUUGAGCCUCGCUCAAUCUCGUACCUUGCAAUACAGGCAAGAACCCUUCUUUUACUGAUCCAUUUUGAACUUCUUCAAUAUCUUAUCAAGGUAUGUACUCUGUGAAAGACCAAUGAGGCGUCUCGAUCUAUCUCUAUAGAUCUUGAUGCCUAAUAUAUAAGCAGCUUCUCCAAGAUCCUUCAUUGAAAAACACGUGUUCAAGUAGGCCUUUAUGCUUUCCAAGAAUUCUAUAUCAUUUCCCAUCAACAAUAUGUCAUCCACAUCCAAUAUGAGAAAUGCUACAAAGCUCCCACUCACUUUCUUGUAAAUGCAGACUUCUCCAUAAGUAUGCGUAAACCCAAACGCUUUGAUCAUCUCAUCAAAACGAAUGUUCCAUCUCCGAGAUGCUUGCACCAGCCCAUAAAUCGAAUGUUGGAGCUUGUACACCUUGUCAGCAUUCUUAGGAUCGACAAAACCUUCCGGCUGCAUCAUAUACAAUUCUUCCUUAAGGAAACCAUUAAGGAAUGUUGUUUUGACGUCCAUUUGCCAUAUUCAUAAUCAUAGAAUGCGGCAAUUGCUAACAUCGUAGUCAACCCCUUGAACUUGCCGAUAACCCUUAGCGACAAGCCGAGCUUUAUAGAUGGUCACAUUACCAUCCGCGUCUGUCUUCUUCUUAAAGAUCCAUUUAUUUUCUAUGGCUCGCCGAUCAUCGGGCAAGUCAGUCAAAGUCCAUACUUUGUUUUCAUACAUGGAUCUUAUCUCGGAUUUCAUGGCUUCCAGCCAUUUGUUGGAAUUCAGGCCCGCCAUCGCUUCUUCAUAGUUCGAAGUUCACCGUUGUCUAACAACAUGAUUUCCAAGACAGGGUUGCCGUACCACUCUGGUGCGGGACGUGUCCCCGUGGACCUACGAAGUUCAGUAGCAACUUGAUCUGAAGUUUCAUGAUCAUCAUCAUCAAUUUCCUCUCUAGUCGUUGCAGGCACCUUAGGAACAUUUUCUUGAGCUGCGCCACUUACCGGUUCAAGAGGUAAUAAUACUUCAUCAAGUUCUACUUUCCUCCCACUUAUUUCUUUCGAGAGAAACUCUUUCUCUAGAAAGGACCCAUUCUUGGCAACAAAGAUCUUGCCUUCGGAUCUGAGGUAGAAGGUAUACCCAAUAGUUUCUUUAGGGUAUCCUAUGAAGACGCAUUUUUCCAAUUUGGGUUCGAGCUUUUCAGGUUGAAGUUUCCUUACAUAAGCAUCGCAUCCCCAAACUUUUAGAAAUGACAUCUUAGGUGUCUUCCCAAACCAUAAUUCAUACGGUGUCAUCUCAACGGAUUUCGACGGAGCCCUAUUUAAAGUGAAUGCGGCAGUCUCUAAAGCAUAGCCCCAAAAUGACAGCGGUAAAUCGGUAAGAGACAUCAUAGAUCGCACCAUAUCUAAUAGAGUGCGAUUAUGACAUUCCGACACACCAUUACGCUGAGGUGUUCCAGGCGGCGUGAGUUGUGAAACUAUUCCACAUUUUCUUAAGUGUGUGCCAAAUUCGUGACUCAAGUAUUCUCCCCCACGAUCUGAUCGCAAGAACUUGAUUUGCCUGUCACGUUGAUUCUCAACCUCACUUUGAAAUUCCUUGAACUUUUCAAAGGUCUCAGACUUGUGUUUCAUUAAGUAGACAUACCCAUAUCUACUCAAGUCAUCAGUGAGGGUGAGAACAUAACGAUAGCCACCGCGCCUCAACACUCAUUGGACCGCACACAUCAGUAUGUAUGAUUUCCAAUAAGUUGGUUACUCGCUCCAUUGUUCCUGAGAACGGAGUCUUGGUCAUUUUACCCAUGAGGCAUGGUUCGCACGUGUCAAAUGAUUCGUAAUCAAGAGACUUUAAAAGUCUAUCUGCAUGGAGCUUCUUCAUGCGUUUGACACCUAUGUGACCAAGGCGGCAAUGCCACAAGUAUGUGGGACUAUCAUUAUCAACCUUACAUCUUUUGGUAUUCACACUAUGAAUAUGUGUAACAUUAUGCUCGAGAUUCAUUAAGAAUAAACCAUUCACCAAUGGAGCAUGACCAUAAAACAUAUCUCUCAUAUAAAUAGAACAACCAUUAUUCUCGGAUUUAAAUGAGUAGCCAUCUCAAAUUAACCGAGAUCCUGAUACAAUGUUCAUGCUCAAAGCUGGCAGUAAAUAACAAUUAUUGAGGUUUAAAACUAAUCCCAUAGGCAAAUGUAGAGGCAGCGUGCCGACGGCGAUCACAUCAACCUUGGAACCAUUCCCGACGCACAUCGUCACCUCGUCCUUCGCCAGUCUCCGUUUAAUCCGCAGCUCCUGCUUUGAGUUACAAAUGUGAGCAACUGCACCGGUAUCAAAUACCCAGGAGCUACUACGAGUACUGGUAAGGUACACAUCAAUUACAGGUAUAUCACAUAUACCUUUAGUGUUGCCGGCCUUCUUGUCCGCUAAGUAUUUGGGGCAGUUCCGCUUCCAGUGACUACUUCCCUUGCAAUAAAAACACUCAGUCUCGAGCUUGGAUCCAUUCUUUGGCUUCUUCCCGGAAACUUGCUUAGCGGGCGCGGCAACUCCCUUGCCGUCCUUCUUGAAUUCUUCUUACCCUUGCCUUUCUUGAACUUAGUGGUUUUAUUCACCAUCAACACUUGAUGUUCCUUUUUGAUUUCCACCUCUGCUGAUUUCAGCAUUGAAUAUACCUCAGGAAUGGUCUUUUCCAUCCCCUGCAUAUUGAAGUUGAUCACAAAGCUCUUGUAGCUCGGUGGAAGCGACUGAAGGAUUCUGUCAAUGACCGCGUCAUUCGGGAGGUUAACUCCCAGCUGAGUCAAGCGGUUAUGCAACCCAGACAUUUUGAUUAUGUGCUCACUGACAGAACUAUUUUCCUCCAUCUUAUAGCUGAAGAACUUGUCGGAGACUUCAUAUCUCUCGACCCGGGCAUGAGCUUGAAAAACCAUUUUCAGCUCUUCGAACAUCUCAUAUGCUCCAUGUCUCUCAAAAUGCUUUUGGAGCCCCGGUUCUAAGCUGUAAAGCAUGCCGCACUGAACGAGGGAGUAAUCAUCAGCACGUAACUGCCAAGCGUUGAUAAUGUCUUGGUUCUCUGGGACAGGUGCGUGACCUAACGGUGCUUCUAGGACAUAAUAUUUCUUGGCAGCUACGAGGAUGAUCCUCAGGUUCCGGACCCAGUCCGUAUAGUUGCUGCCAUCGUCUUUCAGCUUGGUUUUCUCUAGGAACGCGUUGAAAUUGAGGACAACGUGGGCCAUUUGAUCUACAAGACAUAUUGUAAAGAUUUUAGACUAAGUUCAUGAUAAUUAAGUUCAUCUAAUCAAAUUAUACAAUGAACUCCCACUCAGAUAGACAUCCCUCCAGUCAUCUAAGUGAAACAUGAUCCAAGUUAACUAGGCUGUGUCGGAUCAUCACGUGAAACGGACUAGUCAACAUCGGUGAACAUCUUCAUGUUGAUCGUAUCUUCUAUACGACUCAUGCUCGACCUUUCGGUCUUCUGUGUUCCGAGGCCAUGUCUGUACAUGCUAGGCUCGUCAACUAAACCUAAGUGUAUUGCGUGUGUAAAUCUGGCUUACACCCGUUGUAUUCGAACGUUAGAAUCUAUCACACUCGAUCAUCACGUGGUGCUUCGAAACAACGAACCUUCGCAACGGUGCACAGUUAGGGGGAACACUUUCUUGAAAUUAUUUCGAGGGAUCAUCUUAUUUAAGCUACCGUCGUUCUAAGCAAAUAAGAUGUAAAACAUGAUAAACAUCACAUGCAAUCAAAUAGUGACAUGAUAUGGCCAAUAUCAUUUGCUCCUUUUGAUCUCCAUCUUUGGGGCUCCAUGAUCAUCGUUGUCACCAGCAUGACACCAUGAUCUCCAUCAUCAUGUCUUCUUGAAGUUGUCUCGUCAUCUAUUACUUCUACUACUAUGGCUAAUGCUUUAGCAAUAAAGUAAAGUAAUUACAUGACGUUUAUGUUGACACGCAGGUCAUAAAAAAAUAAAGACAACUCCUAUGGCUCCUGCCGGUUGUCAUACUCAUCGACAUGCAAGUCGUGAUUCCUAUUACAAGAACAUGAUCAAUCUCAUACAUCACAUAUAUCAUUCAUCACAUCCUUUUGGCCAUAUCACAUCAGACGGCACAUGCUGCAAAAACAAGUUAGACGUCCUCUAAUUGUUGUUGCAAGUUUUUACAUGGCUGCUAUAGGUUUCUAGCAAGAACGUGUCUUACCUACGCCAAAACCACAACGUGAUAUGCCAAUUUCUAUUUACCCUUCAUAAGGACCCUUUUCAUCGAAUCCGAUCUAACUAAAGUGGGAGAGAUAGACACCCGCCAGCCACCUUAUGCAAGUAAUGCAUGUCAAUCGGUGGAACCAGUCUCACGUAAGCGUACGUGUAAGGUCGGUCCGGGCCGCUUCAUCCCACGAUGCCGCCGAAUCAAGAUAAGACUAGUAACGGCAAGCAAAGUGACAAUAUCCACGCCCACAACUGCUUUGUGUUCUACUCGUGCAUAGAAACUACGCAUAGACCUGGCUCAUGAUGCCACUAUUGGGGAAUGUAGCAGAAUUUUAAAAUUUUCUACGCAUCACCAAGAUCAAUCUAUGGAGUUAUCUAGCAAUGAGGAAGAGAGGAGUGCAUCUACAUACCCUUGUAGAUCGCGCGCGGAAGCGUUCAAGAGAACGGGGUUGAUGGAGUCGUACUCGUCGUGAUCCAAAUCACCGAUGACCAAGUGCCGAACGGACAGCACCUCCGCGUUCAACACACGUCCGGUUGGGAAGACGUCUCCUCCUUCUUGAUCCAGCAAGGGGGAAGGAGAGGUUGAUGAAGAUCCAGCAGCACGACGGCGUGGUGGUGGAUGCAACAGGAUCCCGGCAGGGCUUCGCCAAGCGCAAGCGGGGAGGAGAGGUGUUACGGAGGGAGAGAGAGGCGCCAAGAGCAAGGGUGCGGCUGCCUUCCCUCCCCCCUCUUUAUAUAGGGGCCAUGGCGGGCGCCGGCCCUAGGAGAUGGAUCUCCAAGGGGGGCGAAGGCCAAGGGGUGGCUCCCCCCCCCAAGCCAAGUGGGGGGCGCCCCCACCCCUAGGGUUUCCCAACCCUAGGCGCAGGGGAGGCCCAAGGGGGCGCACCAGCCCACUAGGGGCUGGUUCCCCUCCCAAUUCAGCCCAUGGGGCCCUCCGGGAUGGGUGGCCCCACCCGGUGGACCCCCGGGACCCUUCCGGUGGUCCCGAUACAAUACCGGUUACCCCCGAAACCUUCCCGAUGGCCGAAACUGUACUUCCUAUAUAUAAAUCUUUACCUCCAAACCAUUUCAGAACUCCUCGUGACGCCCGGGAUCUCAUCCGGGACUCCGAACAACUUUCGGCUUACUACAUACUAAUAUCUAUACAACCCUAGCGUCACCGAACCUUAAGUGUGUAGACCCUACGGGUUUCGGAGACAUGCAGACAUGACUGAGACGCCUCUCCAGUCAAUAACCAACAGCGGGAUCUGGAUACCCAUGUUGGCUCCCACAUGCUCCACGAUGAUCUCAUCGGAUGAACCACGAUGUCGAGCAUUCAAUCAAUCUGUAUACAAUUCCCUUUAUCAAUCAGUACGUUACUUGCCCGAGACUCGAUCGUCAGUAUCCCAAUACCUUGUUCAAUCUCGUUACCGGCAAGUCACUUUACUCAUACCAUAAUGCAUGAUCCCGUGAUCAACCACUUGGUCACAUUGAGCUCAUUAUGAUGAUGCAUUACCGAGUGGGCCCAGAGAUACCUCUUCAUCACGCGGAGUGACAAAUCCCAGUCUCGAUUCAUGCCAACCCAAUAGACACUUUCGGAGAUACCUGUAAUGUACCUUUAUAGUCACCCAGUUACGUUGUGACGUUUGGCACACCCAAGGCACUCCUACGGUAUCCGGGAGUUUCACAAUCUCAUGGUCUAAGGAAAUGAUACUUGACAUUCGGAAAAGCUACAGCAGAUGAACUACACGACCUUUGAGCUAUGCUUAGGAUUGGGUCUUGUCCAUCACAUCAUUCUCCUAAUGAUGUGAUCCCAUUAUCAAUGACAUCCAAUGUCCAUAGUCAGGAAACCAUGACUAUCUUUUGAUCAACAAGCUAGUCAACUAGAGGCUCACUAGGGACGUGUUGUGGUCUAUGUAUUCACACAUGUAUUACGAUUUCCGGAUAACACAAUUAUAGCAUGAACAAUAGACAAUUAUCAUGAACAAAGAAAUAUAAUAAUAACCAUUUUAUUAUUGCCUCUAGGGCAUAUUUCCAACACCUACGUACCCCCAAACGAUCAUAUACGGAGCCAAAACCCUAAUUCCACCGCCGCAACUUUCUGUAUCCACGAGAUCCCAUCUUGGGGCCUGUUCCGGAGCUCCGCCAGAGGGGGCAUCGAUCACGGAGGGCUUCUACAUCAACACCAUAGCCUCUCUGAUGAAGUGUGAGUAGUUCACCUCAGACCUACGGUUCCAUAGUUAUUAGCUAGAUGGCUUCUUCUCUCUUUUUGGAUCUCAAUACAAUGUUCUCCCCAUCUCUUGUGGAGAACUAUUCGAUGUAAUCUUCUUUUUGCGGUGUGUUUGUUGAGACCGAUGAAUUGUGGGUUUAUGAUCAAGUCUAUCUAUGAAUAAUAUUUGAAUCUUCUCUGAAUUGUUUUAUGUAUGAUAGGUUAUCUUUGCAAGUCUCUUCGAAUUAUCAGUUUGGUUUGGCCUACUAGAUUGAUCUUUCUUGCAAUGGGAGAAGUGCUUAGCUUUGGGUUCAAUCUUGCGGUGUCCUUUCCCAGUGACAGUAGGGGCAGCAAGGCACGUAUUAUAUUGUUGCCAUCGAGGACAACAAGAUGGAGUUUUCAUCAUAUUGCAUGAGUCUAUCCCUCUACAUCAUGUCAUCUUGCUUAAGGCGUUAAUCUGUUUUUAACUUAAUACUCUAGAUGCUUGCUGGAUAGCGAUCGAUUAGUGGAGUAAUAGUAGUAGAUGCAGGCAGGAGUCGGUCUACUUGUCUCGGACGUGAUGCCUAUAUACAUGAUCAUACCUAGAUAUUCUCAUAACUAUGCUCAAUUCUGUCAAUUGCUCAACAAUAAUUUGUUCACCCACCGUAGAAUAUUUAUGCUCUCGAGAGAAGCCACUAGUGAAACCUAUGGCCCCGGGUCUAUCUUUAUCAUAUUAAUCUCCUACUACUUAGUUAUUUCCUUUGCUUUUUACUUUGCCUUUAUUUUACUUUGCAUCUUUAUCACAAAAAUACGAAAAAAAUUAUCUUUAUCAUAUCUAUCAAAUCUCACUCUCGUAAGUGGCCGUGUAGGAAUUGACAACCCCUAUUCGCGUUGGUUGCGAGGAUUUAUUUGUUUUGUGCAGGUACGAGGGACUCGCGCGUAGCCUCCUACUGGAUUGAUACCUUGGUUCUCAAAACCUGAGGGAAAUACUUACGCUACUUUGCUGCAUCAUCCCUUCCUCUUCGGGGAAAACCAAGGCAGUGCUCAAGAGGUAGCAAGGGUUCCUUUUUGUCGACGAUCCGAUGUUUCAACCCUGUUUUCCAGGUGGCCAACGCGUCGCUAAACUUGGUGACGGCGUGUUUGUUUAUCUUCUUCAUUGCCAGGUCCUUAUCUGGAUCUUUAUUAUCCUUUUCACUGCGGUCUGGGAACAAGAUUAUCUGGUGCAGUUUCUUAAGGAGGGAGGGCCUCAUAUUAUCUAUCUUCUGUAGUUUCCCAUCGUUGAUCGUGGCAGUUGUCCGUACGAUGCAACCUAUUUGAUUGCCGUAGCACGAUCGCGCUUCCUCGGGCGCUAUUGUCUCAAAAAUACCGCCGUCCAUCUCCGUGACCGCCAGUCUACUACUCAUGAGCUGGUUUGGGCGCUGUGGCCUCUUUGCUUUCGGUUCUAGACCAGCUCCGCUAGUCUCGGCGCCUGUCUCAGUUUCAUCAUCGGUCCGCAUGUCGGUAUCAGUCCCCGAUGCGACACCACAGUUGCUGCAACAUGGGUAAGGGAGACCACGUCAGUGGUGGGGGGUCUGAAAAUCAGAACACACUUUCGCGCGUCGCGGGCCGCCUCUCAGACAGCUACUGGGGAGGCGGUGGAGUACCUGGGUGCGCGGCGAAUCCCCGGGAACUCGGUGACCAACUUCCUUCCCGUGUGGCGCAUGGAGACGACGGCGACCCCGGCGAAGAGCAGCUUAGCCGCGAGCUGCACAGCCUCGUCCACCUCCUAAGUUGGGACCUCCGCGCGAGCGUUGCGGGGCCGCCACUCGGAUGGCUUCUGGAAGGCGGUUGUACAUGGGCACAUGGUGAAUCCCGGCGAGAGCUGGCCAUUGGCGCGCGCAAGUAGACGACGAUGUCCUCGAAGAAGAGCAGCCCGGCCAGCUCGCCUCACUAUCCUUUGAUUAGAAAUGAAAGAUUGGGAAGAAGCAGACUUGAGCCUGCAGGGAAAGGAUAAGGUGACGAUGCAGUCUCCACUCGUUCGGGGCGACACUCGUACUGAAUGUAUGAGAAACGUGACGUGGCAGAGACCCCAAGAUACUCCCUCCAUUUAUUUUUAGUCUGCAUAUAAAGUUUGGUCAAAGUCAAGAUUUGUAAAUUUUAACUAACUUUAUAAUAAAAAAAUAUCAACAUUCACAAUAUGAAAUCAAUAUUACCAGAUGCGUCAUGAAAUGUAUUUCCAUACUAUAUAGUUUUGGUAUUGUAGAUGUUCAUAUUUUUUUAUAUAUAUGGGAAGUAGAGGCACUCUUCUAUAUAAUGAAGUUUAUAAUAUAUGUGCUUAUAUUGUACUAUAAUUGUUUGAAUAACUUAGCAUAUAUUCAGAUGUAUGAUAUCUGUAAUUUAAACGCUUGAAUUUUACAUAUGAAUAUUUAUUAAUAAAUAUGUACCCCUAUAAUAGCUAGGCCGUGCAGUUGCACGGGUAGAUGACUAGUGAUUACAAUCUUGCUUGUGUGCAAGUCAAGCUUAUCUAGUUUACACGUAACAACUUAUAGAACAUUACAAAAUUUAUGCUUGCUAAUAACUUCUAGAACACUACAACACUUGACAUGUAAAAGGAAUUUGAUGAGUCAUGGCCUACUAAAGCAAGUUACAUUACUAGUCUUAUCUAUCUUAACAGACCACACAAGAUUACAAACUAUGUACCGUGACAGCCAUGCUUAUCUAGUUUAUGCGUAACAAUUUGCAGAAAAUUACAAACUUAGUUUCAGAAAGAUAGGCAAUCUAGAUUAGUGUUUGAGCUGUAAAGUGAAUAAGAUGAGUCAUGCAUGUCAUCACACCUUUUUGGUGGUGGAAUGAUAGUGCAACAACAAGGAACUUUAAUGACCAGUCCAAGAAUACACUUGUAAGUAGUGCCACCAAACAGAACAUACCAAAUGAUGAUUUUGAGAAGCAUCCAAGCACUUUCCACACAAACAAAUGCCAAUUGUGAAAGAGAUCAUUCCAUGGCAGCUAUAAAUAGCCCCAUAGCAUGACGAUCAUCCUUCCUCAUCCAUCAUUCUCAUAAGUAGAGCACAUCAUUUAAGCCAAGCAAGUUGUGGUCAAUACAAAUCCACCAUGAAGACCUUUCUCAUCCUUGCCCUCCUUGCUAUCGUGGCGACCACCGCCACAACUGCAGUUAGAGUUCCAGUGCCACAAUUGCAGCCACAAAAUCCAUCUCAGCAACAGCCACAGGAGCAAGUUCCAGUGGUACAACAACAACAAUUUCUAGGGCAGCAACAACCAUUUCCACCACAACAACCAUAUCCACAGCCGCAACCAUUUCCAUCACAACAACCAUAUCUGCAGCUGCAACCAUUUCCGCAGCCGCAACUACCAUAUUCGCAGCCACAACCAUUUCAACCACAACAACCAUAUCCACAACCGCAACCACAGUAUUCGCAACCACAACAACCAAUUUCACAGCAGCAGCAGCAGCAGCAGCAGCAGCAACAACAACAACAACAACAACAACAACAACAACAACCACAACAAAUCCUUCAACAAAUUUUGCAACAACAACUGAUUCCAUGCAUGGAUGUUGUAUUGCAGCAACACAACAUAGCGCAAGGAAGAUCACAAGUUUUGCAACAAAGUACUUACCAGCUGUUGCAAGAAUUGUGUUGUCAGCACCUAUGGCAGAUCCCUGAGCAGUCGCAGUGCCAGGCCAUCCACAAUGUUGUUCAUGCUAUUAUUCUGCAUCAACAACAAAAACAACAACAACAACAACAACAACAACAACCAUCGAGUCAGGUCUCCUUCCAACAGCCUCAGCAACAAUAUCCAUUAGGCCAGGGCUCCUUCCGGCCAUCUCAGCAAAACCCACAGGCCCAGGGCUCUGUCCAGCCUCAACAACUGCCCCAGUUCGAGGAAAUAAGGAACCUAGCGCUACAGACACUACCUGCAAUUUGCAAUGUCUACAUCCCUCCAUAUUGCACCAUCGCGCCAUUUGGCAUCUUCGGUACUAACUGAGAAGAAAAUAACUCUAGUACUAGAUAUAUGAAACACCGUUUUCUCAGUCCAUGGUUUGGUCGUUGUAGCGGUGAAAAAAUAAUGUGGCAUGCACUAUCAUGUAAGAACCCAAACUAUACUAGUUCAAACUUGGGAAUAAAAGACAAACACAGGUCUUGUCUACAUAUUUAUGUCGCAUCUAUUUAUAUAUUAAAAGUAAUAUAAGGUGAACCAGGAGCAAGGUAAAUAUGCUAGAAAAUUGCACGUUAAUUAGAAAUUACUAGCCCUCAAUCCGGUAAAUCUUAACAAAUAGAAUUAUCUUGACCGUUAGAUUUAUGUAACAUAUAUAAUUCUCUGGGCCUCCAACGACUGUACGUGACACAUCUGAACGCACAUAUGUUAAAGAAAAUAUAUUUGGUAAAUGGUGGGCCUCUUUAAAAAGAGAACUCACGUACAUGCACCAACUAAGAAAAACACAUACAUGUAAACGGGAAAAGGGCUCCACCCCGUUGAAAAAAUAUACAUCUGGAGGCCACUUUGUUUCCUCAUAAAAAAAAACUUACGUUAAAAAGAUUGCAUGCAUCCCAGGGAAAAUAGUCAAGAAGAAGUCGGACUCUUCCUUACAAAAACAAGGAACGUGUUAAGUUGACUUCAAAGAAAAAAGGAACAUGUUAAGUUAAAAAAAACAAGAAACCUGUUAAGUUAGAAAAAAACAAGGAACGUGUUGUCCUAGGAAAGAUAUGUGUCAAAUCUUACAAAAAAAAGAAUACACACACGUACGUUCAUGCACUUGGAAAAUAGAAAAAAAAAGGAACAUCACGUAUGUAUACACUUCGGAAACUCAUUACAUGACCAUGUCUGAUAUACUCCUCUAAUGCUUAAUAUUAGUGCCUAAUAAUUUAUAUUUAAAAUUUAAUUUACUGAUCAAAUAUCCCCACUGUUUAAAUUUUAAUUUGGCACAUUGUUUGGCUAUAGUAUGAACCUAAAUUUCCUCUUAUUAUUAUAUAUCAUGAUAAUAAUCCAAAGGCGACUAAUCUGCGCCGGCGCACCGGCGCAAUCAAUUCGGCCCGACACAGCGCGGCCGUUUGAUUAAAUUGCAUUUAACCGUCAGAUCUAGAAUCAUUUUAUUUCCAAUUAAACGGAUUCAACCAAACAGCAGAGGGGAAAACAAAGCAGCACCGCCGCCAACACUAGUCAUGGACGACCGAUGUAGCAAAACCUUGAAGAACCGCCGCCGGUCGCCACCCUCGCCGCUGGUCGCCGCCCUCGCCGCCUGCGUUUCUCAUCGGCUUCAUGCAUGCAACAACAUGCACUCGUGAUUGCAGGCUUGCAGCUCCGGCUCCGGGGGACAUGGCCGCAUCUCCGGUAGCGCCGGCCGCCAGCCGCAGCACCUGUCGUUGUGGUCACGCUGUACCUCGCCGUGUGCCCUCCCAAGGCUCUUGCUGGUUCCAACAAAAAACGAUACCUAUUGUAGCAAAAAAGUUUAUCGCUUCCAGCAAAAAAGCUUACCGCUAUAGCCCGCCAUCAUCAUUGUAGCAAAAAUGUUAACUCGAUGUAGCUUCUGUGGUUGCCGACUGCGGCCAAAAAUGACGUGGUUGUAGCAAAACACAAAAGAAAAACGCCGGCCGUCCGCUGUGUAUGGUGGUAACAAACCCUAUAGCCGGUGGUAGCGAAAAACUUCACUGUUUGCAGCAAAAAAAUGUUGUCGCCCGUCGUCGAGGUUGCAUCAUCUUCAUGAAUUAUGUCGCAAAAAAACGUUGUCGCCGGUAGUAGCAAAUGAAGCCGCCGGUAGUAACAAAACAAGACACUGGUUCCAGCCAAAAAAAUCAGCGACAGAACCUUUUGUUGGUUCCAACAAAAAAACUUGUCGGUUGUAACAUCCCUCGCCGCCGGAUGUAGCAUCUCCCAGGGCUAGUUGCAACACUCCAUAAAAAAAGUUGUCUAUGAGCGCAUCCAUGGCAACUGCUGCACCGUCAGCAACGAGGGGAAGAGGAGGCAAUGAAAAUCGUUCGAGUCGUAGCUCCACUGGACACGGCUGCAGCAUGGGGAGUCCAAAAAUCUGUCACAAGCAAGAUGCGCCUCGCCAUCCUCCUGCGCAGGAGAGAGAAGAAAAAGGAAUAAGAGGAAGAAGAAACGAAACGGGAGAAAGAAAAAAAGAAACGAUUGGUUGUGGGCUCAGGCAAUUAGUCAAAUGAGGGGCACGCGGGGCCGUAGGAUACAGCGCAAUCGAACGAAGUGCGCGCGUCCGGCCGAAGACUCAGCUGGACUGCCGGUCCAGCUGGAAAUGUUUCCCUAAUACAAAGGCUUUUCUGAAUGACAAGUCGUCUGAGUUAUCGGCUAACUAGAAAAAAGAUAAAUAUGCUAGAUAAUUCCAUAAUAAUUAGAAAUAUCUAGCCUUUAAUUAUGUAAAUCAGAAAAUCACAACCGUUGGAUUUACUUUAAAGGUAAAUUUCUCUAAAUUCCCACCAUUGCCAGUAUGUAGAAACAUGUGCUGCUUCAAUUCUCCCUUAAUCACCAAUCAAUCAACAACUGAAAACAUACCUCAGUUAAAAAAACUGAACAAAAAAAAGAAAAAAAGAAGAAAGGACAAGAUACACGCAUGUACACGACAGCCUUGGCUUGAAACACAUCAGUAGAUCAAGUGUCCGCCUCCCUUACACAGAAUAAAUUCUAGGGAAGAAAAUAAUAGUGCAACCUAACCUUAUACGUACUAUUCUAUCCUCACGUCCCAUGAGGUUUACUAGCCUACUGCCGCCGCAUCAUGCCAUCCUCUCCUUUCAGCUCCCUCCUUGCGGCGCCACUACUCGCCUAGGGAUAUUGCUGCUCAGACCGUGGAGCUUAACCUGCUUCUUCUUCAGCAAAUAUGGAACUGCUUUAGGAUCCUUCUGACAUCAGCGCGUAUGGGCCUCAUUAUACUGCAGCUCCUGGACCUCCUACAAUUGGUUGGCUAUGGCCAGUUGAUCGAUGUGCUGAAGUCCAGGUCUGUUUGCUGGCACAUAUGCUUUGGAAAUAGGCCACUAUGUUUGUACUUCGAAAUUGUUUCUGUAUUCUUCAGUGGUACAUCCUUUUAAGCGCCAGUUUUUUAUGUUAAUUCAUGCUGACAACACUUAACCUAGCCUUUCAUGUUCACGUACUAAAUACAGGAGCAAGUAAAAACAACAGACCACCUAAUUGCUCUGCAAGUUCUACAUAGGAAAAUUUGUCAUGUUCUACGAUCGCACCAUCCCACCCUUCUCUCUUGGUAUGGGCGCCAAUUGAGGGAUUGAUAAAACUGAAACGAAGACGUCACAGGGCUGGAAGUACCGCUAGCCUGGUUCGCACUGCAACCUACCCAACGCCAUCAGAAACUAGCAACUGAGUCAGGUGUUGAUCGAUUCUCUCAAAUUGCUCUCAUGUAAGUACUACCCCUUGCAUGUGCGUACAUACCUUUGUUGCAUUCUCAAACAGAUAGAACAUGUAUGAUCGGUGCAUGGCUAUUUUUCAUCACAUGACAUCCAGAUAACAAGCAUGAAAGGACUACAUUGGAGAUCAAAAAAUAUUGGUUCCUGGCUAGAGUACCACUACCUAUGGACUUGUCUCCAUAGAAUUUGUUCCCAAGAUGUUAUUUUAAUUAACCUCUUUAGCUUUCUUCCGUUGCAAACGGUGAUGUGCAUCAUGGUAUAUACGUGACCAUCUUGCACAUGUAUACACAAGAGGCUCAGACGGAGGUGCUGGAUUCUGGACGAGGGAAUAUGAAGCAGGAGUGAGCGAAGAGUAAAUAAUGGUGGGAGUACCGAUUGGUGUUAUGAAGAAAAAUGCCAUCCAAAGAUUGAUUAGUGUCAUGGAAGAUUAAUUUCUGAAUGCGAAUAUAUAUGUUACAUUGGUUUGGAUCUUUUUGAGAUAAUUGCACCUAAAUUAGGUUCUUUCUUAUUUCAUAUGUAUACCUUAUUUCAGUAAAAGUUCACAACGAACUUAGUAGGACAAAUAUAAUUUUGUUUGUUCUUUCUGUUGUCCGCCACCAAAGCUCAGUUUGAACUCUCUAGAAAUGGACAAUGAUUUAUGCAUUCUAUAUCUUCUUGAUUGAUUAGCCAUGACAAGGAAAUAAAAGGAUUGACUGAUAUAGCAUAACUUUGGAACGAUCUGUUCGUAGAGGUUACUACAAAUUAGAGUAGUGUCUGUUGGAAUUUUGCUAGUAGGCCUUUGGCCCAAAGCCCAACUAAAAUUCUGAAAUUCUCUUCGCUCAUUCAUGCACACAUGUGAGUGGAGUGAGUGAGACUAAAGUUUAGAGAGAGUUGCACCUCUUUAUAAGGUGAGCUCUUCUACCACUUGUAUGAGCAUGAGAAGAGGAGACCUAUACACGCGCUCCUCCUCCUCGCUCACCACGUCUCGUCACGCCGCGCCGCGCCGCGGAUUGCGGGAUUGAGCCGAGCCGAGGACGUUGUCUAUAUUUUUGCUGUUUGGGAAAAAUUAAUAAGUCAUUAAUUAAUAAUUAAUGGAUGCGUUAAUUACUGAACCAUUUUCGAUUCUUUUGGAUCGUGACGACUCGGACGUGGGGUUUACUCCCACGAUCUACCCGGCCCACACUAUAUAGUCAGGCAGACGUCUACCCUAGCCGCCGCCACUUCGUAUGGUUUCUCACCACCGUUACAGAUCGUUGCGCCGCCAAGCAAGUUUUCUCCAUUCCUCCUGUCGGCAUGCACUGGGAGAAGGGACAGCAGGCCUCCGGAACCCCGCCUCUCGUGAUCCUGUACGGGAGAGGGGCGAUCAGAUUUUUGGGGAGCGCACUCGCACGACUGCUGGCAGCGACGACUUCGCAAACGACGACUUCUUCCCCGACCUCGGCAACCUCAUCCUCGACUUCUGCACCGUAUGUUAUUCUAUCCUUCUUGUUCGAGAUCGUGGUAGAAUUCAGAUUUCUAGCAUGUUCCCUAGAUGUGAUUUGUUCAUCUACUAUUCUAAUUCGCAUGAUUAGUUUAAUCUUUGCUAUUGCUGUCAUGAUCUAUUUCCUAUUUAUUCGGAUUAAAUCUCGUAGUAAUUUGCUCAUUUUUCCAACAGUGCCAUCUAAUAGAUGAUGUAAAUCUCCUCAAGUUUGACGUUGUUGAGCUAAUUUACAAAAAAAACCUCAUCAUUAUUGGAUGUCCUUAACAGCUCAAGAACAAGUUGGGGUCGAAAUAAUGGAUUUUACACUUUUACAUUAAAGGUUUAGCUAAAGCAAGCAGGUGUUUUUAAACCUGAAUUUUUUUCCUCCUGAAUUUCUUUGUAUUUUCUUAUUGACACUAUUUAUACAAUCAUCUGACAAAGAUUAGCUAAAGCUGUUUGUAGAUACGUUCAAACCUGAAAAGCUUCUUUGGUUAUCCUUUUAAUAGUUCUACGUUUAUUUUCUCAUAGGUCUUAAUUCUUAUGUAAUACCAAGAUGCAUUGUGGUAGUGUACAUGUGUUAAAUUCAGGUUGUUAUUCACAAUUUGCGACAAAAUUUAGCUCACGCUACAUUUAAAUAUGUUGAAAUGUGAAAGCUCUUUUUCUUCUCCUUUCUACACCUUGCAUCGGAUUGCAUCCCUUUAGUUAUCCAACAUUUUGUACAACAUGUAGAGAUUAGGAAGUUCAUCAUAGUUUGUCUAUUUCCGUGCUAAUAAAUGUAUGAAAUCUGCAUUUCCAAGCUACUAGGACAAGUAAAAAAUAAUAAUUUUACUAUAGGAUUCAAAAACAGCAGUUCUGAAGUGCACUUUAUUUAUUUGUGAAAGUGAUCACAUUUUGUUUCAUUUUUCUAUAGACAAAUCUACUAAUACAUACUCACGAUAAAACUAUAAAAGUUCUAGUCCGCACAUUGGGCGGGCCACCCGGCUAGUUAGUCUAAAGAUAACAAAAUGAGUCUGGAAUUUGAAUUAAAUUGAAGUAUUUUCUUGGACUAUCCACAUCCUUGGCUUGCCCCUGAUCAAUUAUUUCCAGAGAAGCAUUCAAUUCAUCAAUCAAUUACAUUGAUUUUAGUGGCUGGUACUUCUCCUCGACAUCAGUAUAUUCACCGUGGCCACUCCAAAUCGGCAAGAAUGAGGUACCAGUGCUCUGGAGCAGUGCAAGCUAAUUGCUUCUCAUGUGAAGGGGUGCGGGCGCGGGAGAGGUAUUUCUGGUGGGCCAAGGGAUAAGAAGCGACCGUGGCAGCGGUACAGACGCCCGCAAAGCCCCAUAAUUUGUUUUUGGUUUACAGGAAAAAUGCACAUCCAUACCGGCCUGGGGAAUAUAGCACUGUAUUGCAUGGAAAACCAUGUCCGGAUGGUUGUGAGCGGUUUGAGGGUUAGCUUUUGUAACGCCCGGUUAGUUAUGCUAUAGCAAUUCCCUGCUAAUGAUGUCACGUCACCACGAUUACUGUUGUUAACCUCACAAUGAUUCAAUCCCGUUCAAAUUCAAAUUUGAAAUAAAGGUAAACAUCAAAAGUUUUCAAACAUUAAAACUAAAAUCUUUGAGAGGUGACAAAUAAUGCAUAAGUAAUUAUGGUGAAGAAACCACACUUUAAUCAAAUGUUUAAAUACUCUAAAAUGAAAAAAAAACAGUGACUUAAACUAUUAUUUAAAUGCUUUUAAAAUAGUAAAAAUCUUCUAACUAAAUUAUUUGGGUACCAAACUUUUGGUGGCAGUGGUAUAUUUAGUAGAACUAAUUUAGAUGCUAAUUAUAUAAUUUACAAAAUUAGAGUAAAUUGAAAAAUAGGAUAAAACGGAAAAAGGAAAGACAAAACAAAUAAAAGCAAAAGGGGGCAACCCCUCGCUGGGCCUCGGCCUAGCUGGCCACUAGACUAGCUAGGCUGGCCCCGCCGCCUCCCUUAACCCCCCACUCCCCAUCGAACCCAAGCCCGAUCGCCCCAUUUCCCACACACCCCCUCGCUAGUCUCCCCACCUCUUGAUCCCAUCUGGAUCGGGGAGGGUAUUGCCCCCAUCAACCCCGUUGCCGUCGCCGGAUCGCCCGCCGACGUCGGCAGGCCUCCUCCCCGUCGCCCGUCUCCGGCUCACCUCCCCUCUCGCUCCUCUUCCCCGACCCGAUCUGGAUCGUGAACGAGCAAUGAGCUCGAAGCCCCCCUUCACCAGCGCCAUCACCGUGCGCCACCACCACCACCUGAAGACCUCACCGUCGCUGAACCUUGCGUCGCCUCCUUGUAUCCCUCCCCUACUCGCAUCCUCAAGCCAGGCCGAGCCCCUUCUCGGCAACGCUGUGAGACGCCCCCGUUUCCCUCCUCUUUCCACCGCGUUCACCGCGCCGCCCGCCGUGCCCCUCGCCGUGCAUGAGCCCACCACCGCACCAGCCCCCGCUCCGCGCACGACCCUACCCGCGCCCGCGCCAUGAUCCCCUUUUCCGCCCUACCUUCACGCGCUCGCCGCGAUCCCCAUGCUCCCCCGCGCCCUCUUUCGGGGGCGCCGACUGCCCCUGUCCCGGUGCUCGCCGCCGUGCCUCGCCACCGCUCUACUGCUACGUUACUACUGCGCUGCGGCCGCCGCCUCUUCCCGCUGCUCCGCUAGCGCCGAAGCUCCCGGUUGGCUCCACCACUGCUCACGUUAAACCGCCGGCCUAAAUGGCCUAACCCUCGGCUAAUGAACCCCCACUAACCCACUGACACCGGGACCCACAUUCCCUAAUUAACCAUUUAAUAAAUUAACAUUAGUGUAUGACAUGUGCGUCCCCUGUUAAUUAAUAAUUUUACUGCUAGUUUUAUUAGUUUCUGUUUUUCUGCAUAUUUCUUUUGUAUUUGAACAGGCUUUAUACAAUAAUAUUUAGCGUAUCAUACACAUACAAAUGUAAUCAUAGCAUAUACAUACAAAUAGUCUCAUCAAAUCAUGUCAUCAUCAUAAUCAUCAUCCAUCACAAAGUGGUCUCUGGUCAUCAUCUCGAAAAUAGCGAUACAAGUCUCGAUUACUUGCAACUACAUCGUCAUCCAUCUAAACAAUGAUAUACACGAGAAGAGCUCUCACUAUGAGUGAGAGCGGAACUAUGCAGUACAUGAGUUUGUAUCCCUCUCUCGCAUUAGCGUGAACCUAAACUAACGACUGGCUGUUGCUCGGAAACCGGAAACCGGUACACCUGGGCCUGACACUCCGGCCACUCAUCGUAUACUCCUGGCGUAGCACUUCUUCGCCAUCGAUGAUCUAUGCACCUGCAUCGUCACAUGAGUCGAUGAUAUGCAACAUAUAUAGUUGAGCAACAGAAAGAGACAGACUUGGCAAAAAUAGAAGCAACAUAUCACAAGUAUAAAUAACAAAGUUAAUGUUUUGCAGGAUUACAACUCAACCCAUUGCAGAUUAGAAAACAAGCCCGUAUGAAUGCACAGGCUGACGACUAGUCUAUCUAUACCUAUACCUAUACCUAUACCUAUACCUACCUAUACUAAUUACAGACUCCCAAGGAAUUCCCACGUUAAUUAGUAAUUAGGAGUCGUUAAUCUUGUGGGACCAAAUUAUUACGACAGUCCACGAUCUCUUUUCUCUCUGUGUAAAAAAAGGUCCACGAUCUCUUUUCUCGGUUGUAAAAGAUAAAGGCAACUCAGGUCCACGAUCUCUUUUCACGGUUGUGAAAGAUAAAGACAACUCCCGUCUUCUUCUAAUCUAUAGUUCUAUACCUCCACGACCCCUUUCUCUCCCCAUUUAAAAGGAACAAGCUGAACCAAUAUCUAAGCAUGCAAUUGGUUCCUGUGCGGUCUUGACCUUCCAUCCGUCCACUGCUCGAUCGGCCCUCCCUCAACUACAAGCUGACAAGCCACCAUCGCCAUCCAGCGGCACGCCACCGUUCAUGCAUGUGUUUUUGCCCUUCAAUCUGAAGGAGAUGCGUUGGCUACUCAAGUAACUCUGUUUGUUUUGUUCAAACCAAUUUCGUUAAUUCGGUUCUUUGAUUAUCUAAUUGACAUGGCCUGUGAGUUUUGUGCUAGUGAUACAGGGCCUGUCUACUAGAUUCUCUCCUUGCAACUUCUAUUGUUGUCUCGAUUUGGUGUGGUCAAGAUCCUUGCCCCACCACAAGCAGCACCUUUGCACCAUCGGGGAAAUCUGUCAUAGCAAACAGAGGUAUGUAACAUGCUUUGGUGUUUUCCUCUUUCGUUUAGAUCACUAGAGUUGCUCAACCACACCAUUCAUUGAUUAGUAGUUGGCCUGAGAAGUUGCUCGGUCACCUGCAGCGUCUGAUCCCCUUCUUGACCCUCUCCUUCUGGUCAUUAUCCACCGGCAGGUCAAUGCAAAACGGAUCGUUCGUUGCCGCCACCUUGCGGAGACCGAUGUUUGGCUGCCCUCCUGCCAUCCUGGCACUCUGGUACCGGUCACUGUGCCGUUGUUCUAGAAGAACUAUGUCACACGAAGCGAGAUAUCUUCUUACUAAUCUGGAACAUAAGUGUUUCUUCUUACUAGGAUUCGCUCACCGGUGCAUUCAUCUCUUUUUGGAAAAUACGGCCUUCAUAUUUCACACGCCUAUACAUGGGUGCUGUCCCAACAAUAAUCCAUCUAAUCCAUGAUGCACAUUCAUGAAGACUGAUGUGACUGAAUUAAUAUAUCAAUCUGGUGCUUCCGGAUCAGCACUUGAAGAAGCAACCCCUUUAGUUCAUAAAUUUAUCAUACGAAAGUCAGGGGAAAAAUCAACUAAGUCAUGUGUGCUUUUCUAAUUAAUUACUAUACACUAAUUCCAUUUUUUUCAGUAGCAGGCUAGGAUACGUGGAUUGUGGCAGCACAGAAGUAAACCGAUGAGCUACAUUGGCCGUUCACCAGUCAUCGGAUCAGAAGCCAUGUCGACCAGAGGGACGGAACAGUUCUAUAUUAGGCGAUGGAUACAUGUGGAAGCAACUAAGCAUAUGUGGAUGCAUGUGAUCGCAUAGGUAAGGCCAUAGCUGUUCAAGCCCUACAGGAUCUUUAUUGCUGGUUUUAAUUAUGAGUUUACAACACCAUCUAUACAUACUACUUAUCCAUUUAUUUCCUUACCUUCUUUGUUUCUUUCUCUCCUUGAUCCCCUGUCAAAAGGGCAUCAACAUCCAUAUGCGCAACGGCACACGCAACAAACUAUGACUUCGGUUGCACGUCCAAUGGCAACCACAGUACAUGAUGAUAUCAUGUUUGCUGCAAGACGAAGUACAAGUUCAUAAUUUGGUCUUUUGCAUGGUCCCUUAGUAAAUUAUAUUUGUCCACAUACACCACAUACAUAAAAACAGGUAGAAGCGGUUGCAUGAUGAAAAUGUCCUCUCAAUAUGCAUGCCUAUGAAUACUAUCACCAGAAAGCCAAGGACUAACAAUUAUUCAGGGGUCAAGAUUGAAGACAGACGUCCAAGAUUGGCAGUCGGCCGGCCUAAGAGGGGCAAAACCGUUGUACAUUAUAUUGUAUGGACCUAGCAAGAUCCUAAAGAUAAGUGAUAAUGGAGAUCAUGGGGGCCACCCUUAUAACCAUAUGUCCAAAUGUUCUUAUUUGUUUAUUUUUCUUUUCUCUUUUCGGAAGAAUCCAUCCUGCCUCUAUGGUCAUCCUGACCACUUCGUAUUGUUAUCUAAUCUCCUCCCUUAAUUAAUAUAAAGAAUUACCGCAGCUGAAUUCACUAAAAAAAGUAUUCAGUUUAUUUUAAUUUAUUCAACUAUUAUGGCAUAUCAAUUGGAUUGCAAGUUCUUGGCGGUUGCAUUUGAAUCAUAUUUGAUGUGCACAAAGGCUUCAGUGUCAAGGUGGUCGGACGAGUAUUUAUGUCCAUUAUAUAUGUGUUAGCUUGAGAUCAUCAGGCACCUGUUAUGCAUCUGUCCAGUUAAAAGGAUGUUCAGACUCAGGCUUGCCCUACCAUAUAUGGCUGUGACACUCUGAACCAAGCAAGUUGGUCAUAUGUGUCGAGCACUAUUAACUCUUUGGAAGAGGAUCCACCAAGUACAGGAAACAAAUCAAAUAUCUUCUUAACCUUAUCACCAGAAAAAUUAGCAAGAGAUGAAUAGUAACAUUUUAAAGAAGAAAGAUAUGUUUGAAAAGGGAUAUAUAUUAUGGCGACGAUUAGAAGAGCCCUUGACGAAUGGUGCCUAGCCUGCGAAAGUUUCUUAUGAAUAUAGUCAACACUCUAUAUCAACUGUUGUAAGAUUUUAGAAAUAUUUUUGGGGACAUAUGAUACAUGUCUAUUAUACAUAUGAUUCAACAGAAGUUUGAUUGAAUACAUAUUUAAAACGUGACUGACUUCUAUAUGGACGGAGUAUUUCACAAAGGACUCACUGCCAACUGUGUGAAUAUUCCAAGAUAGUUAGUGCACAUAAAUGUUCAAAUCCAUAGCCUGCAUAAAUAUACAAAAGCAAUGUGUUAGACCACUACACAUGCUUCUGAAAGGAGGCAAAAAAAUGUAUGCUUGAUUGAUGACCGUUCAUGCAUGAAAUUAAUUUCUGAUUUCUAAUUAUUUUGGUCAUAUAAUGGAAAUAGAGACAUUAUAAAGAUCCAACAGCAUGCUAUCACACACGUGUGAACACAGACACACACAAAUAACAUUUGCCGAGCACUCACAAAUAAAAGGUGUGGCUACUCUUGGGUGUUCUACAGCUGGCUUAAAAAAACACGUAUGAAACAUGAUCCCCAAAAAUCUGAAAUUCGCAACAUAUGAAAAUCCACCCUCAAACAUAUUUCUGGUGUCUCAAUUCUUUUAGUUUCAGAUGGUAUGUCCAGCCAAAGUAGUUGUACACAUACAUUACUAUGUUCUAUUAUUUGAGAUUCUAAGACAACAUUUAGUAACUAGCCCGUGCGAUGCACGGGUUCACGACUAGUAUAUAUAAAGCUUAAUGGUGCCUAAGAAAGCUCGCACAAUUUUACAGUGGCUGUGGAGAUGUGUUGCCAAACUGAGACAUAAGAUUUUCGUUUGGCAUCCAGAGUUGCAGACCGCUUGUGUUAUCCUUAAUCCAUGGCCACUCUAAUUUUUCCGGCUGGGCCUUCCCUGUGGUACGGCAGCAAGGCUUGCGUGUGUAUAUGUUUCCUUUAACUACCACUAGCACAUAUGCCCGUGCGUGCGUUGCAAGGGGAGAGAUAAUGGCGUAUCCACCAAUAUAUCUAGCAGCAUGACCCAACAACAUCCGAAUGAUGUCACCCGACGACGGCAGGAAGGCACACACAGAGGUCUAGUAAAAACUCAACAAUUGUACGGGCAUGGUUAAUUCGCGUGAAUUCAAGGGUGUGAGAUUAGUUAGUGUUGGUCCCACAAUUGAAUUCGGGGGCUGAUUAGUUAGUGUGGGCCCACCCUUGAAUUCACCGGGGGAGACAAAAUAAUUAGGGUGAGGAGAGAUUUACGGGGCUUGGUCCCCAGAUGCGUUGCGGCAGUCAUUAUUCGAGCAUUGCAAUGCUCGCACGUGAGGAGCUCUUUUUCCAAUUGUAUAUUGAGAAGCAUUGCUACAGAUACAAUGUUUUUGAUACGUUUUUGUACGAUGAUCCUGAUCUUAAAGGGCCUUCUAAUUUUUAAAUCUUAAAGGCAUUAUUUGUAAGUUGUCGUGAAAAAAAUCUCGCUAAAAGGGUUAUGUUAGACCAUCUUCAGUACAUUAGAAAUAACGAAUUAUAAUUCCUUGGCAUUUGAACAAACAAUCCCUACUUAUUUACACAUACAAUACUUUUGGUAUGAUUUUGAAAUCUUGAAGGCAUUAUUUGUAAGUUGAAGCAAUUUUGAAAUCUCACUAAAAGGUCUGUUAGACCAUCUAUAGCUUUAGAAAUAACUAAUUAUAAUUUUGCAAAAAAAAGAAAUAACUAAUUAUAAUUCCUUAAGCAUCUGACCGAAACGACCCCGAUUUAUUGUCUGGGUAGUAAUUCCUUUGCAACAUUAUUCUCUCCUUUCUUGAAGGAACUCUUGCCUGGGUAGUAAUUCCUUUGCCCACGUAUUUGCAAGGUUAUUCUCUCCUUCAUUUUUACAGGAGCUCUCCUUCCUUAUACUAAUUGGUCAUUAUCCUCUCCUUCCUUUUUCUUUUUGCCAAACUCUCUUUCCAUAUUUAUGCCGCUAACCACGCCACUCUUUUUCCUUAUUUAUGCCCUUUGAUCACGCCACACAUCUCAUGAAAUCUAAGCCAUAUAUAUCACCCAUCUUUUUUCCUUAUUCCGGUGCUUUCCUCACAAACAGUAGUUCUCUAGGAUGCUUAACGAUUUUGAAACAGAAACAUAUAUAAAUCGGUAGAACGGGUUGUAAAGCAGCGAGGUGGUACUAAUUUAUAAAGAAACAAACCUUUUCUUUUUGUGUAAUGAUGCCUUGGUUCGGCUGGUUGCGUUGGGAAAAGGACCGGCGAAGUGGGCGAACCAAAAACGGAUAAAAUUACGGUGGUAAGAAGCGAUAGCCCUUUUAUUAGUAGGUAUGAGGAUGUCUAGGAUGUCUAGGAUGAGGAUUUACUGCACACAAGUGCGGGGGCACUCAGGUCCUGAUGCCGCCUUUUUAUUUUGGCUUCCGAUUUUCAAACUUCUAUAUCUUUUAAACAAAAAAUUCAAUUUAAGUUACGUUUUCAUAUUCGUGCUUCUCGCGGCCAGCGCUUUCAAAUAAGAUCCAUUUUGCAUACAUUUUGGUGGCUUUUGGAAACGGGCGAAUAGCUCCUAUGCGACGUUGUUGGUGUGUAUUGUCUCUCAUGCGACGUUGUUGGCUGUAAUAGCUCUCAUGCGACAUCUGCGUUGGAAAAAAUAGCUCCCAUGCGACACACCAUUUACGCGGCUAGUUGGCUGUUAGUUAGGCUGAGGUUUGGUUAGGACACUGGGGGUUAUGUGCUCUGACUGGUGGGGUCCACCUAUGGUCACGUAGACAAGAGUCAACCGUCCACGACUCGACCUGGGACUGUGUGACCGUGCUCGACUCACCCGUGCUGGACUGAGUGAGCGGUGCCGCCGUAAGCAUCUUCUCCGACAGCGGUUUCUUCUCCGCGGUGGUGGAGCGCAUUUCUCGGCAGCGGCAGAGCUAUUGCGAGGUGAGCCCGAAACCCUAGUCCCACUCCCCAGAAUUUUGGGGGAUCUGUGGCCUCAUGCUGCCCUCUGUUUCUUGGCGAUUUAGAAUCGGGCUCCAUUGGAUCCGGGGGUUGUUUCUUCUCCGUGGCCCGGUGGUGGAGCGCCUAUCUCUGUAGCGGCUAUUGCGAGUGAGUAUUUUCCAAACACUACUCGCAUUCCACUAAAUUUUGGAUAAAUCUGUGGCCUCAUGCUGCCCCUAUUUCUUGGCGUUUUAGAAUCUCGAUUGGAUAGGAGAUGGAGCGAGGGCUGGAUGAGAUGGAGCGAGGAGACAGUGCUUCAAAUCGGUAAUGCCACACUCUUUUCUUGGCGAUUUAGAAUCGAACUCGAUUUGGUAGUGACUGCCGCCGCUGCCUGCCAUUGACAAAACAGGGGAGGUUCAAGUUCUGCCACCACAUUCACAAUUAUAGUGGAAUUUUUUCCCUGUAAAGCCAAGCUCAGUGAUGGCAGUGUCCAAGACAUUGAUAGAGAUACCACCGUGAGGUUCGAUGUCGAAUUUGCAGAUGUUGAUCCCCAGGAAUUGGAGAGCAUGAAGGAGAAGGCCGUGGGCAAUUUGGUGGAGAGAAUUGGGGAGAAUAUUGUUUGGGGUCCAGAACAAGAGGUAUGUCUGCAACGUUUCGAUAACUAUAAUGGUGAAUAUGUGAGAAUUGAAGAUGGAGAAUCCAUGGUUGCUGAAAUUGAUCAGCAAGAAGGGUGGGCAACUAAACAAGUAACAUUUUAUGCAGAGCUAAUUGAUCUACAAACUCAUUCCAGAGUUGGUUAUGUGCAAUCAAAGAGGGCUGCACAGAUGGAAGAUGAUGAGUGGGUUUCACAAAAGAAGAUGUUGGCAUUGUUGACUGAACCGACUGUAGUAGCUGAAGAUACAGGGAUUGAUGCAGAUGGAGAGGAGGGAACCCAUGGUGCUAGGAAGAUUGUUGUUGACUGGAAUGUAGUAGAGUUGAAUGAAAAAACAGAUUUGGUCAUUACACCAAUAUCUGACAUUGAUAUGGCCGAAAUGUUUGGCAUUCAAGUUGAUGACAAAGAUAAGGAGAAGGAUGACAGUUCUUUGCCUGCUGAAGGAACAUAGGCCCUAGAAAUGCAAAUGAGGAUGAAGAACAGCUGAUGAGAGAGGCUGCAGAUGAUGUGGAUGAUGCAGAUGAUAAUGAGUUGGUUUGUUUGUAUGACAAAGAGAACCCAGUUAUUGAGGUGGGAAAGUUGUGGCCAAGCAUGAAGGAGUUUAGGAUGUCUUUCAGGACCUAUGCAGUGAAAAAGAGUUUGAUGCCAAGACUAUGUGGACUGAUUGAAAGAAAUUUUAUGCUCGGUGCAAAGGUUAUGAUGGUGGUGGCAAUCCUUGCAAAUGGUACUUGUCUGCCAGACUACAACCUGAUUGAAGUACAGUAAGGGUAAAUCAAAUACCACACCAGCAUACAUGUAUGACCACUUCACAGAGAGUUUCAAAGAUGACAUCACAGCUUUGGGUUACAGAGAAGAUUACUCCUAUUUUAGCCAAGACUCCAAACACUACUGCAAAGAGGCUUAAAGUUGACUUGGAGAAGCUGUACCCCAUCCAGCUGCAAUAUACCACAGUGUGGAAAGCAAAACAAAGGGCCAUGAAAUCAUUGUAUGGUGACUGGGCAAAUACAUUUAGGAUGUUGUAUAGUUUUAAAGCAGAGGUGGAGAAGAGGUCACCUGGGAGUGUGGUGGAGAUAGAUACAGAGGUAACAGAGGAUGUCAUGGUUUUAUUCAGCAAGUUUUUUAUGUGUUUGAAGCCAUGCAUAGAUGGAUUCAAAGCAGGUUGUCGUCCAUAUUUGAGCAUAGACUCAUCUUUUUUGACUGGAAAGUGGAAUGGUCAGUUGGCUGCAUGCAAUGCUCUAGAUGGACGCAACUGGAUGUUCCCAAUUGCAAUAGGAAUGUUUCAAUCAGAGACAGAGGCAUCAUGGAUAUGGUUCAUGAUGCAACUGAAAAGAUGUAUAGGGCCAGUUUCUCCUUUAGCCAUCCACACAGAUGCAUGUAAAGGGUUCGAAAAUGCAGUAAAAAAUGUUGUCCCCCAUGCUGAGCAGAGGGAGUGCUUUGGACAUAUGUGGAUGAAUCUGAUAAAAAAAUUAGAGGAGAUGAAUUUGGGCGCAUGUGGCCAGCAGCAAGAUCCUACACCAGACAGACACAUUCCUAUCACCUUGGUAAGAUAUUGGCAUCAUGUAGUGAUAAUGAAUUUGCUUCAUGGUUGAACACCCGCCAUUCUCUGUUGUGGUAUAGAUCAGGUUUUAAUACUGCCAUAAAAUGUGAUAAUAUCAAUAACAACUUGGCAGAAAGUUUUAACAACAAAGUGAAGGAUUUGAAAGACUUGCCUGUGCAUGACAUGGUGGACCAAAUAAGGAUCAUGAUCAUGCGUUUGUGGGAGUUGAGAGGAAAAAUUGCUAAUAUUUUGGAAGGGGACAAGCUUCCAGCAGUGGUACAAUAGGUGGUCAACAGGAGUAGAAAUCUUUCACAUCUAUCUGUUGAGAAAUCUUCCUUGUGGGGUGCUGAAGUUAGAGAUACAAAGAGUGGCAAGAGGCAUGUGGUAAAUACUGAGUUGCAUGAGUGUACUUGCCGAGAGUGGCAACACACUGGAAAACCAUGUGAGCAUGCCAUACUUUUUUUGGCAUCUAAACCCAGGUUAAAUAUGCACCCAUAUUUGCAUGAGUAUUAUUCAGUACAAAAAUUCAAAGCUGCAUAUGCAAGUCCAAUUCCUGCACUGACUGACCAAUCUCAGUGGCCUGAGGUGGAAAUAGAAUUUACCUUGUGUCCCCUGUCACUAGAAGAAAGGCUGGGAGGCCUAAACAGAGCAGAUUCAAAGCUUGGUUUGAGAAAGGUGGUUGUAGUAAGAAGGGGAAAAAAGAAAAGAAAAAGAAUGAUAAGCCCAAAAGGGCUCAAAAAGGUAAGAAAAAUAGGUGCAAGUUGUGUGAGGUACUUGGGCACAGAAUUGGUUCAUCCAAGUGCAUCUAUACUCCUCAGAGGACAAAGUAUGUUCAUGUUACUGUUUUUACAAGUUUUUGAUUUUGUUACUUGUUCUAGUAUCUAACCAAGUCAAAUGCUUUAUUUUUUAGGAGGAAGCGUGCAGAAAAAGCCCCACCUCUUGUUGUUGAACAAUGCUGGCCAGUGAAAAAAGCAAGACUCAAUGGCUAUAUAGAAGGAAGAGCACUAAGCAGAUAAUGUUUGGUGACAAAGAUAUGGAGCUAACUGAAACUGUUACUGCUGAACAUGAGCUAAGUGUUUCUGUUUUGGACGAUGUGAUGCAUACUGAAUCUGUUUUGCAGACGCUAGGGCAAUCUGAAACUGUUGCAGAUGAAGCAACGGUUGUGCUGCCAUGCGAAUCUGCUUUGACAACUGUGUUGCCAUGUUUGGAGGUUGUGCUGCCAAGUGUUGAGUUGCAAACUGAAGUAGUUGAACAAUUUGUGCCAUCUACUCAAUCUGCAGAAGUGCAAACUGAAGAAGUGCAAACUGAAGAAGUGGGACAUGGUCAGGUGAAAAAGUUGAGGGGGCCUAGUGGAGUUUGCAAGGGGCCAAAAAGCAAGAGCAUCAACAUCAACAAACUAUGCGCCGUGGAACCAAACGAUGGAAAAAAGCAGAAGAAAUCGAGUGGUAGAAAGAAGCAAAAGAAAUAGAGUCGAAAUCAUUCAAAUUUGAUGUGAAAACUUAAGUUUGUUGUCAUUUGAUGUGAAAACUUAUGUUCUUUCAUGUGAAAACUUAUGUGCUAUGAUGUUGAUUUGACUUGAAAUAAAAUUCAAAUUUGAACCGACAUUCAAAUUUGAACCUAUCUCCAAAUUUUUUUGAGUUCAUUUGUUUGUUCUGUGAUGUUGCAUCGUUUUAUGUACUACUAUGCACUUUGUGAAGUCCAACUCAUAGUCACUGAAAAUGCUGUACAAACAGGCUCCAAAGUAAGGGAAAACGGCCCCAUUUCUAAGCAAGUUUUUUUCGAUCUUCUCAAAAUCACCCAAAAAAGAUUUUCUUAGCUUAUAUUAUACCUAUAUAGGAUCAAUACAAAGUCUCACCUUUUUUGAAUAAGUAUUCAUAUUAUUUAAUUUAUUUUUGAAAAAACACCCUUUAAUACAAAGUCAGCAAUAAAACAAGUUUAAAAAUUUUAAAUGCAAAAAUAACUUCAGAUCCUCCUUAGUCACUCUAAAAUGAAGCUAAGGUGAUGUUUUUUGAUUUUUUUGCAUUUUCAAAACCUCAAACCCUCUUCUCACUCCUUUGAACUCUAUGCAACCUCAGUCGAGAUAGUCCAAUUUGUGAAGGUUUUUUCAUGCAAAGAUCAUUAGAUCAAGUUUAUCAUUUUAUAUCAUAACUAUGUAACAUAAAAAGGCUAUAUGCGCAGGUUUUUCAUUUUUUAGAUUUUUUUGAAUUAGUUAUACACAUUUGAAUGUUCGGUCAAACCUUUCAAAACCCCGUUGACUGCCUCAAAACCCCAUGUAACCCUAGCGCCAAACGUCCACCGUCGAUCUAACCCUAACGCCAAACUGCGGCCGUCGGAUGGGACUUCUAGAAGGAUUCCGCGGGGGCGAUCCAUGGGCUCCAAUCUGAUUGGCCAUUGUUUUUUCUCUCUGACGAACAGAUAACGUUGAGCGGGGGAGCAUCUAAGUGACCGUUGGGCCGAGUGGAUUGGGCCUGGCAAAGCCUGGCGUGCGUGCACACGGCUGUUGAGAGGGGGGAUGGGCUGCAUGCGAGCGGGUCAAUGACAUGUGGGCCAUCCUUGUCCCAUGCAUGCCAUGCAACGUCGCAGCCUAGCUAUUCUUUGCUCGUGAAAGCCUAGCCAUUUGCAUGCGGGCUUGCAUGCACGCAUCGACGCAGAGUACGGCAAGGGUGCAGCGUAUAGGUACGUCGCAUCUAAGCUAUUUUAACAAAUGCAUGUUUGAACGAGAUGGACGCGUCGGUGGUGCAGCUCCUUUUUCAGUGUCACGCGCGGAUGAACGGGCCUGUUUCCCAUGCGGCAUCACCGCCGAUGCAAGUGCCCGUGCCUCUUUGGAUGCUCUGGCCGCCGUUUUUUGAAUUAAUGCCCGCAAUUACUUAUGCCAUGCGAACGGAGAAGAGAAAAAGAUCGAGAAGGGGCACCGUGUACACAUUGACCAUGGUUGCAAUGCGGCUAUAAAAGGGCACCAUUUCCUCAUCCUCUCACACUCAUCUCUCAAGCCUCCUCCCCUUCUUCUUUUCGAGCCAAAUCCACCACUCGAGCCACCAUGCAGUUCAACGGCCCUACCUACCGUCGCCCUUGCACCGUGCCGGAGAGGCAGUACCCAGCCGGAGUCGUCGUGGAGAACAGCCUGAGGGUGUGGGCCAUCUCUAGGUGGAGGGGCCCUAGAGAGUUGGCUCGCUUCUUCCUCCAAGCUGGCUACCGCCACCUCCCUCCGGGCACUCCGCCCAUGUUCCACCUCCACGAGCAGUACGAUGGCAAUGCCGGCCCCGACGGCUUCGUCAUCGGCCUCUAUGUCACCUUCACCAACCCCUACGACGCUCACCACCUCCCCGGGGAGGUGUUCUGGUGUGGAUGCGAGUUUAUCGCGUUCACGACCUACAACAUCUUCACCAACUUCCACCACAUCUUCCCUCACCACAACGGCAUGCACACCCUCCCCUAUCAGAUGCCGGAGGACGACGAGUGAGGGGCCCAAGGAGGAGGGUCCAAGGAGUGGCAAGGAGGAGGGGCCAAGGAGUUGUUCAAGCGGCGAGUCUUCUAUCUAUCUAGUUUGGGGCUCUAGUUUGUGUUUGUGUUGGUUCGGGCGUGUGUGCCCGUGUCUUUUAUAUAUCUAGUUUUAAUUAUUUUACUUUCAUGUUUUAUGAACUAUAUGUAGUGGGGGGAUGCCCCUCUAUAAGUUUUAUCUAUCUAUGCUACUAGGGUACCCGAUGCCCCUCUAUCUAUCUAUAUGUUUUUUCGGUCCUAAAGUUUCUCCAUUGCAUUUUAUUUAUGUGGCCAUGUGUACUAAAAAACAAUUGAUCUGGUAUCUAAAAUGUACGUUACCAAGAAAUUGACAAUAAAGAUUAUAUACUGUACUACAUAAUCAUACAGUUGGUAUACAAUGCAUUUGAAGACAAUGGGCAAGAAAAAUGCUAAUUAUCUGGUGCUGGUGACAUGCGUAAGUGUUGUCUGAUGUUUAAAUCAUGCUUGCUAUGUCAUUUUUUGCUGCCAAACAUGGCAUUAGCGAGAAAGGUCAUUUGGGCACUGAAUGUAUUAAAGUAUACACCAUAUAUAAAAAUGUCUAGCCAAAAGAUUUGGGUGUACAACUGUACACCAAUGACCAAGUAUGGAUCCGCCCCUGGUUGUAAGGGGAUGCCCCUCUAUGUUGUAAGGAGAUGCUACUAGGGGCACACUAGAUGUCUUCUUUUUUUGAGAGAGGCACAACCUUUUUCGGUUGAAACACACGAGUAAAAACUUUGAAAACACCAUAGCACAAGUAAAAAAAUAUAUUAAGAAAUGGUGCUUGGUUGAAAUAAACUAGAACCAAACAAUUGCAACUUUCUUGGUUCACAAAGACUGCUCAAAUAAUUAUCUCAAAUAGCUUAUGCAUAAAAAUAUCUCAAAUAAUUAUUAGAUGAGUUAUCUCAAAAAAGGUGACUGCAGGAAACUUAAAAUUUGUGAAAUGAUCUAAAGCCGAAAAGAUAUAUCGAUGAAUUAUCUCAAAUAGCUUAUGCAUAAAAAUAUCUCAAAUAAUUAUUAGAUGAGUUAUCUCAAAAAAGGUGACUGCAGGAAACUUAAAAUUUGUGAAAUGAUCUAAAGCCGAAAAGAUAUAUCGAUGUCAAUGACCGUGUGCACUUUUUUUGCACUCCUUUUAUCAAUGGGCCUGGAUAUGUUCUAUUCGGCCCUGCCUAACUUCUAUAUGGGCCUGGCCUUUUCGGGCAACUAUGGACGAACCUUUUUUUUCCUUUUCUCCCUCUACCACUGAAACUGAAACUGAUGACGAACUGAAGAACUAAAAAACGGGGCCGAAACAGAGUGGAGAGGACAUGCUGAAUUCGUACAACGCAACACUUUUAUUCAAAUAUACAUAUCAUUAGGAUUACAAAUGAUGCCCAAUCUAUUCACUUACGACUAAUUAUCAUCACAUAAACAAAUGCGAGAGCAAUUACACAAACAUAAAAAAGUCCGGCCAUCAGCCCCAUCAAAUUGCCCUGCUUCUGCAAUUUGAUGAGUUUCUUCAUCUGCUUGUUUAGCUUCUUCAGCUCUGCCGUCACUACUGCAUCCCCCACAGUAGCCCCAAUGGAAUGGGCACAUCCAGGGGCCCCAGAUCCAGAAGCGCCCGAUCCAAACUUGCCCAACUUCUCCACCUCCAGCGGUAAAUCGAGCUCCCCUGAUGCACCCUCCAGUUGAAUCCGCUCUAUGUACUCAUUUAGCCACUCAAAAUGGGUGCAUUGCUUCAAUUUCUGAAAUUGGAAAGAUGAACCCUAAAUCCCAAAUCCGAUGAAAAAUGGGGAAAAAUUGUGAUAUGAAAUUGGGAUACAAAAACCAAAAUUGGCAUAUUGAGAAGUAAAAUCUCACCUUUCCCUGCUCUGGUUUGCUCUCGCAUUUCACGAAUUCCCGCCCAAGGUUGCCAUUCUUGUCGGUCGUUGUGACUAGCCGCUUCAGGGGUGUGAUACGUGGGCCUGCAGGGCACCUUGUCAUGGGCACUGCGCCAUAGCGCGGCCAUGAGCGGCGGGAGGCUGAAGCGGAGCUCGACAUUGCUAGGUCGCGGCCCGGAACGGCGUUGCUGCGCGUCGUCGCCGGAGAAGAAGAACAACAACGGUCGGGGAGGGGGGGUGGGGGCGGGGGCGAGGAUGGGCCACGGCUCGGGCCACGGCUCGGUGUCCUCUUGUACCAAUGCUGACCUGGAUAAGUUAGUGGGUCCCACGCAGUGGGUCCCGCUCACCUGACCAAUGCUGAGUUGGAUAAGUUAGUGGGUCCCGCGCUGUGGGUCCCGCUCACCUGAUUCGAGUUUUAAACAUGUGUCUUUGGAUUAGACAGCAGUGUCGCAUGGGAGCUAUUUUUUCCUAUGCAGAUGUCGCAUGAGAGCUAUUACAACCAACAACGUCGCAUGAGAGACAAUACACACCAACGAUGUCGCAUAGGAGCUAUUCGCCCUUUGGAAACAUUGCUAAGUUUCAUUGUUUGAAACUUAGUACGAGCGACCGAUAAAAUUUAAUUAUUUUGUGUCUACGACCAACAGGAGAAAUUGCUUAAAAUUACAUCUUUGAAACUGGUCAUUUUUUGAUGCAAAAAUGUAAGUUUCAUCAUUGAAACUUAAGGGCAUGUCCAAUGCUGGAUGCUUAUCCAGGCGCUUAUCGUGUGGAAAAAAAAAAUGCCACGAAGUUAGCUCUCGCUUGUCCAACAGCCAAUGCUAACAACGGGCGCUAACCACGGCUGGAGCUAUAGAUUAGAAAGAAAGAUCUGGUUCACUUGUACGUGAAAAAAGGAGCAAGCGCUCGAUGCCUUGCUUUGCAUCGAUGCCAGACUGAGGUGCUGGGAAUCGACAAGAUAACCGCCAAUCUACCAGGAUUAAAUUCCUAGCGCCUUCUUCUAGCGCCUCCCACUGAAAAUGCCCUAAAGGUUUUUGAGGGAUUUUUUUACUGUGUCCUACUUCACGUAUCACGAGGCAAAUCAAGUAGGCGGCAUGGCCUGGCCGGUGAGUGCCAUUGCACUUACUUGCCCCAGCGAUUUUCCGCCUGCAUUGUAGAAUUCUUUCUCCGAGUCCUGUGAAUUAAAGAUGGUGCAGACAAAAGUAUAUCCUAUAUGCGUACAUGUGCAUGAUCAGAACAUGUUUUUACGUGCGUCUACUAUAAAUCAUGACCAUUUUUAACACAAAUCAUGACCAUUCAUGAUUAGUGAAUCAUACUGUCUUAACUUAUGUGAAAUCAUGUGGAGUAAUAUAAUAUAAUAUAAUAGAUAGAUAGAUCCAUGUUGUAUCAUUACACAUUUUGAUUUAUGCAUUUGUUUACAAAAAAAACAGUAAAAUUUCAUGGUGAAAAGUUUGUAUUGUUUCAUACUGAACACCAAUGUUUUCCCGUAAAAGAAAAUAAUGCCUACGCAUAUGCUUUUAUAUUAUUAUUAUUCUUUCAAACUUAUUCAUAUAGUAUUUUUGAUUGUGCAACCAUAAUUUUUAUUAUCUCUCUUGUUCCACUACAUGCUCUUACUCAAUGAUUUUUUUAUAAUGGGUGUUUUUAUUAACUCAAAAUAUAGCAUCAAGCGGAUACAAAACAUAACGAGCCACGUCCGGUCUCUGCAUAACUAAGAUGCACACAGCCAAAAGCAGAAGUCUGACAAAAAUAAGAUAAGAAAAUCAACAUAUCGACAACAGUGAGUCAUAUAGUUCCGACACUAUGCCUCUGUUGAAGGACGGGGUGGAGCGAUCUGGAGAUUAUGCUUCCCUCCAUUUUGAGUAAAUACCUCCCUGGCCACUUGUUCCAACCGCAUAGACGCCGCCACGAAUAAUGGUUGGUACUCUGUUCGGUGUAGCAUACACCAUGUAGGAAGUGAGUGCUCACUCCUAGUUACUAAAUUAUGUACACACUAGUAGAAAAAGGGCCAUUUGUCCCGGUUCGUAAGGCCCAUUUGUCUCAGUUAGGGAACCGGGACUAAAGGGUCGGUACUAAAGCCCUACACCUUUAGUCCCGGUUCUUACACCAACCGAGACAGAUGGGGCUCCACGUGGCCGCUGCGGCUUGCCAUGGCAGGGGGGCCUUUUGUCCCGGUUGGUAGCACCAACCGGGACCAAUAAGCUACCACGCGUCAGCAUUUGAGGGGCUUGGGUUUUUGUUUUUUUCUGAAGGGGGGGAGGGGGGUUGGGGGUUUUGGGGGGUUUUGUAUGGUUAAUUUUGGGGGGUUUCAUAUAUAGUGUUAGGUAGUAAUUAAUUAAUAGAGAGAAGUGUCCUCUCUUAUCUCCGUGCUUGGUCGACGCUACGUACUAUACGUAUAGAGAGGCCCUCGACACGCUUGCCAGUAAGCAAAUGAAGGAAACCAUUAAGUACAGAAGUUCGUCAUGAACAUAUGCAUACAAACAUAAGUGAUAUCGACCUCUCCUUCUCCGAGAGAUAGGUCGAAGAACAAGUUUCCGUAUAUCUAUCCGGCGCUACUAGCUACAUAUAUACAAUAUUAAGAUCUCUUACAAUAUAAUCCCCUAAUUAUAUAUGAACUCAGCUUCCAGAUGGUAUUCUCCGGCUUUAUUGAUGACGUGGUCAAGAAAGAAUCCCUCCAAUUCCUCUUGAAUUGCUUUGAUGCGAUCUUGUGGUAGGAGUUCAUCCUGCAUCUGCCACAUCUAAUUUGAAGAAGGGGGUCAAUCACUAGUGGAAUAACAGCCAUUUGUCUAGGUUCGUAAGGCUCAUUUGUCCCGGUUGGGGAACCGAGACUAAAGGGUCGUUACUAAAGCCCUACACCUUUAGUCCCGGUUGUCGGUGUCAAAACCGGCGGAUCUCGGGUAGUGGGUCCUGAAUUGUGCGUCUAGGCCGGAUGGUAACAGGAGGCAGGGAACACGAUGUUUUACCCAGGUUCGGGCCCUCUUGAUGGAGGUAAAACCCUACGUCCUGCUUGAUUAAUAUUGAUGAUAUGGGUAGUACAAGAGUAGAUCUACCACGAGAUCAAGGAGGCUAAACCCUAGAAGCUAGCCUAUGGCAUGAUUGUUGUGUAUGGAGUUGAUUGCCUACGGACUACAACCCUCCGGUUUAUAUAGACACCGGAUAGGGUUAGGGUUACAUAGAGUCGUUUACAAUGGUAGGAGAUCUUGAAUAUCCGCAUCACCAAUCUUGCCUUCCACGCCAAGGAAAGUCCCAUCCGGACACAGGACGAAGUCUUAAAUCUUGUAUCUUCAUAGUCCAGGAGUCCGGCUGGACGUAUAGUCCGGCUACCCGAACACCCCCUAAUCCAGGACUCCCUCACCGGUUCUUACACCAACUGGGAGAGAUGGGCCUCCACGUGGCCGCUGCGGCGAGCCCAGGUAGGAGGUCCUUUGGUCCCCGUUAGUGACACUAAUACGUCUCCAACGUAUCUAUAAUUUUUGAUUGCUCCAUGCUAUUAUGUUAUCCAUUUUGGAUGUUAAUGGGCUUUAUUUUACACCUUUAUAUCAUUUUUGGGACUAACCUACUAAUCGGAGGCCUAGCCCAAAUUGCUAUUUUUUGCCUAUUUUAGGUUUUUGAAGAAGAGGAAUAUCAAACGGAGUCCAAACGGAAUGAAACCUUCGGGAACGUGAUUUUCUCAACGAACAUGAUCCAGGAGACUUGGAGUGUGCGCCAAGAAAUAAGGGAGGAAGGCACGAGGCAGGGGGGCGCGCCUACCCCCCUUGAGCAUGCCCUCCACCCUCGUGGGCCCUCCACUGCUCCACCGACGUACUUCUUCCUCCUAUAUAUAUCCACGUACCCCCCAAACAACCAGGAGCACCACGAAAACCUAAUUCCACCACCGCAACCUUCUGUACCCGAGAGAUCCCAUCUUGGGGCCUUUUCCGGAGGGGGCAUCGAUCACGGAGGGCCUCUACAUCAACUGCAUGGCCUCUCCGAUGAUGUGUAAGUAGUUUACUUCAGACCUACGGGUCCAUAGUUAUUAGCUAGAUGGCUUCUUCUCUCUCUCUUUGGAUCUUAAUACAAAGUUCUGCUCGAUUUUCUUGGAGAUCUAUUCGAUGUAAUCUUCUUUUGUGGUGUGUUUGUCGAGAUCCGAUGAAUUGUAGGUUUAUGAUCCAGAUUAUCUAUGGACAAUAUUUGAUUCUCCUCUGAAUUCUUUUAUGUAUGAUUCGUUUAUCUUUGCAAGUCUCUUCGAAUUAUCAGUUUGGUUUGGCCUACUAAAUUGAUCUUUCUUGCAAUGGGAGAAGUGCUUAGCUUUGGGUUCAAUCUUGCGGUGUUCGAUCCCAGUGACUGAAAGGGAAGCGAUAUGUAUUGUAUUGUUGCCAUCGAGGAUAAAAAGAUGGGGUUUAUAUCAUAUUGCAUGAGUUUAUCCCUCUACAUCAUGUCAUCUUCCUUAAAGCAUUACUCUGUUCUCUUGAACUUAAUACUCAAGAUGCAUGCUGGAUAGCGGUCGAUGUGUGGAGUAAUAGUAGUAGAUGCAGAAUCGUUUCGGUCUACUUGUCUGGGACCUGAUGCCUAUAUACAUGAGCAUACCUAUAUAUUCUCAUAACUAUGCUCAAUUCUAUCAAUUGCUCGACAGCAAUUCGUUUACCCACCGUAAUACUUAUGCUCUUGAGAGAAGCCACUACUGAAACCUAUGGCCUCGGGGUCUAUCUUCUAUCAUAUUAAUCCUCCAAUACUUAGUUAUUUAUAUUUCUAUCUAUUUUACUUUCCAUCUUUUAUUUCUCUUUAUCAUAAAAAUACCAAAAAUCUUAUCUUAUCAUAUCUAUCAGAUCUCACUGUUGUAAGUGACCGUGAAGGGAUUGACAACCCCUUUAUCGCGUUGGUUGCGAUGUUCUUAUUUGUUUGUGUAGGUUCGUGGGACUUGAGCGUGAUCUCCUACUGGAUUGAUACCUUGGUUCUCAAAAACUAAGGGAAAUACUUACGCUAAUUUACUUCAUCACUCUUUCCUCUUCAAGGGAAAACCAACGCAAUGCUCAAGAGGUAGUGUCGGUGUCAAAACCGGCGGAUCUCGGGUAGUGGGUCCCGAACUGUGCGUCUAGGCCGGAUGGUAACAGGUGGCAGGGAACACGAUGUUUUACCCAGGUUCGGGCCCUCUUCAUGGAGGUAAAACCCUACGUCCUACUUGAUUAAUAUUGAUGAUAUGGGUAGUACAAGGGUAGAUCUACCACAAGAUCAAGGAGGCUAAACCCUAGAAGCUAGCCUAUGGUAUGAUUGUUGUAUAUGGAGUUGAUUGCCUACGGACUACAACCCUCCGGUUUAUAUAGACACCGGAUAGGGUUAGGGUUACAUAGAGUCGGUUACAAUGGUAGGAGAUCUUGAAUAUCCGCAUCGCCAAGCUUGCCUUCCACACCAAGGAAAGUCCCGUCCGGACACGGAACGAAGUCUUCAAUCUUGUAUCUUCAGAGCCCAGGAGUCCGGCUGAAGGUAUAGUCCGGCUAUCCGAACACCCCCUAAUCCAGGACUCCCUCAGUAGCCCCUGAACCAGGCUUCAAUGACGACGAGUCCAGCGCGCAAAUUGUCUUCGGCAUUGCAAGGCGGGUUCCUCCUCCAAGUCCUUCAUAGAAGAUUGUAAGCACCAAGAGUAGUGUCCGGCUCUGCAAAAUAAGCUUCCACAUAUCGCCAUAGAGAGAAUAAUAUUAACACAAAUCAAAUCUGCUGACGUAUUCCGCAGUGCGUCAUCACACUACAGCCAAGUCCUUCACUCGAAUCGUUUUCACUUUUCCACCUCAGCGUGUUUUGCGAGGCGGUUUCCUUGGCACGUCUUGUCAAAGCAGAGAUCGUGUCCCCCUUGUUUACGGGAUUCUCGUUAAUACGGACGUGGGUAACCCAACCGCGCCACUUAUCACGGCGCUUGGGAGGCAAGCGAGUUUUACUAGGCUGGUGGGGACGCAUAGUCGCAUCCGCCCAUAUAAGGGGAUAAGGAUCCACCUUUUUACCUACGCCUUCUUCCUCCUUUGCCUAGCCAUCUUCUGCGCACCCGAGCUCUAGCGCCCCAGCCCGCGCUUCCUACCUCAACCCUCUCCAACAAUGUUCGGAGCGGGAGGCAAGUGGAUGGUCUCCUCCGUCACGGAGGGCCAUGUCAAAAGGUUAAGGAAGGCCGGAUACUUGUCCAAAGACAUCGCGCACCGGCUUCCUGAGGAGGGGCAGCUUCUCCCCACCCCAAGGCCCCAUGAGAGGGUAGUAUUUCUUCCCCACUGCCUCCGCGGACUGGGUUUUCCUCUCCACCCAUUUGUCCGCGGGCUCAUGUUCUACUAUGGCCUAGAUUUCCACGAUCUGGCCCCGUACUUCAUCCUCAAUAUCUCGGCGUUUAUCAUCGUGUGCGAGGCUUUCCUCUGCAUUCGCCCCCAUUUCGGCCUCUGGCUCACGACCUUCAACGUCAAGCCAAAGGUGGUGCGCGGUAACCAGGCGGAGUGCGGAGGUGCCAUGGCGGGCAAAAUUGCCAACGUCCUAUGGCUCGAGGGCUCCUUUGUGGAGACCUUGAAGGGGUGGCAGUCAGGGUGGUUUUACAUCACCGAGCCACGCGAUCCGAAGUGGAUCGCAGCCCCUGAAUUCCGAUCCGGACCCCCUACGCGGCUCAUGUCCUGGAAGGAGACGAGCUUGUCGUGGGGCGACGAAGGAGAGUUGACCAGACUGCAAAAAUGCAUCCAGUCCCUGGUGAACAAGCAGCUCAAGCUUGUCAACGUAAUCUAGGUCAUGCUCGUCCGCCGGAUUCUUCCGUGUCAAGAACGGGACUUCAAUUUGUGGGAGUUCAACCCGGCGCAACACCGAACUCUGAGAAGGCUCUUCAACACGACGUACGAAGAUGUCUGGAGGGGGCUAACCAAAGGCGCCGAGACUCCCACAUCCGCCUCCGAAGACCGCGGAUUCAGCUCGCAGCGUCCUGCUGGCGAGGUAAGAUAUUUCCAUCUUUUACAGGAUGUUAAGCUUUUUCAUAGUUGACUCUAUGCGGGAUCAAAACUCCCUCACCUUUGACAGGAUUGGCGGGAGAAGUCCGGACAGAUUAAAUGCCCGGCUCCCUUGCCCGAAGACCUAGCCCCUGCUCUCCUAGAGAAGCUGCUGGUUUCGGCACCUUAUGUGGUGCCGGAGAAGAGGGCCAAGAAGAAGAAGGCCACGGGGACUCGAAAGAGUUCCUGGCAUAUGGUGGUGUCGGACUCGUCGUCCGACCAGUCCGAGACGCACUCCUCCCGUGAAGACGAGGAGGAAGAGUGUCGGACUCGUCGUCCGACGAGUCCGAGACGCACUCCUCCCGUGAAGAGGAGUGGCCGGACUACGUCCCCGACGCCGACGAGGACGAAGAGGAGUGGCCAGACAGGGCCAAGCAUCCGGCGAGAUCGUAAGUGUUCGGAUACCAGAGUAACUCGUGAUAUUCCUUUUGUUGCACAGCUUUCCCUAAUGUCGGAUAUAAUCAUGCAGUCCGCCCAAGGAUGGGCUCGACGAGUCGUCGAGCGGCUCCCUGGAUUCAUCGGACGUGAAUUCAGUUCCGCCUACUGCUUCCCCCUGUGCUGCAGAUGACGCCGAAGUGGCGUCGCGACAAGCUCCGGGACGAGAGGAGGUGGUCCAGGAGGAGUCGCGAGGUGACCUCCCGGACUCCAGGAGUGAAGGGGACAAGACCCCCCUGGGAUCCAAGUUCGGCUUUAAGCCGGACACUGAGAUGGAAUCAUCAACAGUUCCGGACUGCGGUAGGCGAACUCCUACCAGGAGGAGCAAGCCUACUGAGCCGGCAUCCUCCGUCCAGCCGGAGGCGCCGGACAAUCUGCUGGAGGAGCUUAAGGGCGCCUCCACCGACGAGGAGCACCGUGCCGUCAUGAGUACGGUGAUCCAGAAGGUUCGGUCCGCCAAAAGCGGACUGACUGAAGCUUGUGCUGGCCUUCUAACAGGCUUCGAGGUAAGUAAAAAUAUGUAAAAAUAUUACCGUAUAGACAGUAGCCCCUGAUGCUCUGUUUGGCGUUUGUAAAGAAAAGCCAAAUAGAGGAUCUAUUAAAUAUCGCAGGAGUCUAACUAAAAAGGAGUCAAUAUAUGUAUGCAGGCUUCGCUGCUGGCCACCGCCGCACUGACUGCGGAGGUGGGUGCCCUGAAGGAGGGCCUCCAGCGGACCGAGCAAGAGCUCGGCCUUGCCAAACGGCAGCUCGAGGAAAAAGAAUGUAAGAGAUACCUUACAGAAAAAGUGCCUAUAAAAAGGCUUGAUUGCAAAAAGAGUAGCAGGAUUGUACUGCUUAUUGUAGGGGCCACGACUGAGGUGGCGACCUUUAAGCAGGUGUUGUCUGAGGCCGAAAAGAAAACGGCCGCGGAGCGCACCGAGCGAGACAGACUUGGGGCUCAGGUCAGCGAGGUGCAGCAAGAGCUUCAGGCUCUCAUGAAAAAACAUGAGAGUUUGAAGCUGGAGUCGAAGGCGCAAGCAUCCGAGCUUGCAACGGCCCUAGAGGCUGCCAAGUCUACCAAGGCCGAUGCCCUAAAGACCCUCCAAGAGUUGGAGGAGAUGAGGAAGAUAGCAACGGGUAAGGCAUUCUUUAUGCAAAGCAGAAAUAUAAAAGUGAACUACCUGUUACUUACCCGAAUCCGAAGCUCUCCAGGGGCAUUCGCAGAUCUUCCCUGCAGCGUAUCCGAUGCCGCCGCAUUAUACCAAGCUGAAGAGGGUAGCUCGACGGAGAAGGUGUUCUGGUUUCAGUAUUCUGAGGCCGGACACCCUGUGCCCUUGAGCAACCAGCUGAAACAGCUGGUUGAGCUCCACAAGGCGGCCAAGCAGGCCAUGAAGGGCUUCAUAGUUCGGCUGUGGCCUGGAGAGGCCCUACCUGGGAGCUAUCUCGGGCUGGUGCGGCGGCUGGUGGAGGCCUGUCCGAGGCUUGAGGUCAUCAAGUGCUCCGUCUGCAUCGAUGGUGCCCGUCGGGCCCUUGCCCGUGCAAAGGUGCACUGGGGUAAGCUGGACGGUGAGAAGCUUGUGAAGGACGGGCUGCCGCCGGGGAAGGAGCAUCGCAAGCCCGAGAACUACUACAAGGAUGUUCUUGCAGGUGCCCGCCUUAUGGCGGAUCAAUGUACCAAGGAUGUGAUAUUUGAAUGAACUCGCUCGUGUUUAUCUUGUGCGCUGAAAACUUGUUCAUAUGUGCUAAGCAAUGCUUAUUGAAUUUAAAAUAUUACUUUCUGUGCGGCCAUUUAUCAAAAAUUGAGAGAUGGCCAGUCGUCGGCUUCUGCCCCCGUGCCACUAGUGCUGGGGUGUUCGGGAUAAACCUGAGCGCUCUUUUUCCCAUAGUUGGGUCCUUCGAGGGAGGCGCUCAGCACAACGAACCAGGCAAUCGGACUAUAAUGCUUGAACACUCUCACUUAGCCAUAGAGCUCUAUAAUUUUAAAUUUCGGUGAAGCCCGUAGUUCGGAAGACCGAGUUCGGGGCGCUAUCCACGCCUUGGCCGGACAAAGCCGGCUCCUCGCUCGAAGCGGCAUAAGCCUUUAGGGACUCGAAAAACCUCUCGAACAGCGAUCGGUCUCUCGCCACAUCAUGACAGUCAGUUUUAGCUUUCUCCACUCAGGUGCUUAACCCAGGUGAACCGGGGCACAAUCGCAGUGGUUCUCCUAGUGCUACCUUAGCCGAUAGAGCGGAACGUAAGGCACCAAAACAUAGGAGCCACGCAAACCCAACUAUUGACCCAAAUCAUGAUUCGGAGCCGAUGCAUAUAGUGCUAUAAGUUCGGGGUGCCGCACUUGUGAAAGUGUACGGACUUCUCACACCAUUAUGAGCGGUACUGAAGCCCCUGGCAUGUUUGCCAUACCAUGGUGUACGGGUGCAAUCAUGUCAUUUAAUAAACAUAAAUGUGAAAAGAAGAUAAUGCAAAAAAUAGACUAGAAGCUAAGCAUUGUUUAUAGAGAGGCUAUUUAUCAAAGCCGAACGAUACAAAUAGUGCGGUAAGCAAAAGAUAUUGGACUAUUCAGUAUGUCCUGACCAGGGGCAGGCCGCGGAAUUGUAUUUAAAACAGGUAUACCGCUCGUAACAGAGACCACCUGGGAGUUCCAUAAUGCGUCAUGGCUUGUCUGCCUCCCUGGAUCUUGCAUCGUUUGUGCGGCAGUCGAAUUGCCGAACAGGUCGUCCGAAGUAUGGAGUCCUGAAAGAAGAAAAAAUUAAAAAAAGAAUCCGGCAGCCCCUAGUACGUAUUAAGCCGUAUUUUGGGCGUGUUGUUAUUGUGCCCCUUCCCCUGUGCCCAUGGUAUUUCAAGGGCGUAGUUAUGUACGUGAGGUACUGGUUUCGCUAUGUUGCGAAAGCUGGGGUUGGGGCCGCAUUGCUACGCUUGCUUAGAGUGUGCCAGGCAGUGUCUGGCUUUUUAAUGGCCGGACUGGAGAAUUGCCUGAGAAGGCUACUUUGUACCUCCGCUGCGAGAGCCGCCGUAUGCUCCUCCAUAUGGAGGGAGCGUUCGGUGUUUCCGUUGAACGUAAUUACUCCUUGAGGGCCUGGCAUCUUGAGCUUGAGAUAUGCGUAGUGCAGCACCGUGUUGAUCUUUGCGAAUGCGGUUCGUCCGAGCAGGGCAUGAUAGCCACUGCGAAACGGUACUAUAUCGAAGAUUAACUCUUCGCUUCGGAAAUUGUCCGGGGAUCGGAAGACCACAUCAAGUGUUACUGAGCAUGUACUGUUGGCUUCUACACCUGGUAUAACGCCUUUAAAGGUCGUUCUUGUGGGCUUAAUCCUUGAGGGAUCUAUGCCCAUUUUCUGCACUGUAUCCUGAUAAAGCAGGUUCAGGCUACUGCCGCCGUCCAUGAGGACUCUUGUGAGAUGAAAUCCGUCGAUGAUCGGGUCGAGAACCAAUGCGGCGAAGCCGCCAUGACGGAUGCUAGUGGGAUGGUCCCUUCGAUCGAAAGUGAUCGGGCAGGAGGGCCAUGGGUUGAACUUUGGGGCGACUGGCUCCAUCGCAUAUACGUCCCGUAGCGCAUGCUUCCGCUCCCGCAUGGGAAUGUGGGUUGCGUAUAUCAUGUUCACCGUCCACACUUGUGGGGGAAAGCCCUUCUGUCCAUUGUUGUUCGGCGGCUUGGGCUCCUCGUCGUCGCUGUGCAGCCCCUUGUCUCUGUUUUCGGCCCUUAACUUGCCUGCCUGCUUGAACACCCAACAAUCCCUGUUAGUGUGAUUGGCUAGCCUUUCGGGGGUGCCAUGUAUCUGGCACAAGCGAUCGAGUAUUCGGUCCAAACUGGACGGGCCCUGAGUAUUCUUUUUGAAUGGCAUUUUCCGCUGACCGGAUUUAUAGCCUUUGAAUCCGGCAUUGACUGCCGUGUCUUCAUUGCUGUCGCUGCUAACGCGGCGUUUUUGCUUAUUCCGAUGUGUCCUACCACUUUUGUCCUUGGUAUCCGAAUUACCAGGGUGCUUUGAUAAGUUGUUACUGCGAGCUAGCCAGCUGUCUUCUCCCGCGCAAAAGCGGGUCAUGAGUGUCGUGAGGGCUGCCAUGGAUUUCGGCUUUUCCUGUCCCAGGUGCCAGGCAAGCCACUCGUCGCAGAUGUUGUGCUUCAAGGCUGCCAGGGCCUCUGCGUCCGGACAGUCGACUAUCUGGUUUUUCUUUGUUAGGAACCGUGUCCAAAAUUGUCUGGCCGAUUCCUCUGGCUGCUGAAUUAUGUGGCUUAAGUCGUCGGCAUCCGGUGGUCACACGUAAGUGCCCUGGAAGUUGUCGAGGAAUGCGGCUUCCAGGUCCUCCCAAGAACCGAUUGAGUCUGCUGGCAAGCUGUUAAGCCAAUGCCGGGCCGGUCCUUUAAGUUUGAGCGGGAGGUAUUUGAUGGCGUGUAGAUCAUCGCCGCGUGCCAUGUGGAUGUGAAGGAGACAAUCCUCGAUCCAUACCGCCGGAUCUGUUGUGCCAUCGUAUGAUUCGAUGUUUAUGGGUUUGUAGCCCUCUGGGAUUUUAUGAUCCAUUACUUCAUUCGUGAAGCAUAGCGGGUGUGUGGCGCCUCUGUAUUGGGCUAUAUCACGACGUAGCUCGGAAGAGCUAUGUCUGUUGUGUUCGGCCCGGCCGGAUUUGUUGUAUCCAGAGUGAAGAUCAUUUUCCCGUGCCUUAGUUGAGAGGUGUCGGGGCAUGGCUUGGGUGGAGGGCCGAGACGCCUCUCUGUCGCGGCCGCGAGGUGGCCGGUCUGCCAUGUCAUGCGCUGGUGAUGUAGGUGCUUCCUCCUCUGAUCGGGGUAGCGGCCUAUGCUUCGGGUAACUCUUGGAGGGGCGUUCGAGUUCAUACUCUUCGGCCGCAAGGACUUCAGUCCAUCUGUCAGCUAGCAAAUCUUGGGCAGCUCUAAGUUGUUGCUGCUUUUUCUUGAGGCUGCUUGCCAUGGCUAAAAGCCUGCGUUUAAAAAGCUCUUGUUCGGCGGGGUCUGAUGGUAUGACGAAUUCGUCGUCAUUGAGGCUUGCCUCGUCUUCGGAGGGAGGCGUAUAGUUAUCAUCCUCGACCUUUCCGUCUGCCGCUCUCUCAUCAGGGCUGGCUUCUCCAUCUUCCUGUGCCGAAUCUUGCUGAGGUGGGUGUUCUUCGGCGCUAUCCGGGGUAGUAUUAUCUCUCAUGUCGGAAUCACCGUUUUUGCUUUGGCGGGAUUUAGAGCGGCGCCGCUGGUGCCGGCGCUUUGGCUGUUUCUUGGGGGCGUCAUCCCCCACUGUUCCAUCGCCAUCUCCAUCUUUUGGAGUAUCCACCAUAUAUAUGUCAUAUGAUAAGGUGGCCUUCCAGCGCCCUACAGGUGCUGGUUCCUGUUCGUCUCCUACAUUGUCGUCCAUGCCGUCGAUGUCUUUGGAGCUGAAGUCAACCAUGUAGGUUAGACCGUCGAUAAUGGCUACAAAGUGGGUGGUGGGUGGGCUUUGAAUUUCCUCAUCGUAUGUAUCCCACCCUCGCUGACCGUAGUCCGGCCAGGGCUCUCCUGAUAAAGAGAGAGACUUAAGAGAAUUCAGGAUGUCGCCAAAAGGCGAAUGCUGAAAGAUGUCUGUAGCGGUGAACUCCAUUAUCGGCACCCAAUCGGAUUCGAUUGGCAGGGGCGCGGGGGGUUCGGAGUCCGGGGAGGAGUCCGGAUCCUCGGAGUCACGGGUCGUGCAGAGUGCGGGGCUAGCGUUCGGCUCGAUCGCUUUCGGGAUCGCAGCCCCCGAGGUGACGUCCAACCGCUCAUCCUCGAUUGGCGCAAUAGGUUCCGAGUUAGGGGUCGGAACCGAUGCGUGUGCGGCCUCCAGGACACUGGCCGGGGGCAGAGCUAGAUCAUGCCCCUCGGGAUAGUGCGGCGUGCUUGGCCGUGGCUCGAGCCCGUCGAAGAUCAAGUCUCCGUGGAUGUCAGCCGUGUAGUUUAAGCUUCCAAACCUGACUUGAUGGCCAGGGGCGUAGCUUUCGAUCUGCUACAGGUGGCCGAGCGAAUUGGCUCAUAGAGCGAUGCCGCCGAAGACGAAGAUCUGUCCGGGGAGAAAAGUCUCACCCUGGACCGCAUCGUUGUUGAUGAUCAAAGGAGCCAUCGGGCCUAAAGGCGACGAGACAGAGGAACUCUCAAUGAAAGCACCAAUGUCAGUGUCAAAACCGGUGGAUCUCGAGUAGUGGGUCCCGAACUGUGCGUCUAGGCCGGAUGGUAAUAGGAGGCAGGGAACACGAUGUUUUAUCCAGGUUCGGGCCCUCUUGAUGGAGGUAAAACCCUACGUCCUGCUUGAUUAAUAUUGAUGAUAUGGGUAGUACAAGAGUAGAUCUACCACGAGAUCAAGGAGGCUAAACCCUAGAAGCUAGCCUAUGGUAUGAUUGUUGUAUAUGGAGUUGAUUGCCUACGGACAACAACCCUCCGGUUUAUAUAGACACCGGAUAGGGUUAGGGUUACAUAGAGUCGGUUACAAUGGUAGGAUAUCUUGAAUAUCCACAUCGCCAAGCUUGCCUUCCACGCCAAGGAAAGUCCCGUCCGGACACGGGAUGAAGUCUUCAAUCUUGUAUCUUCAUAGCCCAGGAGUCCGGCUGAAGGUAUAGUCCGGCUACCUGAACACCCCCUAAUCCAGGACUCCCUCAGGUAGCAAGAUGGAUUUCUGGCGCCAUUGCCGGGGAGAUUCGCGCCAAGUCAAGACAUACCAAGUACCCAUCACAAACCCUUAUCCCUCGCAUUACAUUAUUUUCCAUUUGCCUCUUGUUUUCCUCUCCCCCACUUCACCCUUGCCAUUUUAUGCGCCCUCUCUUUUUCCGUUCCCCUCUUUUCCACUUGCUUUGUCGUUAUGGCUAGUCCUUUAUCUACUCCUUUGUCUCCCGAGAAUGAAGUUCUUAAUUUUAAACAAAGGGAGGGAGAAAAUCUAAAAGAUGCUUGGUACAGAAUUUGCAACACACAAAUUAGAUCUACUAGGAAACAAUCUACUUUUGUUCUUCUUCACGAUUUUUAUGUAGGCAUCACACCUUGGAAUAGAUAUAUUCUUGAUGCCAUUACCGGAGGGAAUUUCUUGGGUAGCCAUACUUUUGAUUCUUAUAAUGCUAUGAUAGAUCUGUUUGGCCCACCACCUCUUUUGGUUAAUGGAACUAUUUUAACUUUGGAACAUGUGAUGCAAUGGCUUGAAAUUAGUGAAAAUAAAGUUGCCACCAUAGAGUUAAUUGAAAAUUUGGAUAGAAAGAUCCAUAACCAAAUUACCCAAUACGGAUCUAAGUUAGGAGUUGCUCUUAAAAGUUUUAAAGAAAAGGGACCUAUGGUUAAUGAAAAGAUAGAAAAGGAUUCCACUAGAAUUGAUAAAAUUGAGGAUAUUAUUACCAACCUUGGGUCUUCCUUUUCUUCUAUUAUAAAUACUCCGCCUAAUGCUAAGAUUGCCAAACUAAUGUAUGUUACAAAAAAUAAGGGUGAAACUUCUAAUAAGGAAAAUGCGGAUCUCAAAUCCAUAAGUGUUCACCCCAAUUUUCUCACUAUCCUUAAGGAACCUUUUGCUACAAAUGAUUUUCUUGAUUUCAUACCUAGGAGUUUGAUAAUUAAUAAAAACAAAGAAACUCCUAAAAGUUAUUGGUGUGUUAUUGAAGAAUCACCUUCCAAAGACGGCAAUACCUAGGUCUAUCUUCGCUUUUAUGCCUAGCUAGGGGCGUUAAACGAUAGCGCUUGUUGGGAGGCAACCCAGUUUUACUUUUAUUCCUUGAUGUUUGCUCCUAUUUAGUAAUAAAUAAUUUAUGUAGCCUAUGUUUUGGUUGUGUUUUUUGUGUUUAAUUUGUGUUUGUGCCAUGUAGAACCAUUGGGUAGACUUGGGGAAAGUCUUUUUGAUCUUGCUGUAAAAAACAGAAACGUUAGCGCUCACGAGAAUCGCUGACAUUUUUAUUUGGAAAGUGAUAUUUAGAUAAUUCUUUUUGCGGAUGAUUAAUAGAUAAAUUCCUCACGUCCAGCAAUUUAUUUUAUAAUUUUUGGGGUUACAGAAGUUCGCGUUAGGUACAGAUUACUACAGACUGUUCUGUUUUUGACAGAUUCUGUUUUUCGUGUAUUGUUUGCUUAUUUUGAUGAAUCUAUGGCUAGUCAAAGAGGUUAUAAACCGUAGAGAAGUUGGAAUACAGUAGGUUUAACACCAAUAUAAAUCAAGAUUGAGUUCAUAACAGUACCUUGAAGUGGUGUUUUGUUUUCUUUCGCUAACGGAGCUCACGAGAUUUUCUGUUUGAGUUUUUUGUUGUGAAGUUUUCAAGUUUUGGGUAAAGAUUUGAUGGAUUAUGGAACAAGGAGUGGCAAGAGCCUAAGCUUGGGGAUUCCCAUGGCACACCAAGGUAAAAUUAAAGGACACCAAAAAGCCUAAGCUUGGGGAUGCCCCGAAAGGCAUCCCCUCUUUCGUCUUCGUCUAUUGGUAACUUUACUUGGAGCUAUAUUUUUAUUCACCACAUGAUAUGUGUUUUGCUUGGAGCGUCUUGUAUGAUUUGAUUAUUUGAUUUUUAGUUUACCAAAAUCAUCCUUGCUGUACACACCUUUUGAGAGAGACUCACAUGAUUGGGAAUUUAUGAGAAUACUCUAUGUGCUUCACUUAUAUCUUUUGAGCUAUAUGGUUUUUGUUCUAGUUCUUCGCUUAUAUAUUUUAGAGAAUGGCGGUGGUUUUAUUUUAUAGAAAUAAUUGUUCUCUCAUGCUUCACUUAUAUUAUUUUGAUAGUCCUUUAGAACAACAUGGCAAUAAUAAAACUGUCAUACAAGUGCAUUGAAUACUAUGAGAAGUUUGAUACUUGAUAAUUGUUUUGAGAUAUGGAGAUGGUGAUAUUAGAGUCAUGCUAGUUGUGUAGUUGUGAAUUUGAGAAAUACUUGUGUUGAAGUUUGUGAUUCCCGUAGCAUGCACGUAUGGUGAACCGUUAUGUGACGAAGUCAGAUCAUGAUUUAUUUGUUGAUUGUCUUCCUUAUGAGUGGCGGUCGGGGAUGAGCAAUGGUCUUUUACUACCAAUCUAUCUCCCUAGGAGCAUGGGCAUAAUACUUUGCUUUGAUAACUUAUAGAUUUUUGCAAUAAGUAUGUGAGUUCUUUCUGAGCAAUGUUGAGUCCAUGGAUCAUACGCACUCUCACCCUUCCACCAUUGCUAGCCUCUCUAAUACCGUGCACUUCUCGCCGAUAUCAUACACCCACCAUAUACCAUCCUCAAAACAGCCACCAUACCUACCUAUUAUCACUAGUGCAGAACCGGGCAAUAGCACCGGUUCGUAAGGCCCUUUAGUGCCGGUUUAGGAACCGGCACUAUUAUUUCGGCACUAAACCCCCCCCCCUUUAGUACCGGUUCAGCACGAACCGGUGCUAAAGGGGUACCACGUGGCACGAGCCAGCUCCGGGGGCCGGGAGCCCUUUAGUACCGGUUGGUAAAACCAACCGGUACUAAAUGGUUGUGGGUUUUUGUUUUAUUUUGUAUUUUUCAAUUAAAUUUGUGUUAUCAAUUUAAAUUAGGAUUGUUUUACGUUAUAAUGAGUUGUAGUCGUCAUCAUCAUCAUCAUCAUCGCAUAUUAAUAAAUAAAUAAACUCUAGCUAGCUAAAAAUCAUCGUGGUCGUCUAAUUACCACUAUUUAAUCAUCAUAGUCAUUACCGCUAGCUAUGUAAUCAUCAUCAACGUUGGCUAGCUUAAAGAGGAAACAUUCACUUUGUAACAGAAGCAAAGAGAUAUCAUCAAGUUCAACAUAAUCAUCACCAACAUCGAAGUUCAGGACACGGAUCCAUGAGACGAGUACUAAUUAAGAGCAUGAAGUAGUAGCUACUGAUCCUGCUUCUCCCUCUCAGGUAGAAUAGCACAGAACAUGUAUAGCUCUCCUGAUUCAUCAUACUGAAGCAUGCAGAUGAAUCUGUCUCCUAAUCUUGGGUUGCGCUUCUCCUUACUGCCCCCUAGUACUUCUCUGCGAUCGUUAACAAUUUUGCUCCAAUCUUUCACUAUUAAGCAUUCUUCGCUUUUAGAAAUCCUGAAUGCACUCAUGUGCAAUGUAGGAAAUCUUGGUCGUAAGCUAACCAUUGACAUGCGACCUUUUGUCUCGAUCCACUAAGGCACAACUGUCAUCGGAAGUCCCUGUUGAACAACAUCGUAUAGUAAUUAAUAUACUAAGCAAUGAAAGUUUAGCUUUAAAAAUAAUGUACGCAAAAGAUGCACUAAUUAAGGACAAAUAUUUAAAAUCUUACCAUCUUUUGAUUAUAGAUGUGACCGUAGUUCAAGGCGAUCACCAUUGGUCGCACGUUUUGAGUACUAACAUUUCUAAGUUUAGAAAAAAAAUUGUCUUGACAGUAUUAAGAUCCUCAAGCCAUGAAACACAAUGACUUAUUUCCUCGCAGUUUAGUUGAGCCCCGAGGUAGUAGUAGGUCCUGUCUACCAAGCGCCGGACAUGUUUGCUUGAACCGAAAUAAGCUGACAAUACACAUCAGUUGUCAACUAUUUUUGAAUAAACUGUACGAAAGACAUAAACGUAUAUAUGCAUGCAUGGUUGAGAAAAACUCACCAAAUGGUAGAACUGGAGGCGUUUGCACAUCGACCCAGAUGUCUAUAUUACCUUCAAUAUCAUCUUCCGGACGAAUAUCAAAGGUGAUAACCAUAUCAGGCUCAAAUGCAUAAGCCUUGCAUAGUGCUUGCCAAGUUUUGCAUUCAAAAUGGGUGUAUGUGCCUCCAUUAUAUAAUUUGACGUUGAAAGUAUACCCAUGCUCCGUCUUCAAGUAAACUCUCUUUACCUCCAUAUCAUCUAUAGCACUAAAACCUAUCUUAUAUAAUACAAAAAUUCUUGUAUGGCAGGGGAUGCGCUAGUAGAAUAGUGAAAAUUUAAAAUUAUAAGUUGAAGCAAAUGAAGCAUAAGUUUUGCAUUCAAAUAAUAAUUGACAAAGUGGCUUACUGUAUCAACUUCAAAUGUCUCAUCCAGCUUGAUGUUGAAGCGCCUACCAUCAACAAGGAAAUUUUGGUCGCACAGGCCGCGCUGGUCUUCACAGUGUUCGCACAUAAUAAAAUCUUUUUAGUUGUCAGAUGACAUUUCCUAUGUUCAUAUAGGUGAAACAUUAAACACCUAUAUCUAGCCAAAUAUAUAUUCAUCUAACAUUUGACAUUAAUAUAUCUAACUAUAUAUUCAAUUGACAUUACUAUAUAUUUAACUUUUCUAUCUAAUUCAUCUAACAUUCGACAUUAAUCUAACAUUUAUAUAAACUCAAAAUAUAUAAAAAAUUAAAUAAACAGAAAAACUCAUUAACAAAUAAUAUUUUAAUUAGAUCAUCAAAUCUCAUAUACCUAAAUUUUCUUACUAAAAAUAAACUAGUUAUAUUAAUUAUUCAACUAGUUCUAAUCUNNNNNNNNNNNNNNNNNNNNNNNNNNNNNNNNNNNNNNNNNNNNNNNNNNNNNNNNNNNNNNNNNNNNNNNNNNNNNNNNNNNNNNNNNNNNNNNNNNNNNNNNNNNNNNNNNNNNNNNNNNNNNNNNNNNNNNNNNNNNNNNNNNNNNNNNNNNNNNNNNNNNNNNNNNNNNNNNNNNNNNNNNNNNNNNNNNNNNNNNNNNNNNNNNNNNNNNNNNNNNNNNNNNNNNNNNNNNNNNNNNNNNNNNNNNNNNNNNNNNNNNNNNNNNNNNNNNNNNNNNNNNNNNNNNNNNNNNNNNNNNNNNNNNNNNNNNNNNNNNNNNNNNNNNNNNNNNNNNNNNNNNNNNNNNNNNNNNNNNNNNNNNNNNNNNNNNNNNNNNNNNNNNNNNNNNNNNNNNNNNNNNNNNNNNNNNNNNNNNNNNNNNNNNNNNNNNNNNNNNNNNNNNNNNNNNNNNNNNNNNNNNNNNNNNNNNNNNNNNNNNNNNNNNNNNNNNNNNNNNNNNNNNNNNNNNNNNNNNNNNNNNNNNNNNNNNNNNNNNNNNNNNNNNNNNNNNNNNNNNNNNNNNNNNNNNNNNNNNNNNNNNNNNNNNNNNNNNNNNNNNNNNNNNNNNNNNNNNNNNNNNNNNNNNNNNNNNNNNNNNNNNNNNNNNNNNNNNNNNNNNNNNNNNNNNNNNNNNNNNNNNNNNNNNNNNNNNNNNNNNNNNNNNNNNNNNNNNNNNNNNNNNNNNNNNNNNNNNNNNNNNNNNNNNNNNNNNNNNNNNNNNNNNNNNNNNNNNNNNNNNNNNNNNNNNNNNNNNNNNNNNNNNNNNNNNNNNNNNNNNNNNNNNNNNNNNNNNNNNNNNNNNNNNNNNNNNNNNNNNNNNNNNNNNNNNNNNNNNNNNNNNNNNNNNNNNNNNNNNNNNNNNNNNNNNNNNNNNCGGCGGCGGGGACAGCGACGAUGACGACGGACGACGGUACGGGCGACGGGCGGCGACGACGGGAUCGAGCGGUCCGCGCGGCGGAGGUGGGAGACGAAGUGGGGAGUUGAAACUGAAAUUUUCGUAAGUGCUAUAUAUAUAUAUAUAUAUAUAUAUAUAUAUAUAUAUAUAUAUAUAUAUAUAUGAUUGGCCUUUAGUACCGAAUCGUGGCUCCAACCGGUACUAAAGGCCUAUUUUCGCCAGGCCAAGCGGCGGGAAACGAAGGCUUUUAGUACCGGUUGGAGCCACCAACCGGUACUAAAGGGGGGCCUUUAGUACCGGUUGGAGCCACCAACCGGUACUAAAGGCCUUGCGCUGCCACCCCAAAAUUUAGUCCCACCUCGCCCGGCGAAGGGCAGCCGCACUGGUUUAUAAACCUAGCCGCGGCUACCUCUUCGAACUCCUCUAUAUAGCAGCCUUCUGGGCCUAAUUAAUUAGGGCGCGCUGCCAUGUGAGUCUGCUGGCCCUUCUGGGCCUGCAUUUGCACACCCUAGGUCUGGUAGACCCACAGGGCAGUGCGCCAACAAAUUUUUUAUAUAGUUUUAUCUUUUCUGCAUUACUUAUUUUCUUUUAUUUAUUUUUGAGUAGUUUUUUAUAUAGUUUUUGUUUUCUGCAUUAUUUAUUUUCUUCUAUUUAUUUUUGAGUAAUUUUUUUGUAUAGUUUUUUUAUUUUCUGCAUUACUUAUUUUUGCAUAGUCCGAAACCCUGAUACUCGGAAAGAGUUUGUCCAGUUUGUACACGAAGUGCGUCCAGUUUUUGCCGUGACCCUCUCUACUCUUUCGCGCAUGCUAUGCGGGUGAUACGAUGAUACCAUGCCAAGUUUCAACAUUUUCAGGAUUCAUUUUGUAGUGAUUUUCAAUUUCACGGUCAUUUAGCUCUCUAAACAAUUAGGUAAAUGACUGAAAAACAACAAAUGAUGUCAGAACAUGUUGAAAAUUGAUGACGUCGCUUUAAAUGCUGCAUACUGAACACAAAAGAAGUCCGGAGUACAAAUAAGUUUAAAAAACAUUGAAGUGGCCAUGUAACAGAUGAGUUCUCGUCCGAAACCCUGAUACUCGGAAAGAGUAUGUCCAUUUUGUACACGAAGUGCGUCCAGUUUUUGCCGUGACCCUCUCUACUCUUUCGCGCAUGCUAUGCGGGUGAUAUGAUGAUACCAUGCCAAGUUUCAGCAUUUUCAGGAUUCAUUUUGUAGUGAUUUUCAAUUUCACGGUCAUUUAGCUCUCUAAACAAUUAGGUAAAUGACCGAAAAACAACAAAUGAUGUCAGAAUAGACUGCACUGCACAUAGCUCAGUGUAGACUACACUGCACAUAGCUCAGUGCAAUCUAUGUUAUUCCGCAAGGCUUGAAGCUAAUCAACAUGUAGAUGAGCAUUGCAAUUCUUCGUCAUUGUCUGUGCACUCACGGCUUAUAAACCGCUCAUACUGCCUCUCUCUUGGCGAGGUGGGACUAAAAACAACUUGCCAUAACCUCAUCAAUUUCCUCUUGAAGCUUGUCCUUGCCUUUUUGCUUGUAUUCUUGUGGUGGAAGAUCAUCUUGAGCUUGUGUCCCCUUGAAGGAAGUAGGAUACUUCUCUUGUUGAGGAACAAACUUUGUCUUGGGGUAUUGAUCUUCUUCCCACUCAACUCCAUUGGCAUUGAACUUUCGUUCAAAACCAACACCUUGAUUCUUCCAGUGCCUUCCUUGCUUGCGCACAAUUUCCUCGAAUUGCUUACUCCCGGCAAGGCUUUUGUACAUUCCUUUCUCUAUAAUUCCCUUCAAUAAGCUAUUUUCUUGCUCAAGUGUAACUUGGCUAAGAGAAUCAUUAGUGGAAUCAAGAGAACUACUAGAAGCAACAAUGUUAGAUCUUAUGUCACAAAAAAGAAGUCGUAUCAAACCUUUUAUGUCGGAUCUAGAACAAACCAAUCGGUAUCGCCAUCAUACAGCCCUACCGUGGCUUGUGAUGCAUAUAUAUAUGCAUAUCAAAUGCACGGUUGGGCGUAUGAUGGCGAAUCCGAAUGAUUUGUAUUCAGUCGAUGAACUGGUAGAUGUAUGCAGUCGAUGAACUGGUAGAUGUAUGUAGUCGAUGAACUGAAAGACUUAUGCAGGGAAGGCGAGAGAUGGGCUAUAUAUAGGGUCGUCUGGCUCACAAAGUGAUUGUGGUAGUUUCGAUCCAACGACUCACAUGAGCUAGGAAGAAGCACACCCUUGAUCCAACGACUCGCAAGAGCUAUAAAGAAACACACGAUCCAUGUGAUUCUUCCUGAUUGGUGGGAUGCACAUUAGUAUCGGUUUGUGCCAUGAACUGGUGCUAAAGAUUGGCAAUGAACCGGUACUAAUGGUAGCAGCCCGCCUAGCCGUUGGAAUCGGCACUAAUGGUCACAUUUGUGCCGGCUCAAAUUCAAACCGGCACUAUAAUGUGCUUCACAUUUGACUGUUUUUCUACUAGUCAAUAGAGUUUGCCAAACUUGAGUUUCCCAAGUCACUUACACAAAAAGCUAUGAUUCAUGGUUGUCAAAUCCAUAAUUUACAAACCACAACAACCUUGAGGCAUAACAAGCUUUAAAUGCUGCAUACUGAACACAAAAGAAGUCCAGAGUUUAAAUAAGUUAUUAAAAAUAAAAAAGAGGUGCAAUGCUGGUUAAUUUGCUUCAAGCUAUUCGGAAUAGUGUAGAUUGCACUAAGCCACUGCACAUAGCUCAGUGCAAUCUAUGCUAUUCCGCAAGGCUUGAAGCUAAUCAACAUGUAGGUGAGCAUUGCAACUCUUCGUCAUUGUCUGUGCACUCACGGCUUAUAAACCGCUCAUACUACCUCUCUCUUGGCGAGGUGGGACUAAAAACAUCUUGCCAUAACCUCAUUAGUACUGGUUCAUGGUACGAACCGGCACUAAAUGGUGAUGGUGGGGCCAUAGCCUGACCGCAGGCUGACACAGCCUCUUUAGUACCGGUUCGUGGCAUGAACCGGUACUAAAGGUUCGCCACGAACCGGUACUAUUGAUCGCCGCCACGAACCGGCACUAAUGUACACAUUAGUGCCGGCUCUAAUUCAAACCGGCACUAAUGUGCUUCACAUUUGACCCUUUUUCUACUAGUGUAUGGCAUUUCCAUAGCCAUUCCGAGAUAUAUUGCCAUGCAACUUUCCAUCGUUCCAUUAUUAUGACACACUUCAUCAUUGUCAUAUUUGCUUGCAUGAUCAUGUAGUUGGCAUCGUAUUUGUGCAAAGCCACCAUUCAUAAUUCUUCAUACAUGUCACUCUUGAUUCACUGCAUAUCCCGGUACACCGCCGGAGGCAUUCACAUAGAGUCAUAUUUUGUUCUAAGUAUCGAGUUGUAAUUCUUGAGUUGUAAGUAAAUAAAAGUGUGAUGAUCAUCAUUAUUAGAGAAUUGUCCCAAGUGAGGAAAGGAUGGAGACUAUGAUUCCACAACAAGUCGGCAUGAGACUCCGGACGAAAAUAAAAAAAGAGGGAAAAAAGAGAAAGGCCAUAAAAAAGAAGGCCCAAAAAAUGAGAGAAAAAGAGAGAAGGGGCAAUGUUACUAUCCUUUUUCCACACUUGUGCUUCAAAGUAGCACCAUCAUCUUCAUGAUAGAGAGUCUCCUAUGAUAUCACUUUCAUAUACUAGUGGGAAUUUUUCAUUAUAGAACUUGGCUUGUAUAUUCCAAUGAUGGGCUUCCUCAAAUUGCCCUAGGUCUUCGUGAGCAAGCAAGUUGGAUGCACACCCACUUAGUUUCUUUUGUUGAGCUUUCAUACACUUAUAGCUCUAGUGCAUCCGUUGCAUGGCAAUCCCUACUCAAUCACAUUGAUAUCUAUUAAUGGGCAUCUCCAUAGCCCGUUGAUACGCCUGUUCUGGAGCUCCGCCAGAGGGGGCAUCGAUCACGGAGGGCUUCUACAUCAACAGCAUAGCCUCUCCGAUGAAGUGUGAGUAGUUGACCUCAGACCUACGGGUCCAUAGUUAUUACCUAGAUGGCUUCUUCUCUCUUUUUGGAUCUCAAUACAAUGUUCUCCCCCUCUCUUGUGGAGAACUAUUCGAUGUAAUCUUCUUUUUGCGGUGUGUUUAUUGAGAUCGAUGAAUUGUGGGUUUAUGAUCAAGUCUAUCUAUGAAUAAUAUUUGAAUCUUCUCUGAAUUCUUUUAUGUAUGAUUGUUUAUCUUUGCAAGUCUCCUCGAAUUAUCAGUUUGGUUUGGCCUACUAGAUUGAUCUUUCUUACAAUGGGAGAAGUGCUUAGCUUUGGGUUCAAUCUUGCGGUGUCCUUUCCCAGUGACAGCAGGGGCAGCAAGGCAUGUAUUGUAUUGUUGCUAUCGAGGACAACAAGAUGAGGUUUUCAUCAUAUUGCAUGAGUCUAUCCCUCUACAUCAUGUCAUCUAGCUUAAGGCGUUACUCUGUUUUUAACUUAAUACUCUAGAUGCAUGCUGGAUAGCGGUCGAUGAGUGGAGUAAUAGUAGUAGAUGCAGGCAGGAGUCGGUCUACUUGUCUCGGACGUGAUGCCUAUAUACAUGAUCAUACCUAGAUAUUCUCAUAAAUAUGCUCAAUUAUGUCAAUUGCUCAACAGUAAUUUGUUCACCCACCAUAGAAUUAUUAUGCUCUCGAGAGAAUCUACUAGUGAAACCUAUGGCCCCCGGGUCUAUCUUUAUCAUAUUAAUCUCCUACUACUUAGUUAUUUCCUUUGCUUUUUCCUUUGCCUUUAUUUUACUUUUCAUCUUUAUCACAAAAAUACCAAACAUAUUAUCUUUAUCAUAUCUAUCAGAUCUCACUCUCAUAAGUGGCCGUGUAGGGAUUGACAACCCCUAUUCGCGUUGGUUGCGAGGAUUUAUUUGUUUUGUGCAAGUACGAGGGACUCGCGCGUAGCCUCCUACUGGAUUGAUACCCUUGGUUCUCAAACUGAGGGAAAUACUUACGCUACUUUGCUACAUCAUCCCUUCCUCUUCGGGGAAAACCAACGCAGUGCUCAAGAGGUAGCAAGAAGGAUUUCUGGUGCCAAUGCCGGGGAGGUCUACGCAAAAGUCAACAUACCAAGUACCCGUCACAUACCCUUAUCUCCCGCAUUACAUUAUUUGCCAUUUGCCUCUCGUUUUCACCUCCCCCACUUCACCCUUGCCAUUUUAUUCGCCCUCUCUCUCUCUCUAUCCUCCCUCUCUUUCUCUAUUUGCCUCUUUUUUCCCGCUUGCUUUCUGUUUGCUUGUGUGUUAGUUGCUUGCUUGUCACGAUGGCUCAAGAUAAUACUAAAUUAUGUGACUUCACCAAUACCAACAACAAUCAUUUUAUUAGCACUCCGAUUGCUCCUCUUACCGAUGCUGAAUCUUGUGAAAUUAAUACUGCUUUGCUGAAUCUUGUCAUGAAAGAUCUGUUUUCCGGCCUUCCUAGUGAACAUGCCGGUACCCACCUAAAUAGAUUCAUUGAUUUGUGUGACAUGCAAAAAAAAGAAAGGUGUGGAUAAUGAUAUUGUUAAAUUGAAGCUAUUUCCUUUUUUGCUUAGAGAUCGUGCUAAAGCUUGGUUUUCGUCUUUGCCUAAAAAUAGUAUUGAUUCAUGGAAUAAGUGCAAAGAUGCUAUUAUCUCUAAGUAUUUUCCUCCUACUAAGAUCAUCUCUCUUAGAAACAAUAUUAUGAAUUUUAAGCAACUUGAUCAUGAACAUGUUGCACAAGCUUGGGAGAGAAUGAAACUAAUGGUACGUAAUUGCCCUGCCCAUGAUUUAAAUUUGUGGAUGAUUAUACAAAAAUGUUAUGCCGGAUUGAAUUUUGCUUCUAGAAAUCUUUUAGAUUCGGCCGCGGGAGGCACUUUUAUGGAAAUCACUUUAGAAGAAUCUACUAAACUCCUAGAUAAUAUUAUGGUUAAUUAUGCUCAACGGCAUAGUAAAAUAUCUAAUAAUAAAAAGGUGCAUGCGAUACAAGAAAUUAAUGUUUUGAGUGGAAAGAUGGAUGAACUUCUGAAAUUAUUUGCUAAUAAGAGUGUUUCUUCUGAUCCUAAUGAUAUACCCUUGUCUACUUUGAUUGAGAAUAGUAAUGAAUCUAUGGAUGUGGAUUUUGUUGGUAGGAACAAUUUUGGUAACAACGCGUAUAGAGGAAAUUUCAACCCUAGGCCUUAUCCUAGUAAUCUCUCUAAUAAUUAUGGUAAUUCCUACAACAAUUCUUAUGGAAAUUAUAAUAAGAUGCCCUCUAAUUUUGAAUCUAAUAUUAAAGAAUUUAUUACUUUGCAAAAGAAUUUCAAUACCUUGAUUGAAGAAGAACCGCUAGGAUGCGUGCUAAGAAAGAUGCCUUUAUAAGAGCGUGUUCUUCUAGUUCCUAUGAAAAUAAUGAUGAAGAUCUAAAAGUUAUUGAUGUGUUCCCUAUUAAAUCUUUGUUUUUCAACAUGGAUCUUGAUAAUGAUGGGAUUGAAUAUGAUCCACCUUUACCUAUAAGGCGUUCCAAGAAUUCAGAAUUUGUUGAUCUUGAUGCUAAAAUUGAUAAAGGUGGGAUUGAAGAAAUUAAAACCCUAGAUGUUGCUAAACCCACUAUUAUGGAUUUCAAGGAAUUUAACUAUGAAAAUUGCUCUUUUAUUGAUUGUAUAUCCUUUUUACAAUCCGUGCUAAAUUCUCCUCAUGCUUAUAGUCAAAAUAAAGCGUUUACUAAACAUAUCGUUGAUGCCUUGAUGCAAUCUUAUGAAGAAAAACUUGAAUUGGAAGUUUCUAUCCCUAGAAAGCUUUAUGAUGAGUGGGAACCAACUAUUAAAAUUAAAAUUAAAUAUCAUUAAUGCUAUGCUUUAUGUGAUUUGGGUGCUAGUGUUUCCACGAUUUCAAAGACUUUGUGUGAUUUGUUAGGUUUCCGUGAUUUUGAUGAUUGCUCUUUAAACUUGCGCCUUGUGGAUUCCACUAUUAAGAAACCUAUGGGAAGAAUUAAUGAUGUUCUUAUUGAUGCAAAUAGGAAUUAUGUGCCUGUAGAUUUUAUUGUUCUUGACAUAGAUUGCAAUCUUUCAUGUCCUAUUAUUCUUGGUAGACCUUUCCUUAGAACGAUUGGUGCAAUUAUUGAUAUGAAGGAAGGAAAUAUUAGAUUCCAAUUUCCAUUAAGGAAAGUCAUGGAACACUUUACUAGAAAGUAAAUUAAAUUACCUUAUGAAUCUAUUAUGAUAGCCACUUAUGGAUUGCCUACCAAAGAUGGCAAUACCUAGAUCUAUCCUUGCUUGUUAUGCCUAGCUAGGGGCGUUAAACGAUAGCGCUUGUUGGGAGGCAACGCAAUUUUGUUUUUAUUCCUUGAUUUUUGCUCCUGUUUAGUAAUAAAUAAUUUAUCUAGCCUCUGUUUUGGUUGUGUCCUUUGUGUUUAAUUAGUGUUGGUGCCAAGUAGAACCGUUAGGAAGACUUGGGGAAAGUCUUGUUACACUUGCUGUAAAAAACAGAAACUUCAGCGCUCACGAGAACUACUGCCAUUUUUAUUUGGAAAGUUCUAUUUAGUUAAUUAUUUCUGCAGAUGAUUAAUAGAUAAAUUCCUCACGUCCAGAAAUUUAUUUUAGAAUUUUUGGGGUUCCAGCUCUUGAGCUAGGUACAGAUUACUACAGACUGUUCUGUUUUUGAAAGAUUUUGUUUUUCAUGUGUUGUUUGCUUAUUUUGAUGAACCUAUGGCUAGUAAAAUAGUUGAUAGACCAUAGAUAAGUUGGAAUACAGUAGGUAUAACACCAAUAUAAAUAAAUAAUGAGUUCAUUAUAGUACCUUGAAGUGGUCUUUUAUUUUCUUUCGCUAACGGAGCUCACGAGAUUUUCUACUUUAAGUUUUGUGUUGUGAAGUUUUCGAGUUUUGGGUAAAGAUUUGAUGGUUUAUGGAACAAGGAGUGACAAGAGCCUAAGCUUGGGGAUGCCCAUGGCACCCCCAAGAUAAUCUAAGUACACCUAAAAGCCAAAGCUUGGGGAUGCCCCGGAAGUCAUCCCCUCUUUCGUCUACUUCUAUCGGUAACUUUACUUGGAGCUAUAUUUUUAUUCGCCACAUGAUAUGUGUUUUGCUUGGAGCAUCUUGUAUUAUUUGACUCUUUAUUUGUUAGUUUACCACAAUCAUCCUUCCUGUACACACCUUUUUUAGAAUACUCUAUGUGCUUCGCUUAUAUCUUUUGAGUUAUAUAGUUUUGCUCUAGUACUUCACUUAUAUCUUUUAGAGCACGGUGGUGGAUUUGUUUUAUAAAAACUAUUGAUCUCUCAUGCUUCACUUAGAUUAUUUUGAGAUGCUUAAUAGCAUGGUAAUUUGCUUAAAAUCCUAAUAUGCUAGGUAUUCAAAGUUAGUAUAAUUUUCUUAAGAGUGUUUUGAAUACUAAGAGAAGUUUGAUGCUUGAUGAUUGUUUUGAGAUAUGGAGGUAAUAAUAUCAAAGUCGUGCUAGUUGAGUAGUUGUGAAAUUGAGAAAUACUUGUGUUGAAAUUUGCAUGUCCCGUAGCAUGCACAUAUGGUAAACGUUGUGUAACAAAUUUGAAACAUCAGGUGUUAUUUGAUUGUCUUCCUUAUGAGUGGCGGUCGGGGACGAGCGAUGGUCUUUUCCUACCAAUCUAUCCCCCUAGGAGCAUGCGCGUAGUACCGAGGUUUUUGAUCACUUGUAGAUUUUUGCAAUAAGUAUGUGAGUUCUUUAUGACUAAUGUUGAGUCCAUGAAUUAUACGCACUCUCACCCUUCCAUCCUUGCUAGCCUCUUCGGUACCGUGCAUUGCCCUUUCCCACAUUGAGUGUUGGAGCAAACUUCGCCGGUGCAUCCAAACCCCGUGAUAUGAUACGCUCUUUCACACAUAAACCUCCUUAUAUCUUCCUCAAAACAGCCACCAUACCUACCUAUUAUGGCAUUUCCAUAGCCAUUCCGACAUAUAUUGCCAUGCAACUUUCCACCAUUCCGUUCAUCAUGACACAUUCAUCAUUGUCAUAUUGCUUAGCAUAAUCAUGUUGUUGACAUAGUAUUUGUGGCAAGGCCACUGUUCAUAAUUCUUUCAUACAUGUCACUCUUGGUCCAUUGCAUAUCCCGGUACACCGCUGGAGGCAUUCAUAUAGAGUCAUACUUUGUUCUAGUAUCGAGUAGUAAUUAUUGAGUUGUAAAUAAAUAGAAGUGUGAUGAUCAUCAUUAAUAGAGCAUGGUCCCAAAGAGAGAAAAAAGGAAGGGCCAAAAAAGGCCAAAUAAAAAAUAUAAAAAAGGGGGGCAAUGCUACUAUCCUUUUUUCCACACUUGUGAUUCAAAGUAGCACUGUAAUCUUCAUGAUAGAGAGUAUCUUGAUUUGUCACUUUCAUAUACUAGUGGGAAUUUUUCAUUAUAGAACUUGGCUUGUAUAUUCCAACAAUGGGCCUCCUUAAGUGCCCUAGGUCUUCGUGAGCAAGCAAGUUGGAUGCACACCCACUUAGUUUCUUUUGUUGAGCUUUCAUACAUUUAUAGCUCUAGUGCAUCCGUUGCAUGGCAAUCCCUACUCCUUGCAUUAACAUCAAUCGAUGGGCAUCUCCAUAGCCCAUUGAUUAGCCUCGUUGAUGUGAGACUUUCUCCUUUUUGUCUUCUCCACAUAACUCCACUCAUUAUAUUCUAUUCCACCCAUAGUGUUAUGUCCAUGGCUUGCAAUCAUAUAUUGCGUGGAAGUUUAUAGGUUUGAGAUCACUAAAGUAUGAAACAAUUGCUUAGCUUGUCAUCGGGGUUGUGCAUGAUGAGAGCGUUGUUGUGUGACAAAAAUGAAGCAUGACUAAACUAUAUGAUUUUGUAGGGAUGAACUUUCUUUGGCCAUGUUAUUUUGAGAAGACAUAAUUGCUCAGUUAGUAUGCUUGAAGUAUUAUUAUUUUUAUGUCAAUAUGAACUUUUGUCUUGAAUCUUUCGGAUCUGAAUAUUCAUAUCACAAUUAAGAAGAAUUACAUUAAAAUCAUGCUAAGUAGCACUCUGCAUCAAAAAUUCUGUUUUUAUCAUUUACCUACUCGAGGACGAGCAGGAAUUAAGCUUGGGGAUGCUUGAUACGUCUCCAACGUAUCUAUAAUUUUUGAUUGCUCCAUGCUAUAUUAUCUACUGUUUUGGACAAUAUUGGGCUUUAUUAUCCACUUUUAUAUUAUUUUUGGGACUAACCUAUUAACCGGAGGCCCAGCCCAGGAUUGCUGUUUUUUGCCUAUUUUAGGGUUUCGAAGAAAAGGAAUAUCAAACGGAGUCCAAACGGAAUGAAACCUUCGGGAACGUGAUUUUCUCAACGAACAAGACCCAGGAGACUUGGACCCUCCGUCAAGACACAAAAGAGGAGGCCACGAGGUAGGGGGCGUGCCUACCCCCCGGGCGCGCCCUCCACCCUCGUGGGCCCCCUGUUGCUCCACCGACGUACUCCUUCCUCCUAUAUAUACCUACGUACCCCCAAAUGAUCAUAUACGGAGCCAAAACCCUAAUUACACCGCCGCAACAUUUUGUAUCCACGAGAUCCCAUCUUGGCGCCUGUUCCGGAGCUCCGCCGGAGGGGGCAUCGAUCAUGGAGGGCUUCUACAUCAACACCAUAGCCUCUCCGAUGAAGUGUGAGUAGUUGACCUCAGACCUACGGGUCCAUAGUUAUUACCUAGAUGGCUUCUUCUCUCUUUUUGGAUCUCAAUACAAUGUGCUCCCCCUCUCUUGUGGAGAACUAUUCGAUGUAAUCUUCUUUUUGUGGUGUGUUUGUUGAGACCGAUGAAUUUUGGGUUUAUGAUCAAGUCUAUCUAUGAAUAAUAUUUGAAUCUUCUCUGAAUUCUUUUAUGUAUGAUUGGUUAUCUUUGCAAGUCUCUUCGAAUUACCCGUUUGGUUUGGCCUACUAGAUUGAUCUUUCUUGCAAUGGGAGAAGUGCUUAGCUUUGGGUUCAAUCUUGCGGUGUCCUUUCCCAGUGACAGUAGGGGCAGCAAGGUACGUAUUGUAUUGUUGCCAUCGAGGACAACAAGAUGGGGUUUUCAUCAUAUUUUAUGAGUCUAUCCCUCUACAUCAUGUCAUCUUACUUAAGGCAUUAAUCUGUUUUUAACUUAAUACUCUAGAUGCAUGCUGGAUAGCGGUCGAUGAGUGGAGUAAUAGUAGUAGAUGCAGGCAGGAGUCGGUCUACUUGUCUCGGACGUGAUGCCUAUAUACAUGAUCAUACCUAGAUAAUCUCAUAACUAUGCUCAGUUCUGUCAAUUGCUCAAUAGUAAUUUGUUCACCCACCGUAGAAUACUUAUGCUCUUGAGAGAAGCCACUAGUGAAACCUAUGGCCCCCGGGUCUAUCUUUAUCAUAUUAAUCUCCUACUACUUAGUUAUUUCCUUUGCUUUUUUACUUUGCCUUUAUUUUACUUUGCAUCUUUAUCACAAAAAUAAAAAUAUCUUUAUCAUAUCUAUCAAAUCUCACUCUCGUAAGUGGCCGUGUAGGGAUUGACAACCCCUAUUCACGUUGGUUGCGAGGAUUUAUUUGUUUUGUGCAGGUACGAGGGACUGGCGCAUAGCCUCCUACUGGAUUGAUACCUUGGUUCUCAAAACCUAAGGGAAAUACUUACGCUACAUUGCUGCAUCAUCCCUCACUCUUCGGGGAAAACCAACGCAGUGCGCAAGAGGUAGCAAGGGUUCCUUUUUGUCGACGAUCUGAUGUUUCAACCUUGUUUUCCAGGCGGCCAACGCAUCGCUCAACUUGGUCAUGGCGUGUUUGUUUAUCUUCGUCAUUGCCAGGUCCUUAUCUGGAUCUUUAUUAUCCUUUUCAUUACGGUCCGGGAACAAGAAUAUCUGGUGCAGCUUCUUUAGGAGGGAGGGCCUCUGGUGCAGCUUCUAUAGUUUCCCAUCGUUGAUCAUGGCAGUUGUCCGUACAAUGCAACCUAUUUGAUUGCCGUAGCACGAUUGCGCUUCCUCGGGUGCUAUUGUCUCAAAAAUACCGUCGUCCAUCUCCGUGACCACCAGUCUAGUACUCAUGAGCUGGUUUAGGCGUCGUGGCCUCUUUGCUUUCGGUUCUAGACUAACUCCGCUAGUCUCGGCGCUGGUCUCAGUCUCAUCGCCGGUCUGCAUGUCGGUAUCAGUCCCUGAUGCGACAACACAGUCGCUGCAACAUGGGUAAGGGAGACCACAUCAGUGCUGGGGGGUCCGAAAAUCGGGACACACUUUCGCGCGUCGCGGGCCGCCUCUCAGACAGCUACUGGGGAGGCGGCGGAGUACCUGGGUGCGCCGCGAAUCCCCGGGAACUCGGUGACCAACUUCCUUCCCGUGUGGCGCAUGGAGACGACAGCGACCCCGGCGAAGAGUAGCUUAGCCGCGAGCUGCACAGCCUCGUCCACCUCCUAAGUUGGGACCUCCGCGCAAGCGUUGCGGGGCCGCCGCUCGGGUGGCUUCUGGAAGGCGGUUGUACAUGGGCACAGGGUGAAUCCCGACUAGAGCUGGCCAUUGGCGCGCGCAAGUAGACGACGACGUCCCCGACGAAGAGCUGCCCGGCCAGCUCGCCUCACUCUCCUUUGAUUAGAAAUGAAAGAUUGGGAAGAAGCAGACUUGAGCCUGCAGAGAAAGGAUAAGGUGACGAUGCAGUCUCCACUCGUUCGGGGCGACACGCGUACUGAAUGUAUGAGAAACGUGACGUGGCAGAGACCCCAAGAUACUCCCUCCAUUUAUUUUUAGUCUGCAUAUAAAGUUUGGUCAAAGUCAAGAUUUGUAAAUUUUAACUAACUUUAUAAUAAAAAAAUAUCAAUAUUCACAAUAUGAAAUCAAUAUUACCAGAUGCGUCAUGAAAUGUAUUUCCAUACUAUAAAGUUUUGGUAUUGUAGAGGCACUCUUCCAUAUAAUGAAGUUUAUAAUAUAUGUGCUUAUAUUGUACUACAAUUGUUUGAAUAGCUUAGCAUAUGUUCAGAUGUAUGAUAUCUGUAAUUUAAGCGCUUGAAUUUUACAUAUAAAUAUUUAUUAAUAAAUAUGUACCCCUAUAAUAGCUAGGCCGUGCAGUUGCACGGGUAGAUGACUAGUGAUUACAAUCUUGUUUGUGUGCAAGUCAAGCUUAUCUAGUUUACACGUAACAACUUGUAGAACAUUACAAAAUUUAUGCUUGCUAAUAACUUCUAGAACACUACAACACUUGACAUGUAAAAGGAAUUUGACGAGUCAUGGCCUACUAAAGCAAGUUACAUUACUAGUCUUAUCUAUCUUAACAGACCACACAAGAUUACAAACUAAGUACCGUGACAGCCAUACUUAUCUAGUUUAUGCGUAACAAUUUGCAGAAAAUUAGAAACUUAGUUUCAGAAAAAUACGCAAUCUAGAUUAGUGUUUGAGCUGUAAAGUGAAUAAGAUGAGUCAUGCAUGUUAUCACACCUUUUUGGUGGUGGAAUGAUAGUGCAACAACAAGGAACUUUAAUGACCAGUCCAAGAAUACACUUGUAAGUAGUGCCACCAAACAGAACAUUCCAAAUGAUGAUUUUUAGAAGCAUCCAAGCACUUUCCACACAAACAAAUGCCAAUUGUGAAAGAGAUCAUUCCAUGGCAGCUAUAAAUAGCCCCAUAGCAUGACGAUCAUCCUUCCUCAUCCAUCAUUCUCAUUAGUAGAGCGCAUCAUUUAAGCCAAGCAAGCUGUGGUCAAUACAAAUCCACCAUGAAGACCUUUCUCAUCCUUGCCCUCCUUGCUAUCGUGGCGACCACCGCCACAACUGCAGUUAGAGUUCCAGUGCCACAAUUGCAGCCACAAAAUCCAUCUCAGCAACAGCCACAAGAGCAAGUUCCAUUGGUACAACAACAACAAUUUCUAGGGCAGCAACAACCAUUUCCACCACAACAACCAUAUCCACAGCCGCAACCAUUUCCAUCACAACAACCAUAUCUGCAGCUGCAACCAUUUCCGCAGCCGCAACUACCAUAUUCGCAGCCACAACCAUUUCGACCACAACAACCAUAUCCACAACCGCAACCACAGUAUUCGCAACCACAAGAACCAAUUUCACAGCAGCAGCAACAACAACAACAACAACAACAAAUCCUUCAACAAAUUUUGCAACAACAACUGAUUCCAUGCAUGGAUGUUGUAUUGCAGCAACACAACAUAGCGCAUGGAAGAUCACAAGUUUUGCAACAAAGUACUUACCAGCUAUUGCAAGAAUUGUGUUGUCAGCACCUAUGGCAGAUCCCUGAGCAGUCGCAGUGCCAGGCCAUCCAAAAUGUUGUUCAUGCUAUUAUUCUGCAUCAACAACAAAAACAACAACAACAACCAUCGAGCCAGGUCUCCUUCCAACAGCCUCUGCAACAAUAUCCAUUAGGCCAGGGCUCCUUCCGGCCAUCUCAGCAAAACCCACAGGACCAGGGCUCUGUCCAGCCUCAACAACUGCCCCAGUUCGAGGAAAUAAGGAACCUAGCGCUACAGACGCUACCUGCAAUGUGCAAUGUCUACAUCCCUCCAUAUUGCACCAUCGCGCCAUUUGGCAUCUUCGGUACUAACUGAGAAGAAAAUAACUCUAGUACUAGAUAUAUGAAACACCGUUUUCUCAGUCCAUGGUUUGGUCAUUGUAGCGUUGAAAAAAUAAUGUGACAUGCA